Molecule: long non-coding RNA, 290415 nt
Filed under: Daucus carota (carrot)
Lineage: Eukaryota; Viridiplantae; Streptophyta; Magnoliopsida; Apiales; Apiaceae
Description: long non-coding RNA (DCAR_LNC001008)
Source: RNAcentral
AUAAGAGCAUGCAAAGCACUGGCGCCGCCACCAGGACCCUCCAGACACUGUGCUGUGCAAGUUGUACAAAUCUCCUUUAUUAUAGCCAUGUACCCUUUUUCCGCAGCUAUGUAGAUUGGAUUUUUGCCUUCAUAAUUUUGGAUAUGUCUAUCACUUGGAUCUGCUUCUACUAAGAGCUUGACAAUCGCCACGUUACCGUUAAGGACUGCUACAUGUAAGGCAGUGUUCCGCAUUGGACUAGUAGCUAGCCUAGUAAAAGCUUUAAAAGCACUAAAUGGAUUAUGGGUAUCAUCACGUGCUUAUGAAGAAGGCAAAUGUCGUCUGGCGGCAUCAAUGAGGACCUCAACCACUUGAGUGUGUCCAUGAUGUGUUGCAAGGUGAAGUGCAGUUUGUUUUAAUUUAUCCUGCUUGACCAAUAGGUCUUUGUUUGAAAAUUCUGUCACAAUGAAUCGCACGCGUUCUGUGUAUCCUCUCUUGGAUUCAACAUGAAGGAUAGUUUCUCCAUCUUCGUUCAGUCUUUCGGCUUCCAUAUCCAGUGCAGCUCUGGCAUUAGCAUCUCCAGCAAUUGCAUCUGUAAACCAAUGGGCAACAGCACGACUAUUUUUAUACCUUUCUAGAUCUGCUUUCAUCCGUGCAUCCCUUUCAUUUAUUAAUAAUGUUGUAGCUCUAUUAAACAUCACAUCCUUUCUCUGUCUUUUACUUGGGAGCACUAAACUUUCCGAUAGAUCCAUUUUCCAGUCAGUCUGGACAUCGUCAAGUACAAUUUUUAUUUGUACCUGUGAAGAAAGGACAUUCCACCAUCAUGAAAAUUUAUCCAUAAGACUGAUAUGAUUUUGUAUUACCUAAUUUUGUUUCUUUAAUAUCCUUUUAAUUUACUUUUUUGAUAUAGUAUAAUCGUUACUUUCAAAAGAAAAAUAUAGUGUAAUCGAAAGUAAAGAUAAAGAACAAACACAUCAAAAGGAAAAGUUAAAUGUAAUAAAACGCAGUUUUCAUGAUUUAGUAGAAAAUAGAAAUGUAAGGAAUAAACGUACCUGAUCAGCAAUAAUUUCAUCUUCAAGAUAUAACAUAUCACGAGGAGUCCAAUAUUGGUUAUUUUUUACCAUUGUGUUAAUCCCGUUAUGUUUCAUAAGUUCCGGGAUGAAGCAACCACGGGAAACAAGUAUGUGGAGAGGUGUAUCACCAUUAUCAUCUUGCUCGUUCAAUAUCUUGUCCUUAUAUUGUUGAGGACAAUAUUUCAAAAUACCUUGUAUCAUCUCUUUUUUGUUUUUGCUGGCCGCCAAAUGUAGUACGUUUUGACCCCUCUUAUUAACAGCGGUGUAUUCAGAAGAUGAAAUUGGCCAUGAUAGUAUAUAAUCCAACCCGGCAGUAUUCUCAAGGUCCAUGGCCAAGUCUGGUCCAGACUCAGCACAACCCCGGGAGGAAUUCGGCCCAGCGGAGAAUAAUCCACCCACUCCAGAACAUGAAUCCGUAUUGGUGAGAAUAGUUCAACCAUGUCCUGACAAGUAUCCUAAUCCGGAUUGGGUUACCUCAAUCCCGCCAAGAACCGGGAGCAAGACCAACUCCAACCCCGGUUCGAGGGACCAACAAUGCAAGGACGCAAUCCCGGAGGUGCACCCAACCCGGAGAGAAUUCCAUGACCCUGGAGAGGCAAUCAACCCGGGUUGGUGGACACCAGUCCUGCCAGAACUUAGUCUGGAUAUGAACCGGGAUCCAAGCUCAAUGGUCAACUACUGACACUAUGAAGACAAACCUCAGAACACUCCAAAAUACUAUUCCUUAGCUGACACCUGGACAGGUGUUAAGCAUCCAAGCCCUACAGAUGGACGGCAGGAUCCAAGGUACACAUCCUUAAACCCUAAUCCUUGGCCUAUAAAUAGAUCAAGGAUGAGAGGCUUAAGGAUCUUUGUAACAUCCCAUAUUUUCAGAAUUUGUUUAUUAAUAUAGAAAUAAAUUUUUGAAUAUUAUUACUGGCUUUAUUUGGUUUUUGUGUAUAGUUGUUUCUAAUAAGAUGAAUGGACUGUGUAGUAUGAGUAUAAUUGUGAUGUGAAUUAUGAGGUUUAAACAGAUUAUGCAUUCUUCAUCUGUGAUUUCGUAUAUUUUCACGACCCGGAUUUUUCAAAAAUUGUUUAUUGUUAUAAAAGCAAUUUUCUUAGAAAGGAAGGAAUAAAGUGCAAUAUUUUAUUCCAGUUUAAGGUAUUUUUAAAAUGGUAUAUUUGAAUUCCGGGUUAUUGUGUUACCAAUACAGGGACUGUCUUUUCAAAACUAUAUUUCAUAUAAUUGAUUUUAAAGAUUUAAAAGAUUGGUAUGUGAGUAUAAUUGUUACAUGGCUAAGUGUUGCAUGUGGAAUUGUGAGUUUAAUUAGUUAUAAUAAUUAAAUGUGAAUAUUGCAUGAAUUUUGGUGUAAAUUGAUUUUCAGAAAUUGGUAUUUAUACGUGCUAGAACUGUGGGUUUAAUUAUUGAUAUUAUCAAAAUGAGUCAUAUUUUAUUUAGAUAUUUUCAAAUGAUUUAUAUGGAUAUAUGAAUAUCCUUUCAAAACUCAUUUCGAAUAUUAUUUCUGAAAGUACGGAGAUUUGUUAUGCAAAAGUUAGAUGGUUGAUAUGUGAAUCUAUGUAUUACAUGAUUAAGUGUUACGUAUGUAAUGGUCGCGUAAUUACUUAUGGUUAUUUCUGAAUAUUAUAUGAAAAUUUGGUAAAUUAUAUAAUGACUAGUUUUCUAUUUUGAUUGCUUAUACAUGUUGCAAUAGCGAGUUUUCAAAUUUCAUAUUCUCAUAAUAAAAUAUGGAACAUUUGGGUAUUUCUCUAAUAAUUUCUGAAUAGUAUGUGAUAUUUAUAUGAAUAUUUGUGAGGUUUGUGUUAUCUGGUUUAUUGAAUUGACUGCUCAUAUGUGUUCGGAUUUGAGAUAUUUCAAUUUUUAUAUGAUCAGAAUGAAAUCUAGUUUAUUUAGAUAUGUUCAUAUCGAUUUUUGGAUUGCUACGUGAUUUUAUAAUAGAUUUAUGGAUUUAAUUUCGUUUAAUUAUUAAUUAUAUUAAAAUAGUUAUUUAGCAUUUUAAACCCCGUGGGCGUUCGGGAAAAUUUCGCCAUUAAGCUAUUUGGGACAUUCUGAGCAUUAUUCGUGUUUUAACUUUUUCAAUCCGGAGUACGGUUUGCCCCGUAAAUGAUCCGGUAUGGUUUUAUUAAUAUUUUUAAAGUUAAUAAUUAUCUGGUUGUCUCGUAAUGCGUGAAGCAUAUUCCAGGAAUAUUCCAAAGCACACUACACCAUAGAUGCACUUACGCAACGCAAAAAAAAGGUUGCAAAAAGCCAAAAAAAUGUUGCUGUAACCCUGAAAACAGAAACCGCAACACUUUCCCGGAGUUGCCUUCAGCACCGCUGCCGUAGUGAGAUGUAGCAAUACUUUUGCAACACUAGGAUUGCAGUUGCAAUAUUCACAAAGGGCAUCAGUUUGUUACACCUAUGGCAACAUUCAAUAGUGUUGCUAUAGUGUUUGGAAAUCUGUGAAAUAUGGGCCCACCAGUGGGGCCACAUGUGGGGCCCACUGGUGGGCCAUGGGCUGUGGGCCUACUGGUGGGCCAUGGGCCCACUGGUGGGCCCAUAUGUAUGGCAACAUUUUAGUUGCAACACUUUAUGAACUCUUACAACAUUUUUUAAGCAAAUGGUUGCAACAUUAUAUAUCACUACUGCAAUACUUUUGUAAUUAAAUUUUGACAUAACCUUGCUGUAAAAUGGACUUCCCAAAUAAAAUAACCUGAUAUUAUAAUUCCAUCAAUACCAAAUCAUCCCAUCAAUAAAAACAAACCAAACAUCCAACCACAAACAUAAACUACUUUAAAGUCUAAUAACAUCCAGUCUAAUAACAUCCAUCCAGUAGUAAACCUUACUACUUCAAACAGUUAACCAAUUUACUUCGACUUCCAAAAGUAGCGAAAUACUAUAAUUAAAUAGUUAACUUCGACAAGCAAAAGUAGAGAAUCAGCAGUUAAAAACCAUCUCUAAGAACUGCCACCUCUAGUAAGCGGAGUGUCAUUUUCAUUAAGAGGAGUGCCUUCAUUGUCUGUUGACAUUGUUGCACAAAGCUCUGCCAAAUUGACGUUGAUGCCAGGAUUCGCUUCCCCUAAUUUCUUAAGCACCCAACUAAGGUUCUCCUGCACCUUCUUAUUCACCUUGGCAUCGACUUCAUCUUGGACCUUCUUCUUCAGCUUUUCAUCCAUUUCAGCAACAACAUCCUGUCUUAUCUUUGCUGUUAAUUCACUUAUCUGCGAUUCCUUCAUGCCAGAACUUGAAGAAUUAGCAGACUUAGGACAUCUCCCUAAAAGCCAUGAUGGACCAUGUGCUUUUCCAUCCAAUAAAAGUUCAUCAACACCUUCAGCUUGUCCUGAUAAAUCUUUCCCCAAAACCUUUUCAAUUUUGUCCUACAAUAUAAAGUCACAACCAAGUAAAUGACAAAUAUAAAAAUCAACGAAUGUUUGACAUGUGGGAACUAAAUAAGGUAAGAGUACUUACAACUACGAACGUAGUCACUUUCCCAUCAGUCUUGUAGUCGCGAUCAUUAUUUCGCUUACGCGUCUUGGCAAAAAGUGCUACAUCUGAUUCGUUGGCCUGAAAAAAUAAAUUGAUUAAAAAAAAAACCAAACUAUAUGGUCAUGGUUUCUCAUUCUUUUAUUUUUCAAGACUUAUGAAUGUAUUCUUUAGUUUGUGUCUGAACAGUAUUCUAUAUAAAUGUAGUAUUAGUGUAUAAUCUACUACUAUAACUAACACUAUUUCAUCUAAUUAUACAAAAAUCGAGUAAUUUAUAAGUUAAAAUCUUUUCUACAAAUAUAACCCGAUAAAUUUCAUCCUAACCAAUGACAACAAAAUGAGUAAAGUAAUAGAAAAAUAAAUUUCCAACCAUCUCGAUAUAACUUUCAUAAAUUAAAUUGAAACCAGGACAAGAAAAAGUGACAUAAAAAAUAAUAAAGAGAAAACCAGGAAGAGAAAUUGAAACCAGGAAGAGAUGUACCAAUUUAUGUCGAAUUUGGGAGAAUAAUUUUGGACCAGCAGUGUGUGUGUCCACAUACUUUUGCCGACUUACAGCAUUUUUUCUUGCCUUGUACUAAAAAAAUUAUAAAGAGAAAUUAAUUAGUCACAAGUGAACACAGAGCAUGAAAUAAAAAUCAAACUACUAUGAAAUGAAAAUUUAUUCAUUUUUAUAGCUAAACCUGAAUCUUCUCAUCUCCCCAAUACUGCAAGAGCAGUUUGAAAUCCUCGAGGGGAAUGUGGUCAGGUCUAUUUUCCAGCCUCUCCUCAUUGGUAACAUAAGUCCAAUAGUGUGCUGUUUUAAGACGACACUUAUACCCCCUCCAAGCCGCAUUAAUCGACUUCAGCACCCAUUCUUCAAGUUCUUCAGGAAUAAUAUAUCGUUGCUUACAUACAAAUCAAAAUAAGAUAAAUGAAUCAAUAUUUUUCCUCAUCAUAUAAAAUAAUUAACCAAUAUAUUGUGUGUGUGUGUGUAAUUUAUUUAUACAAGCGUGAAAAUACAGCUAAUAUUGUAUACAAGUACCUUAACAUAGUUCAACAAUGUUGUCUUCAAACUGUCAGGAACAUCUCUCCAAGAUUUAUAAGUUAGUGGAACACUCUUCUUCAGUGUUCCAAGAAAGUAACCAAAUUCAGAUAUGACUUUGUCAUUGUCUGAAAUAGGUUGAAACCGAUCAUUCAUUUUCACUUCAACUCUUUUCUCAAAUGGCCUUGUAUGGACUUUAUCCAUAGUGGUUUUUCCACGCGUUCUUUUAGGAACUACAACAUAAAUUACCAAAUUUCAUUUUCAGAAGGUCACGAAGCUAGAAUGAAAUUUUUUAAUAAUCAGAGGUAAAUAUAUCAAUGGUAUCAUAAUUUCCAAUCAUAGUUUCAUACUUUUUAUGUUAUUUACAAUUUAGACAAUUAUGAACAUUGAUUAAAAUGUGGAGCACAUGAUUUAAUUUUUAAAAAAUAAAUGCUGACCUUCUUCAACCGUGUCUUCAUUAUCAGGCAUUUCAUUGUCACCAUUUGCGACAUCAGCUUCCUCAUUUCCAUUUCCGCUUCCAUUUCCACUAGCAUGUACAACUUUCUUCUUGGCACCUUCUUCCUUUUGACGUGCCCGCAUAGCCAAAUGUGCCGCCAUUGAUCCUACAGCUUCAUUCUGAGGCAGCUGGAUUGGUGCAGCAGGUUUAACAAGAUUUGGAAGGCUUGCUUCCUUGUCUGUUCCAUCCUUUUGAGGAUCAUUUACAACUGUGGACCGUGAACGAGUAGUUGGUCCACCAGGAAGCUUCAUCUUCAAUGGUUUUUUGUUUCUCUACAAUGUACAUAUGAGACAUGAUUUAAUUAAAUCUAUUAUAAUAUAUCUGUUAUAUGUAAAUAGUAGAAAUAAAUAGAGGCUCGAUCAUACUUACUUUCAUAUAUAUAUAUAUAUAUAUAUGCAACUAAUAGCGAUUCAUGAUACUAUAAACAGUACGUACCUUUUUUGGUAUUUCAGCAAUAUCAUCCACAACAUCAUCUUCGUCUCCCGGAUUAUAUUCUGAGCCUUCCUCUGGAGCUUUCUCUUUUUGUUUACUUUUUUUGUUCAUUUCAUUUUGGAUGUUGGCUGCUAGUGUAGGCAAGCCUAACAUCUUGUACACCUGAUCAUUCAAAAUCACAUUGACAAGUCUUUCUCUCUCAUAGUCUGUUAUCGGAGGUGGGGGAGGGAGCACCUACAACAAAACAAGAUGCCAUAGUAAGGAAACAUCUACUUAAAAACUAAAAUAAUUCAUGAAAUGAAAAAUAAUCAAGAAACUAAAGUCUUACUUCAUUUUGUGCAACAUAUACAGACUCUCCCAUUUCUUCAUCUUGAUUUGGUGGGUUGUAUAAAUCCAAUUUCCUCUUAACACUUGCUUUGUGGAGAUUCACAGUAUCAUUUUCUACGUCUUGAACAUUGUCUUUCCUUGCUGGUCUCUGACGACUCUGGACUUCUUGAUUAUUCCGCCGUGUCGGCUUCAAAGGACUGUUGCCCUGUAGAUGAUUGAGCCGUGCUGAUCUCCGAGGACUGUUGUUGUUGACUUCAGUUGCUUUCUUUGCUUUCUGUUGCUGGAGUUGGUGGUCACAAAUGUUCGUCUCUUAUGAUUUUUGGCUGCAAGAAAAUAGUAAGCAUGGCAGUAAGGAAGUGGACAAGCAAUCAUAAAUAUAUAAGAAAAUGGUACAAAUGCUGAAAAUAUGACUAUAAAGUAGAAAAUUACGCCUUACAAAAAGAGGAGCAAGAAUACCUCCAAAUAAAUUUGGCCUUGGUCGCAUGACCACAUGUGGUUGCAUCUGUUUCAUAGGCUCGAUGGUAUUAUCGACGACAUUGUCGAUAUAAAAAUCCAUGUGAUCACCAACUUUCACUCCUUUAACUAACUCAGACAGAUCUGCAUCAUUUCCACAUAAUUUCCAGCCACCUUUGCUUGUAUAAAUCCCUCCAAUUUCAGAGUACUUAAGGUCAUCUUUAACAAACUCCAUCAGAACUGUAUAAGAAAACCUAUCAAGUUCUACAUGCAUAAACACAGUCUCCUCUCCACCAACAUAGCGAUUGUUGUGAAAUUUCCCCUUGUGAUAGAACCUGAGAUGCACAGUGUCUUCCAUCCUGCACAAAAUAGGGAGAAAUUUUUAUCAGAAUCAUGAUUAAAACUAUGCAAAUAAACGGAAUUGUGGAAAAUAAACAGAAUCUUGUGUAAACUAACAGUAAAUUUGAAGUACAAAUAGUACAUAAUUAUGCCCAAAUUUUGUGCAGAACCACAGAAAUUAAGAAAUAAUGUAGAACCACAAAAAUUAUCCAAAUUCAUUAAUAUUUGAUUCAUUGAUACAACAAAAAAAUAUCAGCACACUUUUUCCUAUUUAAUUAUAUAUAGUUCAUGUAAUACUAGGAAACAUUUUCUUGGCCUUGACUAGGAGGAAUACGAAUUUGUGUUAUCGGAACGUCAUCUCUACUCCACUGAACUUCAUUAACUUCAUUCUCCAAGUUCAAAACAGGAUCAUGUCGACUUUCUUCAUUUGCUUCUGCACUCUCAACCUCACACCAGUCUCUUGGCAGUUUUUUGAUAACAUUGUGGCAUGUCUUAUCAACUGGAUCUUCUAAAUAAAAGAUUUGCUGCACUUGUGAAGCUAAGACAUACGGAUCUGAUUUUUGGCACAAUCUUUUAAAAUUAACCCGAGUCAUGCCAUAUAUAUCUCUCUCUUCUUGGUACCAACAACACUUGAAUAAAACCACAGUAAAAUCUCCCCAAUAAUCAAGUUCCAGUAUUUCUUCUAUUGCGCCAUAGUAGCUGACUUCACUGACUAUUGGAUUUUGAUCUCUUGAAUUUGCAAAGCUUGUUGUCACAGCACUUAAAAAUACACCACUAUUCUGUGUUGUACAUUUGGCAUCUCUAAACUUAGUAUGGAAUCUAUAUCCAUUAAUGACAUAUCCCGUAUAUUUUUUAGCUGUUGGAUUAGGACCCAUUGCAAGAACUUGUAGUUCUUGUGAAACAUUUUCUUUUUUCCCGACUACUUCUUUUAACCAAUUCCAAAAUUCAUCAGCAUGCAUUCUCUCCCGUUUAUAUCUUUUUGACAGAACAUUGCCCUCAACUAAAGCUCGAUGUUCCCUACAACAAAUAGCAAGUCAAUAAAAAACAAAAUAUAUAUCCUAAAUAUUCUGUUCUAACUAAAUUAAAACUGAAACUUAAAGACUUACAGAAUCAAAGUUUCUAUCUCCUUGUUACCACAAUUAAAAAGAAAGUACCGAUGACAUUCCAAUAAUUGAGAUUCUUUUAGAUGGAUAGUUUUUCCAUCUUUAUUUCUUCUUGUGCCAAUUGGAUAUUCCAGAUUUUGUUUGGCAAGACAUUUGCUACUUUUUAUAGCUCCAUCAUUACCUAAGAAUCUGGAGCAGAAUGUUAAACAUUCUUCGGAUAGAUAACCCUCAGCUAUGGAAGCCUCUGGUUUACUCCUAUUUUUGAGGUAUGAUUUCAACUUACAAAGGUAACGCUCGAUUGACCACAUGCACCGGACAUGUGCUGGUCCCCCAUACUCAACUUCUUUGCAUAAGUGAACAGGCAAGUGCACCAUUAUAUCAAAGAAAGAUUGUACAAAUUAAAUAUCAUCUCAAAAUUACAAAGAAUUUCGAUGAUUUCUUGUUGCAGCCUCUUGACAUCGUUCAAAUCAAUCACUUUUCCCCAAAGUCCUCUCAAGAAUGCACCUAAUCUAAUUAAGGGCGCUGCUACUUCAGGUUUUAAUGUUCUCUUCACAGCAAACUCUAACAAGUAGGGUAAAAUGAAAUGUGCGUCGUGACUCUUAUACCCUGUAAUUUUCCUCUCUUUCGUAUGCACAUAUCGCCUGAUAUUGGAUGCACAGCCGUACGGCAAUUUUGCAUUUUCCAAAACUGAACAAAAUAUUUCUUUUUCUUUAUUUGUCAUAUCAAAUAUGGCUGCCCUGAUCUCGAGGGUUUCGCCAUCACUUGACAGAAUCGGAUGCAGCUCCUUCCUGAUGCCUAAUUCUUGAAGAUCCAACCGAGCAUUGAGAUGGUCUUUCGACUUCCCGCCCAUAUUUAACAAAGUACCAAGUAUGUUAUCACAUAGAUUUUUUUCUAUGUGCAUAACAUCAAGGUUAUGCCGACACAUAUUUUGACUCCAGUACGGUAAAUCAAAAAAAAUCGACUUUUUCUUAAAAGGAGAAUUUUUUAUUUUGUUGCUGCCCCUCUUCCUCUUAUCACCAAAUUCAUUCUGAAAUCCAAUCAAUAAUUCUUCAACAUCUGUCCCGGCUAAGAUUGGAGGUGCGGUUCCCAUUUCAAUUUCACCAUUGAACCGUUUUUUAUCAAACCUCCAUUUGUGGUCAGGCUCUAGAAAUUUCCUAUGGUUCAUGUAGCACAUUUUCCUACUGUGUUUCAAGUACAUUGAAGACGUCUCGUAAUGACAUACAGGACACGCUAAUUUACCCUUGGUGCUCCAACCGGAUAACAUCGCGUAUCCCGGAAAGUCACUAAUGGUCCACAAAACACAAGCACGUAAAAUAAAGUUUUCAUUAGCAAAAGCAUCGUAAGUCUCAAUCCCAAUAUCCCACAAAUCUUUUAACUAGGCGAUAAGAGGCUUCAUAUAAACAUCAAUACUGUUCUUAGGAGAUUCCGGGCCAGAGAUCAAUGUGGAAAGUAUUAAGUUUUCAGGUUUCAUGCAUAACCAAGGGGGGAGAUUGUAGUUUACUAAUACAAUGGGCCAAGUGCUAUGAGAUAUACUCAUUGUACGAUAUGGACUAAAACCAUCAGCUGCUAGUCCUAACCUAAUAUUUCUCUUUUCUGAUGAAAAAUGAGGAUAAUUGGCAUCUAAUACUUUCCAGGCCUCGGCAUCAGCAGGAUGCCUCAGUUUUCCAUCAUUUUUCCUUUGUGAUGAAUGCCAUAUCAUAAGUUCUGAGUAGUCCUUCGACAUAAAUAGCCUUUGUAGCCUCGGUUUUAGUGGAAAGUAACGCAUAAUUUUUGCGGGAACUUUGUGAAUCAGCUUCUCUGGAUCACUGUCACAAGUACCAUUCUUUUCCACUACAACUCAUCUGGAGGCACCACAAGUUUUGCAGAUAUCUUCCUUUUCAUCCCCACCCCAAAAAAGCAUACAAUUGUUUGGACACGCAUGGAUUUUUUUGUAAUCCAGACCUAAAUCUCUAAUAACGUUCUUAGCAGCAUUGAAGGAUAGAGGGAUGUGGGCCUGUGGAAAGGCCUCUUUGAUUAACUCUAGUAAAGAACCAAAGGCAGACUCGGUCAUUCCAUGUACACAUUUUAAGGAAUAAAGCCUAAUAAGGAAACUUAAACGUGUAAAAUUUUUACAGCCUUGAUAUAAUGGUUGUUUUCCAUCUUCAACAAGGCGAUAAAAUCUUUGAGCUUCCUCAUUUGGUAAUUUUGAUUUAUCUUCAUAGUUGUGUGUACGGUGUAACAUAUCAGCAAUGUUAUCUCCUAAAUCUAUACCACCAUCAGACUCCAUAUUUUCAUCACUACCUAAACAUUGAUUCGACACUUCACAAAUCCAUUUCACAUAUAGUGGAGACGGACCAUUAUAAAUCAGAUGGUCAUAAAUCACGUCUUCACGACGCCACCUCUGGUUAUUACAGUUUCUGCAGGGACAUGUAAUUUCAUCACCUACCGCAAAUCUAGAAAAUGCAUUGCCUAAAAAUGCUCUGAUCCCCCUAAUAUAUUCUUCGCUGAACUUUGGAAGUUUUAUCCAGCCUUCCAUCACUACCUUUAUGACCAAAAUAUAUUAGUAUCAUAAUAUAUAUUUGUUUAUUUAAUUAUGGAUACCAAAAGAUACUUGUAAAUUUGUAACUAACAGAGCAUGACUUGGCUAUUUAAUGGAACUAAGGACCACUGUCGCGUCUAUAUAAAACUAUAACUUACAAACAAAAUACAAAGUUUAACAGAGAGCAUGUAGACAUCCAUUAUACACUAUACAAAAAUAGUCAGACAUUAUACAUACCAUUAAUUAAAGAUUUAAAACAGAGAGAGAUAGAAGAAGGGGGAGAGAAAGGUAGGGAGGGACUGAGUGAGACAUGAGGGGGAGAGAGAGGUAGAGAGAGGGAAAGGAGAUGGGGAGGGGGAGAAAGAGAGAGAGAUGGGAGGUACAGAGAGAGAUAGAGGGAGGGAGGGAGAGAGAGAGAGAUGGAGAGCGAGAGAGAGAGGGAGAGAGAGAGGGGAGAGAGAGAGGGAGGGAGAGAGAGAGAGGGCCAGAGAGAGAGGGGGCCNAGAGAGGGAGGGAGAGAGAGAGAGGGGGCCAGAGAGAGCGAGGGAGAGAGAGAGAGCAAACACAUACAUUAUCUCAAUCUCUACAGAUACAAAAUCAAAAUCCAUAGAUGCAAAUGAAGAGGUUAAAUAAAGAAUAAUACCUGAUAAUAGCCCUAAUAUUUCAGCUCGAUUUGAGAAUCCCGAGUUGAUUUCACCCCAAUCAGAACUCUAAUUGAAGAAAAGAUCUUGAGCUUGAACCCUAAUCUCGAGCUUCACCUUCAACACUAAUCUCGAUCGAGCUUCACCUUAAAUCGUACCCUAGUCUCGAGCAGUGUGCAUCGCGAGCUUUGGUUUUGUGUUUCUGUGGUUUUGUGUUUGUGUAAGAGAAAAGGUAUGUGUAUUGUGUAGUUCAAUUAUUUCACCAAGACAGAGGCGGCAAAUUGUCCCGCUUCUAACACCCCAAAAGCAAUCUGCCUCCCUUCUCCCAAACACCUCUUUUUUUGUUUUUUUUUUCAUUUUUAAUUUUUAUAUAUAUUUUCACUAAUUUAUUUAUUCAAAACAAAUUUUCCACAAAAACGAUAUACUUUGAUAUAAUAAUAAAUUUAUAUUUUUUAAAAAAAGUAUUUUUGUUUAAUUUUGUGUGAAAUAGUAUUUUUAAAUUUUAUUCCAAUAAUUAUCAUUUUAAUUUUAUUAGCAUGACGUAUUUUAAAAUUAUUUAAAUAACAAAAUUUUAUAAAAAUAAUUUUACUCGCCUUAAUACCGACUUUGCGUUAAAAUAUUUAUUUUAUUUUUUUUUGGACUUUGUUUAAUUUUAUGAUCACUAAUUGUUCUCUUUAUAAUUUUUAAUUAAAUUACAUUUAGUUAGAAUAUUGAGGCAACAAAUUUUAAGUGUUGCAAUCUACAACAUUUCUUAGAGCUACGAGAACGUCGUGUAUACAAGUCAGCAACAUCAAAAGACCAAUGUUGCCGUAGAUAAAAAUUUUGGAGCUAUUACAACAUUUUUCAGUGCAACACACAAUUUUGGGGUUGCGUAAGUGCAUCUAUGGUGUAGUGGCAUAUUCAAGGAAUAUUCUCUUAUCUUCCUCUAUAAAUAUCCUUUACCAGUUUAUUUCGCACGUACAAUCGUUUUGUCAGUUUCUCUGCACGAAUACCGAGAGAAGACGAACGGGUGUUCUUCGUGUUCUUCAUAUUCAAACGAGGAUUUGAAGGCGUUAUUGGAAUCCGAUGGAGGCGUAUGAAUAGUCAAAACGAAGCUCUCGACGCGUAGAAUCUAUUGUAGUCAUCAAUAUCAGUGCUGAAUCGACAGGUUUUUGCUAAAUAAGCUUUUUAAAUUCGAAUUAUAUUAUUUCAAAGGAUGAAUUUUCGUAAACGAUCUUGUUUCUAUGAUUUGAUGAUUCCAUGUUGUAGAGCAUCUCCUGCCAUUCGUUUUCAUAUAUUAUAUGUCGAUUUUUGACUUCCAUAUCAUAUAGAAAAGUUGGUUUGAUUCUUGAAUUGGUGUUCUUGAGUGUUCUUCGUAGUUUAUGAAUGUUUUCAAUUGCGAAUUGGGCGUUUUUAAUCUAGGAAACUAGAGGAUGUGUGGUUGGUACCAUUAGAAAGAGCGUGAGGAGAGGAGUAUGUUCAUGCCACCCAAUUGACCGGACGACCCCCGUAGAGGUCGCCGGAAUCUGGAAAUCGUGGCGGCGGCGACGAACUUUGGCUGCGAAUUCCGGCCAAAACUCACGUUGUUUGAUGAUUAUAAUUGUUGAAACGUGUUCCUGGUGAGUAGUAUUGUAUAUCUGCAGUUUUUGGAGCGUGAUGGAGUUCAGAAUCGCCGUCUCCGGCGAGUCAGAGGCCGCCGGCGGUGAAAAUUACAGUUUAAUACCCGUAGUUUUGAAGAUGGUGAAAACUUGGUACUCUAGUUUAUGUUUUGACAUUUGAUCCCCUGUAACUUCUUAAAGUUACAGUUUAUACCCCGGAUGAAAACUUUCAAAAGUUUACAAAAUAAACCUUUUGAUUUAAUUUUCUAAAAUUGUUUUAUUUAAUUAUUUUAAAUUCCAAAAAUAGUUUUUAAUUAUUUCUUUAUUCAAAAAUAAAUCUAAAUUAGUUUCUUAAUUAAUUUUAAUUAGUAAUUAAUUAUUUUAAUUGGUCAAUUAAUUUAAAUAUUAAUUGAUUAAUUAAUUUAGUUAAUUAUUAAUUGAUUUUAAUUGAUUAAUUAAUUGGAUUUAAUUGUUCCUUUUGAUUUAAAAAUUCUGGAAAAUAGUUUCGAGCUUUGAAUUAUUUUUCUAAAAUAUGUUUGAGGCUCGUUAAUUGAUUUCAAAUGAUUUUGGACCCGAUCUUGAGCAAUCGGACUUGAUUAUUUAUUCAAAAAUGGAUUCUUUUACCUGUUUUAAUUCCGAAAAAUGUCUAGAAAUUCCAGAAAAUUCCUGAAAAAUCAUUUUUAACCUGAGACUUGAUUUGACAUCAAUUGGGAUGGGAAACCUUAUAUGAAAAAUGUUGUCUGCUAUCUGUUUGAUAUGUUAUGAACCGAUGGGAGAGUUAGAAAACGGUUUUGCUCAUAACUUUUGACUCGUAAUUCAGAAUGGAGUGAAACGAAAAAGAGAUUAAAGCUUAUAAAGUCUAUUUUAAUGUGACAUAAUAAUAUGGUGGAGUAUAGAAUGUGAAUAAUUGUUGUUAAAUGUAUAGAAUAUGAUUAUAUGUGAUCUAAUUGCUAUUAAUUGAUGAUUGCAUGGACUAUCUGGUUGUUCUAGUAUUACAUACAGGUGAUAAAUGAUUAAAUGACAUAGUGUCGUGUCUUGAUAGGUGUCGGAUAAAAGCAUAUGGAUUAUAGUGAUUGGAUUUGGUUGGUUGAUUGUUGAUUGAGAUAGGAUAACAGGUGGAUAGUCUAAUAAAUAGACGAGACGAUGUCGGAUUUUCGAUAAGAUUUAUAUGAUAUUUAAUUGAUAAUAUGUUAUGUGAAAUAUGAUUAGACUAUAUGGUAGAGUCAAAGCAUGAUUAUGUGUUAAGUGAUAUUUGACGAGUUUAAAGAGUUGUAUAAGUGGGUAUCGAUAUACGUGAUAUGUGUAUGCGAUAGGUUAUGCUACCGAAUUGAUAAGUAGAGAUAAGAAUCAAUAGAUUAUUUAGUGAUAAUGGUAGUAUCUUAUUCUCGUAAAGGGUUUGGACGAGACGGAUACGAUCGAAGACGUUCAGAAGAUCAAACGAUGUUACAAAGCGAAUAAGGAACGAAUCGAGUAAACGAAGCAGUGUGGCGAAUAGAGUAUAGCCAAAGAUGGUCUAGAGACUAUGAUAUGCAUAGAGUGUGAAAGUGGAAAGAUGAGAUUGAGAUAUGAGACUGGAGUCGGAUUUAAGGCAAGUUUUCCUAAAUCCUUCCUCAUAUAUAUAUAUUGCAUGUUCUGAUUAUUCUGUCAAGAUUAUGAUACUGUUUAUACUAAAACCCUUCUUAAAUAAACUCUUACUUCUGAGAAUGGAACCCACGAUUGUUUUCUUCUUCCAAGUUUUAAAAAGCCAAACACCUAAUUACUCUUAAUUUCUAUUCUGAUCCAUUCUUUCUAAUCCUCAAGAUUUUAAAUAUACCAGCUUUACAAGUUAAUUCGAAGUUCCGACCGUCACUGAAGCAUGUGUUGCUUAGUGAUAGUUAGAGCCUAGAAUGAAAUGGGAUCUUCUUGAUUAUUCAACCCGCCAUUGUCAUGCUGGUUUAGCAGGCUAAAUUCAGUUGCUUAGCCGAUAAUGGAGGAUACUGAAUAGUUAGGAAUUUCCUGAACUAUGAUUUAUCAAAGGACGAACUGUGGUUUAUGAAAUGUUGAUUCUCAAAAGUUCAUUUGGAAUUAUUCUGUUAUUGAAGAUGAUUAUGAUUCUGUUCUGUUGAUUGAAUUGUCUGUUGAUUUUAAAUUGUUAGAAUUGGAUUAGUUUUUUUAUAAAAUAUGUGGACCAGAUUCGUGGUCAGACCAGAUUCGUGGUCAAUUAUAGGCCAAUGUGUGCCUUGGAUCCAGUAUAGAGAACAGGGCUGUGUGCCAUGUUCGGGGUUAGUGCGUGACUGAUCAGCAGCCUAACCUUUGGUUUUUAAGUAAAAAUGUGAUGAAUCCAAUUCGACAAUUCUUCUGUAAGUUUGAAAUUCUAAUUUCAAUUGCUGAUAAGAAUUGUGAAGUUUUCAAUUACAUAUCCUGAACUUGUGAACCCUGAUAAAAUAUUUCAGGACUAUUGUUGCUUAUAUACACUUGCUGAGCAUUGUUGCUCACCCUUGCUAUUCUUCUUUUUAACCAUUUCAGAAAAGCUUAAAGAUGAGUUGCUUAAUUGAGAUUGCGAGUAUGGCUAAGGCUAAGCGAGGAAUCAGAGUUAUAGAAUAUCCAGAGGACAAGUGGAAUGUCCAUAGAGAUUGUCAAGGUGGGUUCAAAAUAGAAUUCUAUUGAUGAGAUUCAAUUGUAAGUCAUAAUUGAAAUAGAUUGACAGUGAUUCUUCUUAUCGAAGAUGAUCUGAGUUUGGAAGACAUUGUUUAUUGCUAGAGGUUGAUUCUAAUUUCAAUACUGUAACCUGGAUGCGAUCCUGUUUUUAAGGGGUAAAGUGUUUUCUUUUAAAUCUUUUAUUAAAUUUUUCAAGUUUUAAAUCCUUUGAUUUUAUUACCUUUUUAAGAAAAUGCAGGUUUUCAAAAGUGUUUAAAAUGGUUUUGUAUGGUGACGUCAGAAUCCAGACCCCCGGAUUUGGCCUAUAAAUAGACCAAGGAUGAGAGGCUUAAGGAUCUUCUUCUCCACACUCUCAUAUUUCUCACACACUCUAAGCCACCAUACACAGCAGCCAUACACCUUCACCCACCACACAUAGAUAGCUCAUUUCCCGUCUAUAUAUUUUCCGACGCCUGUACUCAUUCUCACGCCGGAGGCGCCGCGGGGCUCAAACCCCCCUUCGGUGUUGUUUUGCAGACACCCGUCCAGCAGCUACACCGCAAGACACCAGUACACGGCGGAGGAAGCACCAGAACGGGAUUUGGCGUUAUCAUUUGGCGCUAGAAGGAGGGGGAGGUUGUAUUCUCCGUCCUGUGGUCACGGUGCCACCGGACUCAUCUUCAUCAGCAAACUCCCGAAAAGGGAGUCCCGAUUUAACCCUGUAAGCUUCAAAAUGCACUCAAAUCUCUCAAAACCCUAUCAGCCAUGAUUCUCUUUGUUGUGUGCAUGUUAGCAAACCCUGUCUAGAAGCACCCUAACUUUGUCUGUAGUACAUCAAGACACCUUGUCCUGUAGUCCCUUACACCUUUGUCAUUUAACUAUUUCUAGCAUUUCUUGAAGUAGUAAGUUGACUAUCUGCCUACACUAUUUCUAUCAUUCCACUAUUGUCUAUAAUGCACACAUACACUUUCACCAAAAAGCAAGCAUACUCCCUGGGUAGUUCUUGUUUAAAUCGUUCACUAUAAUCAUGACAAGAGGUGGAAAAACCCAAACCCAAUCAACCCGAUCCUAGCAGUUCAACCCGGUGGACCAGGGCAAUCCACAUCAGGAUCUCAUCUCUAAAUCACUCUUGACCGGGAUCAAUCCAGAAGAGACCCGGAUCAACCUAGACGAUGCCCGGGUCACAAUUGAAAUGAACCAGUUAAGUGCAUCAAUGUCCCGAUGACCGCAGACCAUGUUACAUAUCUAACCAACAUAGAGUUGGCCGAAGCAAUCCGGUUAUACCAGGAACAACGAGCCGAGAACCUCAAAGGACCCGGGUUGAUUGCUGAUUUUGAAGACUUUGAAAAUUCCCGCCAAUCCCGGGGUUCCGUUUUUGACCGGAUUGGUGACAAAGUAAGGAAAAAGAAGUAGAGAAAAAGUGAUGCCACAAGGCGAAAGAUCCUGGCCAAAAAAAAAAAGAAAAAAAAGAACACAUCCGGAGGGAAGAAGGAGAAAAGCUAGAGCAGAAAAUUCAAAGAAGGAUCCAGCUAGAAGAAUAAAGGCUUAUGAGCAAGUCCCGUUUCAAUCAUGAUCUAUCUCUUACUUGGAAUUUUUUUUUCCAAGGCAAACAAACAAAAAGCUACCCCGGUUCAAUCAUGACUAUCUCUUACUUGGAAAAUUUUUUCUAAGGCAAAAAACCAAAAGCUACCCGGGAUCAAUUUUGAGUUAUCUCUUGUAAAAAUUUUCCAAGGCAAAAACCAAAAGCUACCCCGGUUCAAUUUUGAGCUAUCUCUUACUUGGAAAAUAUUUUUUAAGGCAAACAAGCAAAACCAACCCCGGUCCAGUUAUGACCUAUCUCUUACUUAAAAAAAAUUCAUGAAAAAUUUUCUAAGGCAUAAAGCAAAUGCUACCCCGGUCCAGUUAUGAUUUAUCUCUACUUAGAAAAAUUUUCCAAGGCAAAAACCAAAAUCUACCCCGGUUCAAUUUUGAGCUAUCUCUUACUUGGAAAAAUUUUUCGAAGGCAAAAAAGCAAAAGCUACCCGGGUUCAAUCAUGAGCUAUCUCUUACUUGGAAAAAGUUUUCUAAGGCAAACAAGCAAAAGCUACCCCGGUCCAGUUAUGAUUUAUCUCUACUUAGAAAAAUUUUCCAAGGCAAAAACCAAAAGCUACCCCGGUUCGAUUUUGAGCUAUCUCUUACUGGGAAAAAAUUUUCUAAGGCAAACAAGCAAAAGCUACCCCGGUCUAGUUAUGACCUAUCUCUUACUUUAAAAAGUUUUCAGUUUUUCAAAAAAAUUUCUUAGGCAAAAAAGCAAAAGCUACCCCGAUUCAAUUUUGAGCUAUCUCUUACUUGGAAAAAAUUUUCUAAGGCAAACAAGCAAAAGCUACCCUGGUCCAGUUAUGACCUAUCUCUUACUUAAAAAAAAAUUCAUGAAAAUUUUUCUAAGGCAUCAAGCAAAUGCUACCCCGGUCCAGUUAUGAUUUAUCUCUACUUAGAAAAAUUUUCCAAGGCAAAAACCAAAAGCUAACCCGGUUCGAUUUUGAGCUAUCUCUUUCUGGGAAAAAAUUUUCUAAGGCAAACAAGCAAAAGCUACCCGGGUUCAAUCAUCUUACUUAGAAAAAUUUUCUAAGGCAUAAUGCAAAUGCUACCCCGGUCCAGUUAUGACCUAUCUCUACUUAGAAAAAUUUUCCAAGGCAAAAACCAAAAGCUACCCCGGUUCAAUUUUGAGCUAUCUCUUACUUAGAAAUUUUUUUUUUAAGGCAAACAAGCAAAAGCCACCCGGGUUCAAUCAUGAGUUAUCUCUUACUUAGAAAAAUUUUUCCAAGGCAAACAAGCAAAAGCUACCCGGGUUCAAUCAUGAGCUAUCUCUUACUUGGAAAACAUUUUCUAAGGCAAACAAGCAAAAGCUACCCCGGUCUAGUUAUGACCUAUCUCUUACUUAGAAAAAAAUUCUUGAAAAAAUUUUCUAAGGCAAAAAAGCAAAAGCUACCCCGGUCUAGUUAUGACCUAUCUCUUACUCAGAAAAAAAUUCUUAAAAAAAAUUUUCGAAGGCAAAAAACCAAAAGCCACCCGGGAUCAAUUUUGAGUUUUCUCUUGCAAAAAUUUUCCAAGGCAAAAACCAAAAGCUACCCCGGUUCAAUUUUGAGCAAUCUCUUACUUGGAAAAAUUUUUCGAAGGCAAAAAAGCAAAAGCUACCCGGGUUCAAUCAUCUUACUUAGAAAAAUUUUCCAAGGCAAAAUCCAAAAGCUACCCCGGUCCAGUUAUGAUUUAUCUCUACUUAGAAAAAUUUUCCAAGGCAAAAACCAAAAGCUACCCCGCUUCAAUUUUGAGCUAUCUCUUACUUGGAAAAAAUUUUCUAAGGCAAACAAGCAAAAUCUACCCGGGUUCAAUCAUCUUACUUAGAAAAAUUUUCUAAGGCAUAAUGCAAAUGCUACCCCGGUCCAGUUAUGACCUAUCUCUACUUAGAAAAAUUUUCCAAGGCAAAAACCAAAAGCUACCCCGGUUCAAUUUUGAGCUAUCUCUUACUUGGAAAAUUUUUUCCAAGGCAAACAAGCAAAAGCUACCCGGGUUCAAUCAUGAGCUAACUCUUACUUGGAAAAUUUUUUCCAAGGCAAACAAGCAAAAGCUACCCCGGUCCAGUUAUGACCUAUCUCUUACUUAGAAAAAUUUUCUAAGGCAUAAAGCAAAAGCUACCCCGGUCCAGUUAUGACCUAUCUCUUACUUAGAAAAAUUUUUCGAAAAAUUUUCCAAGGCAAAAUAGCAAAAGUUACCCCGGUCCAGUUAUGACCUAUCUCUUACUUAGAAAAAUUUUUUAAGGCAUAAAGCAAAAGCUACCCCGGUCCAGUUAUGAUCUAUCUCUUACUUGAAAAAAAAAAUCUAAGGCAAACAAGCAAAAGCUACCCGGGUAGCAAUUCCGUCCGGACUCAUGUCAAGCAAUCACUUCCGGACUAAUGUCAAGCAAUCCCGUGAGGACUAAUGUUAAGCAAUCCCGUCCGGACUCAUGUCAAGCAAUCCCGUCCGGACUCAUGUCAAGCAAUCCCGUCAGGACUCAUGUCAAGCAAUCUCGUCCGAACUCAUUCAUACUCUAUUACUUAGAAACCAUCUAUAGCGACCCGGAUCAGAUGACGACAGCAAAAACCUCCCCUUGUCCGGACCAACCCGGACCAAAGGCAAAAAGCAAAAUCUCACCUCUUGUCCGGAUCAACCCGGACUGGGGGGCAAAAAGCAAAGCUUCACCUCUUGUCCGGAUUAACCUGGAUUGGGGGGCAAAAGAAUACUUAUACCCCUAGUCCAUAUCAACCCAGAUCAGGGUGCAACAGAAACUUACUACUCCUAGUCCAGAUCAGUCCGAAUUAAGGAGCCGUGGCAAAUUUUUACUCCUACUCCAUUCUCGUCCAGAUCGAAGACAAGAUUCGCAUUAUUCCCUACUCCCUCACACAGAAAAUCUGUAUAAGGGAGUGGGGGGCAAAUGAUAGUAUAUAAUCCAACCCGGCCGUAUUCUCAAGGUCCUUGGCCAAGUCUGGUCCAGACUCAGCACAACACCGGGAGGAAUUCGGCCCAGCGGAGAAUAAUCCACCCACUCCAGAACAUGAAUCCGGAUUGGUGAGAAUAGUUCAACCAUGUCCUGACAAGUAUCCCAAUCCGGAUUGNNNNNNNNNNNNNNNNNNNNNNNNNNNNNNNNNNNNNNNNNNNNNNNNNNNNNNNNNNNNNNNNNNNNNNNNNNNNNNNNNNNNNNNNNNNNNNNNNNNNNNNNNNNNNNNNNNNNNNNNNNNNNNNNNNNNNNNNNNNNNNNNNNNNNNNNNNNNNNNNNNNNNNNNNNNNNNNNNNNNNNNNNNNNNNNNNNNNNNNNNNNNNNNNNNNNNNNNNNNNNNNNNNNNNNNNNNNNNNNNNNNNNNNNNNNNNNNNNNNNNNNNNNNNNNNNNNNNNNNNNNNNNNNNNNNNNNNNNNNNNNNNNNNNNNNNNNNNNNNNNNNNNNNNNNNNNNNNNNNNNNNNNNNNNNNNNNNNNNNNNNNNNNNNNNNNNNNNNNNNNNNNNNNNNNNNNNNNNNNNNNNNNNNNNNNNNNNNNNNNNNNNNNNNNNNNNNNNNNNNNNNNNNNNNNNNNNNNNNNNNNNNNNNNNNNNNNNNNNNNNNNNNNNNNNNNNNNNNNNNNNNNNNNNNNNNNNNNNNNNNNNNNNNNNNNNNNNNNNNNNNNNNNNNNNNNNNNNNNNNNNNNNNNNNNNNNNNNNNNNNNNNNNNNNNNNNNNNNNNNNNNNNNNNNNNNNNNNNNNNNNNNNNNNNNNNNNNNNNNNNNNNNNNNNNNNNNNNNNNNNNNNNNNNNNNNNNNNNNNNNNNNNNNNNNNNNNNNNNNNNNNNNNNNNNNNNNNNNNNNNNNNNNNNNNNNNNNNNNNNNNNNNNNNNNNNNNNNNNNNNNNNNNNNNNNNNNNNNNNNNNNNNNNNNNNNNNNNNNNNNNNNNNNNNNNNNNNNNNNNNNNNNNNNNNNNNNNNNNNNNNNNNNNNNNNNNNNNNNNNNNNNNNNNNNNNNNNNNNNNNNNNNNNNNNNNNNNNNNNNNNNNNNNNNNNNNNNNNNNNNNNNNNNNNNNNNNNNNNNNNNNNNNUAUUACAACUACUUGCCUAGAGUAGCAGCAUAGUUUACUUGAAAUAAACAUGCCAGAUUGGAGGUUUCUAUUCAUCAUAGAGGAGGAAUGAUUCCAAAUGUAUUAGAGAUUAAUUUAUCAGAAACAAUCAAGAGUCAAAAGCCUUCAUAUUUGAGAAUAAAACAGGAGUGCCUUUAGCAGAGGCGCAAAAGCAACAUCAGACAGCAAAGAUUUUCCCAUACCUUGACGAAUUCACUCUUUGCUCUAUGUCCACAUGAUGUGUUUUAAAUUUAUCAUUAAAUUUUAAUGAGUAAACUUCAGAGUUGUGUCCAAAGUUUACAUCGAUUUUCAAAACGUUGGCUAGAGUUUCAAAUUCUCAAAAAGAUGGCCAAACUUUGGCUUCGCUUUUUAAAAGUGUGGCUCCCGUUAAAUGUCACUAACGGGAGCCACUAUUUUUGAAAAGCGGACCAAAGUUUGACCUACUUUUCUCAGAAUUUGGAACUCANNNNNNNNNNNNNNNNNNNNNNNNNNNNNNNNNNNNNNNNNNNNNNNNNNNNNNNNNNNNNNNNNNNNNNNNNNNNNNNNNNNNNNNNNNNNNNNNNNNNNNNNNNNNNNNNNNNNNNNNNNNNNNNNNNNNNNNNNNNNNNNNNNNNNNNNNNNNNNNNNNNNNNNNNNNNNNNNNNNNNNNNNNNNNNNNNNNNNNNNNNNNNNNNNNNNNNNNNNNNNNNNNNNNNNNNNNNNNNNNNNNNNNNNNNNNNNNNNNNNNNNNNNNNNNNNNNNNNNNNNNNNNNNNNNNNNNNNNNNNNNNNNNNNNNNNNNNNNNNNNNNNNNNNNNNNNNNNNNNNNNNNNNNNNNNNNNNNNNNNNNNNNNNNNNNNNNNNNNNNNNNNNNNNNNNNNNNNNNNNNNNNNNNNNNNNNNNNNNNNNNNNNNNNNNNNNNNNNNNNNNNNNNNNNNNNNNNNNNNNNNNNNNNNNNNNNNNNNNNNNNNNNNNNNNNNNNNNNNNNNNNNNNNNNNNNNNNNNNNNNNNNNNNNNNNNNNNNNNNNNNNNNNNNNNNNNNNNNNNNNNNNNNNNNNNNNNNNNNNNNNNNNNNNNNNNNNNNNNNNNNNNNNNNNNNNNNNNNNNNNNNNNNNNNNNNNNNNNNNNNNNNNNNNNNNNNNNNNNNNNNNNNNNNNNNNNNNNNNNNNNNNNNNNNNNNNNNNNNNNNNNNNNNNNNNNNNNNNNNUAUAAAUAUAUUAUUAUUUAUAUAUAUAUAUAAUCGGGGUCGGGGAUCGGGGCGGGGAGACACCAAUCCCCGACCCCGCCCCAAUCCCCGAAUUUUUUAUAGAACUUUCCCCGAUCCCCGCCCCGCCCCCGAAAAAUUCCCCGAAUCCCCGACCCGAACGGGGCGGGGAUCGGAUCGGGGUCGAGCGGGGCGGGGUGAAUGCCCAUCCCUACUUUGUGACCACCAGCUUCGUAAGGUUUAGAAAGUAUUUCGACAAUUUCGUUAUACUCCUCAUCCAUGGCUCUAUUGAUUAAACGGAUAAGACUUUUUGAUUUACUUCCUCUACCAUGUUGAUAGGCUGGAUCUUCUUUUAAUAACAGUUCAACCACGUUCACGUGAUUACCCGUUACUGCCAGUUCCAAGACCGUGCAUCCCGAUUCAUCAGUUUUAUUAAAUAAACACUACUAGAAAAAGUGGAUUUAACAUCACUCAUUUAACAUCGGUUGCAAAAGCCACCGAUGUUAAAUACUUUUAUUACAUCAUAAAUAUUAAAAACGAUGUUAAACAGAGUUAACGACAUCGGUUACCAAAAUGACCGUUGUCUAAACUAAAUUUUAAAAACAAAAAAAAACACGCGCUGCUAAUAUCUCUACUUCUUUUAACAAAACAUCUCCCCCGCCUUUAACAUAUUUUCAUUCCCCCCCAAUUUUAACACUGUCUCCUCCCUCUCGACACUCCCUCUCCUCUCUCUCGACACUCCCUCUCUCUCACUCUCGACACUCCCUCUCUCUCACCAUCUACAAUCUCUUUGCUACCAUAUCCCCAAAUAUACCUCUAAUCUUAGAACCCUAACUUAUCUCACCCAAUUCUCAACCACCCAAACCCGAUUCCAAAUUACCCGAACCCUAGGUCAAAUUUUUUUGCUCGAUUCGUACUUUGUAUGCGUGUUGUUGCUGCAGUGGAAGCAUAAAUCAGUCGGUUCUCUCCCAGAUUAGUAAGAUUUAACCUAGUGUUAGUUGAUUCGUACUUUAUAUGCUUGUUUCGUCUUUCAAAUUUUAAUAGCUCUGUGCUAUUUUAACAGAUUGAAUCAAGGAGCUUUGUGUUCUUGCGGAUUUAUUGUAAGUGAGUAGUUUUAUAUAAAUGCAUGUUAGUGUUUGUGUUCCUAUAGCUCUGUGUUCUUGCCAAUGUUAGGUAUUGUCUGCUUUAACAUGUAGUUUACAUUUUAAUUUUUGAAAAAUGUUGGUGUUUGACGGAUUCUUGUAAGUGGGUCAGUAUAAAUAUGAUAUGUAUGAUGUUAGUUUUGCAGUUUGGGUGUUAGAAAAAUGAACUAGUUGUAUGAUAAUGGCUAAUGCUUGAUUUAUCUUUGUUUUAGAAAGUGUUUUUGCUCUGUGUUUGAUGGGUUGUUGUAAGUGGGUCUAAAUAAAUAUGAUAAGUAAUGCUUCAGUUUAUCACGAAGGUGAGCCUGCUUGUUGCAAGGAAUAACAAUGAGCCUGCUUGCUCUUCAAAGUGUGCACACCAAUAUAAAUAUAAGUGUCUAAUGUCUAAUGUUUCACCUCUGUGGUAUGCAGCUUUUGUUUUUUGGUCUAAUGUCUAAAUUUAAUUUAGUUUCAUGUAUGCAUUGAUUUUCUGAUUGCAGUUUAUUGCCUCAUUUUAUGAACACGUGGUUAUGCUUGAAUGUAUACUACUUGUAUUCUCUGAUUUAAAAUGUAGUUUGCAUUUUUAUUUUUUGUUGAUUGUUAAUAUUUGAUAAAUAUUCUUUUGACAGGGCCCGUGAAUCAGGUAUACUAAGCUGCAAAUAUCAAGGUAUGAUUAAACUCCUUUCACUUGUAAUUCAACUGAUAUUUUAAUUUCAAAGAAAUUAAAUGCAUUUGAAAUGUUGUUUUAACAGAUUCAAGCUCCAUUGAAGUUCAUACUUGAAGGCCUCUGCGUUUUCUGCUUGGUACAAGUAGUAAUUCACUAAUUACCUAACUUUUUAUAGAUUUGGUUUAGUAUUUGUCGCUUAAAUGUGUAAUAUUUUCUGCUGUGUAUAGUAUGUGUUGUUGUGUAUGUUUUUUUCUUUUAAAUAGUAAUAGCUCUGUGUUCCUUUAACAUAUUGAUUGUGCACAUGAUUGUGUUAAUUAGCUCUGUUAGUUGCCUUUUUAUGACUAGUCUGUGCACUUGAUUGUGUUAUUCAACCUUGGUGAUAUAUAUAUCUUGUACUUGUGAUUUAUGUAAAAGUAUAUAGGUGUUAUAAUUGUUUAAUCGUUUUGUAAUAUUAUUAGGCUAUUAAUUAGGAAAUUUGUAAUAAAUCUGUUUCUAAUAUGUUAUAUGACAAUCAGGUAGGUUGAUUUACGAAAUAUGGACAAGUCUUGGAUUUCAAAAGAUAGGGAUUCUUUAGAAUAUGAAGUGGGGGUUGAAUCUUUCUUGAUAUUUGCUGAAGAAAAUGCUAAGAAUCGUAAUAAAAUCCCUUGCCCCUGUGCACGUUGUGGGAAUUUUAAGAAGCAUUCUGUUAAAAUAAUUAGAGGUCAUUUAUAUGAAAAAGGAUUUAGUUUGGGGUAUGUUGAUUGGAUAUGGCACGGAGAAAAGUGUCCAACUAGCGAGUCAGCACCAAAGUCUUCUUUUGGUAGUAAUUCAGUCGAAAUUCCUACAUCCGAAAAUGUUGACAUAUGUGAAGCAGCGUAUGAGAGGAGUGAAUAUAUUGAUGAUUCGGGUGAGUUUAGUAGGUUUGUCGCUGAUGCAGAACAACCGUUAUACGAGGGUAGCGACAACAGCAAAUUAGAGUCGAUGUUGAAAUUACAUAAUUGGAAAUCUAGGUUUGGCAUAAGCGAUAGUGCCUUCACCGAUCUUCUUUCUUCUGUAGGGUCUUUACUGCCUAAAGACCAUGUGUUACCCGAGAAUGCGUAUGAAGCAAAAAAAACCCUAACUGAUUUAGGACUUGAGUAUAUUAAGUUUCACGCGUGUCCAAAUGAUUGUAUACUGUACGCGUGUUCAUUACUUUUGUUUCAUGAGUUUGGUGAUCAUGCCAAAAUAGUUGGUUUGAAAUUAUGUCACGGCAAUUGUGGACUCUCGGGAGAAUCGAUGACUGCAUCUUUGAUGCACUGCUAGUACUAGUCCAUCUGAGAAUUCUUAAUUGGAUAGUUGUAAAUAGCCCCAGGGCUAUGGAACAAAGGAUUAUCCCGGACCUACGCCGAGGUAUUGUAUUGACGGUGAUUUUCAAAUCUCGCAGAACAGGAUGUGAUACGAUGAGAUAGAAUGCAAUAGAAACAUAUGGAUUACCAAAUUCGUAAUCCAUAUGUUUUGAAAGCGAGCCCUUUUCUUUUAUUCUUAAUUCUUUAAUUCAGAAUGAAUCAAAUCUCCCCAGGUAGGAUUCGAACCUACGACCAGUCAGUUAACAGCCGACCGCUCUACCACUGAGCUACUGAGGAAUAACGAGAGAUUCGAUCUCAUAGAGUUCAUUCUCGUUCUCAACCCAUGACCAAUAUGAGCUCGAAGCUUCUUUCGUAACUUUAUAAAAAGAUGUUGUUAAUUCCCCUAUAAAACAUCAUUUUUCAUACAAAAACGUUGUAAAUAAAUAUCUUUUAAAUCAGUAGAGGAAACAAAACCGAUGUAACUUUCAUACGAACUUAACAGGGCGAUGUAAAUUACACUCAAUCAAAUCGGAACUAUUUUAGAAACCGAUGUUAUAAACUACUUUUACAUCACCCCUUUCACAGAUACGAUGUAACACAUCUCAUUUACAUCACCUCCUUUUACAGACACGAUGUAAUAAACCACAAUUAAAUCAGGUCAGGGAAGAAACCGAUGUACUAUAGCUCAUUUACAUCACUUCUUACACGAACACGAUGUAAGUAAUAUAUUUCACAUCAUUUAUUUAUCAAUAUUCGAUGUCUUUAUCUUCAUAAGUCCUACAUGGAAUGUGUUUAACAUGUUCUACUACUCAAACUAUAUAGAAUUCCUAAAAGAAAUGAUGCAAUAACUGUAAAAAAGCAAUUUAAAUACAUCGUUUUUCUAAAAAAAAUUAAUGUCUGAGAGAAUAUAAGACAUCGGUUUAAAACCGAUGUCUAAACUGCGGACCUUUUACAUCGGCGGCAUAUACAUCGCUCUGUUUUUUCUCAGACAUCGGUUUUUAGCCGAUGUCUAUUAGCUUUUUUCUAGUAGUGAAAGCUUCAAAACUUAGAUGUGGUUCAUCCUGCCGAGUACUCCAACGUUUGGCUACAUUGAUGAUCAUGCUGAUCAUAUCUUCAUGUUUUUCCUUGGCUGCAAAUCAAGUGCAAAUAUUAAUUGUACACUAUUACUUAUUUUUUUCUCUUUACUAGAUUUACAUUAAAAAAAUUUAUACUUUAAUCUUUUGGAGCUUAUUGCUCAUGAGUCCAUUUUAUAAUUUCUAUACGAAAUUCUCUGAAUUUAAGAUGUUUAAUAAAUUGAACUUUUUUGUGUGAAGAUGGACUCGGUCUAUUAUAUUUUGACAACAGCGCAGUAGCUCCUCUGAGGAAUUAAGACAUUUGUCAGGAGAAAUGUUGAAUUAGCAUAAAGAUUGGAUGAAGAAAGGCCCUGAUUAACAUACACCUAGGUUAAUUUUUGGUAUAUCUUCUAUGAGAACUAAAAUUAGAUGAAGCAAGGCCGGUUGAAACUGAUAUACAGAUGUAUACCCCUCCAGCCCUCCUCGAAUUUUGCCCAACAAAAGUGAAGAAGAUUAAAGAAAGAUUCUAGACAUCCUAAUAUCAGCUAAGAAAUGUUAAACAGUAUUGUAACUGCUAAUAACUGUUAAUAAUUGUGUGUGCUGAGUCAUGAACUAUGAAUACCUUUGUGGACAUUCUUAAGAGCAGCAUGUAAAGCAGCAUGUAAAGCAGUACUACCCCGAGGACCGUCCAAAGAUGGGGCCGUGCAGGUUGUACAUUGGCGUUUUACCCACUAGGUUUUGAAAAUGUGCAUCACUUGGAUCGGCCUCUACUAAUAGCUUAACGACAGAAGCAUGACCCAUCUCAGCCGCUAAAUGUAAGGCAGUGUUCAGCCAUUCAUCAGCAUGCCUAAGGAAUGCUUGAAAAGAAGUAAAUGGAUUACCAUUAGCAGAUGAAGAAUGCUGCAGAUGUCUAGCUGCAUCAAUGAGGACCUCAGCCACUUGGGUGCGUCCAUAAUACGCAGCCCAUGUAAGAGCAGUCUUUUGUUGAUUUUCCAGCUCCACCAAAAGGUUUUUGUGUGCAAACUGCUUCAAAAUGAAUCGCACACGAUCCGCAUUUCCAUUUAUGGAUUCAAUGUGAAGGAUUGUUCUUUGAUCUUUGUUCAGUUUAUCAGCUUUUAACUCUAAUCUAGCAAUCGCAUCAGCAUCUCCGGCAAUGGCAGCAUCAUACAAAGUAUUCAGAUCCAUAACUGUAUUCAGAUCCUAGUCAUUCAUCACAAAAUAGAGCUGACUUAAAAUUUUAUGACCUAUGUAAAUACCUAUACAAAUAAAUAUUAAUAAAAUUCAUAUGUUUUGGUGAGAUAGAUUCAAGAAAAUCCGUUUCACACAGCACUCUUUACUGAAGAAUCACAUGCCACACAUGUCCAGGGAGUGGAUGUCAGAAUAAAGACAUGCAUUUGUAUGAAACAAAACAAAAACACUUAAACUAAUGCCACCACCAUCUCUAACAGCCCUAUAGUUUAUACUUUAACCACACCAGCCUCGUUGAAUUUACUUAUAUCUUUAAUGAUAUGAAUAAUCCUUAUUACACUGCUCCACACCACUAAACAAGUCGGAAAUUCAUCUUUGACAAUUGUAUCUUGUCGCUCACUUCAUGCCCCAGCUAUAGUAUAAAUUUUCUCAACAUGAUUUCUUCUCGGCUAUUAUACAAAUUAAUGGGGCGGUUUGGUUUAAUUUAAAGAAUGCAUGUGAGGUUAUUUACAAGUGAAAGUUAUAUUUAAUUUAUAUGUUUGGAUAAUUUUUGUUUGUAUUUACAACUUAUUGGUUUUAGAAAUCAUUAUUAAUAAUAAAUUAUUAUAAAUUAUCUUUAAAAUGGUCUUUUCCAUUUUUGUGAAAUCAAAUUUCAAAAACAAAAAUAAGUCACUAAAAAAUUAGCAUAUUCUGCUUUUUAGGUUCAUGCUUAUAAAUCGAAAAUUGAUUUAUAAAUUAUUUAUACAAGCAGCACGAAUCUGAUUUAUAAGUACAGAAGUUGCCCUUUUAAGUCAAGCAACAAUAUUUGCUCAUAAAAAAUAUGUGAUCAACUAAUGUAUUUUUGGUGCGUUUUUAGUGAAAUAUUAAAUUGUGCUUGGAUAAAACCAACUGAACCACCAAUUGAGUUUACAGUGAUAAAUUCGCAUUUGCAACAUGAAAGAAUCGAAUUGAAAUCAACAAUCCAAGACUGUGAACACAGAACACAAAUCCAAAAAAAAAGCUCUGUAUUGUGUGAUUCCUAAUGUAAUCUCUGUUUUGUGUUCAAGUUACAAAAAAAAAAAGACUAUCUAGCAACUAAAGAAAUCUAGCCUGGCCUUCCCUUAUAGUUUCAUUCUCCGGAAUUUUGAAACAUCCAAAUUCAUCCAUCAACUGGCCAAGUUUAACUUUCCAUAGUAGCUUUGAUUCUUCAUGAUAUCUUUUUAGAACUUUCCACAUUUUCUGGGCAUAUGUGCAUGAAGAUACUUUAUCACUUUCUCAAGUAGAGAGGCCUGUCAUGAUGGUGUUCAUAGUCUGAUUGUUGUAACUUAGAUUGAGCAAUUCAUCAACAGUGAGAUCAUCAACAUCUUUUGGCUUGCCAUCAUCAGUGAGGAAAGUACAAGGACCUUUAGAUACCAGGUUUAACUUUUCAUAGUGGCUUCGAUUCUUCAUGAUAUCUUUUAAGAAUUUUUCACAAUUUCUAGGCAUAUGUGCAUGAAGAUACUUUAUCACUUUCUGAAGUAGAGAGGCAUGUCAUGAUGAUGUUCAUAGUCCGAUUGUUGUAACUUAGCUUGAGCAAUUCAUUAAUAGUGAUAUCAUCAACAUCUUUUGGCUUGCCAACAUUAGUGAGGAAAGUAUAAGAACUUUUAAUUACCACUCUUCAUUCAUUUGGCUCUUUGGACAGUUGCAUCUUCAUUCUACCCUUCCACUAAAAUUUUCAGCCAUUAUGAUUGAUACUUUUCUUGUUACAGUAUUGAUAUAUACCAAAGCUCUAUACCAAAUAAAAUCACACCUAAAGGGGAUGAAUAGGUGUAUAAUGACUUAAUAUAACAAUUUUUAACUUUCACCAAACAUGAUAGCUUACUGUUUUCAGUUUAGCGGUAAAUAUGUCAAACUAUUAUGCAUACAAUAACUAAAACAGUAAGGUGCGAAAAUAUAAAUCAGGAGCAACCAAUUUUAGCCAACUUCGACCCCUAUUUCUAAUGAUCUACGUCCUGGUCCCUCACCAACUUGGUAAGAGAAUAUAUUAAUACUGAAAAUUCAAACAAUUUCAGAAUAAUAAUAUAUCUCCCUUUCUCCUAUUCACUGAAAGCAGCUUGCUGUUUUUCUGAGCAGAAUGUAAAUAGCUCGACACUAACUUCCUCUAUGCAACCCGUUCCUGAACCUUUGAAUUCCUUAAUCUCCACCACUUGAAUUCUUAUGUUCCUUGCACACUAUGCACCUCAGAACUGGUGUGACUAUCUUAUCUAGCUCCCUUGUUCUUAUCUAAGAACCUCGCUAACUUUAGUGACUAUGAAUUUCAAAUUUUUAUUGCAUGAAAUAGAAAUUGUUUACAACUCAAACUAAAUUCUCUGUACAAAUAUGAAGAUAGUAUGCAAUCAAGCUCAGUAGAGAAAGUACAAAUUUUCAAGAUUGUGAGUUGUAUUUUUCUUGAAAAAUAUCAGUCGUUUAUGUAUGAAAGAAUACAACGGCUCUAUUGAUAAUAAACUCCAUGAACGUUGUUCAUAACGUUUAACUCAACGUUUAGAAACUAUACAAAUAGGAGGCUAUGUAUAAAAAUUCGUUUGAUAUGUUUGCUUCUAUAUUUAUGAGGUAAGACAUGCUGUUGCUUAAAAGACUUUUAAAUCAAAUAGAGUUAGUCUUUUCUUUAUGUUUAGGAAAAUGAUUUACUGAUUAAACUUGAGCUUGACUAUAUAUUACUAUAAUCAUAUAUGAAUCAGAGAAUGUACAACUAAAAAUCCUAACCCAUUUAGAAGUCGAAUAUAUAUCAACUGUGUAGAAUUAUGCUUCUGGUAGAAAUUUUUCUUAGCUUGUUAUUGAAUAUCAUCUUGUUAUUAUUCUAGCACUUUAACUACGUGCAAAACUGGAUUUUAUCUUAGAAGACAACAGGCUAUUAUUGACAGUUAUACAAUUAUAUUAAGCUAAAAUAUAAAAAAUAGCUAGCAAAAGUGUGAUCAUCAAAACUUGGGAAUUACAGUUUAUAUGAUAAUUGAUCAGUAACAACAUCUUCAAAAUACAACAUGUCCCAGGUAUAAAAUCAUUAUUAUUUUUGCCAUUAUAUCAAGUCCUUCAUGUUUUAGUAGUUCGGGAAUAAAACAAUCAUACGAGAUGAGGAGAUGGAGAGGAGUAUUGCCCCUAAUAUCUUGCUUUUCCAAAAUUUUGCCCUUGUAAAUUUUCAGACAAUUUUUCAAAAUAUUUUGUACCAUCUCUUUUCUGCUAGUAAUAGCAGCCGCCAAAUGUAGUAUAUUUUGACCAUCAUCAUUAACAACUGUGUAUGGGGAAUGCGCAGCAUUGGAUACAGGAGAGGAAGUUGGCCAUAAUUCCUUGAGUCGUACCAACAUAGAAGUAUAUUUAUGUUUUACUGCUACAUAAAAUGACAUUGAUACCAUAAUUCUGUGCACAAAUGAGUGUCCAACAUCUUUUUACGCUUCUAUAAUGACACCGAGUAUUGAAUCAAAUUUGUGAUAUAGUGCAUAGUGAAGUGGUGUCCACCUAUUAUCUUCCUUACAAGUUAGAAGGUAUUUGGCAUCUUUCAAGAGACGUAAUAGAGAACGUGAAGAAAGUAAAGAAGUCAACUCAAAUACACUUAAUCACACAAGUGUGUCAAUUAUACUUGUAGUAAUUGAAAUCCCGACUAUAAAGAUAAAUACUUGAAGUAGCAUAAUAUUUAGCACACGGUGUUUUGAAAAUAAUUUUCUUCACAUAUCUACUACAUACCUUCAUCAAGCUUUUGAAUAGCAAAAAUCAAUGCAAGCACAUCUUGAUGAUUAGGUUCAAUUCCAGCUUGCUACAAGCUUUAAAGAGUAACUUGAUAAUGUCAUUACUAUACUCGUUAUCGAUGGCUUUGUUGAUUAAGCACAUGAGACCAUUUCUUUUAAUUCCAGGACCAGGUUGAAAGGCUGGAUCUUCAUGUAGUAUCAGUUUAACAGCCUCCACAAAAUUUUUUCUCCACUGUUAGUCUGCAAGUUGUAAGACAGUGCUUCUAUUCUCGUCUAUUACACUAAAUAAUGCUUUAAAUUUUAUAAAUGAUGGGUCUUCUGCACUCCUCCAACAUUUGGCUGAUUCAAACAUCAUCCUAAUCAUGUCGCUAGCUCCUUCUGUCACCAUAAAAAUGUUAUCUAUAUAAUACACGUAUUAUUUGUAUGUACCUUAUCAGUUACUAAAUCUAUUAGUAUGUUAUUUGUGCAUGUAAAUGAUGUCAUUAAAAUCUGAUAAGUAAAAGCCAUACAAAAGAAGAUAAAUUAUUCGUACUAAAACCUGUGAUUGUAAUUUAUAAUAUAAAUAAGAUAAAAUUUUAACUUGUCAACUUUAAAUCUACACAAACCUACUCAUGCUCUCUGUAUAAAACUCAUAUGUUUACAAGAAAGGUUUAGUAAUGAUAACAUAUCUUUAACACAUCAAAUGCAUCCCUGAAAUCACAUUUUGGUCUAUAACCUCCGAUACUUUAAGGAUGAAAAAAAAUAAUUCAUACAUCUAUACUACAAAUGUUGGGCCGUAAUAUGAAUUAGAGCAUGGAAAGUAGUCGUCCUGUAACCACCAUCCAAAGAUAGAGCUUUGCAAUUCAUACAGAUCUUCUUUACUAUAUCAUUGUACCCAUUUUCAGCAGCCAUGUAGAUUGGAGUUUUGUCUUCAUUGUUUUGAACAUGGCUAUCAUUUGGAUCGGCCUUUACUAAGAGCUUAACUAUUGCCACGUAUCAUUAAGAACUGCUAGUGCUAAGUGCAAGGCAGUGUUCUUCGUUUGAUCAGUAGCUUUUUGUUUCUACCAAUUUGUUCAGUGUAUCUCCUGUCAUCUUCAAUGCAGCUUUAGAAACAGCAUGUCGGGCAAUGGCAUUUGCAAAACAAUUGGCAAUGGCAUCAGUAUCUUCUUUCAUUCGUGCAUACUUUUCAUGCAUCUUCAGGUUUGCUUGUUUAUUAAAAAUCACAUAUUUUCUCAUUCAUUUGCUGGCGAGGACUGAAUUUGAAAAACUAUCAUUUGACCGAUCAAUUUGGAUACCAUCAAGAGCAAUUUCGAUUUGUACUUGAACUUUAAGCAAAGAAAAUAAUUUAAUAAUAAACUUAAUUGUCAUACACAUCUGAUAUCUAAAUUUAAAAUAUAUAUAAAAAUAUAUAUAUAAAAAUAUAAAAAUAUAUAUAUAAAAAUGAGUCGAUCACUAUUUAAGGAAAUAUCGCAUAAUACAAAUUCCUUAUGUUACAACCAAAAUCAUUAAAACAUUAAAUGCAGACAAUUAAAAACCGAAAAUUAAAUACAAUUAUACAAAACUGAAAUCAUAAAUUAUGCCAUAAUUUUAGUCAAAAAUUUUACAGCCGCAAACCACCAUCGCAAACCACCGUGAGACCACCAUCAUCUCGAAAAUACAACAUGUUAACACUAAAUCAAAACCUAUUACUGGUUGUGGUUGCAUAGAAUUUAAUCUUAUGCAAGCAAUAUCAAAAUGCAUAAGAUCUAUAAUAUGAAUAACAAUAUUAAGAUUAGAUGCACAUAUCUAAAUUAUCAACAGAUCACAUAAACAAGUAAGAUUGUGAAUUGGAAAGAGUACACCUUGACUUUGUGGAGUAUGUUCACAUAAAAUGAGUCAUUUUCAAAUAUGAUCCGUCCUUUGAAGAUAUCCUUCAAAGAUUAUCUUAUGGAGAUAGCGGGGGAUGGAGGAGGGAGGCAUCCUUCACUAUUUCUAACCGCGAUUUAGCUUUCUGCAUUUCUAGUUGACCCUUUUCUUCAAAUAUCCUCAAGGUUGAUCAACACCAUUUUAGUGUAUAAUCUGCCAUUUCUAAUAAUUUUUGUUUUAGUCUAGUUUAGUAACUUGAGGGCAUGUGAAAUUUGGUCUAGUUUAAUAUUAAUAAUUUUGGAUAAUAUGGUGAUAUGGGGCAUGUAAAUAAGUAUUAAUAUUUAAAUUUGAGAAGAUAAUUAUAAUUUACUGUCAUUUUUAAAAUAUUGGAUUCGUGUCUGGGUGGGAAACUGUGAAAAAAAAAUAAUUGGUUCUUAAAUAUUAUAUUACAGUUGAAAAAAGUAACUUAAUUGGUUAUUAGCAGUAAUUAAUUAUUAUCUCUUAAUUUUUAUGCAUACUUACUCUUGAUCUUUUAGUUAAACAAAAGUAGGAAAAGUUGCAUAAUUGAUUCGAAUCGAAAAGAUAAUUGAUUCAAAAGUGACGAGAAUUGAAGUGAUCAGCUAUGGCCAGUUCCGAUCCCGAAAAGCUCAUCUCUAAAGCUGAUAAACUGCUAUUCGAGAUAGCUCUAUCUCUGUUCUUGCUUGUGUUUUGAUCGUUGCUCUUGGUCCUAUUCAAUUCGGCUUCAGCUUUUUGUUGACAUAAAUUGGCUUGCUUCUGAGAGUUUGGUGGUGAAGAGAAAAUGGGAAUAUGCAUGGGGAAAUCUGCAAAAUGUGCUCAUGCUUCUUCUAAUCAGUUCAUGGGUAUGUCUCUUCUUGAUUUUUGAUAUUUCUUACAUGAACAAUAUGAUAUGGUAUGCCCUUCUAUUACAAUUAUUUACAAUAUUCUUUCUUUUUCUCAUGAUUUUGAGUGGAAUUGCGAAAGGUGUUAAUUUUAAUCUUGUUUGUUUGUGUGUAUUUGUUUGUUUGUUUAAUCCAUGUGUUUUGUUUGGUUUUUGGCAAUUUUUCGUGUUACAUGUGAUACGCUUCGUUGUUCGCUUCGCAUACGACGAGGCAACUUGAUCGAUAGCAUAGCGGUGGUGGCUGAUGGUGGCGGUGACGGCGGCUUUAGGACGGGAUCCGGUUUCAGAAAGGAAAGUGCGCUAUAUGUGCCUUAAUUGAGGGCGGUAAUUGUGCCUAGUUAAUUAUGCCUCUUUAUUGAGGGCGUAAAUUGUGCCUCAAUUAUUGAUGGCGUAAAUUGUGUCUAUUUAUUGAGGGCGUUAAUUGGGCCUUAUUUGAGGGCGUUAAUUGUGUCUUAAUUAAGGAUAUUAAUAUUUUAUUAUUAUGCCUUAAUUAAGAGCUUAAUUGUCUCAAUCAUGAGUUAUCAUGAUUGUGGGAAUAUUUUGAUAUAAUCUGUUAAAUAUAUCGACUUAUAUUCUUUUUGUUUCUCUUGUUUUAUUUUCAGGAUUCUUGGAAGAAGGCCGGUUUUCUUUUCGGACAUUAAAGUUUUAUUGUCUAAAUUUCCCCGGUCAUCUUGCAUGUCCGACGGUUAGAUAAUAAGCUUUCUUGAAUGAAAGAAUUAUCACGGUGAAUUGCCGAUUCUCGUUGAGAUUUAUUCUCAUUUUCAAAAAAAAAAAAAAAUUGUCAUACACAUCGGAGAAUUGGACUCAUAUAUCUGACAAGAAUUGAAGAUGAUGAGAAAUUAAAUUCAUGCCUAACCGAUCACAUCUAUAUUUACACGGAGAAUAUGCAUGAACAUCUAUAUAUACAAACUGGACUUGCUCACUGAAAGACAUUUCGAUCCAUUUUCAGAAAAUAAGAUUUGUUUCAUUUCCUACAUUAGAGCUAAAAGCCUAAAACAACAUAUUGUUACUCUCUAUCGUGUAAUGUUAGUGGAUGUCGUUAACAAUUAGAUGAAAACAUAAGAUAAUAGACUGAUUGAACCAAAGGUUUUUCACUAGCAAAACCUAAACAAAAUAAAUCGAUGACAGUCGAUGAUAAGUUAACAUAUGGCAACAGCUGUAUUGGGUAAAGGUAGUCUCUAUAUCUACAAAUGCAAUUCCAGUUGAAUUUCUUGUUUUACAGACAAAUAUAUCACUAAUCAAGCUACAGCUGGUGAUUUCGUACAAUAUGAAAACAAAGCAAUAAACUAUAAUGCAUAACGAUAGAUGAAUACAGUAAAAAAAUCAAACAAACAUUAAUAGAAAGCACAAUAAUGGAAACUAUUUUCUUGAAAUAUACAAAAUUUGAGCAUAAUUUGCAAAUAAUUAUAUACUCAUGUAUAAAUUUAUAGGGAAGAGUACUAGUACAAUAACUACUAGCUAGAAUAUGAAAGAGAAGAGUUUGAGCUGUAUAACAUUUUACGAGUUGCCCUUACGUAGCUACUAGCUAGAAGGAGGGUACUAGACUGAGUCGAUUAUAUUUAAUUGUACACCUUUUUUAAUCUCGUAUUCUCUUAAAUAAUUGAAUGCAGUUAUUAGUUAAUAUAAGAAUCUAGAAAAAAAAGGUUUCACUGUGAGGUAAAGCUGCACUGGACUUAUCUGAUUGACAAACUCAUUAAUUUGGCUAACCUGAACUUAAUGCUACUCUCUUGAUGGUUAACAAAAGUACAAAACUAGAGACUUUACUGUCUUAGGGUCUGUUUGGGAGUGUUGUUAAAAAGUGCUGAUAAAAAAAGUGCUGUUGUGGAAAUCAGAUAACCGUUUGGUAAUUUUUUAUGAUAAUUAUUUAUUUUGAGUUAUAAUAUAAAAAAAAAUAAUGUUUUUGGUGAGGUUUGAUAGUGAAAUUAUAAAAGCUUCUUGCAAAAGCUGAAAAGCAGCUUUUCCAAAAGUAUGGGAGAACCUGCUUUUUCCAAAAGCAACUUUUGAGCUAAAAGCUACUGUUCGGAAAAACUGCUUUUAACUUUACCAAACAGUUUUUUACCUGUUUUUCAGCAAAAAGCUGCUGUUGCUGUCUACAACAGCAACCCCAAACAGUACCUUAGUCGGUUUACUCUUUGAAAUUGCUCAAUUCAGGAUGAGGAACUCGACUGCAGGCUCACAUUAUUUCUUGGAUUGGAUUUUUUACAACUCUGCAUGUCUAUACUUGCUAUGCAUAUCUUUUACAGCGAUGGUUAGAAAUAAUUAUACAAUUUAAAACCACUUUAGCUACAGACAUUGCAGUUCCGAGAACUAGUUUCAAGUACGGAGCAGUAAGAAAAAUUGGGAAAACUAAGACCAGUGAAUGCAAUGACUAAGUCACGUAGGGGCAGUUGGUGGGUUACACAUUUGGAAUGAGAUUCAAAUAAGCAGCACAAAUGACAAAAUAGUUGACUAGUGUUCGUAUUAAAUUUAAUGGUAUCUUCCAUUUUUUGAACAUGAAAUUGAAUCAGCUAUACAGAACUUCUCUAAAAUUUUAUUUAACUAGUGUUCGCAUUAAAUUGAAUGAUAUCUCGCAUUUGUCUUAUCCGCAUAUAAAUAGAAUGCUCUUAUGCGAAAAUAGUUGAUGUUAUCCGGUCUUCCUAAACUGUCAUUUGUCAGCGACUUUUAGUUUUUUAACAGAAACAGCUAUUUUCCGUGCAUAUUUUAAGUUCAUGAAUCAAGAUUAUUUCAUCAUUACAAGUCUGUCCUACAAGUUCACCUGUCUUUGUACAUCCAUCAACGACUAGUGAUGGUGAAUUUCUUAAUCCAGCAACUGUCAUCAUCUAGUCAUUAUCCAAAUGCUGAUGUCUUUUUUUGACGAAAAAUGCUGAUGUCUUGAUACUCUUGAUUUGCAGUAAAGGCGACGAAUUCUAAUAUGUCACCGCUGUUGGAAGAAAGUUUAUGGUCAUUAAAUAUCACCACCAGGCAAUGAACCUGUGCCAAAAUUUUCACUCUAUACAUCAAAGGAACACAAAGUGAAAGUACAUAUCGUCUCUUACUACACCCAAUAAUAAAACAAUGCUCCCUAGCAAUAAUAAUGACAAAAUAUAAACAGGGUGUUCACAGCUGCUAGUCUACUACAUCAUCCUGCUAGAUAGCAUCGGUCCUUUUACAAUACAUCAUAACUUGAACUACAUAAAUAUAUAAAAUAACAGAUAGCGACAGACAUACUCAAUCUCUAUUCUUCUUUGCUCGACGAGAACGUACAAACUUCAUCAGGUGAACAAUGACAAAAAUAAAGAAGAGUGAACCAAUGACGCAAACUGUAAUGGCGAGGGCCGGUGAUUGGGAUAAUACCACAUAUGUUCCUGUGAUAAAUAUUAACAUCAUCAACAUGACAGAAACUAUGUUGAGUCCAGUUGUUGUUGCAUGGAGGCUGAACACUUGGUCGGGAUCGUCAUAGAUAGAUUCAAGGAAGUAGAUGAACAUAGAACAUGAAGACAGUAGCAAAGCUAUAACAUCUAAUACCAUAAACGUGUUAAAAGCUGCCUUUUUUGAAAGAACAGCCGAUCCUUCAUCAACUUCUCCACUUUGAUGGAGACCUCCCGGCAUAGUAAAUCCUACUGUAAAAGUUAUAGUAGUUAUGAGUGCGCUAACUACUAUCUGGCUGUUGUUCCCCUCCCUAUAUCUUUGUAGUUCUUUUUUCUUCUGUUUCUCCUUUGCAUCAUUCAGCGAGAUUUUACAUUCAUUAAACAGAACAUCUUUUCUCUGUCGUCUGCUUGGAAGCACUAAACUUUCACUUUUAUUUGGGAGCCUUAAACUAGUACUUCUGAUUGGGAGUACUGAACGUUCAGAAACAUUCUGCUUUUUCUUGAAAAGCAUUCCAAAAAUAUUCUUCUUCAUGCUUUUAAGCAUUGAGUUUGGUUUUUUCUUGAAAAGACUUCCAAAAACAUUCUUCUCCAUGCUUUUAAGAAAAGAAUUUCCAUACCACUGAUCUGUCUCCAUAUUUUCAAGGGCAACUUUUAUUUGUACCUAUCAAAAAUGGACGUUAACAAGUAGUUAAUAUAUUUAUGUAAAUUUGUAAAUUAAAUACUAUGAUUAAUUUUUCAUAUUUUGUUGAGGUUCGAGCAUUACCUAAAAUUAGGUAUUAUAAACUUAAAUCCAAAUUUCAAAUAGAAUUGAAACUUUUAUAAUAAUAUUCAUGUCUUCCACUAGGUAGGAAAUAGCUUUUGACGACCAGAAAAAGUGUUACAUUAAAUCCAAACGGCAUAGUUAACCGCAAUGGAAGGUAGAUGCAUACCUCUUAUUGUUUUAAAAAGUAUGAAUUUUAUAGGAUUAAUAAUAAAAUUUAGUUAGCUAAAGAAGACUAGGAAUAGGAAAUACUCAACAAGAGAAUCUAUAUACUUUACACCCCAAAUAUACACCUUAUUAACAAUAAACAAUAUUCUUAAAAUGAAACUCGUGACACCAGUACUAAAAAUACCAAAUGCUGCCCAUCAUAAUAUUUAUUUAUUUAUUUAUCAUAUUAAUACAAUUAUAAUAUCUUCUACGACGUUAAGAAUUUCAUACAUUUUUUUAAUUAUUUGAUUAGACCGUGCCUUACACUGAUGACUUAUAAUAUUUGUUAUUUUAUCAUAUACUAGCCUUAAACCCGUGCGGAACACGGGCAACUAUAUAAUUUUAAAUUUAUUAUUUAUAAUCUAAAUUUCAACAUUAUUUCAUUAGUGUUUUAGUAUUGAUGAAUUGGAAUUUCAUAAAAUUAUAUUAACCGACUGAUUAUGUUUUGCCUUGAAACUUUAGCAUUUACAGUAUUUUUUUAUAUUAUAAAUCAUUAGUAUUAACAAUAAAUAUUUCUUUUAUCUAUCUGUGAAUGUUUUUCUAAUAAUAAUAUGUGUAUUUUGAUUAAUUUUAAAUCAUAUUUUUUUAUAUUUUAUAUAUCUUCAUUUCUAAGGAAAAAGUUUGUCUUAGAGUAAACGUUAUAAUCAAAAAAGAGUUGCAUGAUAGUUCGGGUUUGUAUUGACAUAGAACACGUUAUAGUUAUAGUUAAGAAGAGUUAUAUGAUGGUUCAUGUUUGUUUUCAAGUAAAACACUUUAUAAUUAAGAAGAGACAUGAUUGUUUAUAUAUUUUUUUACAAGAUAUUCCAAAUUUUAUAUUUAUAAUUUUAUUUUUAACUUCGUUAGAUUCUUUUUUAUAUGUGAAGUUAUAUGAUAAUGUAUGAAAAUUGGAUUAAAUAUUAUUGACAAAUUGAUUAUGUUUUCUUUUAGAGAUUAAGUUUUUAAAAUAUUUAUUUAUAUUUAUAUUUAUAUAUUAUUAAUGGUUAUUAGAAAUAAUAUAUAUUUUUAUCUAAAAUAAGUAUUUUUUAAUAUUAAUAUAUGUUAUUGAUAGUAGUUUUACUUUUUGUUAGGUUUCAACUAAUUAUAAAUUAUAUUUUUUAUAUUUUAUUUUUUUUCAUUUAUAAACAAAGCAUAUUAUUUAUCUCGUAUCAGAUACAUUGAUAACUUCGUAUUUGUUUUCGGAGUAGAAGACAUUGGAGUUAGGAAGAUUCACGCUUAAUUAUAUAAUUUUUUAAUUUAAUUUCUAGUUUGUCUUUAUAGGUUAUACAUCUAUAUAUAAGUAUUUUUAACAUUAAUAUAUGUUAUUCAUAGUAUUUUUACUUCUUCUUUUAAUUUUUAAACCAACUAUAAAUUAUAUUUAAAAAAAUAAUGAUGGAGUUUUUUUCUUAUAGUACGUUAAAGUAUUUUUAAUCUUUAAAAUUGUUUGAAACUUUCUAACGAUGUAAAAGUAAGAAACUUCAUGUGUUGUAGACUUAUGGUUAUAAAGAGAAGUUUUUUAAUGUUGAUCUUUUUAAGUAAGCGUAAUUUAGGUAUGACCAAACUAAAAAAACAUAACUAAAAUUUUGUAUUAUAAAUUAUAUCCAUGUUGACAUAUUAUUGUAUAGUAUAGAUAGUAUAGAUAGAUAUGUGCGCGCGUGUGUAUAUGUAUUCAAUACAUAAUUUUAUUGUGAGAUAAAAUUAUAUUAGAAUGAUAUGUGUUUUGUAACUAAUAGCUUUUUAAAUAAUUAAGAAACGUGUUUUGGUUAAUAGAGUUUUAUUGGGUGUUUUAAACAAAUUUCUUAUUUAACAUCUUGAAUAAGUUCUUAAUAGUAUAACCCGUCAAAAAGCUAAUUAAAAAGUGGCCCGAAGAGAUGUUUCGAUAAGAAUGUUUAAAUGUAUUUUAAUUAUUAAAAAAAUUAUCAAAAUUUGUGAUAAGUUAAUGAGGCCUGUAUGCCCAAAUACCGACCGACCUACCUACCAAACUUUUAACAUUCUUGCUUAAAAAUAGAUAUCAUAAGUUAUUUAUUUAUAAUAUUAUUAGAUCUAUAAAAUCUUUUGUUACAAAGUCCUCUAAGAGCGCCUAAAAGCGCUACAUGUCAUACAACUACCUCUCAUACCAAAAUCACUCCAAAUAUUAUACAUUAUUAAUUAAUUGUCACUAUCAAAAUUUAGAUAUCUAUAUUUAUUUAUAUUUAUAAUAUUAGCGCAAAUAUUACAUUAUCUAUUACAAGUCCUUUAAAGAACUAUAAACUGGUUGUUAUAAAUUAUUAUUAAUUUUAUUUAUUUAUUUAUAAUAUUAAUAUAAGUAUUAUAUCUUCUACUAAAAGUCCUUUAACAACUCCCGUACAUCUUCGGUUAUAAUUCCUCCAUAAUCCCGAAAGGGAUGAGUAUGACAAUAGCAAUAGCAAAACCAAUAAUUAAUGUACUAUGUACUAAUAAGAAAAACAAGUCUAAAGUCAACUUUAAAAAGUUACCUAAAGUCGUAUGUAUUUUGUAUAUAAAAGUUAAAUGACAUUUUUAUAAUAAUGGAACCUAGUCUGCUGUAUUUAUAUAAAUUUUCUUAAUUUUAUAUUGAAAUAUAUCUUAAUUUUAGAUAAUUAUAUAAAGAUGACUAUAAGGCCAUCAAACCUGAUAUAAUAACUGAUAUGAUAUUAUAUUUAUUAAACUAUAUCUAAUAUUGGCCAACUCACAAUAAUAGUACUUAACAUUAAUUAAAUAAUAUUUCAUAUUUAGUUAUAACAGUACAAUGAUAUAAUGUAAUAGGGCUUUUUCCAUAACCACCUAACCUCAUAAAUAUGUUUACAAAAAUAUUGUUGUCAACUUUCAAUAUUUUUUAAAAUAUCAUUUUUUAAAAAUUAUUCACAAAAAUACGAUUUACAACCUCUGGAACCUCAUUUGCAACAACAUUUUGCGAGAGUUGCAAAUAGUUACAAAUUUACAACUUCUUUAACAAAUACGACUUGCAACUUCUGCAACCUCGUUCGCAACACCAUCUACAACAGUUGCAAAUGGAAUUUUCAUUUGCAACUUAUGCAACUUCAACUGCAACAGUUGCAAAUGAGGUUGUAGAAGUUCCAAGUCGUAUUUUUGUAAAUAAUUUGGAAAAAAAUGUAUUUAAAAAAAAAACUUGACAGUAUUUUUGUAAAUAAUUUGUAAGAAGUUGGUAUAUUUAUAAAUAUUCCUAGUUUUUUAUAACAUUAAAUAAUCUCUAAAAUUUGAUAACUAAUUGUGUGAAUUAUCGAGUAUAUAAUUAAAUUUGUGUGAUUUUGUAUUUGAGACUUAUAUGCAAUUGAAGUAACUUUUUAAACUUUACGUUUAAAUCAGAAUAUAUAUCUAAGAUAUUUGCUACAUUUGAUCCACUAUGCUACCACUAAUGACUACAAAUUAUAUAAUAAUAACACGAGAUAAGUGGAUAUUGGUACGAUAAAGAACUUUAUCUUUAUUUAUAAUUAUAGAUAUAUAAUUGUUUGAAUAUAAAAUUAUAUAUAGAUGCGUUAUCAUAUACUCCCUCCGCCUGAGUUGUAUAAGCAGGGGGAGCGGCACAUACUUUAAUGCUUCUUUAAAGUAUAUUCUAUAACUUAUUUUUUGAAAUUUUUUUCCUAAAUAAAAGUUUAGCUAUUAAAUUUUUAUUCAGAAAAAGAAAAUUUAAAAAAUAAGUUCGGAACCAUAUUUUAGAGUAGCAUUAAAGUGCGUGCCAAAUACUAUACGUAUAAAAUACAGAGGGAGGGAGUUUAAUAUUAAAACUGAAAAAUGUUAAUGUUAAGUAAUAAAUUUUUUUUUUAAAAUAAUUUAUUUAGGUUCAUGUUUUGCAUGCAUUGAACAACAAUAAUAUAGUAUCAAUACUUUAUCUUUGGAGUUCUAAUACUAAAUUAUAAAAUAUCAAACUUUGGUUAUCACCCUUGUUUCAUUUUUUAUUUUUAUCUUUAUUGUGAAAAAUUAAAAAUCUUUUAAAAGAAUAAAUAACAAUUAUAUUUUACGGUCUUUAGAUAAGUUAAAUAUUUCAUUAAUGAAAGUUCGAAAUUUUGGUUGAUACUUAUUUCUAUAAUAAUUUAAGAUCGUGAAAUAACAAUUAUUUAAUUCAUUUAAAUUGAACUUAUAUGCUUACUCCUAAAAAUUUAGGUUCAUUAAAUUUCAAUAUACAAACCCAUUUAGUUUAUGGUAACUAAGAAAUUAUAUAUUAUAUAUAUAAUAAAGUUCGAUGGAGACCCAUUUUCGUUGGAGCAUCAAACUCCAGUACCGUUGGAUAAAAUCUAAAUCGAUGAUUAUUUCACGAGUACCAACGGAAAAAGUCAAUUUCACGAGUGUAACAUAGAGAAUAUCCAUUAAAAAUUUAAUUAAUGCAUCCUUCUAAAAUAGUUAUAUAUACUAGCUUACACUCGGUGCAAAUGCAGGGAUUAAUUUUAAAUAAAUUACUUUUCAGUAAUUUGUAGUUAAUAUAUUCAUAUCUUUUACUAAUUUGAAAUUAGAAUUUAGUAUAAUUGUAAGGCUUUUACAUUUAUUUAUCCCUCUAAAAUUAAUAUUGUAAAAGCUGAAAUAUAAUAUAUUGUUGGUAAUAUUGAGCCUGUUUGGGUGAGUUUAUGACUGAACGUGACUUAUGAAUUAACGUGACUUAUAUAGUGGGGAGUUUAAAAUGUCUAUCUUGGGUAAUUUUGAGUUAUUAAUGACUUAUGGGUUAUCAAAUAUAUAAUAAUAAAAAUAAAAGUGAUUUAUGGGUAACUUAUGACUUUUUAUCAAAAAAAAAGGUUUUUAAAAGUAACUUCACUGAAAAAAUUACCUCAAACUAACUUUUAACUUUGAGUCAAUUUCUGACUUAUUUCUGAUUUUAGGUCAGUUUCUGACUUAUUACACAAACAGACAUUUUCAGCUUAAAGCCAAAAAUGACUUCAAGCCUGGGCUUUAGGCUUAAAUCCCACAAAAACAGGCUCAUUAUAUCUAACAAUUUACAUAAAUAUGAGUUCAAAAUUUCAAUGUUUAUGAUUAGAAGAGUUAACCGAGUUUAUUUAUCAAUUAGUGUGUAUAUAUUUUAUUAUUUAUUAGAGCAUAAACUUAUUUAAAAAUUUUAAAUACUUAAUCAAUUGAUCGACUCUAAUAUAAUAAUAAAUUAUAUUAAUAUCGAUUAUGGUUACAUAAUUAACUAUUGCUAAAGUUUUAUGUUUUUGUUGAAGUCUGAAUCUUGAUUAAUUAGUGAUUAAUUACAUAACAAGACGGAAGUAGAAAACUUUGGUUGUACUCACAAACUUAUAUUUUGACAUAAUUGUUUACUUAUUAAAAUUAACUCUUAGAAAAAAGAUCUAACUAGAUUAUCUUCAAUAUAUUCUGUUAAAAAAUUAUAUGUCUGGUAUUUUUAUAUUCGUCAUUAAUUUUUUUUAUUCAUCCAAUUCAUAUAAUGAGGAAAAGUUAAGGUUAAUAUAUAUAUUGAUACAUUUUAUAUCAAUUAAAUUUUAUGAGCUUAAUUUUGUGAAAACCAUUAGAUUACAAAAUGGAUCUUAAAUAUCAAGUGAUAUGUUUAAUUAGUGGAAUCAAUUAUAAUUGGCUAUCACACAUCAAUAGGCAGAUUUUGGUACUAGACUCUUAUCAGGACAUUACUAUUAUUUUGUUAUCUAUAAAAAGUACUUUCUACAAAUUAAAUAAACUAAAAAUUUAGGUUCCACGUACCUGAUCGCCAACAAUAAGGUUCUGAAAAUACAACAUAUCUGGAGCAGUCCAACCAUUCUUGUUUUUUACCUUUGUAUCUGGGACUUCAUAUUUUAUGAGUUCAGGUAUAAAACAGCCGCAGGAGAUAAGAAGAUGGAGAGGUGUAUCGCCAUUAUCAUCUUGCUGUUUUAGAAUCUGGUCCUUGUACUCUUUUGGACAAUAUUUCAAAAUAUCUAGUACCAUUUCUUUGUUAUUAGCAGCUGCUGCCAAAUGUAGUGUAUUCCUGCCAUUUACAUCAACAACUGUGUAUGGAGAGUUAUCAGCACUGACUUCACUAGAAGGAUCUGGCCAUGAUUGCAGUAGUCUUGUAACUGUAGAAGUAUAUCCAUGUAUGACUGCAACAUGAAAGGGUGUUGGUACCAAAUUUUCAUACACAAAUUGUUGUCCAAUAUCUUCUUGGGCUUCUAUUAUGGCACCAAGUAUUGAAUCAAAUUCAUGAUAUACAGCAUAAUGAAGCGGUGUCCAUCCAUUAUCUUCUUUAAAAGUCACGCGUGAUUUAGCAUCCCUUAAGUGACCUAAUACAGAGUCUAGGAAAAAAACAAAUAUAUCAGGUACGUAAAUUCUGUCAAGCAAAACCCAAAGAGAAAUAAUAAAUGUGACAAACUUAAAUUUAAUGCACUUUACAUAGCUGUGACUAAAAAUUUAUCUAGACCAAGAAAGAUGAAGAAGAUGAUAAUGGCCCUCUUUGGGAAUUAGCGGUAAGCUGUUAGCGGAUUAAAGUAGAUGUUUUGACUAGCUCAUUGAAGUAGAUGUUUUGACUAGUUUGCAGUUUCUCGUAAAAUCGUUCGGUAAAUAGCUGAUUGAUUAGCUUUUUCUGACAUAAACCAAAACCUCUAACCCAAAAAGCUCCUCAAAGUAGCUUUUUCAAAAUUAGCUUUUUGGAUCCAAACCUCUAUUUCAAUCCACUAACUACCAAACACUAAUAUUAGCGCAUUCUAGUGGUCAAACCUCUAACUUCAAACAGGGCCAAUGAAUACUUUAUUAUUUGUACAAAUCAAUAAAAAUAUUUAUAUGAGAUUAGUAAUAUUGUGUACAUUACAUACCUUCAUCACGUCUCUUAAUAUCAAGAAUCAAAGCAAGCACACCUUUAUGAUCAGAGUCAAUUCCAGCUUCAUAAGCUUCAGAGAGAAAUUCAAGAAUGUCUUUGCUAUACUUUUCAUCCACGGCUUUGUAGAUUAAACGCAUGAUACCAUGUCUUUUAAUUUCAGGAACAGGUUGAUAGGCUGGAUCUUCUUGUAGUAUCAGUUUAACGACAUCCACAUAGUUUCUCUCCAUGGCCAGUUGCAAGACAGUGCUUCUAGACUCGUCUGUUCUACUAAAGAUUUCUUUAAACUUUAAAAGUGAUGGGUCCUCUGCACUGCUCCAACCUUUGGCUGCUUCAAUCAUCAUCUUAAUCAUGUUGUUUGCUCCUUUUGUCACUAUAAGUCAAGUAAUAAUGUUACUUAUACACGACUAACUAAUAAAAAUGUUCCUUAUUCAGUGAUAAAGUGCUCAGAUAGUAAUAUUUGCUUUAUCCAUUCAUGACCUGAAGUUAGGUGAAAAGUUAAAUCUAGUAUUGGAUAAUUCAAUUAUUCAGUUCCCAAAAUAUAAAGAUAAAAAUCAAGUUCUAAAGUUAGGUGAAAAGUUAAUUUUAGUAUUGGAUUGUUUUGUUAUUAUAUGUAAAUCAUCCGUUCUUAAAAAUAAAAAUCAAGUUUAACAGAUCCUAUUCUACUUUAGAUCGAGACAAACCUACUCAUGGUCUUUGUACAAGAUUCAUAUGUUUACUAGAAAAAAUCGAUAAAUAUAACAUAUCUUCAGAACCUCACAUGCAUUAUGCAUAAAUGUACUCACAUGUAUGAGUUUAAUUAGAAGUUGAUCAUCAGGUGAUUAACACUUAACUUUGGUCCUCUAUAACCUAUGAUGAAAUGAAGAUAUAAAUACCAUAUACCAAUUGUAAAUGUGUACUAUAAGGCUUCAUAGAAUUAAUUCAUACAUAUGUACUCCAUACCUUGGCCGAUAUUCUUUAUAAGAGCAUGCAAAGCCGUUGUCCUACCAUGAGGACCAUCUAAAGACAGAGCUGUGCAAUUUGUACACAUCUCCUUUAUUAUAUCUUUGUACCCAUUUUCCACAGCUAUGAAAAUUGGAGUUUUGCCUUCAUUAUUUUGAACAUGACUGUCAUUUGGAUCGGCCUCCACUAAGAGCUUCACUAUUGCCACGUAACCACUUAGAACAGCUAGAUGUAAUGUGGUGUUUCUUUCUUGAACAUUAGCUUGCCUAAUAAAAUUGUGAAAAUUACUGACUUGAUUAUGGGCAUCAUCAUUAGCUGAAGAAGAAGACAAAUUACGUCUGGCUGCAGCAAUGAGGACCUCAACCACUCGAGUGUGUCCAUGAAGUGCUGCAAGGUGAAGUGCAGUUUGUUCUGAUUUGUCCAGCUUGAUUAAAAGGCCUUUGUACGCAAACGCACUCACAAGGAAUCGCACAUGUUCUAUAUCUCCCUUCUUUGAUUCAACGUGAAGGAUAGUUUCUCCCAAUUCGUUUGGUAUAGCUGCAUCCAUCUCCAGUGCAGCUCUGGAUAUAGGAUCUCCAGCAAUGGCCUCGGCAAAACAAUUUUCCAUGGCAUGAGCAUCUUUUUUUAUCAGUGCAUUCUUUUCAUUCUUCAUCUGUUUUGCUUUUUCAUUAAAAAUCACAUCUUUUCUCACCCGUUUACUUGGUGGGAGGACCGAACUUGAAAAAAGAUCCCUUUUUGAAUCAAUUUGGAUACCAUCAAGUGCAAUUUUGAUUUGUACCUGGAAAUAAAGCAAAGAAAAUAAUUUAACAAUUAGCUUAAUUUGGAGGCAUACAAGAUUUAAACAUGACCUGAAAAGGGGUAACAUGGUCCAAACUACAUAUCCAUCAGCUUUUUAUAUAUUUGAGUUGCACAUGUUUUAUCUUUGAGUUAUGAAUGUGAUUUCAACCAGAAAUCCGGAAUGUAUAUAGGUGAAGGUGAAUAAUCACCAUACCACAGACUCAUGUGAUAAGCAAAAUUAUAGUUUCUGAAUAUGAGUCAAAUUACAUUAAUAUACAUAUACACAAAAAAAAAAAACUAAAACAUAAUGGUUUUAAGUGUAUUUUGGUGAAGCUCAGACUAAGAUAACAAGUUUUCAGACAUUAGUAUAAAAAGGUAUGUUCUUUGAGUACCUGCUCAUCAGUAACUUGCUCAUCAGAAUACAACAUAUCAGGAGGAGUCCAUCUUUUGUUGUUUUCUACCCUUAUGUCAAGCCCUUCAUAUCUCAGGAGUUCGGGAAUGAAGCAACCACGAUCGAUAAGAAUGUGAAGAGGUGUAUCACCGUUGUUAUCCUGCUUAUUCACAAACUCUUUCUUGUACUCUUCUGAACAAUAAUUUAAAAUGCCUUGUAUCAUCUCUUUUUUACUUUGCAAUGCCGCCAUAUGUAGAAUAUUUUUUCCAUCUUUAUCAACAAUAGUAUAUGCUGAUGACCAAGAUGGCCAUGACUGCAUAAGACAUAUCACUGUAGAUGUAUAUCCUUUUUCCGCUGCUACAUGAAAAGGUGUUGAUAACAUAUUUUCGUACGCAAAUGGAUAUUUGAAUUCUCUUUGUGCUUCUACCAUUGGCUGAAUUAUAGAAUCAAAUUCGUGAUAUGCUGCAUGAUGAAGAGCAGUCCAUCCUAGAUUGUCAGCAAAGGUUACAAGGUUUUUGGAAUAGUACUCCUUUAACUUGCUGAUGACGGAUUCUGAAAAGAAAAUGUAAUAUAUCAAUUGGGCAUCAAAUUAUAUUUGCUAUAUAUUUUCAAACUUAUAAUUUGUGUUAUAUUUUUAUUUCAGGUAUCAUUCCUAAAAUCUUAAUGAGGAUGAAUGUAUGUAGAUACAUAUUUCAUUUUAUAUAUAUCUUCUGAUCAUUGCAUGGUACAAUGGCUAGGAUUUAUUUUAGUACAUAUGUUGACAUCAUUAUUAUAUUACAUGUGAUCCCUUCUUAUUUUUUGUUUAUUAAUUAAGGGAUUAAAAUACUAUGGAAGUACAUCUAAUUUGUUUUAUACUUUUAAUUGUUUGAAUAAUUUAGUUACACAUCAAUAAUUAUUAUAUCUAAACUUUGAUAAACGAACCGCUGACUAAUAUAUUCUCACAAAUUAUUGAAUUGAUGUUAAUUAUAUAUACAAAUAAAAAUACAAUACUAUCAUACAUCACAAAAUAUAUGUAUCCGAUUUUAUAAUUAUCACUAUAUAUAUAUAUAUAUAUAUAUAUAUAUAUAUAGGCUUGCACUCCACACAGAACACUUUAAAAAAAGAACAAGAGAGAACACUAUCAUAACACUUUAUUUUUCAUAAAAAAUGAUUUGUUAAGAUUAUAGUUACAUAGUUAAACACAGCCUAAACUUAAUAUAUGAAAUUUAACAUCCAAACUCAUCCAAAUUAUUAAUAUGAAAUAUUAUAGAAUCCAGAAUAGAAUCCAAAACAGAAUUAUGAAUAGAAUCAUAUAUAUAUUCUUUGCAUGAUUAAUAUCACAUAGAAUCAUGUUACUUUUAAUUCAUAAUUGUUGUUAAACAUGUUAGAUACUAUUAUUAUUCAUAAUAAAACGUUAAUUAGCUUAAAAUUAGAAUUUGAUUCAAGUUUUAGAUGAGAUUAUAUGUUCGAUUCUAAAGUGUUCUUCUUUGUUCUUCUUUUAAGGGUGUUCUUUUUUGAGCAAACACUUUGGAAUCGAACAUAGAAUCUCAUCUAAAACUUGAAUUAAAUUCUAACUUUAAGCUAAUUAACCAUUUUUUAUGAAUAAUAAUAGUAUCUAGCAUGUUUAACCACAAUUAUGGAUUAAAAAUAACAUUAUUCUAUGUGAUAUUAGUCAUGUAAAGAAUAUGUACAUGAUUCUAUUCUGGAUUCUGUUUUGGAUUCUGUUCUGAAUUCUAUAAUAUUUCAUAUUAAUAAUUUGGAUAGAUUUGGAUGUUAGAUUUCAUAUAUUAAGUUUAGUUAGUGCUUAACUAUGUAAUUAUAAUCAUAACAAAUCAUUUUUUAUGAAAGAAAAAGUGUUAUGGUAGUGUUCUGUGUUGUUCUUUUUUUAAAGUGUUCUGUGUGGAGUGCAACCCUAUAUAUAUAUAUAUUUAAGUCCCAAAAUUAUAUAAAAAAUAUGAUUUUUGUACUUUUAAAACACUGUCUAAAGUCUAAGCACUGUAUACAUAUUAUAUUUUUAUGGAAUUAUAUUUGAUUUAGGUUAUCAUUAUCAAUAUAGAACAUCAUACUAUUAUUACAUUUUAAUAAUAAUGAAAUACUGGUACAUACCUUUUUGGCGGCCUCUAAUAGCAGAAAUUAAUUCAGGCAUUUGAAAUAUGUAUAGAGCAUGUUCAAUCCCUCUCUCAUAGGGCAUUUGAAAUAUGUACCGAGCACGUUCAAUCCCUUUUUCAUAUGCUUGGGUGAGUAACUUGAGCAUACCACCAACUUCUUUAUCCAUAAUUUUGUAAAUUAAAGGAAUGAUACCCAAUAAAGCAGGAUACAUUUGCUCGAAAUGUGCAUGAUACUCAACAGCAUGCAUUUCAAGGUAAUAGGCAUCGUCCUCGUACGGGUGAAAGGCUGGAUUUUCUGCUAAUAUCAAUUCAACCAAGUUCAAAUGAUUUCCCUCCACCGCCAAUUCUAAAAUGAUGCAUCUCUUUUCGUCGGUUUUAUUGAAGAACUGAACCAAGCUUUUAUCCUUUUCGAGUACGUUGAGAUUAUUAUGUACCCGCUUAAUUGAUUCUAUAAUUUGUCUAAUCACAUCUUCCAAUUCUUUUCUUCCUGCGAGGAUGGUGAAAGUGAAAGUAUUAGAAUAAGAUAACCCUUUUUGAGAUUUGAAAUACGUGAUAUUUAAAAUAUUACAACUGUAAAAAUUAUUUUUAGAUACUAAAACUUAUUUGAGUUCAAUAAUAUUAAGAACAAUAAUUUGUAUGCUUUUUGGGUUAAAAUAAUAAAUUUAUGGAAGUUAAUCUUAUUAUGAAUUUUUAAAUCUAGCAAAUACCAAAUUCUGUUUACACAAAGUCAUUGUUUAUGAUAACUGUAGCACAAAGGAGUUGGGUAUAUUUUAUAAUUUUCAUAAUGCGGAUCAAAUAAAUUUUAUGAAUAUUUCAAACAACUAUUUGGUGUACCAGCAGCAGACAUGAUACAUUUAAUAUUACAUUGAAAUUGCAAUUUAAUAUAAUUAAGCAAAUAGUUUUUGGACUAAUUAUAAGUACUGCUCUGUGUUAGUGUCGUUUGCAUUUUUUAUUAUUUGAUACAAUGUAUUAUGUAUGGUGUAAAAUUUUAAUGACUAAACAACACAUAUGCUGGACGAAGUCAGGUGCUAGAAACUAAAACAUACCUUGGUCGAGAUUCUUGAUAAGAAUAUGUAAUAGAGUGGUACUAGAACCAGGAGCAUUCAAAUUAAGUGGAGCGGUGCGAGUUGUACAGAUCAUCUUCACUACCUCGUAGUACUCUUUUUUCACAGCUAUGUAUAUUGGUGUUUCGCCGUCAUCAUUUUGAAUAUGUGGAUCACUUGGAUCGGCCUCUACUAAUAGCUUAACAAUGGCCACAUGACCCAAACUGACUGCUAUAUGUAAGGCAGUGUCAGAAUCUGUAUCAGCUUGCCUAAGGAAAGCUUGGAAAGAGGUAACUGGAUUAUCAUCAGUAUUAUCAUUAGCUGAAUCAGGAGUCGGCAAAUGUCUAGCUGCAUCAAUUAGGAUCUCAGCCACUUCGGUCUUUCCUUCAGACAAAGCCAAGUGAAGUGCAGUCUGUUUGUAUCUGUUAAGCUUGACCAAAAGAUUUUUGUCUGCAAACUCCCUCAAAAUAAAUCGCACGUGUUCUGUAUUUCCGUUUUCUGAUUCAGUGUGGAGGAUAGUUUCUUUAUAGUAUCCACUCAGUUUAUCUGCUUGCAUCUCCAAUACAGCUAUGGCAUCAGCAUCUCCGGAAAUAGCAGCCACGUAUAGAGCAUCUUUAUCCAUAAUCUUAUAGAGGGUUCCACCAGGGCUCUUAGCUAUAUAAAUAAAAACAUGUCAAACCAAAUAGCAAAGAAGAUUUGAAAAAAACGAAACUGGAUUUAGCUUAAAUAACAAAAACAAGUACAUAUCCUUAUAUAUACUCCCUCCGUCCCCCUGGAUAGUAUACAUUUAGGUACGGGGACGCGACACGUACUUUAAUGCUCCUGUAAAGUAUAGUUGUGUAAUUUAUUUUUAAGAUUUUCUUUUUCUGAAUUAAAGUUUGGAUGUUAUAUUUUAUUUAGGAAAAAAAAUCUUAAAAAUAAGUUACGAAUAUAUAUUUAUAAGAGCAUUGAAAUGCGUGUCGAGCAGUUGAAAAGAAACGUAUAGAAUUAAAUGGGACAGAGGGAGUAGGCAUACCUUGGUCGAGAUUCUUGAUACGCACAACAGUACUACCAUUAGGUCCGUCCAAAGAUGGAGCUGUGCAAGUUGUAGAUAUUAUCUCUACUAUAUCAUUGUACCCUUGUUCUACAGCUAUGUACAUUGGUGUUUUGCCUUCAUCAUUUUGAACAUGUGUAUCACUUGGAUCGGCCUCUACUAAUAACUUAACAAUAGGAACGUGACCUUUCUUAACUGCUGCAUGUAAGGCAGAGUCCUCAUAUUGAUCAGAUUGCCUAAGAAAAUCUUGAAAUGAAGUACGUGGACUUUCUUGAGGGUUAUCAUUAUCUGUAGAAGGAUACAAAUGUCUAGCUACAUCGAUGAGGAUCUCAGCCACUUCAGUGUGUCCAUUAUUUGCUGCCAAGUGAAGUGCCGUGUGUUUAUCUGAAUCAAGCGCGGACAAAAGAUACUUCUUUGCGAAAUCCAUCAAAAUAAAUCGCACACGUUGUGUAUAUCCAUUUUGAGAUUCAACGUGAAGGAUAGCUUCUUCACCUUCGUUCAGUAUAUCAGCUUCCGUCUCCAAUUUAGCUAUGGCAUCAGCAUCUCCGGCAAUUGCAGCCACGAAGAAAGCAUAUCUAUCCAUAAUUUUAAAUAGAGUUCCACCAGGGCUCUUACCUGUAAUGUGUGUAUAUUUCAAAAAACUUCUAGCAAAAUGAUAAAGGAUUCAGAAUAAAAACAAAAAGAAUAACCAGAAGAGUCUAUAAAGAGCAUACCUUGCUCGAGAUUGUUAAUACGCACUACAGUACUACCAUCAGGUCCGUCCAAAGAUGGAGCUGUGCAAGUUGUAGAGAUUAUUUCUGCUAUAUCAUUGAACCCUUUGUCCACAGCUAUGUACAUUGGAGUUUUACCUUCAUUGUUUUGUGUAUGUGUAUCACUUGGAUCGGCCUCUACUAACAGCUUAACAAUUUCUUCUUUAUUAUGUAUGACUGCUAUAUGCAAGGCAGUGUCCAUAUCUUUGUCACCAAGCCUAAGAAAAGCUUGAAAAGAAGUAAUUGGAUUGUAAUCUUCUGAAGAAGGUAAAUGUUUAGCUGCAUCAAUGAGGACCUUGGCCACUUCAGUGUGUCCAAAAUAUGCAGCCCAGGUUAGUGCAGUCUCCAUUUGAUCAUCCUGCUUCACUAAAAGGUUUUUGUGUGCAAACUCCCUCAAAAUGAAGCGCACAUGUUCUAUAUUUCCUUCUUUGGAUUCAAUGUGAAGGAUAGUUCUGUCAUUCAUGUCCAGCUUAUCAGCAUGCAUCUCCAAUGCAGCUAUGGCAUCAGCAUCUCUGGCAAUGGCAGCUGCAUACAGAGCAUCUUUCUGCAUAAUUUUAUAGAGGGUUCCACCUGGGCUUUUAGCUAUAUACAUAAACAUGUGUCAAAUCGUGUUUAUUUUAGGAAUCAUCAUAACAAUGAAUAUAUGUUCAAAACAAAAUUUAACACAAAAGGAACUAAAUGUAGUUUAGUUAACAAAAGAGUCUUAACAUUAAAAAAAAUGGAAAGAGACAGAGUCUUUAUGAGGCAUACCUUGGUCAAAAUUCUUGUUACGCACAACAGUACUACAAUCAGAUCCGAGCAAAGAUGGAGAAAUGCAAGUUGUAGAGAUUACCUCUGCUAUAUCAUUCAACCCUUCUUCCACAGCAAUGUACAUUGGUGUUUUGCCUUCAUCAUUUUGAAUAUGUUUACCACUUGUAUCAGCCUCUACCAAAAGCUUAACAAGGGCCAUAUUACCCUUCUUAACUGCUUCAUGUAAGGCAGUGUCCAUAUAUUUAUCAGCUUGCCUAAGGAAAUCUUGAAAUGAAGUAACUGGAUUAUCAUCAUCAAUAUUAUCAUCAUGUGGAGAAGGAGGCAGCAAAUGUCUAGCAGCAUUAAUGAGGACCUCCGCCACUUCUGUGUGUCCUUGAGACGAAGCCAAGUGAAGUGCAGUCUGUUUAUAUUUGUUAAGCUUGACCAGAAGGUUUUUGUCUGCAAACUCCCUUAAUAUAAAUCGCACGUGUUCUGUAUUUCCGUUUUCGGACUCUGUGUGAAGAAUAGUUUCUUCGUAUCCGUUCAAUUUAUCAGCAUGCAUUUCCAUUGCAGCUAUGGCAUCAGCAUCUCUAGCAAUGGCAGCCGCAUACAGAGCAUCUUUAUCCAUAAUCUUGUAGAGGCUUCCACCAGGGCUCUUAGCUAUAAAAUAAAAAAGUGUCAAAUUAAAUAGCGAAGAAGAUUUUAACAAAUACACUAUUGGAUUUAGCUUCAAUAACAAAAAGAAGUAUAUAUGCCUAUAGAUAGUAUAUUAUGUUUAAACAAAGAGUGUUUAAAGAGCAUACCUUGGUCCAGAUUUUUAAUACGCACAACAGUACUACAAUCAGGUCCGAGCAAAGAUGGAGCAGUGCAAGUUGUAGAGAUAAUCUCUGCUAUAUCGUGGAGACCUUUUUCCACAGCUAUGUACAUUGGUGUUUUACCGUUGUCGUUUUGAAUAUGUGUAUCAGUCCGAUCGGCCUCUACUAGUAGCUUAACGAUAGUAAAAUUUCCUCUCAAGACUGCUGCAUGUAAGGCAGUGUCCAAAUCUUUAUCACCUUGCCUGAGAAAAGCUUGAAAAGAAGUGACUUCGGGAUUACCAUCAUCAUCUGAAUGAGGCAAAUGGCGAGCUGCAUCAAUGAGGACCUCGGCCACUUCAGUUCGUCCUUCGUAUAUAGCCAAGUGAAGUGCUGAAUGCUUAUAUCUACUAAACUUUGCUAAAAGAUUUUUGUGUGCAAAUUCCCUCAAAAUGAAUCUCACACGUUCAAUAUUCCCCUCCUCUGAUUGCAGGUGAAGGAUAGUUUCUUGAUAUCGGUGCAGUCUAUCAGCUUCCAUCUCCAAUUUGGCAAUAGCUUCAGCAUCUCCGGCCAUGGCAGCAUCGAACAGAGUAUCCAGAUCCAUAACUAUAUUUUACUCUACCACUGCUCUGCCUGGUGGAAUUUCACGGAUUAUAUACAAGAAACUUGCUAGCAUCCAGGAGCUAGUUAUAUAAAUAGAAGCUUGGUGUAUGGCUGUAUAUUAACAAGAUGUUGACCAACCAAAAUGCUACGUCAUGCUCAUGUAAAUUGGUUGUUGGGCUUGGUAAUGAUGAUGCGUUAUAAUUUUGAGAACUAAAAAGUAAAUAAUGGUUAAAUUGGUUGCCGCUUUAAACCAUGAAAAUAAUAUAGAUUUAUCUUAGACGAUCUCGAUCUUUAGAUUCUUAAUCAAAAUAUGUUUUCAUUAAGUAGAGUAUGACUAGAUUAUAAGGGUAAACUUUUCUAUUUUUAGAUGUAGGAAACUUUUCUAUUUCUAGAUGGAGUUUUAUUUCAAAAAAUAAAAAAGAAUUUUAAGAAAGAUAAAAAAGAAAUAAAUAUCAAGAACCAAUUGUGUUAUUUUAUUUAUAUAGAUAGAUGGUAUAAUAUGAUUACCUCUUGCUUCGUUAAUACCCUGAAUUAUGAUUGUUUUAGGAUAUCAUAAUCCAAGUAAUUUAAUUCACUAAAAUGGCAGCAACAUCUCCUUUCAGUGUUUCAGCUCCAUAUCCAAUGCAGUUAUGGCAGCAGCAUCUCUGGCAAUGGCAGCUGCAUACAAAGCAUCUUUAUCCAUAAUUAUAUAUAUCUUAUCUUCUAACAGAGUUCUUGGCUAUAUAUGUGUAUGUAUAAAAAUGUCGGGUUAAAUCUCUCGGUUAAUUCAGUAAAAUGUGGUGCUAGUUAUCCAAAAUUACUUGUCUUUCUAAAAUGAUACAAAGUAAUAAAGUCUAAACACUGAAUUAUACAAUCAACUAGACCCAUUAACAAUACUCAUCUAAUCAAGAAUCCACAUGCUACAAGUGGCCAGGUUUGUAAGAGAAGGACGUCAGAAUAAACAACAACAAUUUGCAAGAAUCACAGGUGCUAAAAAACACUUAAAAAGUCACUAUAAUUUCUAACAACUUAUUAGUUGACCUGAGUGACCUCAAAAAUUUUACUUAUUACUUUUUUUCUAUAUCACACAUCAGAAUGCUUAUUGUACACCAGUAUAAACUCAAGCUCAUAUCAAUUAUUAUAUCAAACGCGUAAUUAUCAAUACUUCUCUGAUAAAGAAGUUUAAACUUCAGCUUAUAGUCUACUAGAGUCUUAGGUUUGUACUUGCUUCAAAAAGAAUAUAAACUCCAAGCAGUAUUGGAACUGGGUGCAUUUUAUAAAAUUAUUUCAUAUAUAUACUAACUUCAAAAUAAUUCUCCAAUAUUCUUUCAGAUUGGUGGAAAGUCAAACAAGCGGAGCACUAGAAUCCAAAUGCUGCAUGUGGCUAGUUCUGCAUGAGGACAUUGAAGUAAACAAAGCCAGUUUGUAUCAGUUACAGGCAAAAAUACAUAGAAAAAUGCCACUAUGAUUUCUAACAACCAAAUGGUUGACCUUUAUAAGUUAAACCAACAGUGUAAAAUUUUAGAAAUCCUGAUAAAUAAGUCCGAACUUCAACUUAUAGUCCAGUAAAAUGGAGCUAGCUAGGAAGACUUGUAGAUCAGUAAAAACUAGAAAGUCUUUGUAUAAUCAUAUAUGUCAUAAUUGUGAUGUAUGAUUUGAGCCUUAAAGAUGUCAACUGUGUAAUAAUUUAAUAACAACACAAUUCUUUAAUUUACACUCUACAUUUAUGUCUACUUAAUUAAGUAAUCUACAACUGUGAUCUCUUAACAGCUCCAUAGUUUCAACAAAUUAUACUCAAGAUGAUAAGUUUCAACCUACCCUUAAACCUCACACUUUCUUUAAUUUAAAAUGUUUAUGCCUAGUUGUAUGCUAUAACUAUAUUCAUAGACCCUCCUCCUCUCUUACUCUUCUCCAAAGUUUUGGUAUCUGUAUUAUAAGUCCUGAAUUAUGUCAAUUUGUAAGCUGAAUGUGAACUUUAUUUCUUAAUUAAAAUCAAGUACUGGAACACGGAUUCGGGACAAAUUAACCACUGAUAUGUAAAGCUGAGUCGGGAGACCAUUACCAGAUCAUUUUGUGGGUAAAUUCCCAUCAGAUUGGCCUAAAAAGGAGCGAGUUCAUCCUAAAUACAUACUGAUGUAAUAUAGUCAACAGUUAAAUUAAUGUGAGGCAUGGUAGAUAGGCUUCUAAGUUUCAGUGAAUCUAAAAUUAAGAACUCAGAUGUUAGCUAAAUAUGAAAGAUAAGAUAAUAAUUACCCUGUUCUAUCGUGAAGUACAGCGAAGCCCAAACAAACUCGAGGGUUUUUACACUUCACCUAAUUGUCAAGAUCUUUAGCACUAGACUCUAAUGGGAUGUAGUUAGGUACGAAGGUCUAGUACAUUAUAUUUAAUCACUCCAAAUAAACAACAACAACAACAUGGCCUAAUAAAUACCACCCCUCCCGAAUCCAAAGGACCAACAUAAGCUUCCUUUACUUGAUCAGAAUUAUAUAUUAUAAUAUAAACUCUCACACAUCAGCACGGUCAUAUACGACAACAUAAUCAAAGGUCAUUUGCACAAGAAUUCACCUGUAUCUAGACAUCUGAUUGCACGUUUGCUGAAGAAGAGGAGCGGAGCAUUAUCGAAAAUCCAGAAUUUGAAGUGAUGUUCUUUCGUCACUUGAUUAAUUCCCAACUCCAUUUACAGAUGAUUGUAAUCUAUACUCUGUUUUGGUUUGAUUUGAUAUACCCAAACAAAGCGAAUAGAAAUAGCAUUGUCUUGUGUUAACCUCAACUCCGCAUGAUAAAUCACUUGAUUCACCACGCCUUACUUGAUUACAUAACAAUUCUUGAGACACACGAAUUCUAUCAAACACUUACAUGCACUCUCAGGUAAACCCCAAGUACUUAAAACGAUGUUGUUGCAUCGUUUUUGAAGGAGCUUGUUGCGAAGAAUGGAUUAAAAGUUUGAAUAUUUGGGUCAGGAGAUGAAUAGCGGUGAGUGUGUAGACUAGUUGCUGUCAGUGGGAGUGAUGAGGUGGAAGACGAGAUGGGUGCAGGGGUGUGAAGGGGUUGUCCAAACAGUUUAACCCGACCCAAAAUGACCCUAUUUUCAGUCGAACCAAAUCGAAGAUUUUAAAACGUUAUUCAAUUGGGUUGAAUCGGCUCCAACCCGGUUUUAAUGGGUUGGGUAUGGUUUUAGAUUUUAUUUGACCAACCCAAUCCAACCCGAAUGUAUUUUAAUAAAAAUAUAUUGUAUUGUAUAUAUAUAUAAUAUGGGAUGAUCAAAUACAAACCAACUUUAUCAUACAAACCUAAAAACUAGUUUCAAAAUUAACAACUAUCCCCUCAAACUUUUAAAAACUAACAAAAUCCCCCCCCCCUAGUUUUGUCAUCAACUUCCCAAAACUUACACUUUCCACUCUGUCACGUCACCCUGCCACAUCACCCUCCACGUCAGCAGUGGGGUCACCCACUGCUGACGUGACAGAUGACGUCAGCAGUGGGCCCCCAGAAAAUUUUAAGAAAAAAUAAAAAAUAAAAAGAUUGGAGUGCUCAUAGCAAAAAUAGGAGUGAAAAUAAUGGUUUUUAGGUUUGUAUGGUAGUGUGGUUUGUAGUGGAAUAGCCCCCUAUAUAAUAUAGUUACCGAAUGAAAUUAUAGUGUGAUAUAAUUGAAUUAUAAAAUUGGUAUCUUUACUAGAGUUUCCUUCAAAAUAUCUUUCCUCUAGAUGGGUGGGUCAAGAAACGGACUACAAUGUAAUGGUAGUAAUCUUCAGAAAUGCAUAAAAAUAUACCUUCACUUUUUAAUUUUUAAAUUCAUUUUUAACUUUUUCUUCAUUCAACUUCUUUCAAAAAUUAAACUAAAAUAGUUUAUUUAACUUAAACUAGUCAUAAGAAAUAAAAACAAUUGCUAGAUGAUAACAGUCAAGUUGUUCAACAAUAAAAUAAUUACACAAAAUAAAAUUAAAUAUAAUAUUUGUUAUUUUAUAAGGCAAACAAUAAGUUAGGGCUCAUUUGUUUGCUGCUGAUUAGUGCUUAAUGAGUAAUGAGCUGACCGCGUCAGCAAUUCAGCUUGUUUGUCACUAAAUUUAGGGAAGCAUAAUGAAUCAGUUCCUGUUGAGCGGCUCCGUUUUGAGUUUAUAACCCAAUGAUUCAGCACAGCGUUUACAUAUAACCCACAUGUAUAAAAAAUUAGUCUAAUCUAUAACCAAUUAUUUUUGGAUAUUCAUAUUAAUUUAUGCUUGCAAUAAAAUAUUGUUAUACUUUAAAUAAGCUCAGAUAUCAAAAAAUUUAAGACGUAGAAUUCGGUAUAAAAUUUCUAAUUCUGAUAUGAUUUAUAAUAUUGUAAUAUCAAACAUUAAUUUAUUGGAGUUAAUUUUUUUGGCUUGAAACUAAUUAAAAUACAAUGUUCUAUUUAAAUAUAAUAUUAUUAAAUUAUAGAAAUGUUUUAUGUUAAAUAAUUUUUUUUUGAUAAGAUUAUUGUAAAUUGAAUUCAUUAUUUCAAAACCUAUUUGUCGAAUGAUAUUAUUCAUUCUGGGAUUCAGAUAACUUACCAGCUCAGCUCAUUCAGAUAGGAUAACGAAUCAGAUAUUUUUAAUUCAGAUUUUCCAAAUGACCCCUUAGAUCAUAGAAGAAGGGUUGAAUAUAAUCUACAAAAAUUCCAAACUAUUUUUGCUAAACCAAUAAUAUUCAAAACACAAGAGAUCAAAAUCUAAACAGAAAUUUAAAAGAAAAGGGAUCUUAAAAAUUUCAGGUGGAUUGUUUUCUCCACCUGAGAUAUUUUUAUAUUAAGAACCUCCCGAGUAAAAAAUUUACUUGGCUGCUUACAAAAGAAUGAAGAGCUAAAGCUUACAAUUUCUGUCUUGCUAUCUCUACUGCUUUGUUUUUCAGUUCUUGAUGUGUUGGAUACAUUGAAAUAAAAAUUACAAUGCAAAUAUAUACUACGGAAUGGCUAUCAUGUGCCCUUCGGACACAUGAUAAGUAGUAAUUAAUAUAGUCAACUACUUUUAUAUGUACAUAGUUAUCAGUGUAUUUGUACAGAAAAUCAUUCAAAAAUUCAUUAACUAUGAACUACUUUUAUAUUUACUCCCUCUGUUUUUUUUAUAUGACGCUUUGACUUUUGACACACACUUUUAAGUGCUUUGACCGGAUAGUUGAAAAUAUUAUUUUUUGAAUUUUUUUUUCUGAAUAAAAAUUUUGAGUAUAUAUUAUUAUUCAGAAAAGGAAAAUUUAAAAAAAUAAUAUUUUCAACUACCCAGUCAAAGCACUUAAAAGUGUGUGCCAAAAGUCAAAGCGUCAUAUAAAAAAAACAGAGGGAGUACAUAGUUAUCAGUAUAUAUUUAUUUUUAAUUUGUCUUCUAAAUUUUAUAUUUAUAAUAAAAUAUUAUUUUAUUUCAAAAAAUGUGAGAACGUACAAUAAUUCUUUUGUCAUAUUUUAUAUGACAAUUUUUAAUUCACUACAAGAAAUUCAGCUUUUACCUACCAAUAUUAUGUGUAAGUAAAACUACUCUAUUGGUAAAUACAUAUCAUUUUUCUACUAAUAAAGUAUUGGUAGCGAGUGGUAGAUAAAGGUUAGUAGCCAAACACUAUUUACUUACACAUAUAUAAAUUGGUAAGUAAAAUAUUAUGUAGGCUCCACAUGGUAUUGAGUCAUCAGCUUAUGUGUCCAUGACACAUGUCAUGAUUAGGACUAUCCAUGUGGCGCCAUAUCAGUGGGCCAUGUGGCACCUGGUCAACAGGACAUGUGGCACCCGGUCAUCAUGCCACGUGUAUUGGGUCAUAUGUGACAACUUGGAGUGGUGCCUUGUCAUCAUACACGUGGCGCCUUUUUCGUAAUGCCACUUGGCGCCUUAUAUAUGGCCCAAAUUACAACAACUGAAUUACCACGUGUUAUUUUGCUAAUUUUUAAUUAAUAAUAUAUAAUAAUUUUUCAAUUAGUUAUUUUUUGCUUUAUUUACUCACAAAUAUGAUACUUUUAGGUGAAAAAAAUUAGAUAAAUUCUAAAAUAUCUAAUAAAAAGUGAAAUGUAACAACAUAAAAGCCUAGAUAUUUCAACAAGAAAAAAAUUAUUACAUGUUCAAAUAAUAACAGAAAAACUAGAAAGGAAUACUAAAUCAUCCUGAAUUUUCUAAAUUAGCAUGAGAGACUUCAUCUUUGGGAGAUGAUGUUUGCUGUGGCAUAAGAUUAUUCUUCUGUAGUAUGUCAACAACUUCAUUGAGACGUUCUUUCGCUUCAUUAAGUUGUUCAACUAUUUCCUGAUAGGUUGGUUGGUUUGCCUGACUGCUAGUACCAUGACCUGUUUUGGGAAUUUUAGCACUAGCAGAACGCCCCCAUCCUCGCAAGUAUACUGAACAACGACCAAGUACCGUUUCCAAGAUUUCUUUGUCUGACAAUUCUUCUGGAGAAUAUAUUUCUCUAAGAUUCAUCAUAUCCCCCUAAUAACAUAAUAUUUGAAAUUAAAAAAUAAAACAUAAAGAAGAAUUAGAAUCAUUCAGAUUGCAGAAAUAUAAGGAUAAUAGUUAUAUAAGAAACAUAUUAUGUUAGUUUAGUACAUUUGAAGUCUAUAACAAAAUACUUACAUAUAAAUCUUCAAGUCCUGGUCCAGUCCAUCCAUCUUUAUCAUGAUGAUUUUGACGCCAUGUCUCAAUGUGUCCAGUUAAAGAGGUUAAUGUCAUUCCACGUCUAAUAUGAUGUCGUGGUGUAGAAACUGACCCGUUUUCAGAAUUCCACCUUCUUUUAGAUCGAUUUAUGAUAUUCUUUGAUGCCCUUUCCUACAUAAAUAUGAUAGUAUCAUUAUAUAAUAACAUGAUAAAGCAAUAAAAUAACUAUUUAUUUUUAAAAAAGAAACCUGAAAUUUAGGAGAACACCAACGAUCACAAAGCAUCUCCCAAUCCUCUUGUUGGUAAUCUUUAAAGUCUGGAUGCCACUUCCGCUUAGCUAGUAACACAUCAUUUUGACCUCCAAUGCUUUUGAAGUAUUUAUGUAACUUGUACUUAUAGCCCUUCCAUGCUUUCCUCAUUUGUUCAUCGAUGCAUAACUUAGUUGUCUCAUCACGUAAGUCGAUAUCAAAAUUUUCCUAUAAAGCAUAAGAUAUUAUAUGAAUUCAAAAAAAUUGAUGUGUGCUGGUAAAAUAUAAAAUGAAGCAUUAUACAAUUUGAUGCAGAAAGUCCUAGAAAAAGCUCUAACACAAUAUAUUUCAUAAACAGCAUGGAAAAAAAUAAACAACUUGGGUGAUAGAAGUGGAAUCCGAAAAUAAAAAGAUGUUUGUCUAGUUAUGAACAUCAUUUGAAUUUAACAUAUGAGUUAAUUGCUGAUCUAGUAAAUAAUUUUAUAAAGCUAUAUAUUAUGUGUACUUAUUUCAUAGUCUAUUAACUGAAAUUUGGCUACUGAAAUUUGGCUGAUUAAAUUCUAAAGUCUACGACUAGCUUGUUUCAACCUCCUUUACAUUUAAACAAGCCUGGGAAAUUACACAAGAACCAGUAUAAUGGAACUGACCAGCACAUAUAUUAUAGUAAUACUAAUCAAGCAAGUUACACACGUGAUCCAGAUAAAUAAGAGCUUUGUAUUGAAACAAAAUAAUUAACAAAAAGCUUGCACUUGUGAAAAUACGUAAAGACUUUGACAUUAAGGAAGCUAGAUGAUAUCAAACUAGACAGGGGACCCCAACUUGAUAUACACCGGAGACACGUGUAAUGAUUUAGGCAAGUUAAAUUUCAACACUUAAACAAAGAAAUAACUAAGGUAAAAGAUGGAAGAUCCUGUCCAGUAGUAUAUAUUCUAAACAACAAUUAUAUACUUGUAAAUAUAUUAAAAAGAAGGAACAAGCUCGAUAUGCUGGUGUACACGCACAUAAAAACUAGCAAGUGUAUAAGAAUUUACCAGAAGAUAAUUUCGCAAUGGUGCUCUGACCUCCUCUGGAACUAGUCUCCACUCCUUGUAAUAAAAUAUACCAUGAUUUCGAACAAUAAAUCCGAUCUCAUUAUUAAACCUCUCAGCAUUGCUACAGAUUGGUUGCCGGCAGUUGUCAUCAUAUUUUUGUGAGGUUCUUUCGAUUAAAAUUACUUGUUGCAAAAAUGAAAAAUUAAAUCAUGUACUUGUAUAUUGAAUUCAAAAUAAAAUUUAAAAAAUUAAUACAUAAAUUUAGUAUAAGCUGAACGCAAAUUGGGUUUUCUAUUUAAAGAAUAUUCUUGAAAAUAAUAUUGGGAAAUGUUUCUGGAAUCCGUGAUAGUAAAAACAAUGAAAUACUGAAAAAAUAAAAUAAAUAAUGUUCAAGCUCUAAAUUGAUCACAAAAAAAAACUGAUGAGCAUCCCUCGUCAGGACCAUCCAGCUUUGUUUCAUGCUCCUGCCAUCCAGCUAAAUAUUGGUGUCGUCCGUUAAGUUUUUGUUUCGUCAGGCUAAAUAUUAAUUUGACAAAUGAUAGAUAUCGUUCGUUUGUUACCAUUCCUCUGUUAACAAACGAGGUCUAUUUACAUUUUAAGCUCAUGGAAUAGUGGGUUAUACCAUUCCUGAUUCUUUUUAAAAGGAAGUUGUUCUCUAUUUAUAAAAAUAUAAAUAUUAAAAAGCAUUUAAUUAGUUUUUAAUUUAUAUAAGUUAUUUUAAUAAUGUAUCAAUUCCCAUCUUAGUCGUUAAUUUUAAUUUAAUUGAUCCGAAUUAUCAUAAUUUUAAUUAUUCAUUCUUUUUGUGAAUUGAAUAAACAUAUUCAUAAAUACGAACUAGGUAUAUAUAUUUAAUUUAAUUUUUAUUCAUGAAAUUAAAAUCUUUCAAUAUUCCGAUUAAUUUACUUGUUUGUGAGUUAUUACAAUGCAUCACUUGUACAUAUUAUCUUUUUCAUAAUUUUCCUUCUGUAUAAAAUAAAAAGUUCAACCUUUUUUUUGCAUAAAAGAAAUCGCAAAAAAUAUAUCAUAUAAAAAUAUCUCUUUUAGAUUACUAAAAAACCUACAAAAUAUGAUAGCGUUACAUGGAAUGAGAUGGACUGUGUAUAUAAUUAUACACCUUUUAAUAUAAUUAUCUCCAUCUUAAUUAAUUUUGAUAUAUAAUUUUAAUUAAUGUAUUAUCUAUUAAAGAACAGUUAAUUAGUUUUUUAAUUUAAAUAAAUUAUUUCAAUAAAUUAUUUUAAUGUAUAUAAAAAUUGUUCGACAACUUUUAAAAUAAGACAAUAUGUGCCUAAAUUAUUAGAUCAUUCAUAGAGUAAAAUUUGACUAAAACUCAAUUAAAUAAACUCAAAAUUAACAUGUAAAAGUGAUUACAUAAGAGAAUUUGCAAGUUACAAGGAAUCAAAAGUGAUUGCAGCACCGGAGACUUGGUUGGAUUUGAGGAUCCGUGGAUCACAACUCAGCCAGUACUUCAGAAGGAAGAGUAAGCACACUCCAAAGGGUCUAUUUUCGUAUCCAGCUGAUGUAGAUGGCACCAAAUACUCUAUGCAUUGGGUUUAUGAAGUACAUAGGAAUUCCUGGCAUGUUCUGCUUGAUGCCACUGCACUAAACAUGGGGGAGGAACGAAUGACCCUGACUCUCCACAGUCCAGAUUUUGUUCUGUGCAAGCCUGACAAUACUAAUGCUCACCCUUCAGAUAUCACAUGUCUGCUAAUCAGAAGAUCUUUCGAUACAGGAGCUUCAGUUUAAGCAUACGAGCAAGCAGAUCACAUCUCACAAGGAACAUUAGUAUGAAUUAGUCAUGUGUCUGCCAGACAGCAUCAUGCAUGAAACACUUCAGCCAUAAACUAUACAUUGUGAAAUAUAAUCCAGAGCAUUGUCAUGGACAAAAAGAAUAUAGGCAGGAAGAGCCUAUGACAAAAAAAAAUCAUGAAGAGCCAAAACAUGUAAAAUAAUGUUAGUUCCCGAUUAAAAACAGAGCAUGUUAAAUAAUAUAAACCUAUGUGAAUAAUACAUGUUUCGCUACCUGUAUUUCUAGAGGUUAAAAUCAUUGCAGUCGUGCCUAUCAAUAGCUCUGUAACCAUUUUAUUUUGAUGGUCCAGAUCUGCAGCAAAGUUCAAUGUCUUUGAUAAACAGAACAAGUGUUAUAAAUACAGAACUCAAAGUUUUGCUGAAAUACAUUAUAAACUACCUGAUUCCUUUUAGUAUCAGGCAUCUGAUUCAUUUUCAGAAGAGGCUUCACUGUCAUGGUCACUUGAAACAAUUUCUUCACUGUCUAUAAAUAUCUCUCCAUCAUCAAACAGUUCAUUUUGUUCAGCUUCAUCUAGAUCAUCUUCAUCGCAUGUAGUUUGCUUUUUAUCGUUGGAAAACAAAUCAGCAACAAGUCCCCUUGAAAGACUUAAAGAUGUAACGUCUCUUCGAACUAAAGAUGAACUUUCAAUUAAAUCCUCACUCGGUUGAAAAGAUGGCAGGUGAACUGAUUCUUCUUCUUGAAAUACAUCAUUGUUUGAUAAAUCAUUAACCACCUCACAUGUUUCAGGAAUGUCAUAUAUAGAACGGUGAUUUACUCUUUGAACAAACCUCCAAUUUGAACCACGUUUCACGUCAAGCAGAUAAAAAACUUGUUGAGCUUGUGUUGCUAAAAAUAAAUGGUUCAUUAGGAUACCAAUCAACUGAUGUAUUAAUGGAUGUAAGAUUAUUAUCCAUGCAGAUCGAUCUGCCCCUAGGACUAGAGUUAUACCACUUACACCGGAAUAAGAAAACUUUUCGAUCAAAAAGAAAUGAUAAUUCCAAAAUCUCAGUCAAAACUCCAUAGUAAAUAAGGUUCUCAUUAUCAUGAUCACCUUAGUGCAAACUCCAGAACAUUGUGUUUUAAGAGUAUCAUCAUGCUCUUUGCAACGAAAUCGAACACCAUUUACCACACAACUUGUAUAACUAUGAUAUCGCUCUAGUGGACCUUGAGAUAAAGAGUACAAAUCCUCAUUGAUACUAGUUGAGUUUUGGACUUGCAUUUGGGAUAUCUACAAAAGCAUAUAACAUAUAUGAAGGGCAGGACACCAAAGUUAAGAAAAAAUUAAAUACAAAUUCUCACCUUUUUCUUAAACCAUGAUGGGAAUUCUUCUCUUUGUCUCACUUCAGUGGCUGAAUAUGGCAGGCCUCCCUCGAGCAAUAUUGUUCUGUGCUCACUGCAUGAAAAAUAUUUAUUUGACAAAGUGAUGUAAAUAUACAAGUCAUAUAAAUAUAUAAGGGAUAUAAGUAUGAUGCACCAAUAAUAAUAAAAAGUAAAGUACUUGCUCAAGAUAUGUUUGAAUAUCAUCUGCAGAAUUGUUUAAUAUAUACCAUUGAAUUGCAUUCUUCCAAUUUUGGAGCAAUCGAAUACAAGAUGCCCCUAAUGGACGUGUAUUAGACUUAAACACAUCCAUAUGAUGAUUUGGAAGAGGUAAAUCCCAAUUGCGUUCAGGUCUGGUAAAUCUUGUUUCUAUAUUCGGAACAUAUCUGGCUAAAAAACUCACAGCUUCAUCUACAAUAUAAGCUUCUGCAAUUGAACCAUCUGGUCUAGCCAUAUUUUUCACAUAUUUCUUAUAUAAACCCAUUUGACGUUCUGUCUCAAACAUCCAUCUCGGAGCAACCGGGCCACCUAACAACACUUGAUCAGGCAAGUGUACACAAAGAUGUAGCAUUAUGGUAAAAAAAGACAGAGGAAAUAUCUUCUCCAGCUUGCACAAAAUUAUUACAAUUCCCUGCCUUAAUUCUUCAAUGUCAGAAAUACGUAUAGUUUUGGCACAAAUUUUUUGAAAAAACUGGCAUAACUCUAUCAAAGUACCACGAAUGUUUUUCGUCAAAUAAGGGAGUAAUGCAACUGGCAAUAUCUUUUGAAGUAAAACAUGACAGUCAUGUGUUUUCAUUCCUUUCAGCUUGUUAUUAUCUGUAACACAUCGACUAAUAUUUGAAGCAUACCCAUCUGGUACUCUUACACUACGAAUAAAUUGGCAAAAACUCUUGCAUUCUUCUUUUGUAAGAGUAUAACUGGCAUGGGGUUUUUCAUAUUUAUUAUUAGUUUUCUGUCUUAACCAAAGCUCUUCACGGAUAUUUAAAUCUUGCAAAUCUUUACGAGCUUUCAAAUUGUCUUUUGAUUUACCUUCAAUAUCUAAAAGUGUGCCAAUAAUAUUAUCACAGACAUUCUUCUCUAUAUGCAUCACAUCAAGAUUAUGUCGCAAUAAGAGUUUUGACCAAUAUGGCAAGUCGAACAAAAUACUUCUUUUACUCCAGUUUAACUCUUUGGCUCCACGCUUACGUUUUCUAGAAGAAUUAUUUGGGGCUUUACCAGUUGUACGUGUAGGAACCUCCUCUAACUGUUUUAAAAUGUCUUCACCUGUAAAAGUUCUAGGGGGACCACGUAACUCGUUAGAUCCAUCAUAUUCUUUACUUCUUCUCCAAGGAUGUUUGGCAUCUAAAUAACACCUAUGUCCUAUAAAACAUUGUUUGUCGGUUAUUCUUCUAGAUCUAGUGUCCUCCAAACAAACUGGACAAGCCAAUUUUCCAGCAGUGCUCCAGCCAGAUAGGUAUGCAUAAGCGGGGAAAUCACUAAUUGUCCAUAAUACUACAGCUCUUAGUUUAAACAUGCAAUUAGUGUAUGAAUCAUAUGCAUCUAUUCCAUCCCACAACUCCUUAAGUUCUUCAAUUAAUGGCUGCAAGAACACAUCAAAGUCCUUCCCAGGAGAUUUUGGACCUGGUAUUAAUAAAGCCAUGAGAUUAUUGGUACCAUUCGGAGAAGCCCAAGGUGGCAUGUUAUAAGGAAUUAAUAUCACCGGCCACAAACUAUAGGUUGAUGAAAGGUUUGAGAAAGGGUUAAACCCAUCAGAUGCCAACCCCAUUCGAAUACUCCUGGAAUCUUUAGCAAAGUCAGGAUAUGUAUUAUCAAAAUGCUUCCAGGCCAUCCCAUCAGCCGGAUGUCGUAAUAUACCAUUUUCAGUUUUACGCACUUCUUUAUGCCAUCUCAUGUCUUUUGAAGUAUGUUUGGAGUUAAAAAAUCUCUUAAGUCGAGCCUUUACUGGAAACCAUCUAAGCCGCUUAUGGGGGAUUUUAUUCCUUACAUAACGACUAGAUUGACAGAUGACGUCAGCAGUGGGCCCCCCAGAAAAUUUAAAAAAAAAUAAAAAAUAAAAAGAUUGGAGUGCUCAUAGCAAAAAUAGGAGUGGAAAUAGUGGUUUUUAGGUUUGUAUGGUAGUGUGAUUUGUAGUGGAAUAGCCCCCUAUAGGGCUGAGCAGAACCGAACCGAAACCGAAAAACCGGACCGGACCGAAUAAUUUCGGUCCGGUUCGGUCCUAAUUUUCUGAAAAUUCGGUCCGUUCGGGUAUUUCGGUCCGGACCGAAAUAAAAUACGGUCCGGUCCGGUCCCCAUCGAAAAAUUUCGGUCCUGGACCGAAUGGACCGAACUUUUAUAUAUAAUAUAAAUAAUAUUUUUAUUUUAUAUUUUAAAUACCAUAUUAUAAUUAUACUAUCUAAUAUCUAUAGACUAUAUUCACCGUCGAGACUCUCUAUACCUAAUCUAAUCGAGCAUACGUAUACCUAAUCGAGCAUGACAGCAUGAGUUAGUUCCAUGAACAUGAGCAGCAGAGCAUCAGCGGACAAACAAAAUGAUGAAGAGUUGAAGACUAGUAGUAGCAGACUAUUUAUUUUAUUUUUGAACUAGCAGACUUGAGACUACUGUGGUGGUUUUUAAAAUUUAUAAACUUAUGACUAUUUUGGACUAUCUUUUUUCUCUUUUAUCAUGCUUGCUGAUUUUUUUUGUAAAUACAGAUUAAUUUUUUUUUAAUUCGGUUCUGGCGGACCGGACCGGACCGACCGAAUUAUUUCGGUUCGGUCCCGGUUCGGUCCAUAUGCAAACUUCGGUCCGGUCCGGUCCAGAAAAUUUUCAAAGUUCGGUCCUCGGUCCGUUCGGUCCGGUCCGGUUCUGGACCGAACCGACCGAAUGCUCAGCCCUAGCCCCCUAUAUAAUAUAGUUACCGAAUGAAAUUAUAAAGUUAGUGUGAUAUAAUUGAAUUAUAAUAUUGGUAUCUUUACUAGAGUUUCCUUCAAAAUAUCUUUCCUGCACAUUUGUCACUCUUUUGCUUGUCUUUUGAGAGCUGGAUAGUGAAGCUACUAUUCUUCAAAAAUUCCAGCUUAUUUUAAUGCUCUAUAAAUUGUAAGCAAUUUUAAAACUUCUAAAUAUGCAAUUUAGCGGCUGGUAACCCGUCCAAAUCGGCCCAAACCAACCCAACCUGAAGCAUGACAAAUUGGGUUGGGUUAUAAAAUAAUUUUAAUGGGUUGGGUUCGAAAAUUAGGAAACCAAUAUUAAUGGGUUAGGUCGAUAAAAAAUUUAAACCGGGCCAACCCGGCCCGCGUACACCUCUAGAUGGGUGGGUCAAGAAACGGACUACAAUGUAAUGGUAGUAAUCUUCAGAAAUGCAUAAAAAUAUACCUUCACUUUUUAAUUUUUAAAUUCAUUUUUAACUUUUUCUUCAUUCAACUUCUUUCAAAAAUUAAACUAAAAUAGUUUAUUUAACUUAAACUAGUCAUAAGAAAUAAAAACAAUUGCUAGAUGAUAACAGUCAAGUUGUUCAACAAUAAAAUAAUUACACAAAAUAAAAUUAAAUAUAAUAUUUGUUAUUUUAUAAGGCAAACAAUAAGUUAGGGUUCAUUUGUUUGCUGCUGAUUAGUGCUUAAUGAGUAAUGAGCUGACCGCGUCAGCAAUUCAGCUUGUUUGUCACUAAAUUUUAGGGAAGCAUAAUGAAUCUGUUCCUGUUGAGCGGCUCCGUUUUGAGUUUAUAACCCAAUGAUUCAGCACAGCGUUUACAUAUAACCCACAUGUAUAAAAAAAUUAGUCUAAUCUAUAACCAAUUAUUUUUGGAUAUUCAUAUUAAUUUAUGCUUGCAAUAAUAUUGUUAUACUUUAAAUAAGCUCAGAUAUCAAAAAAUUUAAGACGUAGAAUUCUGUAUAAAAUUUCUAAUUCUGAUAUGAUUUAUAAUAUUGUAAUAUCAAAUAUUAAUUUAUUGGAGUUAAUUUUUUUGGCUUAAAACUAAUUAAAAUACAAUGUUCUAUUUAAAUAUAAUAUUAUUAAAUUAUAGAAAUGUUUUAUGUUAAAUAAAAUUUUUUUUGAUAAGAUUAUUGUAAAUUGAAUUCAUUAUUUCAAAACCUAUUUGUCGAAUGAUAUUAUUCAUUUUGGGAUUCAGAUAACUUACCAGCUCAGCUCAUUCAGAUAGGAUAACGAAUCAGAUAUUUUUAAUUCAGAUUUUCCAAAUGACCCCUUAGAUCAUAGAAGAAGGGUUGAAUAUAAUCUACAAAAAUUCCAAACUAUUUUUGCUAAACCAAUAAUAUUCAAAACACAAGAGAUCAAAAUCUAAACAGAAAUUUAAAAGAAAAAGGAUAUUAAAAAUUUCAGGUGGAUUGUUUUCUCCACCUGAGAUAUUUUUAUAUUUAGAACCUCCCAAGUAAAAAAUUUACUUGGCUGCUUACAAAAGAAUGAAGAGCUAAAGCCUACAAUUUCUUUCUUGCUAUCUCUACUGCUUUGUUUUUCAGUUCUUGAUGUGUUGGAUACAUUGAAAUAAAAAUUACAAUGCAAAUAUAUACUACGGAAUGGCUAUCAUGUGCCCUUCGGACACAUGAUAAGUAGUAAUUAAUAUAGUCAACUACUUUUAUAUGUACAUAGUUAUCAGUGUAUUUGUACAGAAAAUCAUUCAAAAAUUCAUUAACUAUGAACUACUUUUAUAUUUACUCCCUCUGUUUUUUUUAUAUGACGCUUUGACUUUUGACACACACUUUUAAGUGCUUUGACCGGGUAGUUGAAAAUAUUAUUUUUUGAAUUUUUUUUUCUGAAUAAAAAUUUUGAGUAUAUAUUAUUAUUCAGAAAAAGAAAAUUUAAAAAAAUAAUAUUUUUAACUACCCAGUCAAAGCACUUAAAAGUGUGUGCCAAAAGUCAAAGCGUCAUAUAAAAAAAACAGAGGGAGUACAUAGUUAUCAGUAUAUAUUUAUUUUUAAUUUGUCUUCUAAAUUUUAUAUUUAUAAUAAAAUAUUAUUUUAUUUCAAAAAAUGUGAGAACGUAUAAUAAUUCUUUUGUCAUAUUUUAUAUGACAAUUUUUAAUUGUUUUCAUCCACAAAUAAUAACGAGGCUCCCCUACUCUUUUUCUAAUAGUUACAAAUAUAGAAUUUCUUUGACUUGAUAAUACUUUUGGCAGCUUGAAAUUCUUUUUUUCUUUGCUAGAAAUAGAAGGCUUCGAGGUUCUCAAUAUUUGACUAAACUCAUUUUGGUUUAGCUUCCAAAAGUGGUGCACCACCUUUCACAUCAACCCGUGUGACUUUUGUCCUUUACUUGAUUUGUAACUGUCAAUUGAUAGUCAUCAACUGCUAGAAAGUAUGUAGCCGAUGAUAGCUUCUUGAAUCAUCAAUUGAUAACUCUACUUGUUAGGCGUUGAUGGAUUGAUGCAGCUUUUGAUGAUGUACUUUAUUCAGCCGUUGAUGUCUUGACUAGCCAUUGAUCUUCACUUCACUUGUAAAGAUUACAUGAUUUCAAAUAUUUACAAUUAUGUCACCCUAUAUAUAGGGCUGAGCAAAACUGAAUCGGAACCGAAGAACCGAACUUAACUGUGAAAAUUCAGUCCGGUUCGGUUUUUUUUUCAGAAUUUCGAUCUUUUCGGUUUUUCGGUCCGGAUUGAAUUAAAUUUCGGUCCGGUCCUUUUGAAAAAAUUUUGGUUCCGGACCGAAUAGACCGAACUAUUUAUAUUAAUUAUUUAAUAUAUCAAAUAUAAUAUAUGUUAUAUGUUUUAGUUGUAACUUGCAAGCCACAGACACAGACUUCUCACUCCCAGUUCAGCCAGGAACGGUGCAUCAUUACAGAUUCAAAGUUAUUCACUAAAGAAAACAAACGUAGGAUAAACCAGCAGGCAACAGCUAUCCACCAACCCUCACGACCUUGGGCCACUGUACAGAUUCAGACACACAAUUAGCAGUACACUAGUCUCUAGGUCUGCAAGUAUAUUCUAAUGCACACUUGUACCAGGAAGUGAUUAACAGAAAUAGACUAACAAACUAAGCUUGUGAUUUUCAUAUUUUUGAUAAAAAAAUUCGGUUAUUAUGGAAAGAACCUAACCGAACCGGAAUAUUUCGGUUCGGUUUUGGUUCAGUCCAUAUGCUAAUUUUGGUCCGGUUUGGUCCGGGAAAAAUUUCAAACUCGGUUUUCGGUUCCUUCGGUUCGGUCACGAACCGACCGAAUGCUCAACCCUACCUAUAUAUACAUUCACUGAUAGAACAAUUGCUAUAUCAGUUGAUCACUAUAACAUGUAUCAACUGCUAGGAUACCUACAGUUUUGUUACAGUACCACAUCAGCCGUUGAUCAAUGGCUGCUACAAUAAGUAUGCUAGCCAUUGAUCAGCUACAUUAAAAAAUUACUAAGUACAAAAACUAAGUGUUUUGUAUCAUUAAGUAUAACAUAUUCCUAACAAUCUCCCCCUAUAUAUAUUUGGUGGAAAUUCAGAUAUAAAUUAUGGGUACUUGAUAAUAACAAAACACUAUACAAAGAAAAUUACAAAGAAGAAUCAUUGAGUUGAAGAAUAUGUAAGAUUGUCAGUAUGUAAAAUACAAGAGUUAAAGAGAAUACAGUACAGAUGAAGUGCUCCUCUAGACGGAGCAAAUUAGAGUCAUUUCUUUUCUCUUGCUUUGUCUUCACUCCUUUUGUUGAACCUCUCUUCCCUUGCUUUUCCAACUUAAUAUGAUCUCUCUUUGCCGAGCUGCAAUAAAGUCAGCUUCUUCAGAAAUCUUUUGAUUGAGUAGUUUCUUCAUGUGCCUAUGAGUAUCAAUAUCGCCUUCUUAGCAUAGUCCUCCAGCCUAAAAAAUCUUUUGAUUCUUUGUUUAUCCCUAAAAGUUAUCAGCUUAGAAGGUUGAUCAUGAACAACUUUGCCAAUAUUAGGGAUGGACAAUCUCAAUGGUAGGCCUGUAGGAUUACUCCAUCUUCUUUGAAUAAUGCUUCACACCACUUGCAAAUCCGCUUCUUGUAUCCAUCUUCAUAUAGAUAGUCUUGAGAGCAUAGUAAUCUUGAUCAAGUAUUCUUUAUAAUGGCUAAGUGAUCUUGGGUACAGCUUUGUAGAUGAAUUCCAACCUUUCAGGAUAUUUGUGAGUUGCUGCCAAAGCCCUUACUUUCUCAAAUUCAUUUAGAUAUAGCUUAAUGUGAGGCUGUUCACUAAGAUAAAUGACAUAAGAAAAAUUUGUCUUGGGAACUUUGACAAUCUCAGACACAGGUGGAAUUACAACUUCUCUAGAUGGAGAUUUUACUUUAACUGGCCCAACUGGAUCAAAUCUCUUAAGAUUACCUUGUUUCUUCUCAAUUUGCACAGGCUUAGAGAUUUUUCUUCUUAAAAAAGAUUUACCUUUCUUAGAUCCAAGAGAAUCAGCCUUCUCAUCUUCUUUGGAGAUAAAGAUUUUCUCAUCUUCUUUGGAGAAAAAUUAAGAGAAGGACGUGAAAAUUAUACCUUAAUAGAAGUUGUUUAUGUUCAAGAUCUUGGCUAGUUUUAUGUUUGGAAGAUUUUUAUGUCGUCGUAGCGGAUGUUGAAGAUUCUGCCAUGUAUAAUUUUUUUGGUUGAUUUGUAUUUGUAUGACGGGGUUUUUGUAACAAUCGUUAAAUUUCACAAGUACGUAAAAUAUAGUUAUUUAAUUAUUUACCGUGUAAAAAAAUAUAUAUUUUAUUAGUCUCGGAUUUAAUAAAAAUUUAUAGUGCGAGAAGUCUAUAUCAAAAUAGUGUAGCCACGAAAAGGCUAGAAGACACGUAAUAUUAUUUGGUAUGGAUCAGUCUUUUAAUCUAAAUAUAUACGUUAACCAGAAAGCUGCGUUUAUACAAAAAAUAGAAUAGACACGAAUAUUUAUUUAUUGACCGACUCAUAAAUAAAUAUUGCGUCUUGGUCGAGAUGAUUAUUUUAUUCUUAUUAUUUUAUAAUUUUGGGGUUGGCCAGAAAAUAUUAAAAUAAUUAGUAAUAUAUUUAUUUAAGUAUUUUGUAUGAUUUUGAAUUGUUUAAUAUUCACGUUUAAUUAAAAACUGAAACGAAAAUAAUCCGAGCGGGAUCGAGUAAAUUAAUAAUUAAAAGUUUCUUGGGGCGUAAGAAAAAAAACUUCUAGCCCAAGUCUUUUUCCUUGGCGCCCAAGUAAGCUAAUAAUUAGGAAUAAAUUAAGAGUGGAUUAGUGAGAUAAUUACAAUUAAAAAUUUAGUAUAAAAGCGACAAGCCAAGACACCUACAUUUUCAGUGGUGCAAAAAUUAUAGAGUUUUUUUUUUUUUGAAACGCAAGAACUUUUAUUGAUAACCAAUCUCCAACAAGAGAAAGGUGGGAACAGUACACUAAGGUUGAAACUGAGACUUCCUAGGUCUGCACAUUGGCUAAACAUCCGAAACUGAAAUUAGAACUGAAACUACCGGAACUGAAACUAGAACUGAAGUACUAUCCUAACUUUAUUAGGCUACAACAUAUAACUACAGUUGUAGCUUGCUCUAAUAUUACUAGUGCCCACAAGCAAGCAUUUUCUUAGUCAAUAUCCUCCAUGGGAGGGACACCUUGAGAUGUUGUAAUUCACCAGAGAUCUCAUGAUGGAAGAUCUUCAUCUACAUGCAUUGGCCCAAGGAGUUGACCUGAUUCUUUAAUGCUCACACCAGCCUGCAAUCAUUUUCCUCCUGCGAGCUCCAUCUUUGGAGAAUUGAUCUGCCAGGACAUUUAAAUGCCUAGGAAUAUAAAGAAGGGUGACUUUGUGGACAAAAAUAUUAUUAUGCAGUUCCUGUAAAUGUGUAUCCCAGUAAACUCCCCGUUUGAACUUCAGGAAAUUAUUUACCAAAGUAGUUGAAUCAGUAAGGAUAAUACAGGAGCGAAUACCCAGACAAUUAUGCUGUAAAUGGUCCAUCAUGAUCACUAAAGCUUUAACUUCUGCGUCAUAAUUAGACUGAACUUCCACAGGGCCUGAAAAAACUAACUUGCAUAAUCUUUUAUUAUUUAUUAUCACUCCUCCCACACCAGCCAGUAUAUUUCCGUCAAGCCUUUAAUUGAAACGAUCCAUCAAUAAAGCCCGCAUAUUGAUAGAUGGACAACCAGUUUGUGAGCCAGGAAUUCAGAUUUUUCCGAGAAUAUAUGUGGACUGAAUGGGCUGGAGAUAUCGCCCAGCUGCUCAUCAAACUCUGAGAGAUUAACUUCGCUGCACGGGCCCAUAAGAAUGCUCUGUAUUUAAUUGCUAGUUCCAGACUUUUAGGUGAAAUUCUGAAACCCCUAAAAAUUAAUUCGUUGCGAGCAAUCCAUAUUGACCAGAACAUAGAGGCUAAACAUAUGCUUCCACUUACAUGUUUGUAGAGAACGCGUAUCCGUUGGAAACUCCCUGAGAAACUUGUGACUCCAUCCUGCCAACUGCUUACUUCGAGCCAUUUGUUUAAACAUUCCCACCCCAUCUUAGCCAACGAACACUGAAAAAAUAAGUGUGCUUGUGUUUCUUCCUCAGCAUUGCACCACUUACAUAAAUUCUCAAAUCUGACUGAUCUACGCUUUAGAAGGUCGUAAGUGGGAAGUCUAUUGUGUUCUGCUUGCCAUAAGAAAACCUUAAUACGUGGAGGUCAUACACCAGAUUUGAGACCAUGAUCUAUUGUUAUGUGAAAAUUCCGUUAACCUUUGAUAAACUGCAGCUGAAGUUAGAGAAUUAUUGUUUGCAACCCAUAUUAUUCUGUCUUCCUUGUCUUGCAGGACCACCUCGUUGACAAUUUGCUUGAGAUAUUCUAGCUGACUGAUUUCUUCACGGGAAGACAAAGAACUAACAUCUAUUAUUUCUUCCCAGGAAGAACAAUUGACUAUUUGGGAGACAGACAGUGAUGGAUCUCUAAGUCGCGUAAAUAGCAAAUUCAACCGCCCUUUAAGAACACCCUGUCGAUGCCAGUUAUCAAGCCAAAAUUCUAUUGUUACACCAUUACCUAAUUCCCACUUGAUAUUUUGCCAGGAACAGCAGCUGCUAAAACAUGCGUCAGAAAUCAUGAUCACACUCUUAAUAACUGGAGAGGCAUUAAUUUUUAAUUUAUUUUUCCAAGCCUCGCGCAAAGUGUUGAGACAGUCAGCCCCAUAUUUUCCUACCAGAAUUUUCCUCCAUAAACCAUUUUUCUCUUUGUAGAAUCUCCACCACCAUUUUGCCAAUAAUGCCUCAUUUUUAGUAUCUAAAAAUCCUAUUCCUAAACCCCCUUCCUUCUUAGGUUGACAGAUAGUGGACCAUCCAAUCAAAUGCAUCUUCCUGCAGUGAUUAUCUCGCUCAUCUAAUUCUUUCCAGAAAAAACCUCUCCUUAUUUUGUCUAUUGCAUCAUUGAUUUCUUUGGAGGUUUUGAAGACACUAAACCAAUAUAUUGGCAAAUUGUUCAGUGUUGAUUUAAUCAACGUAGCUCGGCCUGCCUUAUUAAGAAUAUGACUCUUCCAAGAGCUUAACCUGGUCUUGACCUUAGUUAGGAUAGGUUUCCAAAAGGUCCGUCUUUUCGGAGAAACUCCCACUUGGAAGCCAACAUAUGGGAAUGGCCAUGAACCACUUUGACAACCUAAAAUCUGCGCACAUUGUUUUACCAAGUCUGAGCCUGGUUCAUGUGCAUAGAGUACGCUUUUUCUAAAAUUAAUUUUUAGACCUGAUAAUAUUUGAAACAGGAGUAAUAUUAACUUCACACCCUGGCAAUCCAAAAUUGAGUUCUCGGAAAAAAGAAUUGUAUCAUCUGCAUACUGGACAUGCGAGAUAGGAGGACUACUUCCCAAAAUCAGCCCCUUAAAAAAACCAAGCUCCAUUGCUUUGUCUAAUAGUAAAUGAAGAAGGUCUGCUACCAAAUUAAAGAGCAUAGGUGACAUAGGGUCACCCUGUCGUAACCCUCUAGACAUUCCAAAUUCGCGUGUUGGGCUACCAUUAACUAAAAUUGACAUCCGAGUACUUUCCAAAAUUACUUUGAUCCAUUGAAUCCACUUAUUUCCAAAUCCGAAUGCAUUAAGGGCUUUGAAGAGAAAAUUCCAGUUAACCGAAUCAAACGCUUUCUCGAAAUCUAAUUUCAAAAUGAAGCCUUUGACUCGUUUCGAUUGCACACUAUGCACCACUUCCUGAGUAACUAGGAAACUGUCUGUGAUAUUACGGCUUUUGAUAAAUCCAGACUGGACCUCUGAUACUAAAGAUGGGAUGUGUUGUCCUAGACGUAACGAGAGUGCCUUUAAUAGUAUCUUUAACACACAGUUUAUCAAGCUUAUUGGACGGAAGUCGCACACUGAAGUUGGAGUCUCUUUUUUGGGAAUUAAGCAAAUAAAUGAGGAAUUGAGGCCAUUAGGAAGCUUACCUUGAUAACAAAACUCCUGGACCAUUUUCAGGACAUCCGGAUGAAUGCUUGUCCACAUCUUUUUAAGGUACUCAACAGAGAUACCAUCAGGUCCUGGAGAUUUGUUAGAGUCCAUGCUCAUCAAGGCUCCAAAUAAUUCUUCAAGAGUAAAUUCUCGCUCCAACUGGAGCGUCUCAUCUGCACUUAAUUGUUUAGUUAUAAGCCCUUGUAUGUCAAAAUUGAUUUCAGGCUGCUCUCUGUUGAAAAAACCUUCAAAAUGAUCCAGAAAUAGAUUCUUAAUUUGAUCCGGUCUGUGAUACCAUAUUCCAUCGUGCAAAAUUCCACGAAUGUGAUUUUGCUUUCUUCUAUACUGAACCAAUCUGUGAAAGUACUUCGAGUUGCUAUCUCCAUGUAACUCCCAGUUAAGUUUGGCUUGCUGACGUAGAAUCUGUUCUUGCUCGCGAUAUAACUCCCAAAGUUGCUCUUCUGUUGCCUGCAAUUCUGGCUCACUAUCUGAUUUUCCCAACAAUGUAUUUCUUCGAUUUUCAAGACGUGAAAUGACAUCUGAGGGUUUUUCAUUAACCCUGUACCAUUCUUUAAUAGUCCAACGAAGAGAUUUUAGUUUUCCGUGCAAGUUUAAGUUGGACUCUGACAUCCGACCCCAAUGAUCUGUAACCAUCUUAAGAAAAUCAUCUUUUGCCAACCAAGCAUUGUAUACCUUGAAAGGUUUAUAUCCCCAAUCCAUACGGCCUUGACUGAGUAAAAUUGCAGCGUGAUCUGAGCUCAUCUUUCCUUGAGACUCUAACAACCAUUCUCCUUUCUCUUCCCAUACAUGAUUAAUAAUGGCCCGGUCCAGUCUGCUGCAUUUACUACCUGGUCCAAACCAAGUAUACUCUCCCUUGUGGAUUGGAACGUCCCAUAGGCCGGCCCUUGCUAGAAAUUCCUUCAGCUCCUCUGUAUCAGACUUUCUAUACUGACAAUUGUAUCUAUCUUGUUUAGAUAGAAUACAAUUAAAGUCUCCAAUUAUGCAUAUAGGUAAUGAAGAAAAACGAUCAAGCAGCAAAUUUAAAUUUUGCCACACUUGUCUUCUACGCUUUCUUUUAUGGGGCAUAUAAAGAUUUACACAACAAAAUUCUUCAUGAGGUUGUGACUUGAGCGAUCCGUGAAACCAAAUCCAGUUUUGAUCACUGUAUUGACUAAUUUUCGUCAUCAUGGUUGCAUCCCACGAUAUAGCUAAUCCCCCCGAUAAGCCUUGCGAAUUCACUGUGAUCCAUUCAUGCAACUUGCUGUCCCAAAUGGCUUCUUUUUGAAAUACUGUCCAAUUAUCACAUUUCGUCUCUUGUAAACAUAAUAUAUUUGCUUGCGUUGACCUGCUUAUUUGUCUGACUUUCCGCCUAGUAAGCGAAUUAUUUAUACCUCUACAAUUCCAACUAAUAAUUCGGAUGUGAUUCAUUGAUAACCUUAAGAUAUCUGAAAAGAAUGGAACUAAGAUUCUAGUACCAUUUUCUGAAUUUUUUCAUAUGCUUGUUGCCUGUCCUCUUGGAGAACCAGUCCCAUCAUUUCAGCUGUCUCUAGGAUUUGAGAUGUCAUGUCCUUCCCACUUUCCAACAGCUGGACUCCUCCUGGUUUAUGUGAAGGCUCCUGGGCCAUCUUUCUUUUCCCACGUUUGUCGGGACUUUUAAAUGCCUUAACCAAUUUAUCUGACUGAACUUUGGUGUUCUUCCUUUUUCGCUUCUUGAAACUCUUAAUAUCGAACACAUUUCUGAACUCUACCUUUUUCCUUGGUCGUCCUACUUUCUUGCCUAAAUUGACUUGAGACAUGCUUGUUACAAAUUGAGUAUCAAGUUGUUCCUGCGGGCCAAAAAAAUAUAUUUCAUCUCCACGUACCUCUUCUACUUCUGCAAGAUCAUAUGCUUUAUUCAUACAUGCAGAAAACAGGCCAUCCUGCCUCUUAGAGGAGUCCGAAGAGGAGUUGUCAGCUGGUUCUCGCAAGUUCCAUUUACCAUACUCCCAUUGGUCUAAGUGUAAGAUAUGAUCUCGGGCUGACAAAUCAUUGCUCUGGCUCUUUGGACGUCGAUUAUCUUGCAUGUCAAGGAUGUAACUUGAUUGUUCCUCAGGGUGAAAACUAUUCUCUAUACUUUGAUUACUACUUCUGGAGACCUCUUUCUCCGACUCUGGAAGUUGUGAUGAGGUCUGAGAAGCAGACUCUGGCUCUUUAUGUCGCUGUCCUAAAUCAUGCCCCCACACCACAAUAUUUGUUUCUUUUAUCUUCACCCAGUAGCCUAAACCCCUCACCAUUACUUUGAGGGUUUCCUCAAUUGGUAUAACCUUCCAUGUUGUAAUACAAACCAUUCUGUUAUGCUUGUUGAACAUCUCCAUAUUUUCCGGAAAUGUAGAGACUAGCGAACCCCAAUCUCCCAAUAUGAGCUCCCAUGUUUCCUUGUUCCAUGCAGAUAAUGGUAAUCCAUCGCACAGAAUCCAUGUAGUUCUAGGAAGAACUAAAUCAGAGUCCUCCACCUUUUUGAAACUCGUGAACAUGUCCUUAAUGCCAUCUAUUUCUAGGUCUUUGUCCUCGUCUAGAAUAUACGAGAUUAAAAAGGUCUUGUCUGACAGGUGUCUGACUUGAAUAAAAGUGAACCCUCUGUUUAGGAUUUUCUCUUGUAGCACAUCCUCUUGUACAGUUUCUGCUGUUGUUCCAAUGAAGCUUCUAUUAAGAAGCUUGCUGCAAUUAGGUGUGAUCGUGCCCUGGACCGUGCGGAAACUUGGUUGCUUGACCAAAUCAACCUUUUCUUUAUCAAUGUUGGGUACCCUAUUUGAUUUGACCUCCUUGACGUAGUGCUUGUUUUGGGAUAGUUUCCCAUCGACGCUUUCGAGUUCCUGCCUGCCUGACCAUUUCCAAGUUGGAGAUGCUUGGACUCGUCGAUGGGAGUCUCGAGCCAAGUACACAACCAACUUGUUGCUCCCCAUCCAUCUUCCAUUAAAAUCUGUAAUUAACUCCUGGGCUUCACUCAGCUUCGCCACUAUUAAAAAACCAAAUCUUUUGUUAAACUUGUCCUUCUUCCGAGGAAGGACAUUUUUUUUGAUGUAUCGCUUGCCAUUGAAGCGAAGCCACAUCUCUCUAAUGUUUGUGUGCUCUGGCAGAUUAUUUAUCAUCACCGACAAACAUCCAUUCCUAGUGAUCUUCUGUUUGAUGGGAUCUUCUGAGCAGGGUUCCUUUCUCCUUGCCGGUACAGAACCUGUUAGUACCUGUGCGUAUGUUUGCUCGCGUCCAUAGUCUCCAUAAGCUGUAUGUUGUUGGCCUGAUGUAGCACCGUUGUCAGGUACAAUGACUCGUUUUCCGGUAGUCGGAUGACGGGAGAUCCGGAACCACUGACCUUCCCUGGAGUUUCGAUCAUCUCCUGGUUGUUCAUUUGAAAUUUUGAAAUUUGAAUUUCUAAACUCACUUUUCUCUCUCCUCAUAUUCUCUUUUUAAGACGUGUUUUUGGUGGACAAAAAGUUAACAAACGUUAACGUCAAUACUAGUAAUUACCUAGUCAAUACUCUGUUCUAAAAGUCGGUAAAAAAUUAUAGAGUUGGAAAAGCAGAGAAGUAAAGUAAGUAUCAGUAAAAUUGGAAAGGAAGGUGAUUUUUCGUCGCAAAAUCCGGAUUAACAAGGUAAAUAUACUAAUUUUUUCCAUUAAUAUGAAAUCAAGUCUCUUUAUAGCUUUUGAUGGUGAAAUGACUGAAAUCCUAUUCAUGUGGACCCAUCCUCCUAUUUUAUUCUCUUUUACACUACUGAGUUUAUAAACAAAUUAGUAACCUUAUAAACAAUAACUAGCAUUAAAGCCCCGUGCUUGCACGGGGCUGUGGUUUAUAUUGUAUUUUAUUUUUGACAAAAUAAAGAAUAUGAAAAUGUAAAUUUGCAACCUAUAACAUUAUUAUUAAUAAUAAUAAUAACGAUAAUAAUAAUAAUAAUGAUAAUAAUAAUAAUAAUAAUAAUAAUAAUAAUAAUAAUAAUAAUAAUAAUAAAUACUACAUUUUUGAGAAAUUUAUGCAUCAAAAACUAUAUUUAAAUUGACCUUUUUAUAUUCAAAUUCGUUAGGAUAUAAAGGUUAUUAUCAUAUUACUUAAAUGUUCAAAAUUAUAUUCGAAAUGAAUACUGAAACUUUUAGAUUUUAAAUAUAUUAAUAUGAUUUUGAUAAAAAUUUGUUCUUGAUAUGUGAAUUACGAUAUCUUAAAUCGUGAUCAGAUAAAGAUGUGUGGCAUGUGUUGUUUUAUAUUUCUUCCUUUCAUUUUUGAGCAUAGAUUUGACGUCAUUCCUAAGUGAUGUAUGAUGAGGCAGAUCAUCAACACAAUCUUUCUUAGCAUUUGUUAUGCACACUUUGGAUAAAUAGAAAUCGUAACAUAUAUGUUGUAUGUAAAAGACCCAUACAUUAUUUCAUCAUAAAAGUAUCAAUUGAACUACUAACCUUAUAAUUGUACCCAAAAAAAUUAUGACACCCAUGAUGUGGUUUGCCCUUUUAAUUUUCUUAUCAACUAUAUAGUACUUCCAUGGCUUAGAUUUCAUUGCUAAUUUAAAAUAUUAGAAGAUUAUUACAUUGAUAUAGUAUGUUAUAACAUCGACUCGUUAUAAAAUUUUAAUUUUUUAUCAUUAGUUUUCUAAGCCAGAUGAGUAAGACUUUUAAUUAAUUUUCAUUUUAUUGUUAUAAACCAGAUCUCAAACAAAUAAUUUUCUGGUAUUUCAAAUGAAAAAAAAAGAGUAGAUAUGACUUAUGCCUCCUGAAGUUCGUAAAGACAUGAAAUAUUGAGCCCCAUUAGUUGUGUAGUUAUUUUUUUAGCUUUGUGCGAAGUCACAUUCUUAAAUAUUUUGAUACUCGUAUUUAUUAGUGGUAAGCAAAACAGUAUAUCAUGUUUAGUUGUUAAUGAUCAGACUUAAUAAUCUAUAUUGUGGAUUCUAGAAAAGUAUUCUGGUUCCAGUUCCGACUAAACAGAUAUUUUUUUUAACCUAAUCACGUCAGAUUAUCUAGUUCCAAAUUAGUUAAUAUUUUUUAGUUUAAUUUGUAAGUCGUUAAUCAAUUUAAUUGUAUUUUCUCAUUAUAUUUAAUUUUAUAAAUUAUGUAUUGAUUACUGGUACACUAAGAUAAAAUAACUUAUUCCUCAAUUUUUUAUUUUAUUUUAGCCAGAUAAAAUUACAAUUCAAUUGUUUUUACUAAGUCUCAUAACGCAUUUUGCUAUUAUCUAGUUUUUUUUUUUUUUACAAUAUAAAAUUUUCCCGAAUUUACAUGUAUUCACAAGUUAUGAUAUUUUAAAUCCAUGUAUCAUCAACAUUAUAUCAUUUAGAUAUACUUUUUAAUAAAAUAAAAAUGGAUCGAAUUCGGAUUAGCGAGUGCAUAAGCAGUUGUGAUCAGGAUCGGAUUCAGAUUUAUUGAUAAAAUCCCGAAUGAAGGUCCAGUUUGACAAUUUUUAUGUUAACCCCUAGUUUUUGGGCAUGUUCCUCGCAUUCAUUAUAUAAAAAUUUUCUGGGUGACCUUUAUCUAGAUUGUAAUAUUGUUAAAAAUAUUUUUCUGAAUCUGCAGUCUAUUUGUUAGAAAUUGCAUAUGAGAAAUAAUAUAUUGUAUAAGCAAGUAUGUGAUAUGAUAGUAUAGUGAAAAAAAUUAUUCGUUAAAAUAUUAUGAGCUCAUAAUAGAGAUUUUUUUAAAAAAACAUUUGUCACAAUAUCGUGAUGUGUAUUUUCUUCUAAAUUUUUAAAUUAAUAAAUAUGUAAAUUAGAUUCGUCUCUUACAGUAAUUGACAUUGGAUCCUGCCUUAGAGCUCUUUUCAGUGAAUGUGAUGCACACCCUUAAAAUUAUUUUUAUUUUAUUUAAUUUUAGGAUAUACAUAAAUAUAGAAAUACUUCAAAUAUGUUUGAUCAAAUAUUAAUGUUGUAAGAUCAAUCUUGAUACUCGUUUAAACUAUUAAGUUAGAUUUGAAUUCGUUCAUUUUUAUUCGAAUAUAAAUUAUAUCUACUUUUAGCAAUCUAAAUCAUGGUUCGAGCAACAUUAUUCAUAUUCAUUUUUAAUUUUAAAUUCACUUACAUAAAUAAUUAAUUAACAUAUAUUAAUCUAUCUUGUAAACAAUAUAUGAAACUUGGGUGAAAUAACAACUUAUCUCAGAUAAAUAAGAUAUUGAAUAGAAUAUAAAUACAACAAUUUUAAUGUAUGUGCUUAAUGCAUUUCAAUAAAAACACAAAAUGCUAGUGUAGUUCAAGUGGUUUGGAUUGUUUAUAUAUAUUUGAGAGGUCUUGGGUUCGAGUCUUAAAAACAACAUUUUUUUUAAUAUGUGAGGAGGAGUUAGGUUCGGAGUUAGGCUCAGGUUCGGAGCUAGGUAAUUUAUUUGCUCAGGAGGGAGGUUUGACAAGUACCUAUUCUGCUAUAAUAUAUAUACUAGCGUAGAAGCCCGUGCGAGGCACGGGCCCAUUAUUUUUAAAUUAUAUUUCAUAUCGUUUAUUUUUAUUAAUAGCUUAGUUUGAACUUUUAUAAUAUAUUAAUUUUAUUAAAUUUUUAAAUAUAGUUCUCUUUAAAAAAAUAAAAAACUAAUAAUAUCCAUGAAAACUGAUUCCGCACACCAAACAAAUUUUCAUAUAACUCGAAUUAGCCCAAUAUAUUUCGCACGUGAAAGAUGUUUAUACAACUAUUUUUCAGUGUGUUAUUCAAUCAAAACACGGUUGAACGUGUCUAUAGAUGAUAGAAAUUAUAGGAAUGAUUCGCAUGAAUCAUACAAUUGACCAAUGAAAUGGUAGGAUAAUUAAAAUUGAUUUAAUAUGUUCAUGUGCUAUGAUCAUCAAAAGAGAUAAGAUCGAAUAUCGAGGGACAUGCACAUAUAAAAACAUAUUUAUAUGACUCAGUUCAUAUACUAAAGAUACACAUAAUACUUAUUAUCUCUCCCUCCCUCUCUCUUUUUCUCUUUCUUUCUCUCCUACUCCUAUCUUACUUUGAUAAAUUUUUAUGUAUUUAUAUAUCUUACCCAUCAGUGUAUUUUACAAAUUAUACACCAAUUAUCAGUUAAUGAUACAUUGAUUAUUACUCGAUCAAUAGAUUAUCAAUCACUCUAUUGUUACCUUAUUACAGGAGUUUAUCGAUAUUUAACAAAUUGAUCUAUUUUUUUCGUAUUUUAUAUGUGAUAAUUUAUUUAAUAGUCAUCAGUUAAGUAUAUUGUCUAAAAUUUGACCGAGUUGAUCCGUGACUCAGUCGAGCACCUGCGCUCCAAGUUAGAUAUAUUAGUUGGAUGAUAACUCACUUUUGAGCUUAACUCCAAUAAAUCUCGACAUAACUCUAGUCAAAAUUGGAACAACUUGGAAUAUACAUUAAACAACCGAAAAAUGAAAAAUAGGUUAAGAAAAGGAAAAGAUCCAACAUAAUAACCUAAUUAUUUAACACUUUUAAAUAGGGGUGUUCACCGACCCGCACAAACCGCACAAACCGCCCACCCCGCACCGCUCCGCACGGUUUAAAUUUCACGUGGUGCGGUCGUGGUUUGAAUUUUAUCAAACCGCGCGGUGUGGUGCGGUUUGUGGUUUGACAUUUUAUUCUCGCGGUUCAAACCGCACCGCACCGCAUAUUAUUAAAUAUUAUAUAUAUGAGUAUAUAUAUAUUUAUAUAUAUAAUUAUUUAUUUAUUUAUAAUUGUAAUAUAUAUAAUAAUAUUAGUAAGUUUUGGACCAGCCCAUUCCUAUUAUGAAUUGGGCAGUUGCUCAUUAACCUAAUCUUAAGUGUAGUCAAUGGUCAGUACUGUACAUAUAUAUAGAUCUAUUUAUUGAUAUAUAAAAUACGUAAACCGCCCGCCCCGCACCACACCGCACCGCUUUUUUGCGGUGUGGUUUGUGUGGUUUGAAUGCUUCGCGGUGUGGGUGUGGUUUGUAAAAAUGGUCAAACCGCAUAUGCGGGUUGGUUUGUAGUUUUAUGAAAAAUCCGCACCGCCCGCACCGCGAACACCCCUACUUUUAAAAUUUUAUAUAGUAUUAUAACAUUAACUACAAUUUAUAAUAUAAUACACAUGUAUUCUUUAAUUUCUAAAAUCAAUUUACAAAUACAUCCAGAAUUUUUAACUAAGUACUUCUCUGCUUACCAAGUCAAAUCGAAAUUCGAUUUUCAAAAUAUUAGUUAGUAUUCAAUUGACUUGCCAUUUUAACGUUAGGACUUCAUUAAACACCAUCACCGAAAAUAAUUUUUGGAUCACAAAACAUACGUCUAUAUUUUCUGUACUCCUACUGUUUGAACGUAAGAUGUAUCAAAUGUUCGAUUUUUUAUAAAAUUUAAUGAUAACAAAUUAAUGUAAAAUUUCACUUUAACAAAUAUGGUGGUAAACUAUUAUACAUACAUGUAACUAAAAACAUGAUUAUUAAAAAAAAAUCACUCCGCAAAUAAGUAUGAAAAGUGAUUAUUAUUACAUCUAAACUAACACCAAGUUAAACCGAAAAUAAUUUGAGGUAUCCGCACAUGUAACAAAAAUUAUAAUUUUUUAUAUAAAAUAGGAUUGAAGAGAUCUUAAUUUAGUACCAUGAUUGUAGAGUUUACAUGAGGUUUAAUUAAAUGUCCCAAGUUAAUCUUAAAUUAAAUCGUAAAUAAUUUGAGAUAUCCGCAUAUGUAAAAAAGUUUGAUAACUUUUUCUUAAUAAAGUGGGGAUUAAAAAAAUUUCAGUUUAGUAUUAUAAUUGGAAAAUUUUCAUGAGAUUUAACUAAAUGUCCCAAGUUCAAUUCACUUAAAUUUAUUUUGCAUAAAUUAACCAACUACAUUAGAAUUUAAUAUUUUAAUUAUUUUAUAAUGAGUGGUCAUAAAUAAGUGAUAAGUGUGAUUAAAAUAGCAAUUACUAUGUAAGUACAUUAAUUACUAAUACUUAAUAUUUUAAAUGUAAUAAAUGAGCUAUUUAAUGGUAAUUUUGUAAUUACUUGUAAUAUAAGGGUAUAAUGGANAUAUAUAUAUAUAUAUAUAUAUAUAUAUAUAUAUAUAUAUAUAUAUAUAUAUAUAUAUAUAUAUAUAUAUAUAUAUAUAUAUAAAGGAGGAUGCAGACGUCUCUGGAAUUACUCGAUUCAGUCUUCUAAUUUUUCUUAAAUUUCGGAGAGAAAAUCAAUAUACUUAUAUAAAGGAGAAGCGAGGGGCGUGUAGGUGGCGCCUCUCACAUCACUCCAUUCUAUUUUUCUAAUUUUCUAGAAUUUUUGAAUAAAAAAUAUCAAAAAUUAGAACUAUCUUUUUAAGUUUCGGGUAUAUUAGAAGCAAGUUUCAGAAUCUGAUUUUGUUACAGAUUAUUUAUGGAAUAUAGUAGUUUGAAAGUUUUAAUCUGAUUUUGUUUCAGAUUAUUUAAUUAUGGGAAAUAGCACACAAGUCUCUCUGCACCUAUAAAUACCCCUAUAGAUUGUAGGUUUUAGAUCAUCUAAACACAACCUCCUCUCUUUCAAUACCACAACCCUACCUCUAGGGAUGGGUAUUCACCCCGCCCCGCUCGAUCCCGAUCCGAUUCCCGCCCCGUUCGGGUCGGGGAUUUGGGGAAUUUUUCGGGGUCGGGGCGGGGAUCGGAGAAAGUUUUAUAAAAAAUUCGGGGAUCGGGGCGGGGGCGGGGAUUUGUGUAUNGGAAUAUACAUUAAACAACCGAAAAAUGAAAAAUAGGUUAAGAAAAGAAAAAGAUCCAACAUAAUAACCUAAUUAUUUAACACUUUUAAAUAGGGGUGUUCACCGACCCGCACAAACCGCACAAACCGCCCGCCCCGCACCGCUCCGCACGGUUUAAAUUUCACGUGGUGCGGUCGUGGUUUGAAUUUUAUCAAACCGCGCGGUGUGGUGCGGUUUGUGGUUUGACAUUUUAUUCUCGCGGUUCAAACCGCACCGCACCGCAUAUUAUUAAAUAUUAUAUAUAUGAGUAUAUAUAUAUUUAUAUAUAUAAUUAUUUAUUUAUUUAUAAUUGUAAUAUAUAUAAUAAUAUUAGUAAGUUUUGGACCAGCCCAUUCCUAUUAUGAAUUGGGCAGUUGCUCAUUAACCUAAUCUUAAGUGUAGUCAAUGGUCAGUACUGUACAUAUAUAUAGAUCUAUUUAUUGAUAUAUAAAAUACGUAAACCGCCCGCCCCGCACCACACCGCACCGCUUUUUUGCGGUGUGGUUUGUGUGGUUUGAAUGCUUCGCGGUGUGGGUGUGGUUUGUAAAAAUGGUCAAACCGCAUAUGCGGGUUGGUUUGUAGUUUUAUGAAAAAUCCGCACCGCCCGCACCGCGAACACCCCUACUUUUAAAAUUUUAUAUAGUAUUAUAACAUUAACUACAAUUUAUAAUAUAAUACACAUGUAUUCUUUAAUUUCUAAAAUCAAUUUACAAAUACAUCCAGAAUUUUUAACUAAGUACUUCUCUGCUUACCAAGUCAAAUCGAAAUUCGAUUUUCAAAAUAUUAGUUAGUAUUCAAUUGACUUGCCAUUUUAACGUUAGGACUUCAUUAAACACCAUCACCGAAAAUAAUUUUUGGAUCACAAAACAUACGUCUAUAUUUUCUGUACUCCUACUGUUUGAACGUAAGAUGUAUCAAAUGUUCGAUUUUUUAUAAAAUUUAAUGAUAACAAAUUAAUGUAAAAUUUCACUUUAACAAAUAUGGUGGUAAACUAUUAUACAUACAUGUAACUAAAAACAUGAUUAUUAAAAAAAAAUCACUCCGCAAAUAAGUAUGAAAAGUGAUUAUUAUUACAUCUAAACUAACACCAAGUUAAACCGAAAAUAAUUUGAGGUAUCCGCACAUGUAACAAAAAUUAUAAUUUUUUAUAUAAAAUAGGAUUGAAGAGAUCUUAAUUUAGUACCAUGAUUGUAGAGUUUACAUGAGGUUUAAUUAAAUGUCCCAAGUUAAUCUUAAAUUAAAUCGUAAAUAAUUUGAGAUAUCCGCAUAUGUAAAAAAGUUUGAUAACUUUUUCUUAAUAAAGUGGGGAUUAAAAAAAUNCCGACCCCGAUUAUAUAUAUAUAAAUAAUAAUAUAUUUAUAUAUAUUAUACUAAAUAUAUUAUUAAAAAUAGAUAACCUUUAUAAUAUAAUUAAAAAAUAAUCUUUAUUUUUAUUGAUUGAUUAUCAAUAUAUUGUAAUAUAAUAUAUUUUAUAAUUUUAAAUUGUCGUUAUUUAUAUUAUAAAUCAAUUUUAAUAUGAUUUAAUGUUGAAAAUAUAAGAUAAUAUUAUUUUAUUAGUAUAUUAGGAGUUAGUAGUUUGUUUUUUUAAUUAAAAAGUAUAAUACAUAUAUUAUAAAGUUAUUAUGUUUUUAUUAAAAAAUAAAAUUCCCCGAAUCCCCGCGGGAUCCCCGUUCCCCGUUCGGAGCGGGGAUCGGGGAGAAAAAUAAUCCCCGUUCGGGGUUCGGGGCGGGGAGGAGUAAUAAAUUCGGAGAUCGGGGUCGGGAAUAGCACUUCCCGCCCCCGAAGUACCCCCGCGCCCAUCCCUACCUACCUCACUUAUAUAAAGGAGAAGCGAGGGGCGUGUAGGUGGCGCCUCUCGCAUCGCUCCGUUCUAUUUUUUUAAUUUUCUGGAAUUUUUGAAUAAAAAAUAUCAAAAAUUAGAACUAACUUUUUUAGUUUCGGGAAUAUUAGAAGAAAGUUUCAGAAUCUGAUUUUGUUUCAGAUUAUUUAUGGAAUAUAGUAACUUGAAAGUUUUAAUCUGAUUUUGUUUCAGAUUAUUUAAUUAUGGGAACGAGUAGCACACAAGUCUCUCUGCACCUAUAAAUACCCCUAUAGAUUGUAGACUUUUGGAUCAUCUAAACACAACCUCCUCUCUUUCAAUACCACAACCCUACCUCUCUCUGGCGAUAGUUCUCUUACUCGAUUUCUAACUCAGUGGUGCCGUUCUUCUGCAACGAUAAGUGAAGGCAUUUUAUACAGUAUUAAAAAAAUAAAGGUUGUUACAAGCAAAGGUAGUUAUAGACCGCUACGUGUGAGUCGACAGAUCCAAACACGGGAAAAGAAUAUAAUCUUGACAUGAUAUUGAUGGAUGAUGUCAAUAAAUUAACUAUUAGUGAUGUAUGUUUGUUGGCUAUUCUUUUAUAAUAUUUGUUUUGUUCAUCGGACAUGUUUGUUGUUAAUUUUUAUAUGAUUUAUUUUGUAUAUAUGAAAAAAUUAUUCAUGCAUAAUUUGUUUGCUUCGUUCAAGCAACUUUUAAGUGAAGGCUGUUUAUACAGUAUUAAAAAAUAAAGAUUGUUACAAGUAAGGGCAGUUAUAGACCACUAUCUCGUGGCUCUAAGUUAGAUGUUUUUGUGCACAAUCAAUCCAAAAAAAUUGGAGGAAGGUGACAAUGUAAGAACAUGAUUACUUUUAAAAAAACACAAAUAAAAUUAAGAUUCGUCGUGCUUUAAAUUGUUAAUUACGUGUAUAUAUUUAUUUUUAUUUUUUCACCAUGAAUUAUAGUCCAAUUUUGCAAUUUUAUAUAUUAGUAUUGGCAUUACAUCAAGAUUUUUAUAAUAUAAAAUUUAUUUUAUCCUACAAGUAUUAAUUUUGAAACAUUAAUAUACAUUUUAUAGACAGUCACAAAAUAUUUUUAUUAUACAAAUAUUAAUAUUGAAUCAUCAAUAUAAUUUUUAUAGGCCGCCGCAACGCGCGGCUUCUCAACUAGUAUAAUUAUAAUUCAAAAAAAUAGGUUCAAGAAUUCUAAAGAUCAUACAAUUCUUUUCUUAUUGAUAUUGAACUCUAAAUGUAACUCCAGAAUCUAGAAGAAGGGUUCUUAAUUUUUUUAUUUAGGAAUCAUAAAGGUAAUAUAAUUCUUAUUUUUUUAAUUCUUAUUUUUUUAUACAUUGAUAUACAAAUUAUUAAAGAAGUACAAUUCUUAUUUUUAAAAAUUGUAAAUUUUAUAAUUUUAUUUUAUUAAAGGUAAUACAAUUCUUUUCUUAUUUUUAAUUUUUUUUAUUUAGGAAUCAUAAAGGUAAUAUAAUUCUUAUUUUUUAUACAUUAAUAUAAAAAUUAUUAAAGAAGUACAAUUCUUAUUUUCAAAAAUUAUAAAUUUAUAGUUUUAUUUUAUUAAAGGUUACAAUUCUUAUUUUUUUAUACAUUAAUAUACAAAUUAUUAAAGAAAUACAAUUCUUAUUUUCAAAAAUUAUAAAAUUUACAAUUUUAUUUUAUUAAAUUUAAAAACAAAAUUUACAGUUUUAUUUUAUUAAUUUUUCCAAAUUGAUCACAUAAAUUUGUAUUAAACGUAUAUAAAAAAUCUACUUUUUACGGGGCUGGUCGCAUGAACUGAUAAGGAGACAUGAGUUUCUUUCACCACCUAUUCCUGCUAUGCUUCUAAUCUCGGAGAUCAUGAUCGUCUGCUGCAUAUUGCUCAACAUUAUACAACACGUGUAAAUUUUCUACUCAUUAUCUUCUUUAUGUUGAUUGCAGUGGAACUAUUUAUAACGCCUCCACAAACACUUCGUUUAAUUUUUCUAAUUUUUUGAGAAAAAAUAGUUAAAAUAACUAAGAAAUACUCCCUCCGUCCCCUUCAAUUGUUUACAUUGGAGGGGGACACGGAGACCAAGACAAUGUAUGAAAAAUAAGUAAAGUUAGAUGAAAAGUGGUGGGACGUACCAAUAUUUAAUAACAUAUUUGAGAUAGUGGAGGAAAGUAGUGGGUGUAAUAGUAGUUUUUAUUGUUAAAUAUGAGAUAGUAGGGGAAGAUAGUGGGUGUAAUGAUGAGAAAAACUUACUAUUUAUAGUAACGUAAAGAAAUGAGAGGGACAUCCCAAAAUAGUAACUGUAAAGAAAUGAGAGGGACAGAGGGAGUAGUAAUCAUAAAAGAGAUAUAAUUCUAAGUAGUUAAGAAAUAGGAAUCUUAAAAGAAAAGAGAGAUAAUUCUAAACAGUUAAGAAAUAGGAGUCUUUAAAAAAUAUAAUAGUUAAAAUAUAUAAAAUUCUAAGCAGUUAAGAAAAAUAUGAUAGCUAUAAUCUAUGAAAUUGAAUAUAUUUUUUCAAUUAUAAUUAUAAUUUUAUCAUAAUGUAAAUGAUUCUUGAUUAGUAUUGUGCUUGAGGGGAGGGCGGCCCAUAUUAAUUUUUAUCUAAAUAAUAAUAAAUUUUCUAUUAGCAUUAUGUUUGACGGGGAUACGGCUAAAACAAUUAUUUAUCUAAGUUAUAAUAUAUUUUUUUAUUAAAAUGGGACAUCGGCUUAAAAUAAUUUUCAUCCAAUUAUAAUCUUUCAUUUUAUCAUAAUUAUAAUAAUUUUUUUAUUAGUGCUGUGUGUUGGGGCGACUCAAACUAAUAUCUAUAUUAUAAUGUUUUGUUAUUUAUAUUGUAUUUGACAAAAGAGUGACUCAAACUAAUUUUUAUCUAUAUUAUUAUAUUUAAUUUUAUCAUAAUUAUUGAUUAAUAUUAUCUUUGAUGGAAGGACGGUUCAAACAGUUUUUUUUUAUUAGUAUUAAUGUGUUGACAGGGGCCACUUAAACAAAUUUUUAUAUUAAUUGUAAUAUUUUUUUAUUAGUGAUAUGUAUUAAUGGAAAGAUGACUAAAAAUAAUUUUUAUACAAUUGUAAUAGUGAUUCGUAUUAAAAUUUAUAAAAAAUCCAUAACGCCGCCGCGAAGCGCAGUAGAAAUCAGAACGACUACUCUGCUAGUGCUGGGUUAAAAAGUUUUGUUUUUCUCAAAACCAUACUCCUUCGGUCCCUAAAUACUUUUCCCAUUUGUCCUUUUCACGUUUGCCAAUACACAUUUUUGAUUAUAAAUAUCUUUAAUUUUAUAUUAGUUUUAAAUAUAAAACUUUCACCGUAUUAAAGUACUUAUAAAUACGAAUCCAAUAAGAUCACUCAUGACUAUAUUUUAUCUUAUAGAUUAUACGUAAAUUAGUAAUUUGUCUCGUGUUAUGAACAGUUCGACAUUUCAAACGGGAAAAGUAAUUAGAAUCAGAGGGAGUAUUAAUUAAGGUUUAUAUAAUUUGGGAGUAUUGAUUUUUGGUGGCUUAUUGAGUUGGCUAUUUGAAUUGAUUUUGUGUAAUUGUGCUGGAGGAUUGUUGAAUUGAGGGGAUGAGGAUGGAGGUUCGGCAGGGGGAAGCCGGAGCCGCGCCGGCAACGCCGACGGGCUCUCGGCGGCGACUGGUGUUGGAAAACAAGACUAUUAUUGCAACAUAGUGGCAGUUAUAUAUCAUAUUAUACAAGCCAAGGCCAAGCAAAUCGAAACAAAACGUGAAGGUAAAAAGCAUGCCUAUCAGUGAAUGCAAGAGGAAAGAAAGAAUAGAAUUUGUACCCGUAACCAUAGCUUGUGCAGACUGAUAACGAAGCAGAAGCCAACAACAGGUACAAAAAAGAACACAAAAGAUCAGCUGAGUCGUCAGGCCUUAUACGAAGACCUGACUGCUCUUGAAGAGAUAGUUGCCCCCACCUGCUGCGUUGGGAUGCUUGCAACACCUCCUCCAGGAUAAAACAGCUCCGAGCUUUGGCUAAGCAGCACCUCCAAAGCUCAACAACGACUGACUCCUCACUCGCCGGAAAACAACUACUGACUGACUUGUGUUUGGGAGAGAGAGCAGAGAGGAAGAAGAGAAGAGAAUGUAGGGUGUGGUGUGUAAAACUCAGCAGCUUAGUCCUCUAUUUAUACUAGAGGCUAAGUGUAACUGACCACCCCGAAUUUAAUAUAUGAAUUAAACUGCACAUUUAAAAUAAAUCAAAACUGACGAUUUAUUAUAAUGUAACAGCUGAUAUAUUAAUCCACACAUUAAACCAGCCGUUUUAUAUAUAUAUAUUUUAAUUUCUGAAUAUAUAUCAUCAGUUACAAGUCCAGGUUCAUUGUAUCUGACUUAGCCCAAUUAUGCAAUCCGACCCAGUCCAAUUGAGCCCAACAGACACAACCCAGCCCAACUGAUAAAUAAAUUCUAAUUAAAAUAUUAUAUUAAACCAAUACGAAAUAAAAUUCCCCGCCCAGGUCGCCUCGCGUACGCGAGACGCCGAGACAUUCGCCCAAAUCGCCCUUCGACCCGACCCGACCCGUCCCGUGACGUGACGUGCCGAGCCGAGGCGGCGCGCGCGUGGGCUCGUGAGAACACCACACACCAUAACACACCUUAGUAGUUAUGCACUACCCAUGUGUGUUAUACUAUAUAAAGCCAACACCCCUUUUAUUUCUUUCUAUGUGGGACAAACAACUUCUCAAAACAAGCUUUUCCAAGCUACUAACUUCAACUUCAUUUCUCUUAUGGAUUUCAUUAAGAAAAUUCUUAAACCCAUACAUGAAAGUUUAAGUCCCGAUAUCUAGAACCAACUUCCAAUCAUUAGAUUAUGGAAUUAACAACAAGAACAUAAUAAAAUUAUGAACUUAAUAACUCCAUUUUCUAACAAUCCCCCACAAAUCCAUACAGAAAUGCGUUUCAGGUUUCUCAUCAUGACUUGUUUUUCAGAGUCGGUACCCUUCCGGGUUUGAACCCUCCUAAGUUCUCUACUUCAAUGGCUACCGGAUUCAGAUGGAAUAUUGCACCUUGAAUCUUAAUCCGUUGGGUGUAACCACUUUCCAUAGACAACGACAAAUCAACGGCUAUGGAGCCAAUCUACGGCUUUGAGACAUUAAUGGUCAUGUCUCGAUCCUGUUCGUCGAAUGCUUCAAGGAAUAACCCUUUCCUCUAAUUGCGACCACACAAUUACAUUCGCUUAGCUGGGCAUCUCCAGAGAUAUACUGCUAAUAUCUCGUCUAACGACUUGAUCCCAUUCAGAGUUGUUACACUCUUACUAUCUUAGCAGUCACAGUACCUUCUAGGUUUACAAGGGAUAGACUCAGAUACAUGAGUAUCAUCUAUGUAGCAAAGGUACUACCAAUUCACCCUUACAGCUUGUUAUUACCACAUUGAAUACACUUCGAGGGAUCUCCUCUCAUGUGUAUUGGGUUCCCACUGUUGAUGAAUUAUGAUGGGUUGACAGUCCCAUCCCCAACCUUGACUUAAGGACUACUGCAGGUUCCAGUCCUUUAGUCAAAGGAUCAGCUAUAUUAUUCUGAGUUCCUAUGAACUCUAUAGCUAUAAUCCUGUCAGACACUAACCCCCUUAUAGACUUAAGUCUAACUUGGAUGUGUCUCUUUGUUUUAGCAUUAUGCUUUUUACUGCUAAUCUUGUCAAUAGUUGUUCGACUAUCACAAUGAAUAGCAAUCGCAGGAAGCGGUCUGCUUACUACAGGUAACGUGGACAUAAGCCCAUGUAGCCAUUCAGCCUCCGUCCCAGUGGCAUCAAGUGCACACAACUCAGCCUCAAAUGUCGACCGAGUCACAAUAGUCUGUCUAGUCGACUUCCAGGAUACUGCUCCACCCGCAAGGGUAAACACAUAUCCAGUCACUCCAUUGGAACCAGACUUCUUAGCUAUCCAACUUGCAUCACUGUACCCUUCAAGUACACCAGGAAACCUCCUGUAGUGUAAACUAAGGUACAUUGUGCCUUUCAGAUAUCUAAGUACUCUAUCAAGAGCAUCCCAAUGAGUUCUGUUUGGACAGCUUGUAUAUCUAGCCAACUUAGACACAGAAUAUGAGAUAUCUGGUCUAGUACAGUUAGCAAGAUACUGCAAGCUCCCAAUAAUCUGAGAAUACCUUAACUGAGACACAGGAACUCCAGAAGUAUUCUUUACAAGGGCAACUUUAGGAUCAUAGGGUGUACUAGCGAUUCUACACUGUGAAUAACCAUAUUUCUCAAGUAUAGAUUUCUCUAUAUAAUGAGAUUGAGUCAAGGUUAUUCCUUCAGUUGACUGAAUCAGUUUGAUUCCAAGAAUCACACUAGCCUCCCCCAUAUCCUUCAUUUCAAAGUGCCUUUUUAAGAAUGCUUUUGUCUCGUUAAUAAUCUCAAUAUUGGUUCCAAACAAUAAGAUGUCAUCCACAUAUAGGCAUAAGAUGACAUACUCACUGCCUUUAACUUUGAUGUAGACACACUUAUCGCUUUCAUUAACUUUAAAACUGAAUGGCAAUACAGUAUCAUCAAACUUUUUAUGCCAAUCCCUGGGAGCUUGUUUCAAGCCAUAGAUGGACUUGAUUAACUUACAUACUUUCCUUUCAUUGCCAGAUGCAACAAAUCCCUCAGGCUGAUCCAUACAAAUCUCUUCUUCAAGAUCACCAUGAAGAAAAGCCGUCUUUACAUCCAUCUGAUGGAUGAUAAGACCAUGGACCGAAGCCAAUGCUAUAAGCAUACGGAUUGUUACCAUCCUAGCAACCGGAGAGUAUGUGUCAAAGUAAUCAAUUCCUUCUUUCUGCUUAAAACCCUUUGCCACCAGUCUAGCUUUGUACUUAUCUAUUGAGCCAUCAGGGUUUAACUUCCUCUUGAAGACCCACUUGCACCCAAUAGUAGAGCACCCAGGAGGGAGAUCAACCAACUCCCAUGUUCCAUUAGAAACAAUAGAGUCAAUUUCACUCUUUACAGCGCCCUUCCAAUGCCUAGACUCCGAAGAGUCCAUAGCCUGUCGGAAAGUUAAAGGUUCGUCCUCGACAUUGUAAGUGAUAAAAUCACUUCCAAAAUCCUUGACUACCUUUGCACGCUUACUUCUCCUUGGUUCCUCUACUUCAUUAGGAGUAGAACUACUACCAGGUUCCGCCCCCACAUUUGUCAUCUUUUCCACAUGAUCGGGAAUAGAACUUGAUGUGUGAGUGGGAUCCUUAUCAUAGGUCUCUUGAGGUAUACCAGUCUUCAUAGGGUAGACAUCCUCAAAGAAUGUAGCAUCACGAAAUUCAACUAUCGUGUUAGCCACUAUACCAUCUAUGUCAGAUUUUAUUACUAAAAAUCUCAUAGCUGUAGUGGUCUCAGGAUAGCCCAGAAAGAUACAAUCAACAGUCUUUGGACCUAGUUUCUUUCUCUUGUGUUCAGGGACAAGUACCUUAGCAAGGCACCCCCCACACACGAAGAUACUUAAGACUAGUCAUCCUGCCUUUCCAUAACUCUAAAGGUGUCUUAUCCAUGUGUUUCAGAGGAACUCUAUUCAAAAUAUGGCAAGCCGUAUUUAGAGCCUCUUCCCACAUGUAUUUAGGCNNNNNNNNNNNNNNNNNNNNNNNNNNNNNNNNNNNNNNNNNNNNNNNNNNNNNNNNNNNNNNNNNNNNNNNNNNNNNNNNNNNNNNNNNNNNNNNNNNNNNNNNNNNNNNNNNNNNNNNNNNNNNNNNNNNNNNNNNNNNNNNNNNNNNNNNNNNNNNNNNNNNNNNNNNNNNNNNNNNNNNNNNNNNNNNNNNNNNNNNNNNNNNNNNNNNNNNNNNNNNNNNNNNNNNNNNNNNNNNNNNNNNNNNNNNNNNNNNNNNNNNNNNNNNNNNNNNNNNNNNNNNNNNNNNNNNNNNNNNNNNNNNNNNNNNNNNNNNNNNNNNNNNNNNNNNNNNNNNNNNNNNNNNNNNNNNNNNNNNNNNNNNNNNNNNNNNNNNNNNNNNNNNNNNNNNNNNNNNNNNNNNNNNNNNNNNNNNNNNNNNNNNNNNNNNNNNNNNNNNNNNNNNNNNNNNNNNNNNNNNNNNNNNNNNNNNNNNNNNNNNNNNNNNNNNNNNNNNNNNNNNNNNNNNNNNNNNNNNNNNNNNNNNNNNNNNNNNNNNNNNNNNNNNNNNNNNNNNNNNNNNNNNNNNNNNNNNNNNNNNNNNNNNNNNNNNNNNNNNNNNNNNNNNNNNNNNNNNNNNNNNNNNNNNNNNNNNNNNNNNNNNNNNNNNNNNNNNNNNNNNNNNNNNNNNNNNNNNNNNNNNNNNNNNNNNNNNNNNNNNNNNNNNNNNNNNNNNNNNNNNNNNNNNNNNNNNNNNNNNNNNNNNNNNNNNNNNNNNNNNNNNNNNNNNNNNNNNNNNNNNNNNNNNNNNNNNNNNNNNNNNNNNNNNNNNNNNNNNNNNNNNNNNNNNNNNNNNNNNNNNNNNNNNNNNNNNNNNNNNNNNNNNNNNNNNNNNNNNNNNNNNNNNNNNNNNNNNNNNNNNNNNNNNNNNNNNNNNNNNNNNNNNNNNNNNNNNNNNNNNNNNNNNNNNNNNNNNNNNNNNNNNNNNNNNNNNNNNNNNNNNNNNNNNNNNNNNNNNNNNNNNNNNNNNNNNNNNNNNNNNNNNNNNNNNNNNNNNNNNNNNNNNNNNNNNNNNNNNNNNNNNNNNNNNNNNNNNNNNNNNNNNNNNNNNNNNNNNNNNNNNNNNNNNNNNNNNNNNNNNNNNNNNNNNNNNNNNNNNNNNNNNNNNNNNNNNNNNNNNNNNNNNNNNNNNNNNNNNNNNNNNNNNNNNNNNNNNNNNNNNNNNNNNNNNNNNNNNNNNNNNNNNNNNNNNNNNNNNNNNNNNNNNNNNNNNNNNNNNNNNNNNNNNNNNNNNNNNNNNNNNNNNNNNNNNNNNNNNNNNNNNNNNNNNNNNNNNNNNNNNNNNNNNNNNNNNNNNNNNNNNNNNNNNNNNNNNNNNNNNNNNNNNNNNNNNNNNNNNNNNNNNNNNNNNNNNNNNNNNNNNNNNNNNNNNNNNNNNNNNNNNNNNNNNNNNNNNNNNNNNNNNNNNNNNNNNNNNNNNNNNNNNNNNNNNNNNNNNNNNNNNNNNNNNNNNNNNNNNNNNNNNNNNNNNNNNNNNNNNNNNNNNNNNNNNNNNNNNNNNNNNNNNNNNNNNNNNNNNNNNNNNNNNNNNNNNNNNNNNNNNNNNNNNNNNNNNNNNNNNNNNNNNNNNNNNNNNNNNNNNNNNNNNNNNNNNNNNNNNNNNNNNNNNNNNNNNNNNNNNNNNNNNNNNNNNNNNNNNNNNNNNNNNNNNNNNNNNNNNNNNNNNNNNNNNNNNNNNNNNNNNNNNNNNNNNNNNNNNNNNNNNNNNNNNNNNNNNNNNNNNNNNNNNNNNNNNNNNNNNNNNNNNNNNNNNNNNNNNNNNNNNNNNNNNNNNNNNNNNNNNNNNNNNNNNNNNNNNNNNNNNNNNNNNNNNNNNNNNNNNNNNNNNNNNNNNNNNNNNNNNNNNNNNNNNNNNNNNNNNNNNNNNNNNNNNNNNNNNNNNNNNNNNNNNNNNNNNNNNNNNNNNNNNNNNNNNNNNNNNNNNNNNNNNNNNNNNNNNNNNNNNNNNNNNNNNNNNNNNNNNNNNNNNNNNNAAUCGAAACAAAACGUGAAGGUAAAAAGCAUGCAUAUCAGUGACUGCAAGAGGAAAGAAAGAAUAGAAUAUAUACCCGUAACCAUAGCUUAUGCAGACUGAUAACGAAACAGAAGCCAACAACAGGUACAACAAAGAACACAAAAGAUCAGCUGAGUCGUCAGGCCUUAUACGAAGACCUGACUGCUCUUGAAGAGAUAGUUGCCCCCACCUGCUGUGUUGGGAUUCUUGCAACACCUCCUCCAGGAUAAAACAGCUCCGAGCUUUGGCUAAGCAGCACCUCCAAAGCUCAACAACGACUGACUCCUCACUCGCCGGAAAACAACUACUGACUGACUGUGUUUGGGAGAGAGAGCAGAGAGGAAGAAGAGAAGAGAAUGUAGGGUGUGGUGUGUAAAACUCAGCAGCUUAGUCCUCUAUUUAUACUAGAGGCUAAGUGUAACUGACCACCCCGAAUUUAAUAUAUGAAUUAAACUGCACAUUUAAAAUAAAUCAAAACUGACGAUUUAUUAUAAUGUAACAGCUGAUAUAUUAAUCCACACAUUAAACCACCCGUUUAUAUAUAUAUAUUUUUAAUUUCUGAAUAUAUAUCAUCAGUUACAAGUCCAUGUUCAUUGUGUCUGACUUAGCCCAAUUAUGCAAUCCGACCCAGUCCAAUUGAGCCCAACAGACACAACCCAGCCCAACUGAUAAAUAAAUUCUAAUUAAAAUAUUAUAUUAAACCACGCCCAGGUCGCCUCACGUACGCCGAGACAUUCGCCCAAAUCGCCCUUCGACCCGAGCCGAGGCGGCGCGCGCGUGGGCUCGUGAGAACACCAUGCACCAUAACACACCUUAGNNNNNNNNNNNNNNNNNNNNNNNNNNNNNNNNNNNNNNNNNNNNNNNNNNNNNNNNNNNNNNNNNNNNNNNNNNNNNNNNNNNNNNNNNNNNNNNNNNNNNNNNNNNNNNNNNNNNNNNNNNNNNNNNNNNNNNNNNNNNNNNNNNNNNNNNNNNNNNNNNNNNNNNNNNNNNNNNNNNNNNNNNNNNNNNNNNNNNNNNNNNNNNNNNNNNNNNNNNNNNNNNNNNCGAGGCGAGGCGAGGCGAGGCGGGGCGGGGCGGCGGCGGCGGCGCGCGCGUGGGCUCGUGAGAACACCACGCACCAUAACACACCUUAGUAGUUAUGCACUACCCAUGUGUGUUAUACUAUAUAAAGCCAACACCCCCCUUUAUUUCUUUCAAUGUGGGACAAACAACAUUCUCUUUCAAGCUCUUUCAAGCCACUAACUUCAACUUCAUUUCUCUUAUGGAUUUCAUUAAGAAAAUUCUUAAACCCAUACAUGAAAGUUUAAGUUCUAAUAUCUAGAAACAACUUCCAAUCAUUAGAUUAUGGAAUUAACAACAAGAACAUAAUAAAAUUAUGAACUUAAAACUCCAUUUUCUAACAACUGGAACGGGGAGAAGAGGGAGAUAGCAGGGGAGAGAGAGAUGAAGGAGGGAGGAAGAAGGAGAGUGGGAGCUGGUGUGCGAGGCCGUAAUCGGCGCGGCCGAUGGCCAUGGCGGCAGUGGUUUGUGCGAGAGAGAGAGAGAGAGAGAGAGAGAGACGGCGGCGGAGCCGCCGGAGACUUCCUGAGCAGUGGUGAUGGUAAGAUGAAAGAGAGGAAGAGAGAUGUUGGGGAGGGGCAAAGUGGUAAAUCCCAAGCCGAUUUAUUUUAAAUAAAUCUAAAAUAUAAUAAUUGGGUAGAUAAAAUGAUAACAUUAAUAAAAACAUGGGAGUUAAAUUUAUAAAGUUGGAUUUGGGUGGAAAAGAAAAUAAUAAUAUUGGGAUAUAAAUGUUUGACUUUUGAUGAUGGAGUUAAUAAAAAGAAGUUAAAUUAAAUGAUUGGGGUAAAUUAAUAAUAAUUAGUAAAAGAUUGAAAUUUAGAUUUAUAAAGGAUAUAAUAUGGUAAAGAGUUGCAUUAUAUAAAGAAUAAGGAAUUUUAUAUUAAAUAUCAAUUUGAUUAAUUUUGGAGGGAUUUAGAAGAUAAAUUCAAGGAUUUAGUGCUGUUAUUAAUUUUGGAAAAGAAUUUUGCCGGACUUGAUAAAAAUUGAGAGAGGUAGGAUCUUGUUUUUAUAAUUAUAAUAUAUACAUAUAUUCAUUGUCGAUUGGGUGGUUGGGCAAAAGUUUGGGGAUCUCGUAGUAACUGAUUAAAUAUUAUUUAAUUAAAGAGUGGGAUCAAUUAGCAUAUGAGAUAUCAUAUUAUAAAUGUUUGAGAUAACGAGGGAUCAUGGAAUAUGUGAGCUAAUAGCUACUAAUCUAUUUAUAUAAUAAAUCCUGAAUGAUGCCCAGUCACAAAAUCCACGUAAUUCGUUAAAACUCACGUAAAUGCCACAUAAAAUCCAGCUCAAUAGUUACUUUAAAUAUGUAAUCUCAUAUUUUCAGCCUUGAUUUCUGCNNNNNNNNNNNNNNNNNNNNNNNNNNNNNNNNNNNNNNNNNNNNNNNNNNNNNNNNNNNNNNNNNNNNNNNNNNNNNNNNNNNNNNNNNNNNNNNNNNNNNNNNNNNNNNNNNNNNNNNNNNNNNNNNNNNNNNNNNNNNNNNNNNNNNNNNNNNNNNNNNNNNNNNNNNNNNNNNNNNNNNNNNNNNNNNNNNNNNNNNNNNNNNNNNNNNNNNNNNNNNNNNNNNNNNNNNNNNNNNNNNNNNNNNNNNNNNNNNNNNNNNNNNNNNNNNNNNNNNNNNNNNNNNNNNNNNNNNNNNNNNNNNNNNNNNNNNNNNNNNNNNNNNNNNNNNNNNNNNNNNNNNNNNNNNNNNNNNNNNNNNNNNNNNNNNNNNNNNNNNNNNNNNNNNNNNNNNNNNNNNNNNNNNNNNNNNNNNNNNNNNNNNNNNNNNNNNNNNNNNNNNNNNNNNNNNNNNNNNNNNNNNNNNNNNNNNNNNNNNNNNNNNNNNNNNNNNNNNNNNNNNNNNNNNNNNNNNNNNNNNNNNNNNNNNNNNNNNNNNNNNNNNNNNNNNNNNNNNNNNNNNNNNNNNNNNNNNNNNNNNNNNNNNNNNNNNNNNNNNNNNNNNNNNNNNNNNNNNNNNNNNNNNNNNNNNNNNNNNNNNNNNNNNNNNNNNNNNNNNNNNNNNNNNNNNNNNNNNNNNNNNNNNNNNNNNNNNNNNNNNNNNNNNNNNNNNNNNNNNNNNNNNNNNNNNNNNNNNNNNNNNNNNNNNNNNNNNNNNNNNNNNNNNNNNNNNNNNNNNNNNNNNNNNNNNNNNNNNNNNNNNNNNNNNNNNNNNNNNNNNNNNNNNNNNNNNNNNNNNNNNNNNNNNNNNNNNNNNNNNNNNNNNNNNNNNNNNNNNNNNNNNNNNNNNNNNNNNNNNNNNNNNNNNNNNNNNNNNNNNNNNNNNNNNNNNNNNNNNNNNNNNNNNNNNNNNNNNNNNNNNNNNNNNNNNNNNNNNNNNNNNNNNNNNNNNNNNNNNNNGAGAGAGAGAGAGAGAGAGAGAGAGAGACGGCGGCGGAGCCGCCGGAGACUUCCUGAGCAGUGGUGAUGGUAAGAUGAAAGAGAGGAAGAGAGAUGUUGGGGAGGGGCAAAGUGGUAAAUCCCAAGCCGAUUUAUUUUAAAUAAAUCUAAAAUAUAAUAAUUGGGUAGAUAAAAUGAUAACAUUAAUAAAAACAUGGGAGUUAAAUUUAUAAAGUUGGAUUUGGGUGGAAAAGAAAAUAAUAAUAUUGGGAUAUAAAUGUUUGACUUUUGAUGAUGGAGUUAAUAAAAAGAAGUUAAAUUAAAUGAUUGGGGUAAAUUAAUAAUAAUUAGUAAAAGAUUGAAAUUUAGAUUUAUAAAGGAUAUAAUAUGGUAAAGAGUUGCAUUAUAUAAAGAAUAAGGAAUUUUAUAUUAAAUAUCAAUUUGAUUAAUUUUGGAGGGAUUUAGAAGAUAAAUUCAAGGAUUUAGUGCUGUUAUUAAUUUUGGAAAAGAAUUUUGCCGGACUUGAUAAAAAUUGAGAGAGGUAGGAUCUUGUUUUUAUAAUUAUAAUAUAUACAUAUAUUCAUUGUCGAUUGGGUGGUUGGGCAAAAGUUUGGGGAUCUCGUAGUAACUGAUUAAAUAUUAUUUAAUUAAAGAGUGGGAUCAAUUAGCAUAUGAGAUAUCAUAUUAUAAAUGUUUGAGAUAACGAGGGAUCAUGGAAUAUGUGAGCUAAUAGCUACUAAUCUAUUUAUAUAAUAAAUCCUGAAUGAUGCCCAGUCACAAAAUCCACGUAAUUCGUUAAAACUCACGUAAAUGCCACAUAAAAUCCAGCUCAAUAGUUACUUUAAAUAUGUAAUCUCAUAUUUUCAGCCUUGAUUUCUGCUUCCUAUUCUUUGGAUGUUAUGAUACAAUUAAUUUCUGUUGAAUGGCUGUCAUUUUUGAUAUGUAUCCUAUUUUUUCUUUUCUUCUUUACAAUCAUUCUAGCUUUUAUUUUUAAUUGUCUUAACCAAUAUGUAAAACAUUGAUUGUUUUUCAAAAUCAAAUCAAUUCUUAUCAUCUAUUUUAAAAACUCAAAUCAUCGGUAUCUCUCUCAUCUUUUCUAUUUUUCUCCUCCGAUUUCAAGUAUGUUAAUUGAAUAAUUAGUAUAGCUUGCGCGGGAAGUUUACUGAUUGUAACAAACUUUAUUAUACUUAUUUUGAUUCUUUUAAUUGAUUUCAUAUGUGUGUGUAUAUUUAUAUAUUUGCGUAUCUAUAAUUGUAAUUAAUUACUUCCAAUUUCUCUUUGAUUAAAUAUUAGAAGACUUCCUAAGCACUCUGAAUACUUUAUUGUACAAUAUUGCAUGAAAAAUUAAAAAUUCAAAAAUUGAAUUAUCUCUUAAAUUGUUGAUCAUCUUAUCUUAAAAUAUUUAAAAUUAAAAUAUAGUUAAGAAAAUUUCAAACAAUAAUUUUCUUAUCUUUAUACAUUUAAUUUAUUUCACAUCGACAUAUAUAUUUUUGUAUAUUUAUCUAUUUUUAAUUGUAAUUUUUUUCUUAUCUCUUUCGAAUUAAAUUCGUAAAGACUUCCUAAGCACUUAAAAGAUUUUUGUAUGAUAUCGCAUUAAAAAUUCAAUAUCUUGAAAAAGUGAUUAUAUUAAAAAGAAUAAGGUAUUAAUGCAUGAAUAAAUAUGUUAUACUUUAAAAAAAUUAUGAUUUGACUAUUAUAUUGUUAAAUUUAUUUAUGUGUUAUUGUUUUAUUUAUUAUUUUAUUUUUUAGUUUUAAUAAAGUAAUUCUUAUUCUUAUAUAUAAAAAAUGUGAGAUGUGUCAUUAUAUAUGUUUUCCUUUCUUAAUUAUUAUUUUAAAAUAAAUAUGAAAUUAGUUCAAAAUUAUAUACUAAAGCACUAAAAGAGCGUCGUAAUGGUAGGGUGUGUGAAGCAGUAUUUAGUUGAUAUUUAAGCAUGCUCAAUCAGCUGCAUAAUCAAUGCUUUUUAUAUAUUUAAUUGGUUUGAUUUUUUUUUUAAUUUUAUUUGAAAAAUAAUAUCUUUUGAGGAUCAGAAAUUGUAAGCAAUUUAGAAGGCACAUGUGGUCAAUAUUUAGCUCUACUUGAUUAUAUGCAUGAUUGGUACUUCAGAAUAGGAAUGGAGUGAAUUUCAUUCGAUUCUUUCCAUUACCAUCUAAAAAUUUGGAAAAUUGGAAUCAUAUGGUUGUCUCUCUUCAAUUUUAGAUUCAAAUUUCCUUGAUUAUAACUUUCGUUAAACAAUAGUAUGACAAGAAUUAAAACAACGAUUUUAUUUAUUCUAAGUUGUUUGAUUGAUUUCAUAUCUAUGUAUUUUUUUUUUUUUUGAAAAGCAUCAUAUCUAUGUAUAUAUGUAUAUGUCUAUAUACCUAUAUAUUUGGUAGAGAGUGGAUAUACCAUUCUUUCUUCCAAGCCUCUUUGAUUUCAUAUCUAUGUAUUUUUUUUUUUUUUGAAAAGCAUCAUAUCUAUGUAUAUAUGUAUAUGUCUAUAUACCUAUAUAUUUGGUAGAGAGUGGAUAUAUAUAUAUAACCGUCAUCAAGACCUCAUAUCCUUGAUUGUUUGUAUUCAUCUUUAUUUUUAUUUUUCUUUUUUAAGGCUGAUAUGGUAAUUUCACAUGCUAUUGGAUCAACCCAUCAGGCUUCCGGUUCGACCCGCAUCUUCUUAUUCAAAUUAACACUGCGAUGAAACAUUUCGGAUCUUUAAGAAACCCGACCCGAGUAUCGUUAGAUCUGAGAGCACAUUCAAAUCAUAUCACGAUCAUCAUAUCAAGAUUAGAAUUUCAAAAUAGCAUUAAUCACGCAUUCUUGAAUCGUGCCACUGAUUAUGACGUCAGUUCAGAUUUAAGUUUUACUACUUAUUUGCAUAUGAUAUUCUUAUAAGAUCAAAGCAGAUAAUUUUAAUUUCACAUUCAAAACCAUUCUUUCUUCCAAGCCUCUAAUCAUGACGAGUAGGCUUUCUUGCUUAGCUUUCGAACUGAUUUGUGUCCUCGGUUGGAUUAUACUGCAGUACUACUGAUCUUGGGUUUCUUUUCACAUUAAUUUCUAUAUCUACGAACUUUGUUUUGCGCUUAUUUACUUUAUUUAAUAAUAGAAUUCUACUUAUCUUGCACAAAUCGCGUUGAUCCGUCUAUGCAUCAGGUAGUAUCCGUCAAAGUCCUUUUGUGAUGAUGCUUCGACAAGGGAUGACGUCUCGAAGUCAAAAAGAGAAUAACACCAUUGGUCGUGAAAUAGGUUUGCACUAUUUCCAGCUUAAUUUACAAUAUUUGCUCCAUUAUGUAUAUUUGUUUAUUCUAUUAUUGUUGAACGGGUUCUGAAGUUUGUUGUUUGAACACUGCAGGUAUCAUAAUCAGUAUAUGAUUUUGUAUUUAACGUGUUUGAUAAUUUGCUACAGAGAAAAGCUGAGAAAUCCGUCCUUACUAUUUUUAUUGAUUUCAUGUUCCAGGAAUUUGAAAUUAUUUUUGAUUUCUAAUGAUUAUUUUUGCAUAAUUUCCUUUCGUAUUGAUAGUGAUUAGGAUGCACAUAUGUACUCUAAUGCAUUUAUUGAGCCACAUUUUGUUAUUGAGUUUUCCUUGCAACUGCUGAAUAGAGAUGAUUCGUCCAUGCAACUAUCGGAUGCUCAUCGUGUGAAGAUUUAUAUUCACUUUUCCUCAACAUCUGCUUAUUGAUCUAGACUUUUUGUUUACAUCUUAUCGUGUGUCAUUGUUGUUUGACAAGAACCACCGAGAAUGAAUAUGACACAAUUUCUGUCCAGAUACAUGAAUCUAACCUGCUAUAACUUAUAUGUAUGUAACAUCUGGGAUUAUCCGUGUAAUUAUUUUGAUGAUUAAUGAAUAUUAUAUGAAUAUUAUGUGAAUAUUAUAUGAAUUUCUGUGAAUUAAUUGUUUCUUGUCCUAUUAAUAUGGCUGCUUGUUUACGAUCAAAUUUGAGGAAUAUCAAUUUUUAUAUGCUCAGUACAAAAUAUAGUUUAUUUAGAUAUUUUUAUAUUGAUUUAUGUAUUGUCGUAUGAUUUGAUAUUUGGUUUAUGGAUUUAAUUACGUAUAUUAUAUUUAAUUAUUAAUUAUUUUGAUUUUUCAAAAACCGUCAACCCGUAACGGUACCGAGAUUUUACUUCCCGAAAAUUUCGACAAAACUCAACUCUAGCUUAAUUUGAAUAUUCCGGACACUUUUCAUGUUUUGACUUUUUCGAUCCGGAGUACGGUUUUCCCCGGAGUCGGUCCGGCGGAGCUUUUCGGGCAUUUUAAUUACCGAUAAUUAUCUGGUUGUCUCAAUAUACGUGAAAACCAGAUAUUUUGAUUAUUAUAUUAUUUCUUUUAUCGUAAUACGUGCAAACGGGACCCGCAUACUAAUGAUUGAUUAAAAAGCCCCGUUUUAAUAAUUAUCUCGAAAACCAGUACCGAUUGGACCCGCUUUAUUAGUAUUAAGCUAUUAAAUAUCGUAUUUUCGUGUCACAUAUGAUCCAAAGGGGUAUUAAUUUCUCGUAACUAUAAAUAGUCUUAACCAUUUGGAAGCGUUAUCGGACUCGGAUUUUGGCGUUCAAGUACUCAAAUCGAAGGUUUUGAUGAGUAGAAUCCAUAUCUAGCAUCAGAAUCAGUGCAGCAACAACAGGUGGGCACAAAUUUUUGAGUUUUAAUUCGAAUUAAAUAAGCUUAAAUUAGGGCUUUUUGAUUUUGAAGUCGUUUGUGUGAUUUGAUGAUUUCAUGUUGUAGAUUAGUUUCUCCUGAUCAUUUUGGUUUAUUAUAUGUGUGAUUUCAAGUUCAAUAACAUAGUUAAAAGUGGGUUUGAUUCUGCUGUGUUCAAGAACUAGGGUUCUUCGUAGCUUUGGAUAUUUCUAAUUGAAAUUUGGGCUUUUCUUAUUUGUUAAUUGCAUGCUUAAUUGGUUUAUAUGGUUGGAUUGGUCGUGAGGAGAGGAAUUCAAACAUGUGAUUGGAAUUGACGGACGACCUCGGAAUCGGUCGCCGUGUUCUGAAAAACAACUCGCCAGCGGCGAGUUUGUUUCGAUCUUUUCCGGCCAAACGGCCUAUCUCCUGCAAAAUCUGAGGCCACCAAUCGAUUCCUGGUGGCUGAUAUAGCUAAUCUGGAAGUUUUGGUAGAUGUUUAAGGCCGGGAGACCAACCUCCGGUGACACAGACGGUGGCCGGCGGCAUUUAUGCUGUUUGGUCACUGUAGUUUUGAAGAUGGUGACGUUUAGUCACCGUCGUUUCUACACUUUCACAGAUCGCAUCAUAUUUUUAAAACCUGACAGUUUGCACCCCUGUGUAAACUUUUGAUUAUUUACAAAAUAAACCUUUUCAAUUUAUUUUCAAAAAUCAUUUUUAAAUUACUUAUUUUAAUUUCAAAAAUAGUUUUUAAUUAUUUAUUAGUUCAAAAAUAAAUCUGAUUUAAUUUAUUAAUUAAUUUCAAUUUGUAAUUAAUUAUUAUAAUUGGUCAAUUAAUUUAAAUAUUAAUUGAUUAAUUGUUUUAGUUAAUUAUUAAUUGAUUUUAAUUGAUUUAUUAAUUAGAUUUAAUUAUUUGAAAUAAUUUUAAAAUUCCGAAAAAUAGUUUCGAGCUUUGAAAUAUUUUUCUAAAAUAUGUUUGAAGUCUGUUAAUUGAUUUCAAAUGAUUUCGGACUUGAUUUCAAGUAUUCAAAAUUGAUGAUUUAUUUAUAAAAUGAUUCUCUUAUUCGUUUUAAUUCCGAAAAAUGUUCAAAAAUUCAUAAUAAAUGCCGAAAAUCCUUUUGACUUCAAACCUUCUUUGAAAAAUAAAUUUUAGUGAAUACCUUAUGUGAUACGUGUUAUGUGCUAUCUGAUCGAUGUGCUAUAUGCCUAUGUGAACGUUAUAUGGCUGUUUCUGGCAUAUUUUUCAAUCCGUAAAUCGGAUUUGGGUAAAACGAAGGGUAGAUUGAAGCUCGUUUCGAAUGUGCGAUAAUAAGAAUAGUAUGAGAUCAUAUAUUGAUAGAUAAUUGUUGUGAUUAGCAGAAGAAGNNNNNNNNNNNNNNNNNNNNNNNNNNNNNNNNNNNNNNNNNNNNNNNNNNNNNNNNNNNNNNNNNNNNNNNNNNNNNNNNNNNNNNNNNNNNNNNNNNNNNNNNNNNNNNNNNNNNNNNNNNNNNNNNNNNNNNNNNNNNNNNNNNNNNNNNNNNNNNNNNNNNNNNNNNNNNNNNNNNNNNNNNNNNNNNNNNNNNNNNNNNNNNNNNNNNNNNNNNNNNNNNNNNNNNNNNNNNNNNNNNNNNNNNNNNNNNNNNNNNNNNNNNNNNNNNNNNNNNNNNNNNNNNNNNNNNNNNNNNNNNNNNNNNNNNNNNNNNNNNNNNNNNNNNNNNNNNNNNNNNNNNNNNNNNNNNNNNNNNNNNNNNNNNNNNNNNNNNNNNNNNNNNNNNNNNNNNNNNNNNNNNNNNNNNNNNNNNNNNNNNNNNNNNNNNNNNNNNNNNNNNNNNNNNNNNNNNNNNNNNNNNNNNNNNNNNNNNNNNNNNNNNNNNNNNNNNNNNNNNNNNNNNNNNNNNNNNNNNNNNNNNNNNNNNNNNNNNNNNNNNNNNNNNNNNNNNNNNNNNNNNNNNNNNNNNNNNNNNNNNNNNNNNNNNNNNNNNNNNNNNNNNNNNNNNNNNNNNNNNNNNNNNNNNNNNNNNNNNNNNNNNNNNNNNNNNNNNNNNNNNNNNNNNNNNNNNNNNNNNNNNNNNNNNNNNNNNNNNNNNNNNNNNNNNNNNNNNNNNNNNNNNNNNNNNNNNNNNNNNNNNNNNNNNNNNNNNNNNNNNNNNNNNNNNNNNNNNNNNNNNNNNNNNNNNNNNNNNNNNNNNNNNNNNNNNNNNNNNNNNNNNNNNNNNNNNNNNNNNNNNNNNNNNNNNNNNNNNNNNNNNNNNNNNNNNNNNNNNNNNNNNNNNNNNNNNNNNNNNNNNNNNNNNNNNNNNNNNNNNNNNNNNNNNNNNNNNNNNNNNNNNNNNNNNNNNNNNNNNNNNNNNNNNNNNNNNNNNNNNNNNNNNNNNNNNNNNNNNNNNNNNNNNNNNNNNNNNNNNNNNNNNNNNNNNNNNNNNNNNNNNNNNNNNNNNNNNNNNNNNNNNNNNNNNNNNNNNNNNNNNNNNNNNNNNNNNNNNNNNNNNNNNNNNNNNNNNNNNNNNNNNNNNNNNNNNNNNNNNNNNNNNNNNNNNNNNNNNNNNNNNNNNNNNNNNNNNNNNNNNNNNNNNNNNNNNNNNNNNNNNNNNNNNNNNNNNNNNNNNNNNNNNNNNNNNNNNNNNNNNNNNNNNNNNNNNNNNNNNNNNNNNNNNNNNNNNNNNNNNNNNNNNNNNNNNNNNNNNNNNNNNNNNNNNNNNNNNNNNNNNNNNNNNNNNNNNNNNNNNNNNNNNNNNNNNNNNNNNNNNNNNNNNNNNNNNNNNNNNNNNNNNNNNNNNNNNNNNNNNNNNNNNNNNNNNNNNNNNNNNNNNNNNNNNNNNNNNNNNNNNNNNNNNNNNNNNNNNNNNNNNNNNNNNNNNNNNNNNNNNNNNNNNNNNNNNNNNNNNNNNNNNNNNNNNNNNNNNNNNNNNNNNNNNNNNNNNNNNNNNNNNNNNNNNNNNNNNNNNNNNNNNNNNNNNNNNNNNNNNNNNNNNNNNNNNNNNNNNNNNNNNNNNNNNNNNNNNNNNNNNNNNNNNNNNNNNNNNNNNNNNNNNNNNNNNNNNNNNNNNNNNNNNNNNNNNNNNNNNNNNNNNNNNNNNNNNNNNNNNNNNNNNNNNNNNNNNNNNNNNNNNNNNNNNNNNNNNNNNNNNNNNNNNNNNNNNNNNNNNNNNNNNNNNNNNNNNNNNNNNNNNNNNNNNNNNNNNNNNNNNNNNNNNNNNNNNNNNNNNNNNNNNNNNNNNNNNNNNNNNNNNNNNNNNNNNNNNNNNNNNNNNNNNNNNNNNNNNNNNNNNNNNNNNNNNNNNNNNNNNNNNNNNNNNNNNNNNNNNNNNNNNNNNNNNNNNNNNNNNNNNNNNNNNNNNNNNNNNNNNNNNNNNNNNNNNNNNNNNNNNNNNNNNNNNNNNNNNNNNNNNNNNNNNNNNNNNNNNNNNNNNNNNNNNNNNNNNNNNNNNNNNNNNNNNNNNNNNNNNNNNNNNNNNNNNNNNNNNNNNNNNNNNNNNNNNNNNNNNNNNNNNNNNNNNNNAUACCUAUCCUUAUCUUGUCAUAAUGACGGUGGGACCCGCAUAUUAAUGACGGAUUAAAAGCCCCGUUUGAUGAUUAUCUCGAAAACCGGUACCGAUUGGACCCGUUUUAUUAGUAUAAAGCUACUAAACAGUGUAUUUUCAUGCCAUAUAUGAUCCAAAGGGGUAUUAAUUAUUCUUAAGUAUAAAUAUACUUAACUGUACUUUAUUUUAUUACGAAAAUCAUAAAACCAGUUAAAACCGAGAAAUUCCCGAGAGAGUUCUUCGUGUUCUUGAGAUUCAAACGAGGAUUUGGACGCGUUAUCGGACUCAGAUUUUGGUGUUCAAGUAUCCAAAUCGAAGGUUUCGACGUGUAGAAUCCAUUUUCAUCAUCGAAAACACUCAGAAAUCAUCAGGUGGGUUUGGAUUUUUGAGUUUUAAUUCGAAUUAAAUAAGCUUAAAUUAGGGCUUUUUGAUUUUGAAGUCGUUUGUGUGAUUUGAUGAUUUCAUGUUGUAGAUUAGUUUCUCCUGAUCAUUUUGGUUUAUUAUAUGUGUGAUUUCAAGUUCAAUAACAUAGUUAAAAGUGGGUUUGAUUCUGCUGUGUUCAAGAACUAGGGUUCUUCGUAGCUUUGGAUAUUUCUAAUUGAAAUUUGGGCUUUUCUUAUUUGUUAAUUGCAUGCUUAAUUGGUUUAUAUGGUUGGAUUGGUCGUGAGGAGAGGAAUUCAAACAUGUGAUUGGAAUUGACGGACGACCUCGGAAUCGGUCGCCGUGUUCUGAAAAACAACUCGCCAGCGGCGAGUUUGUUUCGAUCUUUUCCGGCCAAACGGCCUAUCUCCUGCAAAAUCUGAGGCCACCAAUCGAUUCCUGGUGGCUGAUAUAGCUAAUCUGGAAGUUUUGGUAGAUGUUUAAGGCCGGGAGACCAACCUCCGGCGACUCAGACGGUGGCCGGCGGCAUUUAUGCUGUUUGGUCACCGUAGUUUUGAAGAUGGUGACGUUUAGUCACCGUCGUUUCUACACUUUCACAGAUCGCAUCAUAUUUUUAAAACCUGACAGUUUGCACCCCUGUGUAAACUUUUGAUUAUUUACAAAAUAAACCUUUUCAAUUUAUUUUCAAAAAUCAUUUUUAAAUUACUUAUUUUAAUUUCAAAAAUAGUUUUUAAUUAUUUAUUAGUUCAAAAAUAAAUCUGAUUUAAUUUAUUAAUUAAUUUCAAUUUGUAAUUAAUUAUUAUAAUUGGUCAAUUAAUUUAAAUAUUAAUUGAUUAAUUGUUUUAGUUAAUUAUUAAUUGAUUUUAAUUGAUUUAUUAAUUAGAUUUAAUUAUUUGAAAUAAUUUUAAAAUUCCGAAAAAUAGUUUCGAGCUUUGAAAUAUUUUUCUAAAAUAUGUUUGAAGUCUGUUAAUUGAUUUCAAAUGAUUUCGGACUUGAUUUCAAGUAUUCAAAAUUGAUGAUUUAUUUAUAAAAUGAUUCUCUUAUUCGUUUUAAUUCCGAAAAAUGUUCAAAAAUUCAUAAUAAAUGCCGAAAAUCCUUUUGACUUCAAACCUUCUUUGAAAAAUAAAUUUUAGUGAAUACCUUAUGUGAUACGUGUUAUGUGCUAUCUGAUCGAUGUGCUAUAUGCCUAUGUGAACGUUAUAUGGCUGUUUCUGGCAUAUUUUUCAAUCCGUAAAUCGGAUUUGGGUAAAACGAAGGGUAGAUUGAAGCUCGUUUCGAAUGUGCGAUAAUAAGAAUAGUAUGAGAUCAUAUAUUGAUAGAUAAUUGUUGUGAUUAGCAGAAGAAGAGAGACGUAGAAAAGGAAAGCAAGUGGUAAUAGAAUAGUAUAUCGAGCAAGUACAAUCAAAGCUUGAGAUCAGCUAUAUAAGGCAAGUUUCCCUGAUACUUUCUUUCAAAUAUAUAUGAUAAUUGAUGUGAUUACUUCGUGAGAUUUCUAAUUAAGCCCUGUUAUUUCUUAAGCUAUAGCAUGAAUUGGUUAUUCUAUUAAUUCAUGAACCUUCAACCAGAUUCUUUGAAUUACAACUUGGACUAUUCACUUCAUUGAUUCUUGAGCCUCCAACCAGAUUCUUGGGUAUUUGUUACGAAACCUAUUUCAAUUGCGAACCUCAUGUUCUUGAAACUUUUAAAGAAAUACCAUACGAACCUUAUUUCAUUUCAAUGACAAAUCCUUGACCCCUAAACCAAUUGAUUAAAAUCCAGUAAUACCUGAAAUGACAUAUACCUUACAAUUGUUCAUUUUCUUCCGAUAAACUAAUUUCUUUGGUCUUGAAGAUACCCAUUUAUAUUCGAAUCAUUUUGUAAAAGAAACUAGAAACCUUCUUUCCUAUAAACAGUGGCCUUUGAUAUACCUUACAAUCCAAUCAUGCUUUAUCUGAUUCCUUGAAUCAUAAAGUAUUCCUUAUUCCUAUUCUGAAGUAUCUUGAAGAUACUCUUGAAUUGCAUUCUACUUCUGCUUCAAAGUUAAAUCAUGAUAUUGAUGACUCUGUUUUAUUGAAUUAUAUUGUUGAUCAUCUUGAAUUAUGAUAGAGUUGGAUAGUUUUUCUUAAAUGGACCAAAUGAAUGGUCAGACCAGAUGAGUGGUCGCUUUAGGCCAAUGUGUGCCUUGGAUCCAGUAAACGAGCAUGGCGGGGCCUGCUCGGGGUUAGUGUCUGACUGAUCAGCAGCCUAACCUUUGGUUUUUAAAAUUAAAAUUUAAUAUCCAAUUCUAAUUGAUACUCUAAAAACAAAUCUUGAUAUUGAGAUUGAUUCCAUUAGACACUGGUUUCCCUCAGCUUAUGAUUAAUGUUUUAAAUUGAUAUUGCUAUACUUGCUGAGCUUGUUAAGCUCACUCUUGCGAUACUUUAUGUUCUUUCCAGUGAAGGCAGAGAAGGUUGGUAAUGAUGACCCUCAGGCUAGUGGUAAGGCCAGGAUUCCAGGCUGAGAGACGGAGGGAGCUAUCAGCAGCACUUGGCUUUUUAUAUAUAAACUAGUUUGAGUAGCGGAAAACAUUUGAGGUGUAAGCAUUGUAAGAUUUAAGUCUAUAUUUUGGGAUUUGGGUUUGUAAUAAUUAAAGUUAUGUUGUGGCUUGUUUUAUACUUUAACCUGUUGCAAUCCAUGGAUAGUGAAGGGUCACCACAUAUAUUAUGUUAAUUACAAGUUUAUAUUAUGUUGUGGACCCCAAACUUCUGACCCGGGUUUGGAGGGCGCCACAGGUUGGUAUCAGAGCGACAGGUUAUAAGUCAAUGAAACAAGCCUAGAUUGUUGGGUAGAGGGUUAGGAUUAGAAAUGAGUGAUAGGUAGAUAGAACGUUGAGAGGUGAGUAUUAGUGAGAAGUAGGCUCUUGUGCUAUCAAGGAUUCUUAUAUGCGUUCUGUUAUAUUGAUUUACAGAUAUUCAUGAUGUCAAACUCUAUUAUUCCUUCAUAUCCACAACAUUCAGACACCACAGUUAAUGGACCCCCACCUCCUCAGCGACCUGAGCCUCACCCUCAUGUUUCACCCUUUUUAGAGGAUGUUUUGGCCGCAGCAGCAAUGGUUCCUUCCAGAAAUAUACCCCCGACUUAUCAUGCUAGGCCUUUUAUACGUGGACCCCCACCCAUUACCCCAAGUUCCACCCGAAGUUCUUCUAUUCACACUUCUUUCUGUCCUACACCAGAUCCUGUUCCUUAUCAUGAGUUUGAGGCGAUGAGGAUGGAGCGUCAGUACUUGCUUUGACAAGUCAGAGAGAUGGAGUGUAUCAUACAGAUGAUGGACCCUAGUAGAGCUGAGCGAGAGUUGAGGCAGAGGAUUGUGGAUGUAAGGAUGAAUGCGAUGGAAAAGCUUAAUACAGUGGCUGAGGGUUAUGGUGACUUAGUAGACUGGGCUAUUUGGAUGAUGAGAGAGUUGGACACAUUUGGAGGUCCUACUUUUCCUGGGAGCUAGAUGAUAGUAGUUGUAGAGUGGAGGUGCCAUGUACAUUAGUGUGUAGUGUGUAGCAUGUAUCGGAUCAGCAGAUUUUGAAAUAUAUACAUAUAUAUAUAUACUAGCAUAGCUGACUAGUUGAUAGGGUUGUUGUUGCUGUUGUUGUAAUUUACAUUUGACGAAGCGCAUUGACGCUUGUAUCUCCAGCACUGACUUAUAUAUAUUGUUAGAUAUAAUUGAUGAUUACUAAUAUUCUUAAAGUCUGUUUUAGAACAGGAAUCAUCAGAGUUUAAUCUGGAAGCUGAUCAGAGUUUAGUAAAGUCUGACAGAGUUUGAUAAAGUCUGACAGAGUUUGAUAAAGUCUGACCAGAGUUUACAUAGUCAAGAUUCGACAGAGUUUACACGUGGAAAGAGCUCAGAAGCGGAUAUACUUCAAGGAAGGAUAGAAGCGGAGGAGUGAUUUACUGGCUAUGGAAACUAAACAGAAAACUGGAGCAAUCUUUGAUUGAUAGAAUUCAUAGCAGAUUUAUAGGAUAUCAAAUCAGAGAUUGAUUUUGUAACUGUGUCUAUAUAAACACAGAUUAGGGUUACUCUAUAUGAGUUGAGUUAUCGAGUACAUUGUUAAGAACCCUAGCAGCUCUUAGUGAUACAUUAUAAAUCACUGAGAGAGUUUUUGUAACCAUUAAAGCUUUGUGAAUAUAAGAGUUUAUUACUUUCAAUCUCUUAUAUUGUCUUACUGUGUUACAGAUUGUGAUCACUAUAUCAGAUUAUAUAGUGAGUUUAUAGGACCUAACAAGUGGUAUCAGAGCCAGCUCUGUUAAGAUUACUACAGUGAGAUCUUAAACACAAUCAUGUCUGAAAAAUCACAAGCUUCAUCCUUUAGAGUUCCAAUCCUUAAGGCAUCUGAAUAUCCAGUCUGGAAAGAAAGAAUGAUCAUAUUCUUAGACUCUGUUGAUCCAGAAUACCUUGACAGGAUUUUUGAUGGACCACAUAUGCCCACCAAGCUCUCUGUUGGGAUUGCAGAUGAACCUCAAAAGAUGGUUCCAAAAGAAAAGAAAGAUUAUACUCCAGAGGACAUCUCAUCUAUCAGUAAAGAUGCAAAGGUGAAGCAUCUGUUGCAUAGUGCCCUUGAUAAUGCAAUGUCUAAUAGGGUGAUUGGGUGCAAAACUGCUAAACAAAUCUGGGAUGCUCUGGAAACCAGAUGUCAAGGAACUCAGGCCAUUAAGAAAAACAGAAAAACAAUCCUUACACAGGAGUAUGAGCACUUUGACUCAAAAUCUGGUGAGUCCCUGACAGAUCUGUAUGACAGAUUUGUCAAACUGUUGAAUGACUUAUCUCUGGUGGACAAGGAAUAUGAUCUUGAAGACUCAAACCUCAAAUUCCUUCUAGCUCUUCCUGAAAAAUGGGAUUUGAAAGUCACUACAAUAAGAGACAAUCUUGAUCUUGGAGAAAUGUCUCUUGAUGAUGUUUAUGGAAGACUGAAGACUCAUGAACUUGAGAUGGAGCAAAGGAGCAAACGUCAUGGAGGAAAAUCAAAGUCUGUUGCUCUGAAAGUUCAAGAGGAAGCUGCUAAGAGCAAAGGAAAAGCUCAUGUCACAAAGUCUGACAUUGAGUCAUCAAACUCUGAUGACUCAAACUCUGAUGUUCCCUCAGACUCUGAAGAAAGUGAUGAUGAGAUGAUGCAGUUAGCAGCAUUGAUGGUGAAAAGCUUCAAGAAGUUGGCCUACAAAAAGUUCAACAAAGGCAAAAGUUUUUCAAGGAAAGACAGAAACUCUGACAGAGUUUAUGACAAGAAGAACUUUAAGAAGAAUGAGGGCAAAGAAGGGAAAGCUGGAAAAGCUGACAAGUAUACCUGUUUCAACUGUGGUGAAAAGGGACACUUUGCAUCUGAAUGCAAGAAAGCCAAGAAGGAAAAAGAAAAAGCCUUUAUCACCAAGAAAGGAAACUGGACAGAUACAUCUGAUUCAGAAGAAGAAGUCAAUUAUGCUCUGAUGGCAAACACUGACAACAACUCUGAAUCUCCUGCUAAGGUACCUCAUUCUACUCUUGCCUUUGAUACUGAAGAUAUAACUGAGUUAAGAUUGUUUCUUAAAACUUUGCAUAUCAGCUUUAGAGAUCAGACUUUAGAAAAUGAAAGAUUAAAAUCUGAAACUCUAAGUGUAAAGAAAAGGAAUGAUUAUCUAGAAAAAGAAUUAGUUCAGAUGUUGGAAGUUCAGAAAGAAAGAGAUGAUGCUGUCAUUGUCAAAGAUGAAUUAUUAAAGAGGUAUGCAUCUCUUCAAUCAGAACUUGCUAAGGAAAGGGAGAUCAUUAAGACAUGGACUAAUUCAGGCAAAACUACUCAGGAUAUCUUAGGUAGUGGAAACUGGAAGAAGGGACUAGGUUACACUGAUAACUCAGAAGCUGAGUCAUCAAAAACAGAGUUUGUUAAAACUCAAAAACCUAAGGUUAAACCUGUUAAAUUUGUUGCUGAAUCCUCUAAGUCUAAACAGAGUAGACCAAAAUCAGAGAUUAACAACAAUUUAAAAUCUGAUAAGCCCAAACAGGUUAACAUAGGACUGAUGACUCAGAAACAGCUUAAACAUAAGCUUAAAGAGGUAAAGUCUGAUGACAAAAACAAGGAGCCUAGGAAAAAUAGAAAUGGCAAGAUUGGAAUAGACAAGAGUAAUAACUACAUGCCUAUUCCAAAUGCACCUAGGAAGACAUGCCAUAACUGUGGGAAUACUAAUCAUCUUGCUAAUUUUUGCAGGAAGAACAAGGACAUUAACUCUUUACCUACAAAGUCUGGAGUUAGAAAAAGUAGUAUUAGAUAUAAACCACAAGAUCCAUGUUUUCAUUGUGGUAGUUUAUGGCAUUCUAUUUAUACUUGCAAAGAAUAUCAUAGUUUGUAUUAUGAUUAUUAUCAAUUGAAACCUUCUUUGAAGAAGUUUAAUAAAAGCUCUGCAAGUACAAAAUCUGUUUCUAGUACAAACUCUGUUGCAAAGUCUGUUAGCUCAAACUCUGAUAAUAAUAACUCCGCUGCAAAAGCUAACAAACUUAAUAAGGCCAAGGGAUCCAAGCAAGUCUGGGUCCUUAAAACUAACAAUUAGUGGUCUUUGUGAUUGCAGGGCAACAGGAAGAAUAUUCUAGUCUUGGACAGUGGAUGUUCAGGACACAUGACUGGAAAUAAGGCCCUGCUGUCAGAGUUUGUGGAGAAGGCUGGCCCAAGUGUUUCUUAUGGAGAUGGCAACAUAGGAAGGACUCUGGGAUAUGGCAACAUCAAUCUUGGAAAUGUCAUCAUAUCAAAUGUAGCUCUUGUUCAAGGGCUAAAACACAAUUUACUCUCUGUCAGUCAGAUCUGUGACAGAGGAUAUCAUGUUGAUUUCUAUGAAGAACACAGUGAGAUAGUAAGCAAGUCAACAGGCAAAGUGGCAGUGAUUGCUCACAGACAUGGAAAUAUUUAUGAAAUCCACUUGCCUACAAACUCUGAAGGAAAAGCAAUUUGCUUGUCUACAAGGAUCUCUGCAGAAGAAAGUUGGAAGUGGCACAAGAAGCUCUCACAUCUGAAUUUCAACUCCAUAAAUGAGCUUAUAAAGAAAAAGCUUGUGAGAGGACUCCCUGAAUCACUACUCACAUCUGAUGGAUUAUGUGAUUCAUGUCAAAAGGCCAAGCAGAGAAAGACAUCCUUCAAGAGUAAGACUGAAUUCUCAAUAAAGAAACCAUAUCAUCUUCUACAUGUUGAUCUAUUUGGACCAGUUAAUGUACCAUCCAUUGCAAGGAAGAAAUAUGCUCUUGUCAUUGUUGAUGAGUAUACCAGAUACACUUGGGUAUAUUUUCUUCACUCUAAAGAUGAAACAGCCUUGCAUCUGAUGGAUCAUGUGAAACAACUGGAUCAUGGAUCUGAAGACAAAGUGAAGAUCAUUAGAAGUGAUAAUGGAACUGAGUUCAGAAAUUCAACAAUGGAAGAGUUCUGCAAAGAAAGAGGUGUAGUGCAACAAUUUUCUGCACCUGGUACACCACAGCAAAAUGGUGUAGUUGAAAGGAAAAACAGGACUCUUAUAGAAGCUGCCAGAACUAUGCUUGAUGAGGCUAAAUUGCCUACUUAUUUCUGGGCAGAAGCUGUUCAAACAGCUUGUUUCACUCAAAAUGCAACCUUGAUUAAUAAGCAUGGCAAGACCCCAUAUGAGAUGGUGAAGAAAAAGAAGCCAAAUCUGAAGUACUUUCAUAUAUUUGGGUGCAAAUGCUUUGUAUUGAAGACUCAUCCAGAACAGCUUACCAAGUUUGAUUUAAAAGCUGAUGAAGGCAUUUUUGUAGGUUAUCCUCUGACAACAAAGGCCUUCAGAGUCUAUAAUCUAAGAACCAAGGUGAUCAUGGAAUCCAUACAUGUGUCAUUUGAUGACAAAAGAAUUAUGGGUUUAGCAGAUAUGGAUGAUCAUGAAGAACUGCAUUUUGAAAAUGAAGAAAUAUUCUCUGAUUCAACAAACUCUGAUGAACAGUCAAACUCUGACUGUGAACAAAAUACAGCAAACUCUGGUGAAAAUUUACAAGUUCAUGAUGAUGAAGCAAUUGUUGAGGGGGAGCAUCAGAAUGUUUCAGACUCUACCCAAGACUCAUCAGAGAAUGCUGACUCAAACUCAUCAGAGAAUACUGAUUCAAACUCUGAUAGCACAAAUUUAGGGGGAGCUACAGAGAAUAAUCAACAGAAUCAGGAGAGCAUGGAUCAAGGGGGAGGAUCCAAUGAUGAAAAUGGUCAACUUCCACAUGCUAGGAAGUGGACAAAAUCUCACACACCUGAUUUAAUAAUUGGCAAUCCAGAAGCAGGUGUGCAAACAAGGACAGCUACAGCAAAUGAGUGUUUACAUCAUUGCUUUCUGUCACAAACAGAACCUAAAAAGGUGGAGGAAGCUCUUCAAGAUGCUGACUGGAUUCAAGCAAUGCAAGAAGAGCUAAAUGAGUUUGAGAGAAACAAAGUCUGGACCCUAGUACCAAGACCUAAAGAUAGAUCCAUAGUUGGUACAAAAUGGGUUUUCAGAAACAAAACUGAUAGUGAAGGUGUCAUUACAAGGAAUAAAGCAAGACUUGUGGCAAAAGGGUAUUCACAACAGGAAGGUAUUGAUUAUGAUGAGACAUUUGCUCCAGUUGCAAGAUUGGAGGCAAUUAGAAUCUUUCUGGCCUAUGCUGCUCACAAGAAAUUCAAGGUAUUUCAGAUGGAUGUCAAAAGUGCUUUUCUAAAUGGGAAACUGGAUGAGGAGGUAUAUGUUGAACAACCUCCAGGCUUUGUGGAUCCAAAGCAUCCAGACUAUGUCUAUAGAUUGGACAAGGCACUUUAUGGACUAAAGCAGGCUCCAAGGGCAUGGUAUGAAACUCUGGCUCAAUUUCUUCUUGAAAGUGGAUUUACUAGAGGUACCAUAGAUAAAACCCUGUUUUAUUUGAAUCAUGGUAAUGAUCUGCUUUUAGUUCAAAUCUAUGUUGAUGAUAUUAUUUUUGGCUCCACUAAUGCUAAACUCUGUCAAAGAUUUGCCAAGCUCAUGCAGUCUAGGUACCAAAUGAGCAUGAUGGGGGAACUCAGUUAUUUUCUGGGUUUACAAGUUAAACAGACUGAAGAUGGGAUUUUUAUAAAUCAAGCCAAGUAUACCAGAAAUCUUUUGAAGAAAUUUGGUAUGCAAGACAGUUCAGCUGCAACUACUCCUAUGGCAACAGCAACCAAACUAGACAAAGAUACUGGUGCAUCAGUGGAUAUCACAAACUAUAGAGGAAUGAUUGGAUCUUUGCUUUAUCUGACUGCAAGUAGACCAGACAUCAUGUAUGCCACAUGUCUAUGUGCAAGAUUUCAGGCAGAUCCAAGAGAGCCUCAUCUGAUUGCAGUAAAGAGGAUAUUCAGAUAUCUCAAGGGAACCACAUCAUUGGGAUUAUGGUAUCCUAGAGAAUCAGAUUUUAGUCUAAUUGGAUACUCUGAUGCAGAUUUUGCAGGUUGCAAAAUUGACAGGAAAAGCACAAGUGGGAGUUGUCAAUUUCUGGGUGGAAGACUUGUUUCUUGGUACAGCAAGAAGCAAAAGUCCAUUUCAACAUCAACAGCAGAGUCAGAGUAUAUAGCUGCAGGCAGCUGCUGUGCUCAAAUUCUUUGGAUGAAGAAUCAACUGUUGGACUAUGGGUUAUCCUUUUCUAAAAUUCCUAUUUAUUGUGAUAACCAAAGUGCUAUUGCUAUGACAGGAAACCCAGUUCAACAUUCUCUGACAAAACACAUCAGCAUAAGAUAUCAUUUUAUAAGGGAGCAUGUGGAGGAAGGAACCAUUGAACUUCACUUUGUUCCUACAGAACAGCAGCUAGCAGACAUAUUCACCAAACCACUAAGUGAAGCAACCUUCACUAGGCUGGUGAAUGAGCUAGGAAUGAUAUCAGGAACUGAGUAAACAUACUGGUCAGAUCUUUCAAAUUUCAAUUGUCAAAUUACCAUAUGUAUUGCUCACAAAUUUGCCAUGAUAUACUCUGAUUGUUAAAAUCUGAUGACAUUCUCUGAUGAUAUACUCUGUGUGCUAUACUCUGAUGAUAUUCUCUGAUCGUCAUUCUCUGACGAUAUUCUCUGAUGUUUGUAAACUCUGAAUCUUGAUUAAUGAUUUCAUUUCUAUUUCUCUGAGAAAACAAACCUGUGAAGAUACUAUGAAGCAUGAUAUGAAUUAGUAAUCAUGAAUCUCAGUUCAGUUCUUUAAUCUUGAUCUCCAUUUUGUGCUACUACUUAACACUAUCUGCAUAUUGAAAUCAUUGAGACUCUAUUACUUCACAUAUCUUAAUUAUAAGUGAGACUGACUAAUUUGCAUUUUCUCUCAGUAAAUUAGACAGUGAUUAUAAACUCUGAUGAUAUAUACACUCCUGCAAAUAAGCAUGGUACUCCUUUGAGAUCUUAGAUGUCUAUAUGACAGUGACUGGGAAGACCCAAACCCUUACUGGUAUUAAGUAAUUGCCAAGAUUUUAAAAUCUAUGGUGACCAGUCACAAUCUCUGAUUACUGGAGAACUACUGUGGCAAAAUUAUCCUUAAAAGGUCGUGAUUCAUUUACACUGAAAAGCGUCCUUUUGAAAAAAAAAAAAAAAGGGGGGGUUUAGUUUAUUUUAUCAGAGUAUAUCGUUUGUCUAUGUCUUGAGAGUUUAAAUAAAUUAUUCUUGUCUACCUUAUAAUUACGAAAUUGUGAAAUUCUCUAGUCUCUGAUUUAAUAUGUUAAAUCACACACAUAAAUGUCACAAGCAUAUUAUUGAGCUAUGGAUUCUAUGNNNNNNNNNNNNNNNNNNNNNNNNNNNNNNNNNNNNNNNNNNNNNNNNNNNNNNNNNNNNNNNNNNNNNNNNNNNNNNNNNNNNNNNNNNNNNNNNNNNNNNNNNNNNNNNNNNNNNNNNNNNNNNNNNNNNNNNNNNNNNNNNNNNNNNNNNNNNNNNNNNNNNNNNNNNNNNNNNNNNNNNNNNNNNNNNNNNNNNNNNNNNNNNNNNNNNNNNNNNNNNNNNNNNNNNNNNNNNNNNNNNNNNNNNNNNNNNNNNNNNNNNNNNNNNNNNNNNNNNNNNNNNNNNNNNNNNNNNNNNNNNNNNNNNNNNNNNNNNNNNNNNNNNNNNNNNNNNNNNNNNNNNNNNNNNNNNNNNNNNNNNNNNNNNNNNNNNNNNNNNNNNNNNNNNNNNNNNNNNNNNNNNNNNNNNNNNNNNNNNNNNNNNNNNNNNNNNNNNNNNNNNNNNNNNNNNNNNNNNNNNNNNNNNNNNNNNNNNNNNNNNNNNNNNNNNNNNNNNNNNNNNNNNNNNNNNNNNNNNNNNNNNNNNNNNNNNNNNNNNNNNNNNNNNNNNNNNNNNNNNNNNNNNNNNNNNNNNNNNNNNNNNNNNNNNNNNNNNNNNNNNNNNNNNNNNNNNNNNNNNNNNNNNNNNNNNNNNNNNNNNNNNNNNNNNNNNNNNNNNNNNNNNNNNNNNNNNNNNNNNNNNNNNNNNNNNNNNNNNNNNNNNNNNNNNNNNNNNNNNNNNNNNNNNNNNNNNNNNNNNNNNNNNNNCAUGCCGUAAACUCUGAACCUACUCCUACAACAGCCUCUGAACCUGUUCAAGCCAGUCCUCAGAAGCCAGCCAGAUUCAAGAAGAGGGCUCAAAAGCCUGCAAGAGCAAAAGUCCCAGUUACUGAAAUCACAGAUUUCACAGUUGAGGAAGAACAAACACCAUCAACUCCAGUCAUCUCCUACAGCAUCUACUUCAUCCUCUGAAGUAGAUGAAGAAAUAAAGUGUGAUGAACCAGUUACAACUGAAGCUGGAGCAAACAUGUCUGAUCCUCAUCCUCCAUUAUCUGAUCAUGGACCCUCCACUCCAAUUCCUAAUUCUCCAAUGAAAAUUCCAGAGGGUGCCAUAGUUCAUGAUACAGCUCCAGAAAACUACAGGUCUGAUGUAGUUGAUGAAUCUGACAGAGUAGCUAUGGAAGCUCUACAGUCUCUUGCUCAGACUGGUGAAGAGCCUAUCAAAUCACAGUCUGAAGCUCAAGAAAAAUCUGCUCAGGAUACUGUGGAGAAAGUUGCUGAUACUGUUCCUGAUGCUGACAAAGCAAAUUCUGAUGCUGAUACUGAGGAUGAUGACAGUUCAGAUACUGACAAGGAUGAAAAUGAUGGAGUUCCUCUAACACAACAAAAGUGGGAGUCUACUAGCCAGUAUAAUGUCAGGCUACAAACUCUGACUACAGACUCUGAGCCACUUCCCAGGGAUCUUCAAGUUGAUCCACCAAAUGAAGUAUGGGAUAAACUCUGGCUGAGCCAUCAACAUUCUCUGGAGCCAACUAAAGCUGAAGAAUUUCUAUCUAUGGCAGAGAAUAAAAUUUCAAACUCUGAUGUUAUGUCAAGCCUCAAAGGCACAAUUCUUUAUCUGAAGACAUUUCAUCCUGCUCAUGCCCAGACAUCUAAAUCAAUAGAUGGUCUAAGAACAGAGGUGGCUAAUGUCAAGGAGACAAAUGAGUUGGAGAAGAAAAGGACUAUAAUACCUCUGAGAGAUAAUGUUCAGAAGCUGGUGUCUGCACAUGAAUCUCUGGACAAGAGGAUGACUAUCAUUGAAUCAACUCAAGAGAAGAUGUCCAAACAGCUUGAAGCCAUCCAAUCUUCACUUUCUCUGAUCACAUCCAUACUGAUUCCUGAUGAGGAUGAUGUCAAAAAGGGGGAGAGAGUAGCUCAAGUCAAAUGCAAGUCUACUACUCAAACUCUGAAGAGGAAGAAGAAGGAUGAUGAUGAUGAUGCUGAUGAUUUCACAAAGCACAAGAGAUUUCAAGCAGGGACUGGUGGAAGAGUUUCAAACUCUGACAGUCAGAAACAAUCUAAGCAAAGCACAAAGUCUGCUCCAACACAUAACUUCACAUCUGGAUCUAAGCAAAGACCAGUGACUGGAUCAGACAAACCCAUGACUGAUGAAGAGCUUGCUAGAUUGGUUUUUGAACAAGAAAAUCCAGAAGCCAAUUUGGAUUUGGAGUUGAUUGCUGCAGAGGAAGCUGAGCUGAAAAAGGAACAUGUUGAAGCUAUAAACUCUGGAAAGAUCCAAAAGCCUGCAAAGUCAACUACCAAGCCAAAAGAGAAAGGGAUAUUGAUCAAGGAACCUACUGUUGCUGAUCAGAGUUUACCAGUCAAAAAGGUAUACUCUGAAGAUGAAUAUACUUCCAAGGGCAAAAGCAAAGUAGAUGAACAUCUGGAGAAAGGCUGGGAAAAGAAGAAGUCUACAACCUCUGACAAGGAUCAAGUUGUAAAGGAAAAGAAAACAGAAGCUGCAAUCUCUGACAAAGCUCAUGUUGCAGAACCUCAAAAAGAAAGAUUAACCUCUGACAUAGCUCAAGUUAAUAAGGAUGCAAAGAAAGACACAACCUCUGACAAAGCUCAAGCUGUGUUCAAACCAACAACUACUCCACUGGCUGGAUUUGCAAAGCCUACUCUGAUGACUGAGAUAAGCUUUGAAAAGGGCUCAAUUCAACCAAUCUCUCAUCGUAAGGCAGGAAGAGAUAAAGGAGGGCUGGGAUCCAAAUAUGAAAAAUUUGAUCAGAGUAUAGGAUCAAGACCAGAUGACCCCUCAUCUCUCUGUGCUCCCAAGACUGGAGUAUUGCAAGACAAAAUGGACAAACUUGAUUCAGUCCAGUUGGUAAAGAAUGACAGAGGAGAUAAUAUCCUUAUCUACUUCAUGUCUGAUGGAACAGUGUUUAGAGUACUUGAAGCAGAUCUAUAUGCUAAACACUGGGAAGAAUUGAGAUAUGUAUCAUACAUAUUUCAAGUAAAGAACAAGUCAGGACAACACAUCUCCAACCUGCUAAAGGAUCAAAUCAGAAGAAAGAUGGGGAUUACAGGAAACAAAAAUGCUGGACCUUUCAUUCCUAAAUACCUCAAUCAUAAAGGACAGCUGGUGGAGAUGAAGACAAAUUCAGCAAAGAUUGAAACAAUAGGUGGAAUCAGAACUCUUGCAUUUAAUGAAGAGUCUGAUAAAGCUUACAAUAUCAGGCUGGAUAGAGACUUGAAGAAGAACAAGAUUUAUGAUCUCAGAGCUGCAAUUUAUCAAACUGGAGUUUCAGAUCCAGAGCUGAGAGAGAUCAAGAGACAAAUGAUUACAGUGCUUGAAGAAGCUGAAAGAGAACUCCUCAGAAGGUAUCUACAGACAGCAAAUGGUGUCUAUGCAGCUAAGGAGUAAAGUAUCUGUAAGUUUUAAAAGUUUUCUGUUGUAUAGUUAAACUCUGUUGCAUUUGACUUAAAUGUUUUGACAUCAUCAAUUAUCUGUUAACUUGCACAUAACUUAUUUAUGCACAAGUUGGGGGAGAUUGUUAGAUAUAAUUGAUGAUUACUAAUGUUCUUAAAGUUUGUUUUAGAACAGGAAUCAUCAGAGUUUAAGCUGGAAGCUGAUCAGAGUUUAGUAAAGUCUGACAGAGUUUGAUAAAGUCUGACAGAGUUUGAUAAAGUCUGACCAGAGUUUACAUAGUCAAGACUCGUCAGAGUUUACACGUGGAAAGAGCUCAGAAGCGGAUAUACUUCAAGGAAGGAUAGAAGCGGAGGAGUGAUUUACUGGCUAUGGAAACUAAACAGAAAACUGGAGCAAUCUUUGAUUGAUAGAAUUCAUAGCUGAUUUAUAGGAUAUCAAAUCAGAGAUUGAUUUUGUAACUGUGUCUAUAUAAACACAGAUUAGGGUUACUCUAUAUGAGUUGAGUUAUCGAGUACAUUGUUAAGAACCCUAGCAGCUCUUAGUGAUACAAUAUAAAUCACUGAGAGAGUUUUUGUAACCAUUAAAGCUUUGUGAAUAUAAGAGUUUAUUGCUUUCAAUCUCUUAUAUUGUCUUACUGUGUUACAGAUUGUGAUCACUAUAUCAGAUUAUAUAGUGAGUUUAUAGGACCUAACAUAUAUCAGCGUCUUUUACCUUAUAGUCUUAUCUUUUCCUUUACCGCACUUGUUUUAUUUCACUUUACUUUCAGUACCGACCAUAAACUUUUGAGAUAAUAUUGCACCCCUUUCCUUUAUUGUUUUACAUUCUGUAAAGAAGUAUGCAAUUUAUUUAGUUGAAUAAUCUCAAAAAUGUUUUCAGAAAUUUGUAACUCUGUUUUCUUAAAAACCUUUUAUAAAAAGAGAAUUUGAUUUAAAAAGGCUAAGUGAAUUGUUUCUUCUUUACAGAAUGCCUCCAACAAGACAUACUCGUGCCAACAGCAACCCUGAAGGCACAAACAGUACCAAUAAUAACAAUGACAACCAGAAUGUCAACACAGGCACAGUAGAUCCUGCUGUUGCCCAACUAAUUCAAAUUUUGGCCCAACAAACUGCUCAGCUUACCCGACAACAGCAACAUUAAGAGAAUCCUAGGGUAACUUUUAAAACUUUUCAGGCAGUUAAUCCUCCAGAGUUUAAGGGCUCAGCAGAUCUUGUUGCAGCCCAAACAUGGUUAAAAGAAAUGGAAAAGUGUUUUGAGUUAGUUCCAGCAAGUGAGGACCAGAAAACAAAGUUUGCCAGUCAUUACAUGAAAAAUUAAGCGACGUAUUGGUGGGAAUUUGUUAAGAAUUUGGAAGGUACAGUUGAAAUUACUUGGGAAAGGUUUAGAGAAUUGUGCUUAGAAAAGUAUUUUCCUAGGUUUCUUCAGGAUCAGAUGGAAUUGAACUUUUUAGAGUUGAAACAAGGAAAUAUGUCUAUGGUUGAGUAUGAGAAUAAGUUUGCGGAAUUGGCUAGAUUUAUGCCAACUUAUGUAGAGACCGAUAGGCAGAAAGCGAAGAGGUUCCAUCAAGGUCUGAAACCCUGGAUUAGAAGCAAAUUAGCUAUUUUACAAUUGGAUACUUACGCAGCAGUUGUUGAGAAAGCGGUGAUUGCGGAGACUGAAAAUGAGUUGUUCAGAAGUCUAAGGAAGAUAAGAAAAGAAAGCCAGACAAUAGAGAAGGACCAUCUCAUCAAGGGAGGUUCCAGAAGAAAGGGAAAUUUCAAGCAGGAAGGAGUUCCAAUUUUAAGAAACAGAAUGUAGGCAGUGGUGGACAAGGUAGUCGUUUUAUUAUGGGAAAUCAGGCCAAUCAGCAGAGGCCUUCAAUACCAGAAUGUCAGAUAUGUGGCAAGAGACAUGGAGGAAUAUGCAACAAGCUGAACGUGGUGUGUUUUAAAUGCAACCAGAAAGGACAUUAUUCUAGAGAAUGUCAGAAUCAACUAGCAAUAAAAGAUCAAGCCAAUAGAAGCUCAACAAGUAAGACUCUAGUCAUAGGAUAUACAUGUUUUAAAUGUGGAAAGCCAGGACAUAUGGCUAAGGACUGCAAGACAUCAGCCCCUGUUAGUAAUGCACUUAGGAUCAUGGGAACUGUUCCAGAAGUGAAUGAACCUCCUAAGGCAAGAGUCUUUGAUAUGUCAGUGAAGGAUGCUAUUCAGGAUGCCGAUGUGGUGGCAGGUACGCUUAACGUAAACUCUUUAAAUGCUAAGGUGUUAAUUGAUUCCGGAGCCACUAGAUCAUUUAUUUCUCAAGCUUUUGUUGAUAAGUUGAAUUGUCCGGUUGAAUUGUUGAAUGAGGUUAUGAAUGUAGAGCUAGCUAAUCAGGAUCGUAUUCCCGUUAAUCAAGUUUGUCCUGAUUGUGAAAUUGAGAUUUUAGGAAAUAAGUUUUGUGCCGACUUGAUACCUUUCAAGUUGGGGGAAUUUGAUGUAAUCUUAGGGAUGGACUGGCUGUCUAAACAUAGUGCGCAGAUAGAUUGUAAAAAUAAGAAGGUAAUAUUAAAGGCACCAGACGAUAAGGUAAUAACGUUUAGAGGACAAAAGCAAGUAAAGAAGUUCUUAACCAUGAUUCAAGCGAAGAGGAUGUUACGUCAAGGAUGUGAAGCCUAUAUUGCUUAUGUAAUUGAUAAAAGUCAGGAAUCAGUAAAACUUGAUGAUAUUCCUGUAGUAAAUGAAUUUCCAGACGUGUUUCCUGAUGAGUUACCAGGACUUCCUCCAGAUAGAGAAAUAGAAUUUGCAAUUGACUUAGCACCUGGAACGGAGCCGGUAUCCAAAGCCCCGUAUAGGAUGGCACCCGUAGAGAUGAAAGAAUUGGCAAAACAAUUACAAGAGUUACUGGAAAAGGGCGUGAUUAGACCGAGUGUAUCCCCAUGGGGAGCACCAGUGUUAUUUGUAAAGAAGAAAGAUGGAAGUAUGAGGUUAUGCAUAGAUUAUAGAGAGCUUAAUAAGCUUACUAUCAAGAAUAGAUAUCCUUUACCCCGUAUUGACGACUUGUUUGACCAGUUGAAAGGAGCAGAAUAUUUUUCUAAGAUUGACCUUAGGUCAGGAUACCAUCAGCUCAAAAUCAAAUCUGAGCUAAGACAGCUUUCAGAACAAGGUAAGGUCAUUUUGAAUUUUUAGUGAUGGCCUUUGGAUUAACGAAUGCACCAGCUUUUAUGGAUUUAAUGAAUAGAGUCUUUAAGAAGUAUUUGGACAAGUUUGUGAUUGUUUUUAUAGAUGAUAUUCUGAUAUAUUCUAAGACAACUGAGGAGCAUGCAGAACACUUAAAAACAGCCUUAGAGAUACUAAGGAAGAAGAAGUUGUAUGCGAAGUUUUCUAAAUGUGAAUUCUGGUUAGAAGAAGUUCAAUUUCUAGGACACAUAGUGAGUCGUGAAGGAAUCAAGGUAGAUCCAGCAAAGAUUGAAGCUAUAAUGAAUUGGGAAAGACCAAAGACCCCCACAGAAAUCAGGAGAUUCUUAGGGUUAGCAGGUUACUACAGAAGGUUUGUACGGGAUUUCUCAAGAAUUGCAACCCCACUGACUAAGUUAACUAGAAAGAAUGAAAAGUUCAUAUGGAAUGAGAAGUGUGAGGAAAGUUUUCAGGAUUUAAAGAAAAGAUUAGUGUCAGCACCAGUAUUGUCCCUUCCAGAUGAUCAAGGAAAUUUUGUGAUUUAUAGUGAUGCCUCUUAUAAAGGAUUAGGAUGUGUAUUGAUGCAGCAUGAUAAAGUUAUUGCGUAUGCGUCUAGACAACUUAAACCUCAUGAACAGAAGUACCUUACUCAUGACCUGGAGUUAGCAGCUAUUGUAUUUGCACUAAAAAUAUGGAGACACUAUCUGUACGGAGAAAAGUGUGAGAUUUACACAGAUCAUAAAAGUUUGAAGUACAUCUUUACUCAGAAAGAGCUUAACAUGAGACAAAGAAGAUGGUUAGAGUUGAUUAAGGAUUAUGAUUGUACGAUUAAUUAUCAUCCAGGAAAAGCCAACGUAGUAGCGGAUGCUUUAAGUAGAAAGGAGAGGUUAAAUGUAUUGACUGUGCCAGAGGAAUUGUAUAAAGAGUUUCAAAAGUUGGAAAUCGAGGUAAGAAUUCGUGAACCAUCAGAGAUAGCAGUGUAUACCAUGACCUUCCAACCAGAGCUAUUAGAAAAGAUUAAGAAGUGCCAAGAAGAAGUAAUGAAUCAGGAUGUAAACAAAUUAGUAGGAGAAGAGUUAUGUACACAGAAAGAUGACCAGGGUAUUCUUAGAUUUUCUUCCCGGAUAUGGAUUCCACCGGAGACAGAGUUAAAGAAUGACAUCUUGCAGGAAGCACAAAAUUCUAAGUAUUCAAUUCAUCCAGGCAGCACUAAGAUGUAUAGAGAUUUAAAGGAGAACUAUUGGUGGCCAGACAUGAAAAGAGAGAUUGCGGAAUGGGUAAGUAAAUGUUAUACGUGUCAAAAAGUGAAAGCAGAACACCAAAGACCAAGUGGACUAUUGCAACCUUUAGAGAUUCCAGAAUGGAAAUGGGAACAUAUUGCUAUGGAUUUUAUUGUAGGAUUACCGAAGACAAAAGCAAAUCAUGAUGCCAUCUGGGUUAUAGUGGAUAGAUUAGCCAAAUCAGCUCAUUUUCUUCCGAUUAAUGAGAGGUUUUCUUUGGAUAAACUGGUUCAUAUGUACUUGAAAGAGAUUGUAGUUCAUCAUGGAGUCCCCGUAUCCAUUGUAUCAGAUAGAGAUCCACGAUUUAAUUUGAGAUUCUGGAAAAGUUUUCAAGAAUGCUUGGGCACUAAAUUGAAUAUGAGUACGGCAUAUCAUCCACAGACAGACGGCCAAAGUGAGAGAACUAUUCAGACAAUCGAGGAUAUGUUACGUGUUUGUGCAAUCGAUUUCAAAGGCAAUUGGGACGAACAUCUACCUUUAGUGGAAUUUGCAUAUAAUAAUAGUUAUCACGCGAGUAUUGGAAUGCCUCCAUAUGAAGCCCUUUACGGACGCAAAUGUCGAUCACCAGUAUAUUGGGAUGAAGUCGGAGAACGCAAAAUACUUGGACCAGAACUAGUGCAGCAAACCAAGGAAGUCAUCGAAAUUAUUCAGAAGCGACUAAUUGCAGCGCAAAGUCGUCAACGGAACUACGCAGAUCAAUCCCGGAGAGACGUAGAAUUUGAAGACGGAGAAGCAGUACUGCUAAAGGUAUCACCAUGGAAAGGGCUAUCCAGAUUCGGAAAGAAAGGCAAGCUAAGUCCCCGAUAUGUCGGGCCAUUCGAAAUCUUGAGGCGUAUUGGCAAAGUAGCGUAUGAAUUGGCAUUACCCCCACAAAUGGAGCAUAUUCAUAACGUCUUUCAUGUAUCGAUGCUUAAAAAGUAUAAUCCAGAUUCGAAGCAUGUGAUAGAGUAUGAGCCGAUAGAACUGGAGGCAGAUUUAUCUUAUGUAGAAAAGCCAGUAGAAAUCCUAGAUAGAAAAGAGAAGGUGUUAAGGAACAAGGUAGUUAACUUAGUGAGAGUACUGUGGAGAAACCCAAAGGUUGAAGAGUCAACCUGGGAAUUAGAAAGUGAUAUGCUUGAAAAGUACCCUCAUUUGUUUACCUAAGCGAUUCUGAGGACAGAAUCCUUUUAAGGGGGGAAGGAUGUAACAUCUGGGAUUAUCCGUGUAAUUAUUUUGAUGAUUAAUGAAUAUUAUAUGAAUAUUAUGUGAAUAUUAUAUGAAUUUCUGUGAAUUAAUUGUUUCUUGUCCUAUUAAUAUGGCUGCUUGUUUACGAUCAAAUUUGAGGAAUAUCAAUUUUUAUAUGCUCAGUACAAAAUAUAGUUUAUUUAGAUAUUUUUAUAUUGAUUUAUGUAUUGUUGUAUGAUUUUAUAUUUGGUUUAUGGAUUUAAUUACGUAUAUUAUAUUUAAUUAUUAAUUAUUUUGAUUUUUCGAAAACCGUCAACCCGUAACGGUACCGAGAUUUUACUUCCCGAAAAUUUCGACAAAACUCACCAUAACCUACAAAAAUGCCUUCAUCAGCUUUUAAAUUAAGCUGUUCUGGAUGAGUCUUCAAGACAAAGCAUUUGCACCCAAAUAUAUGAAAGUACUUCAGAUUUGGCUUCUUUUUCUUCACCAUCUCAUAUGGGGUCUUGCCAUGCUUAUUAAUCAGUGUUGCAUUUUGAGUGAAACAAGCUGUUUGAACAGCUUCUGCCCGGUUGUCUAGAUAUACGUGAAAACAAGAUAUUUUGAUUAUUAUAUUAUUUCUUUUAUCGUAAUACGUGCAAACGGGACCCGCAUACUAAUGAUUGAUUGAAAAGCCCCGUUUUAAUAUAUAAUUAUCUCGAAAACCGGUACCGAUUGGACCCGCUUUAUUAAUAUAAAGCUAUUAAACAUUGUAUUUUCGUGUCAUAUAUGAUCCAGAGGGGUAUUAAUUAUUCGUAAAUAUAAAUAGUCUUAACCGUACUUUAUUUCACUCGGGAAAUCAUAAUAUCAGUUAAAUACGAGUUUAUCGAGAGAGUGUUCUUCGCGUUCUUGAGAUUCAAACGAAGAUUUGGAAGCGUUAUCGGACUCGGAUUUUGGCGUUCAAGUACUCAAAUCGAAGGUUUUGCUGAGUAGAAUCCAUAUCUAGCAUCAGAAUCAGUGCAGCAACAAUAGGUGGGCACGGAUUUUUGAGUUUUAAUUCGAAUUAAAUAAGCUUAAAUUAGGGCUUUUUGAUUUUGAAGUCGUUUGUGUGAUUUGAUGAUUUCAUGUUGUAGAUUAGUUUCUCCUGAUCAUUUUGGUUUAUUAUAUGUGUGAUUUCAAGUUCAAUAACAUAGUUAAAAGUGGGUUUGAUUCUGCUGUGUUCAAGAACUAGGGUUCUUCGUAGCUUUGAAUAUUUCUAAUUGAAAUUUGGGCUUUUCUUAUUUGUUAAUUGCAUGCUUAAUUGGUUUAUAUGGUUGGAUUGGUCGUGAGGAGAGGAAUUCAAACAUGUGAUUGGAAUUGACGGACGACCUCGGAAUCGGUCGCCGUGUUCUGAAAAACAACUCGCCGGCGGCGAGUUUGUUUCGAUCUUUUCCGGCCAAACGGCCUAUCUCCUGCAAAAUCUGAGGCCACCAAUCGAUUCCUGGUGGCUGAUAUAGCUAAUCUGGAAGUUUUGGUAGAUGUUUAAGGCCGGGAGACCAACCUCCGGUGACACAGACGGUGGCCGGCGGCAUUUAUGCUGUUUGGUCACUGUAGUUUUGAAGAUGGUGACGUUUAGUCACCGUCGUUUCUACACUUUCACAGAUCGCAUCAUAUUUUUAAAACCUGACAGUUUGCACCCCUGUGUAAACUUUUGAUUAUUUACAAAAUAAACCUUUUCAAUUUAUUUUCAAAAAUCAUUUUUAAAUUACUUAUUUUAAUUUCAAAAAUAGUUUUUAAUUAUUUAUUAGUUCAAAAAUAAAUCUGAUUUAAUUUAUUAAUUAAUUUCAAUUUGUAAUUAAUUAUUAUAAUUGGUCAAUUAAUUUAAAUAUUAAUUGAUUAAUUGUUUUAAUUAAUUAUUAAUUGAUUUUAAUUGAUUUAUUAAUUAGAUUUAAUUAUUUUAAAUAAUUUUAAAAUUCCGAAAAAUAGUUUCGAGCUUUGAAAUAUUUUUCUAAAAUAUGUUUGAAGUCCGUUAAUUGAUUUCAAAUGAUUUCGGACUUGAUUUCAAGUAUUCAAAAUUGAUUAUUUAUUUAUAAAAUGAUUCUCUUAUUCGUUUUAAUUCCGAAAAAUGUUCAAAAAUUCAUAAUAAAUGCCAGGAAAAUCCUUUUGACUUCAAACAUUCGUUGAAAAAUAAAUUUUAGUGAAUACCUUAUGUGAUACGUGUUAUGUGCUAUCUGAUCGAUGUGCUAUAUGCCUAUGUGAACGUUAUAUGGCUGUUUCUGGCAUAUUUUUCAAUCCGUAAAUCGGAUUUGGGUAAAACGAAGGGUAGAUUGAAGCUCGUUUCGAAUGUGCGAUAAUAAGAAUAGUAUGAGAUCAUAUAUUGAUAGAUAAUUGUUGUGAUUAGCAGAAGAAGAGAGACGUAGAAAAGGAAAGCAAGUGGUAAUAGAAUAGUAUAUCGAGCAAGUACAAUCAAAGCUUGAGAUCAGCUAUAUAAGGCAAGUUUCCCUAAUACUUUCUUUCAAAUAUAUAUGAUAAUUGAUGUGAUUACUUCGUGAGAUUUCUAAUUAAGCCCUGUUAUUUCUUGAGCUAUAGCAUGAAUUGGUUAUUCUAUUAAUUCAUGAACCUUCAACCAGAUUCUUUGAAUUACAACUUGGACUAUUCACUUCAUUGAUUCUUGAGCCUCCAACCAGAUUCUUGGGUAUUUGUUACGAAACCUGUUUCAAUUGCGAACCUCAUGUUCUUGAAACUUUUAAAGAAAUACCAUACGAACCUUAUUUCAUUUCAAUGACAAAUCCUUGACCCCUAAACCAAUUGAUUUAUAUCCAGUAAUACCUGAAAUGACAUAUACCUUACAAUUGUUCAUUUUCUUCCGAUAAACUAAUUUCUUUGGUCUUGAAGAUACCCAUUUAUAUUCGAAUCAUUUUGUAAAAGAAACUAGAAACCUUCUUUCCUAUAAACAGUGGCCUUUGAUAUACCUUACAAUCCAAUCAUGCUUUAUCUGAUUCCUUGAAUCAUAAAGUAUUCCUUAUUCCUAUUCUGAAGUAUCUUGAAGAUACUCUUGAAUUGCAUUCUACUUCUGCUUCAAAGUUAAAUCAUGAUAUUGAUGACUCUGUUUUAUUGAAUUAUAUUGUUGAUCAUCUUGAAUUAUGAUAGAAUUGGAUAGUUUUUCUUAAAUGGACCAAAUGAAUGGUCAGACCAGAUGAGUGGUCGCUUUAGGCCAAUGUGUGCCUUGGUCUUAAAUGGACCAAAUGAAUGGUCAGACCAGAUGAGUGGUCACUUUAGGCCAAUGUGUGCCUUGGAUCCAGUAAACGAGCAUGGCCGGGCCUGCUCGGGGUUAGUGUCUGACUGAUCAGCAGCCUAACCUUUGGUUUUAAAAAAUAAAUUUAAUAUCCAAUUCUAAUUGAUACUCUAAAAACAAAUCUUGAUAUUGAGAUUGAUUCCAUUAGACACUGGUUUCCCUCAGCUUAUGAUUAAUGUUUUAAAUUGAUAUUGCUAUACUUGCUGAGCUUGUUAGCUCACUCUUGCAAUACUUUAUGUUCUUUCCAGUGAAGAUAGAGAAGGUUGGUAAUGAUGACCCUCAGGCUAGUGGUAAGGCCAGGAUUCCAGGCUGAGAGACGGAGGGAGCUAUCAGCAGCACUUGGCUUUUUAUAUAUAAACUAGUUUGAGUAGCGGAAAACAUUUGAGGUGUAAGCUUUGUAAGAUUUAAGUCUAUAUUUUGGGAUUUGGGUUUGUAAUAAUUAAAGUUAUGUUGUGGCUUGUUUUAUACUUUAACCUGUUGCGAUCCAUGGAUAGUGAAGGGUCACCGCAUAUAUUAUAUUAAUUACAGGUUUAUAUUAUGUUGUGGACCCCAAACUUCUGACCCGGGUUUGGAGGGCGCCACAAUGUAAAUAGGGAAAAGUAGUCAAAAUAUUGAUUUUUAAUGAUUUUGGCAUUUAUUCCUUUUGUAUAAUAUGUAAAUGUUUCCCUAUUCACUAUAUUCAAUUCAAUUUUCAAAUCUAGACUUUUUGUUAUAAUUUCAAAUUAAUGGAGUCUUUUUUCACUCCACAAUUUUAGCACUUGAUAAGGAAGUUUUUAUAUAUUAGAUUUUUUAAUAUUCAGAUACAUGGAUCUCGACUGUUAUAGCUCAUAUGCAAAUAGGGAAGUCAGACUUUAUUUGAUUUCCACUAAUUUUGACAUUAAUUACUAAAAUACUUUUCUAUUUAAUUUUAACAGUUUUCAUGUUCAUUAUAUUCAAUUUUCAAAUCAAGACUUUUUGUUAUAAUUUCAAAUAAAUAUCCCACUCCAUAAUUUUAACUCUUGAUAAGGAAGGUUUUAUAUAUUUUGACUUUUUUAAUUUUUUGAUACAUGGGUCUAGCCUGCUAUAACCCAUAUGUAAAUAAGGAAAAAUAGUCAAAAUUUAUUUGAUUUAACUGAUUUUGGCCUUUAUUAUUACAAUACUUUUUUGUAUAAUAUAUACUGGUUUCCAUAUUCAAUACAUUUAAUUUCCAAAUCAAGACUUUUGUUAUACUUCCUAAUCAAUGGAACACUUUUUAACACCACAAUUUAGCUCUUGAUAAUGAAAUUUUUAUAUAUUAAUUUUUUUAUAUUUUUCCGAUACAUGGAUAUAGACUGCUAUAAUUCAUAGCAAAAAGGAUUUAAAAUUUAAAUUUAUUUAAAAUAUUUUCAAACGAUAAUUCAAAGCAUUGUUUCUAGCACAAUCCCACAAGUUAUGCAUUCAUUCUAGCUUUUGUUUUUAACUGUCUUAACUAAUACGUAAGCAUUAAUUCGAUAAGUGCUAUAAUUCACAGCGUUUGAAAUUUAAAUUUAUUUAAAAUAUUUUCAAACGAUAAUCUAUUAAAAUGGUUGAAGAAACGAAGACCACAUAAGGAUACUAAACCACCUGGUUGUGAAAUAGUUUCUUCAAGUACCUCCAGACUCGGAGCUUACGGUGUAACUUGACUUGCUCAAAAUAAGAAUUGCAAGACUAACACAAAUAUGAUGCAUGAAGAAACGAUAGGUGGUAAGUCUGAUGUUUUCAUAUCAUGGACGAAGUAUAUUCAUCUGGUUUCUUUGAAUGAAGUUUGCUAAUCCAUGUGUACUCUUCCAUUUUAGUAUAUCACAAUAUUUGCAUAUUAUACUCCUGUGAAAUAUAUUGAUGAAUUACUGCAUCAACAUUUAGAUAUCAAGUUAUAUCUGCGACUAGUAAUUUUGCCCGCUUCGCAUGGGCGUUAAUUUCAAAAAAUUCAUAUCUCAUUUUAGAAUAAAAAUUUUGUGAAUAAUUUAUUUACAAAUUAUCUUGUCACAACGUCGGCUUGCUUCGUUUUAUCUUUAAACUAUUUUAUCUCAUUUUAUUUUGUUUAUAAUAUGUUAAACCAGUGAUAUAUUAUACAAAAUUUAAAAUUAAAAAAAUAAUUUAUAAAUUAUAAUAAUGUCAGUUCAAUUAAUUUAAGAUAAUUAUUAAAUAGUUAAAUUUCUAUGUGAGUAUAAUGUAAAGAAUGAGCUAAUAAAUGAAAAAAGUUUUGUAUCAAAACUUUGUAUGUAAGUAUGAUGUAAAGAAUGGGAUAAUCUAAAUUUUUAUGUAUCAAAACUUACCAGAAAAGGUGAAUUAUAUAAACUUGAAAUAUCUACCAAAAAUAAGAAAAUUGGGAGAACUUGAAAGUAAAUAUUUACUUCAACAAAUUCAAAAAAGAUGUGAUAUAAACUUUUAUUAUUAUAUUUUAGUUUUUGAAAAAUGAGGUUCUAUUUUAUGAGAAAAUGAGAAACAUAAGAAAUAUUCACUCCAUAAUUGUUGAAAUAUCAGCAACAGUGAACUUGAAAUAUCAGCAACAGUGAACUGACUGGCAUGGACGAUUCACUAUUGAAAAUUUAAAGCCAAAAUAACAUUAUGAAGUUGUGGCUUGAUUUUUUUAUAUUUCUUUUAUCAAGAAAGUUGUGCCUUGUGAAAUUGAUUGAUAAAUCACAUAAUAACAAUCAUCUUUAGAGUUUUUUUUUUAAUCUAUUGGUGCACUCAGCUUAUUCUAUUCUUCAUAUGAACUGUGACUGCAUUGAAUGUUAAUACAUUCAAGCUAUGGCUUCAGCAUAUGAAGAAAACACCUUCUCCUCAUGGAUGGUAUCUCCCACUUGAAGUAUCAUCCCUCCAAAUUCAUCAAAUGAGUCCUUGUUGCAGAGACCUUGUCCGAAGUAGACCUGUAGAAAAUUAUUUCACAAUUCGUAUCCGGAAAAAGAUUCGAUGUAAAGGAAAUGAGUGGUUCUAGAGCUUAACCUUUCCAUGGUGCCUCGUACUCAGUUGCAAGAUUUUAUCAGAUUGAAACUUCAUCAGUGUUUCAUUCGGCUCUGGCCCAGGAAUUCCAUUCUCUUGGUUAAGUAAGGGUACCUGAAAAGUAUAAUAAAGUCCACAAAAAUUAAAUGAAACUCUGCAGCAAGAAUGUGUCAAAUGAAAUGAUAUUAAACAAAGGAAAACAAAAGAAUCUAUAAUCAAGCUCAACGUUAAUAAGGAUGCUAAACUUGCACAAACAAUUUGUUAGAUGGAGAGCAUUUAAGGUAAAUUUUAACCUUGCAUCGAGGGCAUAACUGAAUGCUUAUGAAAGUUAUGUUGUUGAGGUCCUCAGCAAAUCGUUCACCCCCAUCAAUAAAUAUGUUGUAAAAAUCAAGUGUUUUUUUAUACUAUAGAUUACAGCUUAUAUAUGAGACAAAAAGUCCAAAGAUAAUAAGGCAAUAUUAAGAAAUCAGAUUAGGAUAUACAUAGCCCUAAAAAAAAGUUAGACCUGGGGCGGAAAUGAUUAACAGGUAAAGGCUCCUCCAGCUGGCUAUUAAGUUCAUCUAAAGAUCCCUGCAUAUGAUACAUACUCAUAUUAGGCACCAGUUCUGCACUUAUAUACAAAGAUUAUAUAAAUCAUAAAUGUUUAAAUAACAUGGGAAAGCAUUAGAAACUGAUACUGGUCGGUAAACACAAGAUUGUAUCCGGUUGUAGGAGCAUAAUCCGGGAGAGGCCUGGAGUCAGACUUUGUAUGAGCAGGAAUCUUUAUUUCUCUUUCCUUCAAACAGAUGAAAUAGUUUACUUUGUGCCUAUAACAGGAGAAGCAUUACCAUAUCGUGCAGAUGGAUAGAUGCUGAGACUCAAAGGGCGAUAAAGUGCGCCGGCUUAGCCGAUCAAAAGGAGCACCCACUAUGUUGAUUCUAAUUACAGUUUUGGAACUGAUUAACAUCUAUAUAUGCAGCUCAAUGAACAUGUAUGUGCAAUAACUACGGAGGGAUUUGUGGGGGCGUAAUUACAGUAAAAGCAAUUAAAUAUUCAUAUAUGUACUACUACAACUAUUACAUCCACAUUUUGUCAAAAAAAAAAAACUAUUACAUCCACAUUAACAUCAAUAAAGCCUCUUCAUCAAUUUCAACACAACUCCAAAGAUAGCAGAUGACCAUGAUUGUCCAAAACCGGUUCAAUGACAUAAAGACACAGAAAGCAAAAAAAAAAAUGUCACUCUAUAAACUACUGGCUUGAGUUAUAUUACUAUGUUAUUUUAUUAAAGAAACCAGGAAGUUCUGCUACAAUUUACAAAAACAAAACUAUUAACUUGACCAAAACCCCUGCUUUACAAUAAAAAGUUCAAAUCCCCUGCUUUAUAUAAACAAAAAUAUUCAAAACCCCUGCUUUACAAUAAAAAGUUCAAAGCCUACUCUUAUAUUAAACUAAAAUAUUCAAAACCAAAAGGAAAAUACACCAAAUAUUCUACUUGAUAACAAACAUUCGGAACGUAGUUGAAACCCAGCUUUUUAUUAUUGUAUUUCCUAGCAAAGGAAUAUAACAAAUAAUGACAGUAGGGCUCGUAAAAACAUAAACAUAAAACUUUUACAUACCAGUGUGUAAUAUUAUGAUCAGGUGAAAGCUUGUAUAUAACUUUUCUUGUAUGGAAACAAUUUGUUCCAGUAGGCCAGUACAUUGGUCCUUGAAUUCCUGCCAGUCCAUGCCCUAUAAACUAUACAGUUUAUGCAAUAAUAACUCAUAAUUUAAGUCCAGGUGAAGGCAUGUGUAUAUGAGAGAGAGCUUAUAUUCUUGUAAUUGACCAUAAUGCAAAUAAUGCAAAAAGUAAUAUAAGAAUGCUGGCUUCAUAUGUAUAGACAUAAUAAAUGGUUUACGAAAGUUAUGAAUGCCAUUGCUUUACCUACCUUAGUUGGUUACGAUUGCAGGCUGUGAAGAAUGCAACAAAAUCGUUUAAGAUGCUCUGAACAGCUCGAGAGACCUAGAACAGAAACAAUUUAGAUGCAAUUAGAACCAGUUUUUUAAAUGCUCACAAUAAAUAACAAAAAGGUUAAGACUAUAACCUGAGAAAAAAGGUGAUUCCAUAAAGUGUGCCACAAGGAAACCUCUGCGUUCACCGUAGCAUCUGCAGUUGAAGCUAACUGGAAGAUGCUACAGAUAAAGAACCAUAUAUCUCCAAUAAUAGCAUAUACUUUGCUAUAUAUGAACACAAUAAGAUUGCAUAUCCCGAGAAAAAGGCGAAGGGGAGCGUAUAAUAUUUCCCAAAGAAUCCAGAAUAUAGGGUACAAAAAGGAAGCCACUGCAAUCCAUUCAGAUCAGUUAAUAAUUAUUCUUUUCAGUAAUUAAUUUCAUAAAAUCCUUAAACUGAAACAUUCAGAUAUUAAUAAAGUGUUUAUAAGUAUACUGGAAGAAUUACGCACCAAUAUUCCAUAAAAGUGACAGUAAAAACCAGAGGCAACAAUACAGUCUCAAAUUAGCAAAAACCCAGUUCAAUAUAUACUAAACUCAACAACGGGUGACUAAAAAUGAUAUAAAGAUCGAAUUACGGAUCAGGAAGGAAGGCAGAGAAGCUAAUGAGCAAGCAAACUUACAGAUAUAUUAUCACUUUCCAGCUCCAUAUCAACAUGAUCUUCGUCCUUGGGCUUGUAUGAAGACUUUCCUAAUACUCCAGAUUUAAGAUAGCGGUUACAAUCAUUCAAGGAGAGAAAUAUGUAUCCAUCAAUAGGAUCAGCGUAAUACUGCAGAAAACAUAUAUCAGUGAAACCGUGCUGUAAAGCUUACAAUUCAGAUUUUUACUACAUCAUAUAUCAAAUAAGGGAGUGAGCAAAAUCGCAUCCAACAAAUAUACAGAGUGUGUAUAAUAUGUGACAAUAAUGCGGGAAUAUAGUGAACCAUACCUGGGGGCUUUGUAUCCGAGAACCGCAAAAGGAAUUGAUGUGAGAAUAUUAUCAACUGUUUCUGCAGAGUUCUUGUCACCUGCAACAAUGGUGAAGAACCUGUUAGCCAGCGCGUUAAAUUUUUAUAGGAGCUCUGAACGACUUCCAAUUACAUUUAGGACAUAAAUUUAGUGCCAUCGUUUUGCAGUACUAAAGUGUAACAUAGAUGAUUAGUUUUAGCAUGCCUAAACCAUCUUUCUCUUUAGCUACACAAUCAUCACCACUCCCAUCUUUCUGUUCAAACGCCAUCCACAUUAGAUACACCACUCCCCCUUCCCGGCGGCAUCCUUACCACUAUAACAACCAAAUCAAACCUAAUUAACCCCACAACAAACCCUCACACAUAUAAAUACACAUAUUGUUAGGUCCUAUUAACUCACUAUAUAAGAUGAUAUAGUGACCACAAUCUGUAACACAGUAUGACAAUAUAAGAGAUUGAAAACAAUAAACUCUUAUUCACAAAGCUUGAAUGGUUACAAAAACUCUCUCAGUGAUUUAUAUAUUAUCACUAAGAGCUGCUAGGGUUCUUAAGAAUAUACUCGAUAACUCAACUCAUAUAGAGUAACCCUAUUCUGUGUUUAUAUAGACACAGUUACAAAAUCAAUCUCUGAUUUGAUAUCCUAUAAAUCAGCUAUGUAUUCUAUCAAUCAAAGAUUGCUCCAGUUUUCUGUUUAGUUUCCAUAGUCAGCAAAUCACUCCUCCGCUUCUAUCCUUCCUUGAAGUAUAUCCGCUUCUGAGCUCUUUCCACGUGUAAACUCUGACAAGUCUUGACUAUGUAAACCCUGAUCAGACUUUAUCAAACUCUGAUCAGCUUCCAGCUUAAACUCUGAUCACUCCUGUUCUAAAACAAACUUUAAGAACAUUAGUAAUCAUCAAUUAUAUCUAACAAUCUCCCCCAACUUGUGCAUAAAUAUGUUAUGUGCAAGUUAACAGAUAAUUGAUGAUGUCAAAACAUUUAAGUCAAAUGCAACAGAGUUUAACUAUAUAACAGAAAACUUUUUAAAACUUACAGAUACUUUACUCCCUAGCUUCAUAGACACCAUAAGCUGUCUUUAGAUAUCCUUUGAGGAGUUCUCUUUCAGCUUCUUCAAGUACUGUAAUCAUUUGUCUCUUGAUCUCUCUCAGCUCUGGAUCUGAAACUCCAGUUUGGUAAAUUGCAUCUCUGAGAUCAUAUAUCUUGUUUCUCUUCAAGUCUCUAUCCAGCCUGAUAUUGUAAGCUUUAUCAGACUCUUCAUUGAAUGCAAGAGUCCUGAUUCCAGUUAUUGUUACUAUUUUUGCUGAAUUUUUCUUCAUCUCAACCAGCUUUCCUUGAUGAUUAAAGUAUUUAGGAAUGAAAGGUCCGUCGCCUAUGACACAAGAAAUUGUAGGACAACCGGGGUCCUUAUAUUUCACGGGAAUUUGAUUUGAAAGAAUCGAGCUAACUUGUGAGGUCAAAAAGGCUUUCUUUGGAACAUGUGUGGUUUUCUUAUGGGUACACAAAUCUUUUAGACACUUAGCAUAAGAAACUCUGUCAUUCUUCACCAGUUGGACUGAAUCCAGUUUGUCCAUUCUUUCUUGCAAUGCUCCAGUCUUGGGAGCACAGAGAGAUGAGGGGUCUGUUGACAUUGAUCCUAUACUCUGAUCAAAUUUUUCAUAUUUAGAUCCCAGCCCUCCUUUAUCUCUUCCUGCUUUUCGACGAGAGAUUGGUUGAAUUGAGCCCUUUUCAAAGUUUAUCUCAGUCAUCAGACUUGGCUUUGCAAAUCCUGGCAAUGGAGUAGUUGUUGGUUUGAACACAGCUUGAGCCUUGUCAGAGGUUGUGUCUUUCUUUGCUUCCGUAUUAACUUGAGCUGUGUCAGAGGUUAAUUUUCCUUUUUGUGAUUCUGCAACAUGAGCUUUGUCAGAGAUUGCAGCUUCUGAUUUCUUUUCCUUUACAACUUGAGCCUUGUCAGAGGUUGUAGACUUCUUCUUAUCCCAGGUCUUUGAUUGAGAGAAAACUUUGGGUUGACCUCGGGUUGACUUGGAAACUUGUUUUUCUCGCGCUCACACAACGUGCUAGCUAAUUGACUUAAUUGAGCCUCUAACUUAGAAACGGCUUGCACAUUAGAAUGCAAGAUUUGCCUAUCUUGGAUUAGGGUUGUCAUGAAAGUUUGCUGUGACUGGGUCAAAUUAGUUUGAGAUUUUACUAAGGCUUCCAAACUCUUUUCCAAAGAAUUAAGACGCUUAUCUGAAUCAUUAAAACCGGGAGGAUUCAAAGGUGUUUGAAUUGGUUUAGGAAAUGAGUUCGGAAUUUGGGUUGGGCAAGAGUUUGGGUUGGGCCUUUGAAAAGUUGUUUGAGGAGUUUGAAAAGAAGUUGGGCCUUGAUUUUGAAAAAUUUGACCUUGGGUCCAUGAGAAAUUUGGGUGAUUCCUCCACCCGGGAUUAUAAGUGGGUGCAAACGCAUCAUUCCUAGGAUUUUGAAACAUUGCGUUUACUUGUUCAAACUCGUGCGCGGGUUGGGUUCCGGGAUUUCGAAAAUUGUAAUUAGGGAACAUGGACAUUUGGAGCAGUCUUUGAACUUUGCUUAGACUUUGAACUGUCAGAGUUUAAACCUCUUCCACCAGUUGCAGCUUGGAAUCUUUUGUUCUUUGUAAAGUCAUCCACAUCAUCAUCAUAGCAGACACCAGCUUCUUAUCCCCCUUUUUGACAUCAUCCUCAUCAGGAAUCAGUAUAGAAGUUAUCAGAGAAAGUGAGGAUUGGAUGACUUCAAGCUGUUUGGACAUUUUCUCUUGAGUAGACUCAAUGGUGGACAUCCUCUGUUCCAAAGAUUGAUUUGCAGACACCAGCUUCUUCAUGUCUUCUUUUAGAGGUAACAGGUGCCUUUUCUUGUCCAUGUUUUGAGUUUCCUUGAAACUGGAUACCUCUGUUCGAAGACCCUCUAUAGACUUAGAUGUCUGAGCAUGAGCAGGAUGAAAUGUCUUCAGAUAAAGAACUGUAGCCUUGAGGCUUGACAUGACAUCAGAGUUUGUGAUUUUAUUCUCUGCCAUUGAUAGGAAAUCUUUAGCUUUUGCUGGCUCCAGAGAAUGCUGGUGACUCAGCCAGAGUUUAUCCCAUACCUCAUUUGGUGGAUCAACCUGAAGAUCCCUGGGAAGUGGCUCAGAGUUUGUGUUCAGAGUUUGCAGCCUGGCAUUAUAUUGGCUGGUAGACUCCCACUUUUGUUGUUGAUGAGACAGAGGGACUUCAUCAUCAUUUUCAUCAUCUGAACUGUCAUCAUCCUCAUCAUCAUCAGAUGCAGAAUCUUCAACAUUCUUAGCAGAGUCUGGAACAAAUUUUUCUUGAACAUCAUAUUUUGAUUUGCUAGGCUCUUCACCAGCCUUAGCAAGGGACUGCAGUGCUUCCAAUGCUACCUUGUCAGAUUCAUCAACUACAGCAUCUGACUUGUAAUUCUCUGGUGCUGUAUCAUGAAUAAUGGCACCCUCAGGAAAUUUAAGUGGAGAUUGAGGAAUUUGAAUGGAGGGUCCAUGAUCAGAGAUUGGAGUUUGAGGAUCAGACAUUGUUGUCCCAGCUUCAGUUGUAACUGGUUCCUCACACCUUAUUUCUUCAUCUACUUCAGAGGAUGUAGUAGAUGCUGUAGCAGUUGAGAUUGGAACAGCCUGAAGAGGAUGUACCAUCAGAGAUUGAGAAGAUUCUGGAAGUGUAGUAGAUGGUGCCUGCUCUUCCUCAAGAGGAAAAUCUGUGAUCUCUGUUAUGAGUACCUUUGCCCUCUUAGGCUUGUUAGCCCUUCUUUUGAAUCUAGCUGUCUUUGGCUGAGGACUGGACUGAACAGGUUCAGAGUUUGUUGUAGGAGAAGGUUCAGAGUUUACAGCAUGUGCAGGUUCAAGAUCAUCAUAAUCAUAGGCUGCAACCAGUCUCCUUCUUUUCUGUUUUUGAGGAGAAGCAGCUUCAGGGUUUACAGGAUCAGUGCUUACAGCAUCAGAGUUUACAGCAUCAGAGUUUGCUGUUUUAUCAGACUGUCUUCAGAACUUGUGUAGCAACAGAGGUUCUGGUCUUCUUAGUAGAAGGGGCAUCGGACGGUGGCUGGAGUGACAGCAUACUGCGCUCCGUCAUACUCAAAUACAAUGGAUGGUGACCCAGCUUCACCACCAUUGUCAUAAUGCCCUGUUCUCCAGAAAGUAAUUUGGCUUCCUGAUAGUCUGGCAGGAGCGGUAAGGGCGUUAGCUAGGGCACUCUGUGCCAAAAAUUGCUGGAUGGGAUGAUAAUCCCUUGGAGCGUCGGCAGUAUUGAGAAUGGCAGCAUGGUUGUUGGGAACGAAUUCCACACCUGCAAAGGUAAAAGUUGUAGUGGCUAUUAGAACAGAGUUUGUGAAGGAAGGUGUUUGAGAAAGUGUGUUAGAGAAGAUUUGAAAUUCAGAGAGAAGAGCGUAAGAGUUUGUUGAGAGAGUGAGUGUAAAGAUUAAGUGUAUAAGUGAAUAAUAAGCAAUAAAAUCUGAUGUGAUAAACUCUUCAGAUUUUGUUUAGCUGUACACGCUUGGGCUCUUUGUUCACUUGGACACCUGUCAGAUUUUAACUGGUAGAUGAAUGUUAGUGGGAUGAAGAAACGAGAUUAAUAAUCAUGAGUGCAGUAAAACAUGUGCAGUUAUAAAUGCUGAUUACACGUUCUCCUAUUAAAAUGUUUUUCAUGUAAACCCACUAACAAUACAUCCGUUUGGAACACUCUCUUCACAUUCUCUGAAUAUUUGAACUCCUGAAAUGUACAUGAUUUUAAAAAAUCAAGAUUAGGUCUCUCGAAUUUUAAACUCUGAGAUUUAAAUCAAAGAAAAUAAAUUUCGAAAUACCUCAGAAUAAAGACAUAAUUUUCAGAAUAUUCAUCAAUAAAUCAGAGUUUGUUAUAAAAUCCAUAGCUCAAUAAUGUGCUUGUGAAAUAAUGUGUGUGAUUUAACAUAUGAAAUCAGAGACUAAAGAAUUUCUCAAUUUCGUAAUUAUAAUGUAGACAAGAAUAAUUUAUUUAAACUCUCAAGACAUAGACAAUAGGCAUACUCUGAUGGAGAAAUAUAUAAACUAAACUAACCCCUUUUUUUUUUUUUUUCAGGACGCUUUUCAGUGUAAGUGAAUCACGACCUUUAAGUAUAAUUUUGCAACAGUAUUUCUCCAGUAAUCAGAGAUUGUGACUGGUCACCAUAGGUUAUAAAAUCUUGGCAAUUACGUAAUACCAGUAAUUGUUUGGGUCUUCCCAGUCACUGUCAUAUAGACAUCUAAGAUCUCAAAGGAGUACCAUGCUUAUUUUCAGGGGUGUGAAUAGUAUCAGAGUUUAUAGUCACUGUCUAAUUUACUGAGAGAAAAUGCAAAUUAAUCAGUCUCACUUAUAAUUAAGAUAUGUGAAGUGCUGGAGUCUCAAUGAUAUCAACAUGCAUAUAGUGUAAAACAGUAGCACAAAAUUGAGAUCAAGAUUAAGGAACUUAACUGAGAUUCAUGAUUACUAAUUCAAAUCAUGCUUCAUAGUAUCUUCACAGGUUAUAUGUCUCAGAGAAAUAAAAAUGAGAUUAUUUAUCAAGAUUCAGAGUUUACAAAUAUCAGAGAAUAUCGUCAGAGAAUGACGUCAGAGAAUGACAAUCAGAGUAUAUCAUCAGAGAAUGUCAUCAGAGUUUAACAAUCAGAGUAUAUCAUUGCAAAUGUGUGAGCAAUACAUAUGGUAAGUUGACAAUUCAAAUUUGAAAGAUCUAACCAGUAUGUUUACUCAGUUCCUGAUAUCAUUCCUACCUCAUUCACCAGCCUAGUAAAAGUUGCUUCACUUAAUGGUUUGGUGAAAAUGUCUGCUAGCUGCUGUUCAGUAGGAACAAAGUGAAGUUCAAUGGUUCCUUCCUCCACAUGCUCCCUUAUAAAAUGAUAUCUUAUACUGAUGUGCUUUGUCAGAGAAUGUUGAACUGGGUUUCCUGUCAUAGCAAUAGCACUUUGGUUAUCACAAUAAAUAGGAAUUUUAGAAAAGGAUAACCCAUAGUCUAACAAUUGAUUCUUCAUCCAAAGAAUUUGAGCACAGCAGCUGCCUGCAGCUAUAUACUCUGACUCUGCUGUUGAUGUUGAUAUUGACUUUUGCUUCUUGCUGUACCAAGAAACAAGUCUUCCACCCAGAAAUUGACAACUCCCACUUGUGCUUUUCCUGUCAAUUUUGCAACCUGCAAAAUCUGCAUCAGAGUAUCCAAUUAGACUAAAAUCUGAUUCUCUAGGAUACCAUUAUCCCAAUGAUGUGGUUCCCUUGAGAUAUCUGAAUAUCCUCUUUACUGCAAUCAGAUGAGGCUCUCUUGGAUCUGCCUGAAAUCUUGCACAUAGACAUGUGGCAUACAUGAUGUCUGGUCUACUUGCAGUCAGAUAAAGCAAAGAUCCAAUCAUUCCUCUAUAGUUUGUGAUAUCCACUGAUGCACCAGUAUCUUUGUCUAGUUUGGUUGCUGUUGCCAUAGGAGUAGUUGCAGCUGAACUGUCUUGCAUACCAAAUUUCUUCAAAAGAUUUCUGGUAUACUUGGCUUGAUUUAUAAAAAUCCCAUCUUCAGUCUGUUUAACUUGUAAACCCAGAAAAUAACUGAGUUCCCCCAUCAUGCUCAUUUGGUACCUAGACUGCAUGAGCUUGGCAAAUCUUUGACAGAGUUUAGCAUUAGUGGAGCCAAAAAUAAUGUCAUCAACAUAGAUUUGAACUAAAAGCAGAUCAUUACCAUGAUUCAAAUAAAACAGGGUUUUAUCUAUGGUACCUCUAGUAAAUCCAUUUUCAAGAAGAAAUUGAGCCAGAGUUUCAUACCAUGCCCUUGGAGCCUGCUUUAGUCCAUAAAGUGCCUUGUCCAAUCUAUAGACAUAGUCUGGAUGCUUUGGAUCCACAAAGCCUGGAGGUUGUUCAACAUAUACCUCUUCAUCCAGUUUCCCAUUUAGAAAAGCACUUUUGACAUCCAUCUGAAAUACCUUGAAUUUCUUGUGAGCAACAUAGGCCAGAAAGAUUCUGAUUGCCUCCAAUCUUGCAACUGGAGCAAAUGUCUCAUCAUAAUCAAUACCUUCCUGUUGUGAAUACCCUUUUGCCAUAAGCCUUGCUUUAUUCCUUGUAAUGACACCCUCACUGUCAGUUUUGUUUCUGAACACCCAUUUUGUACCAACUAUGGAUCUGUCUUUAGGUCUUGGUACUAGGGUCCAUACUUUGUUUCUCUCAAACUCAUUUAGCUCCUCUUGCAUGGCUUGAAUCCAGUCAGCAUCUUGAAGAGCUUCCUCCACCUUUUUAGGUUCUGUUUGUGACAGAAAGCAAUGAUGUAAACACUCAUUUGCUGUAGCUGUCCUUGUUUGCACACCUGCUUCUGGAUUGCCAAUUAUUAAAUCAGGUGUGUGAGAUUUUGUCCACUUCCUAGCAUGUGGAAGUUGACCAUUUUCAUCAUUGGAUCCUCCCCCUUGAUCCAUGCUCUCCUGAUUCUGUUGAUUAUUCUCUGUAGCUCCCCCUAAAUUUGUGCUAUCAGAGUUUGAAUCAGUAUUCUCUGAUGAGUUUGAGUCAGCAUUCUCUGAGGAAUCUUGGGUAGAGUCUGAAACAUUCUGAUGCUCCCCCUCAGCAAGUGCUUCAUCAUCAUGAACUUGUAAAUUUUCAUCAGAGUUUGCUGUAUUUUGUUCACAGUCAGAGUUUGACUGUUCAUCAGAGUUUAUUGAAUCAGAGAAUAUUUCUUCAUUUUCAAAAUGCAGUUUUUCAUGAUCAUCCAUAUCUGUUAAGCCAAUAAUUUUCUUGUCAUCAAAUGACACAUGUAUGGAUUCCAUGAUCACCUUGGUUCUUAGAUUAUAGACUCUGAAGGCCUUUGUUAUCAGAGGAUAACCUACAAAAAUGCCUUCAUCAGCUUUUAAAUCAAACUUGGUAAGCUGUUCUGGAUGAGUCUUCAAUACAAAGCAUUUGCACCCAAAUAUAUGAAAAUACUUCAGAUUUGGCUUCUUUUUCUUCACCAUCUCAUAUGGGGUCUUGCCAUGCUUAUUAAUCAAGGUUGCAUUUUGAGUGAAACAAGCUGUUUGAACAGCUUCUGCCCAGAAAUAAGUAGGCAAUUUAGCCUCAUCAAGCAUAGUUCUGGCAGCUUCUAUAAGAGUCCUGUUUUUCCUUUCAACUACACCAUUUUGCUGUGGUGUACCAGGUGCAGAGAAUUGUUGCACUACACCUCUUUCUUUGCAGAACCAUUUUGCUGUGGUGUACCAUUUUGCUGUGGUGUACCUUGGUUGAUUUCCAAUAGCUGGACGGUUACCUUGUCCACUACCACCUACAUCUGGCUUCUUAAAAGUGGGAUUUCUCCCCUGCUGAAAUUUCCCUUUCUUCGGGUUGUUAAAAUUCUGAAACCUUCCCUGCUGAAACUGUCCCUCGUGAUGCUCUGACUUACGCUUCUUUCCCUCUUUCUCUUUCUGAGACAUUUCGCUCUCCGUUUCUGCUAUCAUUGCCUUCUGAACAACAGCCGCAUAAGUAUCUAAUUCCAAUAUGGCUAGCUUUCCCCUGAUCCAUGCCUUUAAACCCUGUUGGAAUCUCUUAGCUCUCUUCCUAUCAGUAUCUACAUAGGUUGGAACAAACCUAGCCAACUCAGCAAACUUUUUCUCAUACUCAGCCACUGACAUAUCCCCUUGCUUCAAUUCUAAAAACUGUAACUCCAUUCGAUCCUGGAGAAAUUGAGGAAAGUAUUUCUCCAAAAACAACUCCUUAAACCUAUCCCAAGUAACAUCCUCUGUCCCUUCCAUUGCUCUCACAGACUCCCACCAAUAGGUGGCCUCCUCCUUCAGAUAAUAACUAGCAAACUCAGUCUUCUGCUCAUCUCUCACUUUAACUAACAUAAAUGCCUUUUCAAUUUCCUUCAACCAUAUCCUAGCCUCAAUAGGGUCCGCUGAACCCUUAAACUCUGGGGGAUUAACAGACUGAAAGUUUUUGAAAGUAACCUGGGGAUUAGCCUGCCUUUCCUGCUGCUGAGUCAGGUUGGCAGUCUGUUGGGCCAAGAUCUGAAGAAUCUGGGCCAUUGUAGGUUCUGGAUUAUUGUUAUUGUUGUUGUCAUCAGGGUUGGUUGCACGGGUUUGUCUUCUAGGAGGCAUAGCUCUGUAAAGAAACAAGCAGUUUAUUUAACCUUCAAAACUUUUAGCAAUUGUUUUUAGAAAAACAGAAUAUUUCUUUUUGAAAACAUUUUUGAUCAUUGAAUUAAAUAAAUCGCAUGCUUCUUCACAGAACAGAGCAAUAAUGAAAGAAACAGGGUAUAAUGAUAUCACAGGGUUUAUAUGAAGUGCAGUAUGUAAAACAAGUGUAAUAUGUAAAGUAAGUAAAACGGGUGCAAUAAAGUAAAAGGACAGUAUGAAAAAGAAAAGUUCUAAUAUAUAUAAAGAGCUGGGGGUACAUCAGCGCAAGCGCUUGUCAAAAGUAAAACACAACAGCAACCUACACACUGGUCAGCACAUCUUAGUCUAUAUCAGGUCAAAAUCGGCUGACACUACCCUACCACCACACACUACACACUACACACUAAUAUACAUGGUACCUCCACUCUGUAACUACCACCGUCUAACUCCAAGGAAAAGUAGGACCUCCAAGCUUAUCCAACUCCUUCAUCAUCCAUAUGGCCCACUCCACUAAAUCACUGUAGGUACUCUGAUCUUCAGCUAUGGCACCAAGCUUCGCCCUCGCCAUCAUCCUAACAUCUACAAUCUCAUACCUCAGCGCUCGCUCAGCUCUCCCAGUGUCCGUCAUCUGUAUGAUACGCUCCAGCUCUCUAACCUGUCCGAGUAGAUACUGACACUCCAUACUCAUCGCCUCAAACUCAUGAUAAGGAACAAGGGGUGGUGCAGAAGAAGUCGAGGGUAUAUCCCUGGGAGGAACCACUGCUGCUGCAGCCAACACAUCCUCUAAAGGGGGUGAAACAGGAGGGUGAGGCUCAAGUCUCUGAGAGGGUGGGGGUCCGUUAACUGUAGUCUCUGAAUACUGGGGAUAUGGAGGAAUGAUAGGGUCUGACAUCGUGAAUAUCUGAAAGUCAUGAGAUAACGCAUACAUAAGAAUCUCUGAUAAUAAGAAUACCUGUUAGUCACCAUUACUCACCUCUCAACGUUCUAUCUACCUAUCACUCAUUUCUAAUCUUAAUCCCUCUACCCAAACCCGACAAUCUAGGCUUGUUUCAUUGACUCAUAACCUGUAGCUCUGAUACCAACCUGUGACACCCUCCAAAUCCGGGUCAUAGACUUGGGGGUCACACAUAACAAUAUAAACCUGUAAACCAUGAUAAUAUAUGCAUUGACCCUAAACAUCCAUGGAUCGCUCCAGGUUAUAGUAUGAAACAAGCCACUACUUAAGUUAUAUUACAAUACGUCAAAUCCCAAUCCAUAUCUUACAACUUACAAACAUAAAACGCAGUGCUUACACAUAAAAGAUACUCAAAAGUUCAUAAUAUCAGCAACUCCUAGCAAGGCUUCCCAACACUCAUCCUGAUACCUUAGCUUGAUGGCUAGCCUGUGGGUCUUCGCUAACAGUAGUCUCUUUCUUCACUGGAAAAGAACAUGAGACAUCGCAAGAGUGAGCUUACAGCUCAGCAAGUAAUAUAAACAAUAAACUGAAGUUCAACAUUUAUCAAUAAGAAUGAAUCAAGGCAUCAAGUCCUCUUUUUAAACAAUGAUUAGAAUUGGAUAUUCACAUUUUUAUUUUAAAAACCAAGGUUAGGCUGCUGAUCAGUCACGCACUAACCCCGAGCCAGGUACAUACCAAGCUCUAUCACUGGAUCCAAGGCACACAUUGGCCUAAUGACCACGAAUCUGGUCUGACCACGAAUCUGGUCCACAUUUAUAAAACCAUCCAAUUCUUUAACAAUAUAAUGAAAUCAACAAUAUCUUAACAAAUCAGAAUCAAUACCAUUGGAACAGAAGUAAUAUUACCAAAACAGAAUCAUAAUCGACAAAUCAGAACCAUGAUAAUUAGUGGUGCAAUACAUAUCAGGAUCAAAGGACAAUUCAGAAGUGGGUUCAAGUAUCCUCACAAUAUGUUUGAAGAAUGUCUUGAGGUUGAAAGGAAGAUCAAGUAUACAGUGAAGCUAAUCUGAGGUUUUGUAUAGAGAACAAUGUCAGUGAGAAUAGCUUGAGGUUUCAAAUAUGUUUAACUUGUAGGAAUUUCAAGUGUUAGGGUGUAUAUGUGUGAACAUUCUUCAAAAGAGUAAUAUAGGUAUUUGGUAAGACAUUGUAUAAUUUGGUGAAGUAUUGUAGCAUAUAGGCUUGUACUGUGUGGUCAUUCAAGGAUGGAAGAGUAUCAGAGCAAAUGAUUUGUGUUGUCCAGUCUCAAAGAAAUGGGUAUAAGUUUAAUUGAAAUCAAAAUCAAGGUUCAGCUUGCAAUUCAGGUGUUGAAAGGAUUGAAUAAGGUUUAUCAAUAAUCAGGAUCAAUAGCACAAUAUAUCAACAGAAGUACUUUCAAAUCUAUCCAGAACAAUGACACUAUAUGCAGAAGAGUAACUCAAGGAGUUUACAAAAGUAUAAGUUGAGAAUAGAGCACUUGCCUUAUUCUGAAGCUUUACUUCUCUCUAUCGCUUUCACUAGACAGAAUCACUCCAACACUACCUGCUUUCCUUUUCUAAGCCUGUCCUUCUCUGACAAUCAUAAUAUUCAUCUAUCAAUAUUCAUUCUCAUGUCAUCCUAUUUGUUUCAUAAUCGAAACAAGCUUCUAUCUACCCUUCGUUUCACUUGAAUCCGAUAUACGGUUCAAAAGAUACGCAUAAAACAGUCAUACAAGGUUCAUAUAAGCAUUUCACAUAUCAAUCAAGUAACACAUAGCACAUAACACAUAAGUUAAUCAAUAAAAUAGUCUUUCAGAAAAGGUUUGGGGUUAAAAUGAUUUUUCUGGCAUUUAUUAUGAAUUUUUAAACAUUUUUCGGAAUAAAAACGGGUAAAAGAAUCAAUUUAUAACUGAAUAAACAAGUCCGAAUACUCGAAAUAAGGUUCGAGAACAGCUUGGGGUUUCAAAUAUGUUUAACUUGUAGGAAUUUCAAGUGUUAGGGUGUAUAUGUGUGAACAUUCUUCAAAAGAGUAGUAUAGGUAUUUGGUAAGACAUUGUAUAAUUUGGUGAAGUAUUGUAGCAUAUCGGCUUGUACUGUGUGGUCAUUCAAGGAUGGAAGAGUAUCAGAGCAAAUGAUUUGUGUUGUCCAGUCUCAAAGAAAUGGGUAUAAGUUUAAUUGAAAUCAAAAUCAAGGUUCAGCUUGUAAUUCAGGUGUUGAAAGGAUUGAAUAAGGUUUAUCAAUAAUCAGGAUCAAUAGCACAAUAUAUCAACAGAAGUACUUUCAAAUCUAUCCAGAACAAUGACAUUAUAUGCAGAAGAGUAACUCAAGGAGUUUACAGAAGUAUAAGUUGAGAAUAGAGCACUUGCCUUAUUCAGAAGCUUUACUUCUCUCUAUAGCUUUCACUAAACAGAAUCACUCCAACACUACCUGCUUUCCUUUUCUAAGCCUGUCCUUCUCUGAUAAUCAUAAUAUUCAUCUAUCAAUAUUCAUUCUCAUGUCAUCCUAUUUGUUUCAUAAUCGAAACAAGCUUCUAUCUACCCUUCGUUUCACUUAAAUCCGAUAUACGGUUCAAAAGAUACUAAUAAAACAGUCAUACAAUGUUCAUAUAAGCAUUUCACAUAUCAAUCAAGUAACACAUAGCACAUAACACAUAAAUUAAUCAAUAAAAUAGUCUUUCAGAAAAGGUUUGGGGUUAAAAUGAUUUUUCUGGCAUUUAUUAUGAAUUUUUAAACAUUUUUCGGAAUAAAAACGGGUAAAAGUUUCAAUUUAUAACUGAAUAAACAAGUCCGAAUACUCGAAAUAAGGUUCGAAAUCAUUUGAAAUCAAUUAACGAACCUUCAACAUAUUUUAGAAUAAUUUUCUAAAGCUUGAAACUAUUUUUCUGGAUUUUUAAAACAAUUAAAACAAUUAAAUCUAAUUAACAAAUCAAUUAAAAUCAAUUAAUAAAUAAUUAAAACAAUUAAUCAAUUAAUAUUUAAAUUAAUUGACUAAUUAUAAUAAUUAAUUACUAAUUAAAAUUAAUUAAUAAAUUAAAUUAGAUUUGUUUUUGAAUAAGAAAUAAUUAAAAACUAUUUUUAAAAAUAAAUAAAUGAUUUUCGAAAUUAAAAUAAAUGAAAAUAAAUCAGUUUUGAAAGUUUUUAAAACUUCAGGGUUUAAACUGCAAGGUUUUGAAACUUAAAGGUUUGAAUUGCUAAAAACCAAACCGCAGUACUGAAUCUUUAUCCCCCCCAAAAGUUGGGGGGUCUAACUGCAUUUUUUCCCCGCCGCCACCGUUCCCGGUUGCGACGUCGCCGGAGAAGCCGUUUACGGCCUCCAUUCGGCUCCAAACUCUCCAGAAUUAUCCCUUGACUCAUUUACAACUCAUACAUAACUUCAAUUCGAUCCGUAGAGCCCUGGUUUGGCCGGAAAAAGGUGAAGAAACUCGCCGUCGCCGGCGAGUCUUCUCUCCUUCGAUUCCGGCCAUACGAACACCUCACAUACAAUUUAAACACAUGUACAGAUUCCUGGGAACUAGAUGAACAUGAUGGUGCCUUCCAAUUUCACUUCUACCUCCAGGAUUAAAAAGCCCUAAUUUCCAAUUGAAAACAUUCAUCGUGCAUAAACCCUAAUUCUUAAUUCGAACAAUUAAACUCAAUUUUGAACAUGUUAUUGAACUCCAAAUCAUGCAUAUGAUAUACCAAAAUGAUCAGGAGAAGAUUAUCUACAACAUGGAAGCAUAAAAUCACAUAAAACACAUCAAAAUCAAAAAGCCCUAAUUUAACCCUAAUUAAUUCGAAUUUAAAAACCCUAAUUACUUCUAACCUGUGAAUCUAGAGUGGUUUUUGAUGCUUGAUAUGGAUUCUACGCUUCGAUAUCUUCGAUUUGACUGCUUGCACGCUCGAUUCUGAGUCCGAUAACGUCUUCAAAUCUUCGAUUGAACUCCAAGAACACGAAGAACGAUAACCCGGUUUCUCUCGAUUCCCGUGUAUUGAAAUGAUAAUUAUGAAAAAUAAACUAAUAAUUAUCCUAUUUAUAAUUACGAAUAACUGGCCCCCAUUUGGAUCAUACCGGAUAUAAAAUACACUUCUUAAUCAUUAAGUAUUAAUAAAACUGAUCCGUUCGGGACCGACUUUAAAGAUAAUUAUCAAAUACACACAUUACGAGAAACUUAUGGGGCUCCGAGCUUUGUCUGGCACGAAGUACGAAAAUAUAAUGCUUUAGCCAAAAUGAUUUGGGGUUAAAAAUAUCCGGCGUACACGUUUAUCGAUAAUAAUAAAAUAUUCAUAAAAUCGUUCCGAAAUCUUUCACGUAAAUCCGUACACCGGAUGGAAAAAGUUAAAACACGAAAGUUGUUCAGAAUAUCUUGAAUAAUAAAUCGGCGAAACUUUCCCGGAAGCCCCCCGGGGUUUAAUUAUCAAGUAAACGGGUUUAAAAUCAAUUUAAUAAUAAUAUUUUAUAAUAUACUUAAUUAAAUCCUUAAAUCCAAUAUCAAAUCAUAUAUUAAUCCAUAAUUUAUCAAGUAAGUGCCAAAAUUCUCCAUAUUUUGAUCUGAUCAUAUAAAAAUUAUCAACUUACAAGUCCUACCACACAUAGACGAUCAUACAGCAAGUCACUUAACAUAUAAUUCUCGAUUAAUUCACAUAAAAUUCACAAAAUAUUCACAUACUGACAUAAAUAAAUACAUGCCGAAAUCCCGGAUAUUACAAGCUUGGCAAAUCUUUGACAGAGUUUAGCAUUAGUGGAGCCAAAAAUAAUGUCAUCAACAUAGAUUUGAACUAAAAGCAGAUCAUUACCAUGAUUCAAAUAAAACAGGGUUUUAUCUAUGGUACCUCUAGUAAAUCCACUUUCAAGAAGAAAUUGAGCUAGAGUUUCAUACCAUGCCUUGGAGCCUGUUUUAGUCCAUAGAGUGCUUUGUCCAACAUGUAGACAUAGUCUGGAUGUUUUGGAUCCACAAAUCCUGGAGGUUGUUCAACAUAUACCUCCUCUUCCAGUUUCCCAUUUAGAAAAGGACUUUUGACAUCCAUCUGCAAUACCUUGAAUUUCUUGUGAGCAGCAUAGGCCAGAAAGAUUCUAAUUGCCUCCAAUCUUGCAACUGGAGCAAAUGUCUCAUCAUAAUCAAUACCUUCCUGUUGUGAAUACCCUUUUGCCACAAGCCUUGCUUUAUUCCUUGUAAUGACACCCUCACUGUCAGUUUUGUUUCUGAACACCCAUUUUGCACCAACUAUGGAUCUGUCUUUAGGUCUUGGUACUAGGGUCCAUACUUUGUUUCUCUCAAACUCAUUUAGCUCCUCUUGCAUUGCUUGAAUCCAGUCAGCAUCUUGAAGAGCUUCCUCCACCUUUUUAGGUUCUGUUUGUGACAGAAAGCAAUGAUGUAAACACUCAUUUGCUGUAGCUGUCCUUGUUUGCACACCUGCUUCUGGAUUGCCAAUUAUUAAAUCAGGUGUGUGAGAUUUUGUCCACUUCCUAGCAUGUGGAAGUUGACCAUUUUCAUCAUUGGAUCCUCCCCCUUGAUCCAUGCUCUCUUGAUUCUGUUGUUCAUUCUCUGUAGCUCCCCCUAAAUUUGUGCUAUCAGAGUUUGAAUCAGUAUUCUCUGAUGAGUUUGAGUCAGCAUUCUCUGAUGAGUUUGAGUCUUGGGUAGAGUCUGAAACAUUCUGAUUCUCCCCCUCAACAUUUGCUUCAUCAUCAUGAACUUGUAAAUUUUCACCAGAGUUUGCUGUAUUUUGUUCACAGUCAGAGUUUGACUGUUCAUCAGAGUUUGUCGAAUCAGAGAAUAUUUCUUCAUUUUCAAAAUGCAGUGCUUCAUGAUCAUCCAUGUCUGCUAAACCCAUAAUUCUUUUGUCAUCAAAUGACACAUGUAUGGAUUCCAUGAUCACCUUGGUUCUUAGAUUAUAGACUCUGAAGGCCUUUGUUGUCAGAGGAUAACCUACAAAAAUGCCUUCAUCAGCUUUUAAAUCAAACUUGGUAAGCUGUUCUGGAUGAGUCUUCAAUACAAAGCAUUUGCACCCAAAUAUAUGAAAGUACUUCAGAUUUGGCUUCUUUUUCUUCACCAUCUCAUAUGGGGUCUUGCCAUGCUUAUUAAUCAGUGUUGCAUUUUGAGUGAAACAAGCUGUUUGAACAGCUUCUGCCCAGAAAUAAGUAGGUAAUUUAGCCUCAUCAAGCAUAGUUCUGGCAGCUUCUAUAAGAGUCCUGUUUUUCCUUUCAACUACACCAUUUUGCUGUGGUGUACCAGGUGCAGAAAAUUGUUGCACUACACCUCUUUCUUUGCAGAACUCUUCCAUUGUUGAAUUUCUGAACUCAGUUCCAUUAUCACUUCUAAUGAUCUUUACUUUGUCUUCAGAUCCAUGGUCCAGUUGCUUCACAUGAUCCAUCAGAUGCAAAGCUGUUUCAUCUUUAGAGUGAAGAAAAUAUACCCAAGUGUAUCUAGUAUACUCAUCAACAAUGACAAGAGCAUAUUUCUUCCUUGCAAUGGAUGGUACAUUAACUGGUCCAAAUAGAUCAACAUGUAGAAGAUGAUAUGGCUUCUUUAUUGAGAAUUCAGUCUUACUCUUGAAGGAUGUCUUUCUCUGCUUGGCCUUUUGACAUGAAUCACAUAGACCAUCUGAAGUGAGUAGUGAUUCAGGGAGUCCUCUCACAAGCUUUUUCUUUAUAAGCUCAUUUAUGGAGUUGAAAUUGAGAUGUGAGAGCUUCUUAUGCCACUUCCAACUUUCUUCUGCAGAGAUUCUUGUAGAUAAGCAAAUUGCUUUUCCUUCAGAGUUUGUAGGCAAGUUGAUUUCAUAAAUAUUUCCAUGUCUGUGAGCAAUCACUGCCACCUUGCCUGUUGACUUGCUUACUAUCUCACUGUGUUCUUCAUAGAAAUCAACAUGAUAUCCUCUGUCACAGAUCUGACUGACAGAGAGUAAAUUGUGUUUUAGCCCUUGAACAAGAGCUACAUUUGAUAUGAUGACAUUUCCAAGAUUGAUGUUGCCAUAUCCCAGAGUCCUUCCUAUGUUGCCAUCUCCAUAAGAAACACUUGGGCCAGCCUUCUCCACAAACUCUGACAGCAGGGCCUUAUUUCCAGUCAUGUGUCCUGAACAUCCACUGUCCAAGACUAGGAUAUUCUUCCUGUUGCCCUGCAAUCACAAAGACCACUAAUUGUUAGUUUUAAGGACCCAGACUUGCUUGGAUCCCUUGGCCUUAUUAAGUUUGUUAGCUUUUGCAGCGGAAUCUUUAUUAUUAUCAGAGUUUGAGCUAACAGACUUUGUAACAGAGUUUGAACUAGAAACAGAGUUUGUACUUGCAGAGUUUUUAUUAACCUUUAAAGAAGGUUUCAAUUGAUAAUAAUCAUAAUACAAACUAUGAUAUUCUUUGCAAGUAUAAAUAGAAUGCCAUAAACUACCACAAUGAAAACAUGGAUCUUGUGGUUUAUAUCUAAUACUACUUUUUCUAACUCCAGACUUUGUAGGUAAGGAGUUAAUGUCCUUGUUCUUCCUGCAAAAAUUAGCAAGAUGAUUAGUAUUUCCACAGUUAUGGCAUGUCUUCCUAGGUGCAUUUGGAAUAGGCAUGUAGUUAUUACUCUUGUCUAUUCCAACCUUGCCAUUUCUAUUUUUCCUAGGCUCCUUGUCUUUGUUAUCAGACUUUACCUCUUUAAGCUUAUGCUUAAGCUGUUUCUGAGUCAUCAGUCCUAUGUUAACCUGUUUGGGCUUAUCAGAUUUUAAAUUGUUGUUAAUCUCUGAUUCUGGUCUACUCUGUUUAGACUUAGAGGAUUCAGCAACAAAUUUAACAGGUUUAACCUUAGGUUUUUGAGUUUUAACAAACUCUGUUUUUGAUGACUCAGCUUCUGAGUUAUCAGUGUAACCUAGUCCCUUCUUCCAGUUUCCACUACCUAAGAUAUCCUGAGUAGUUUUGCCUGAAUUAGUCCAUGUCUUAAUAAUAUCCCUUUCCUUAGCAAGUUCUGAUUGAAGAGAUGCAUACCUCUUUAAUAAUUCAUCUUUGACAAUGACAGCAUCAUCUCUUUCUUUCUGAACUUCCAACAUCUGAACUAAUUCUUUUUCUAGAUAAUCAUUCCUUUUCUUUACACUUAGAGUUUCAGAUUUUAAUCUUUCAUUUUCUAAAGUCUGAUCUCUAAAGCUGAUAUGCAAAGUUUUAAGAAACAAUCUUAACUCAGUUAUAUCUUCAGUAUCAAAGGCAAGAGUAGAAUGAGGUACCUUAGCAGUAGAUUCAGAGUUGUUGUCAGUGUUUGCCAUCAGAGCAUAAUUGACUUCUUCUUCUGAAUCAGAUGUAUCUGUCCAGUUUCCUUUCUUGGUGAUAAAGGCUUUUUCUUUUUCCUUCUUGGCUUUCUUGCAUUCAGAUGCAAAGUGACCCUUUUCACCACAGUUGAAACAGGUAUACUUGUCAGCUUUUCCAGCUUUCCCUUCCUUGCCCUCAUUCUUCUUGAAGUUCUUCUUAUCAUAAACUCUGUCAGAGUUUCUGUCUUUCCUUGAAAAACUUUUGCCUUUGUUGAACUUUUUGUAGGCCAACUUCUUGAAGCUUUUCACCAUCAAUGCUGCUAACUAUAUCAUUUCACCAUCACUGUCAUCAGAGUCUGAGACAUCAGAGUUUGAGUCAUCAGAGUUUGAUGACUCAAUGUCAGACUUUGUGACAUGAGCUUUUCCUUUGCUCUUAGCAGCUUCCUCUUGAACUUUCAGAGCAACAGACUUUGAUUUGCCUCCAUGACGUUUGCUCCUUUGCUCCAUCUCAAGUUCAUGAGUCUUCAGUCUUCCAAAAACAUCAUCAAGAGACAUUUCUCCAAGAUCAAGAUUGUCUCUUAUUGUAGUGACUUUCAAAUCCCAUUUUUCAGGAAGAGCCAGAAGGAAUUUGAGGUUUGAGUCUUCAAGAUCAUAUUCCUUGUUCACCAGAGAUAAGUCAUUCAACAGUUUGACAAAUCUGUCAUACAGAUCUGUCAAGGACUCACCAGAUUUUGAGUCAAAGUGCUCAUACUCCUGUGUAAGGAUUGUUUUUCUGUUUUUCUUUAUGGCCUGAGUUCCCUGACAUCUGGUUUCCAGAGCAUCCCAGAUUUGUUUAGCAGUUUUGCACCCAAUCACCCUAUUAGACAUUGCAUUAUCAAGGGCACUGUGCAGAAGGUGUUUCACCUUAGAGUCUUUACCAAUUGACAAGAUGUCCUCAGGGGUAUAAUCUUUCUUUUCUUUUGGAACCAUCUUCUGAGGUUCAUCUGCAAGCCCAACAGAGAGCUUGGUGGGCAUAUGUGGUCCAUUAGGAGCUCUGAACGACUUCCAAUUACAUUUAGGACAUAAAUUUAGUGCCAUCGUCUUGCAGUACUAAAGUGUAACAUAGAUGAUUAGUUUUAGCAUGCCUAAACCAUCUUUCUCUUUAGCUACACAAUCAUCACCACUCCCAUCUUUCUGUUCAAACGCCAUCCACAUUAGAUACACCACUCCCCCUUCCCGGCGGCAUCCUUACCACUAUAACAACCAAAUCAAACCUAAUUAACCCCACAACAAACCCUCACACAUAUAAAUACACAUAUACAUAACCAAAUUAACUCUUAAUAACUUCAAAACACAAUAUAAAGCCCUAAUUAAAAGCUUUCAACAAAUCCUUGUACACAAACAGAAAUCAUAAGUAUCUAACCUCAAUUUGUAGCAAAUUAACACUUAAUAAGCAUAAUAAUAAGAAAUACAGUGAAAUAAAAUGUGAAGUGAAUUGUGCAUACCAAAUUGAGGUUAGAAUGUUAGAUACUUAAUGAUAAUCAUCUAUCAAACUGAAGGUGGAUUGUGAAUCAUACCUAAUGAUAAUCGUUCAUCAAAUUGAAUGGCAUCUUUGGAAGCUUCGAAGUUUUAGGGAAAGCUCGACUUGACUGUGUUUAGGACCCCUUCUGUUUACAGCCCAAGCCCUGCCACGUUUCAACACAAAAACAUAAAUGUACACUUGCAAAUAUACAUGAUCAAUAACAAUUAGAGAGUAUCGUUGAACAUAAAAUAAAAUUCUCCAAAUUCAAUUAUCUUAUACCUCUCCUGCUCUCAUCCACAACUUUCAUCAUUCCUUCAACAUUCAUUGGCCUCUACUGCUGUAAAUGCAAUUCAAAAGUGAUAACAAACUCUCUUCGAGCUUUUAUCAAACAGUAGGAAUGCAAUAACUUAAAAUCAUCCCGAAACAAAAAAACAGCACAACAAUAACUUAAAAUCAUCACGAAACACAAAUAGCACAAACACAAACAACUUAAGUUGUAUUUCAUACCUGAUUUUGUCUAAAAAACAUGAAAAAAACAGAAAGAGAGAUAUGUAGACAAUAGGAGAGAGGGAUUCAGGGAGAAAGAGAGGGAGGCAGAUAUAGAGACAGCCGGAGAGAGGGAGAAAGAGAGAGAAAGAGCUUCACGAAGGGAGACGGGGGACUUACGUGGAGAAUACGGAGGGUCAAGCGAUGAGAUCUGAAUACGUUUGAAUCCAAUCACACGCGAAUUUGAAAUUUGAAAUUGAAAUCAGAACAAAAGCAGAUUGUACUGGGCUAUAGAAACAGACUGUAUUUUCGUUUGUUUCCGAAAAAGAGAAUAAAUGUGAAUUUGCACGGGACAUGGGGAAAAGUAGUUCUGGUUACAUUACACAUAAGGAAAGUGUAUAUACAUACACAUCUGUGUGCAAGAGCUUUUCAAAAUCUAUUGUUGACUGUAGUGGCAAAAAGUGUAAAUAGGUAUGAAGAUUUGGGGUAGCUCCGGAUAGAAAGUGGCAAAAAGAGCCCAGAAUACAGGAUGUGGAAUGGCAUGAGUGUAAUUAAGCAUCAACUCUUGGGGUAGGGGGUGUAAAAAAGACUUCCAAAAGGCAACAGGAUUUAUAAUUUAAAGGAUUCAUAUUUAUCAAGACGACUUAGAAACACCGGUGAUCUUGGUUCUAGCAAGUAUAUAUGAAGGUUCAAAUGUGUGAAGGUUAGAUCAAAAUUUUCACUCGGCUCAAUCAUAUACACAUCUAAAUACAUUUAAUUUUUAAAUCUAUUUGGAAACAAUUUAUAAAACUACAGGAGAUAUCAGAUUUAUCAACACAACAGCAUCGAAAGUCUAUGUUAACCAAGUUUGAAUGUAGUAUAUAGCAUGAGACAUAGAUUCUUAUUUAAUUUGCUCAUCAUUCACACGUAAUCAUAUAACUGUAUAUUUGAUUUCAAAACAGUACGAGACUAAUUUUAAAAAUAAUUAUGUCGUUCUAGGCUUAAUCGUGAUAUAUAUGUAUCACUGCUAUAUCUCUGAUUAUAACAUCUCCAAGAUAGUUGAAUAAACGUACUACAAUAUUUAGAUUUUUAUGAAACAAUAAUGUAAUAAAGUAUUUCAAAUUAUGCUCACAUCCUUUAUAGACUAGGAGCUUUUCAUCCGGGCUAUGUUGAUUUUAAAUGAUAUUUUAUUUUAUUAAGUUUAAUUUUUAAUUUGGGAUUAUUUGAUGGUUUGAUUUUAUGUUCUUAAUCAUAAAAAUUAUUUCACAACGCCAAAAAAAGAACAACUACAAUAUCAGGACACCCGUGCGCGGAGCGCGGGCAAGAAAAUCUAGUCAUGGUAUAAUUUUAAUUAGAAAGGUUAAUUCAAGAAUUGUUAAUUAAUAAAAGAAAGUUGAGUAUUAACUGGCUUUGAUACAAGCCAUAACUUAAAAUUCGUAAGAGCUUUAGGAGUUGUAAUUGAUUUCAUAAUAUUAUAAUAAAUAGCAUAGAUUACUAUUUCUUUAAGAGGGUGAUUACUAAAUUCUUAUUUUAUGUGGUUUAGAAUAUAAAAUAUCUGGAAAAAGGCGGAGUCAAUUGUAUAUUAAAUUUCAGGAAUAAUACCGGCUAAGGACGUCAAGCAAGUUCACUAUCCCUGUCUUGACGUGAAAAUUUUCCAUGCCUAUUUCAUAAUUUUGUGAAAAGUGUUGAUUGUGAAGAUAUUACAUUUUGUACCAUUGUGAAUCGAGAAAAUAUCUCCGUUUCAUUUUGAAGUCUUUAAAGAUAUUGUUCAUAUAUUACUUUUCUAUAAUUCGAGCCCUCCCAUUGUUCAGGAAUGAGCUGAUCUAAUAACGAUAAUAUUUUGAAUCUUCGUGACUUGAUGUGAAUUCAUUGCAGCGAUGAUCUCAAUUUACUCCUUUUGGAGAUCAUCUUAUCCGUUGGAAUCUAAUUCUUUUAAUUAUCUUCCACUUCUGCAUUCGGGUAAUCUUUGUAUGACGAAAGGGUGCAUUGUUCGCACUUCUUUGAUUGAGAUGAGAAGUGUUUGUUUGGGAAAAUUUCCUUGUAUUCGGAGGAAUCUGUUCAAGCUGGUCAACACGAAUUUAUUAAAUUCGUGGUAGAGUUGAAAUUUACUAUCUGGUAAGGCAGAUAGUAGGGUUCCAAUGUUAAACCCUGAUGCUAGCAAAGAGAGUGUUGGUGGGUCUUUAGUGGUUACGAUCAAACCACUAGGACUACACAGGAGAACGGUAUUCAUGAAAUGGUGUUGAUCGAGCCAUGUAGUGUUACCGACAGGUGGAAGACUAGCAUUUUCUUUACUUAAAAUUGUGUUGUCAUUUGAUGGUAACUGUUUUGUUACUUUGACUUGAAUUGUCUUCUAUGUUAUAUUCGCAUAUCAUAUUAAAUUGUUGUUUUGUGCUAUGUGGACUUGCUGAGCAAUUAGUUGCUCAUUCUUGCAUCUACUUUAUUCCUUUUGAGCAGUAAAGAGUGAGUAUGGCACAACUCAAGAGAACCGCCUGGAAACGGGUUUUGGCAAGGAAAACGAGAAGGCACAUCAGAUGAGCUAAAGAUGCUAGGCAAUGUUGUUUGGUGGUACCAAUAAUAGUUAUUUUAAUAGUCUGUAAUCAGACUUGCUAUUAUGUAAUAAAGUUAAACUUGGUAGUAGUGUUAUAGAUGAUCGACCUUGGACUUGUGGGGUAAAAGUUGGUUUGUAUAAUAUUAGAUAGAAUGUAAUGCAAGUGUUGUUUUGAGCUAGAUGUUUAGUGACGAACCAGAUCUGCGGGAUGCGGAUCUAGGGGCGUCACAGUUUUAUAUGUAAUAUAAACUUCUAUUAAGAUAUUUUCACGUCGUUCUCUUAAUUUUUUUUGUUAAUAUGUAUUCGUAUGGCAUGAUUUUAUAUAUAUGUGACACCAACUUCUAUUAGAUUAUAUUUACGAAUGUGUUUUAUAUUAGGACAAUGAUAUCUAAUAUAAUAUAUUUAUUUUUUUAAAUAUUUAUAUCGUUCAAGAAAGAAAAUUGGUAUUCUUAAUUUGUCAUGGAUUAAAAAAAAUUAUAAACUUGCAAACAGAAGGGGGAAUUCGUUUUGGAUUAAGAAAAUGUGUUUUGUGCUCGUUCCCACAUUAGUGCUACACUUGUUACGGGUAAGCUUCCUAAUCAUGUUUCUACCACAAACAGUCUGCAAAGUAAAUCAUUGAAAUACACAAAUUACAGUAAAAUUGUUUGAAUCAAUGACUAGUUUCAUCCAGAAAAUACAGUAUAGAUUUGUUUAACUACAAAUAUAUUUGUUGUAGAACUAAAAACGGGGGUGAGCGAUUCGUGCUUUGGACUGGUCUCGAUGCGAGAUGCCUACGUAUCCUCUGCUAGGAGAAGAAUCAAGUCCAAAACGUAGUUCUAGUUAUGAGGGGUAGAGCCCUUUAUAUAGGCGCUUCGGAGUCAGAAGUCGGAUGGAAGUAAGAUUCCGUGUAUCAGACUUCUUAUCGAAGUAUGCCUCGAGGCAAGAGAUAGGAUAGAACUCUUAUCCUUUCGUUGCUGAUAUUUAUCCGAACUCCGGGAUGUUUAUCUGUUAGAAUCAGAUGUAUUAUAGAAUUUGGACUUGUAACUGGUCCUCUGACUGGGCCUCUAUUAAUUAAUUACGAAAUUAAUUAAUAUUUAAGAGCCUCAGGCCCUAUUUAACUGGGCUUCAGUGUUCUUGGGCUUUUAAUAUCUAAUAAUAAUUAAAUAUUACUUCUGACCCAUAUCAUUUGCCCCCCAACUUUCGACAAGUUUUGUAAAAACUUUUCAAAAGUUGCUGAUAUCCUAUCAGCUUUCUGAGCUUUAAACACCAUGCGAGAAAACUUACUUCUCCUAAUUCUUGUUAUCCAAGGUCUGAAGUUUCAUAAAUAGCGCAAGGAUCUCAUUGACAAUUCGAGAGAUGAUUUGACCAUGUAGUAAAGAUAACUCUGUUUCGUAUCCUUCGGGAUUUUCGACUGGAAUAUCGGAAGACACGAGUCCUUUUUAUGACCUUCCUAGUAGUUUUCGCAUUAUUACGGGUCUUUUGUACAACGAGUAUCCUUCUCGGAUUUAUGCUUGUCACGCUGCUCUCGAGCAUUUUUGUAUUUUUCCCGAGGCUUAAUUCAAUUAAAUCGGAAUUUCUGCAAUUAAAUUCCAAUUUUCUAGAAUUUUUCGAGCCCUUAAAGAAUUUUAAAAAUCUCAAUUCUAUGAUUUUUCCUGAAUUUUCAGGAUUUUUACCAUAUAUAUAUUUUUUUUGUUUUUGGGGAAGGCUCACUAGUCAGGUGGCUCCCUUGGCGUUGGUAAUCCACGCCAAGGAGGUAUCAACGCAUCCACGCCAAGGAGGCUUUGCUUCCUAGGCGCGGCUGGUCUCACAAGAAUCAACAAAGAAAUGCUCCCUUGGCGUUGGUAUACCACGCCAAGGAGACAUAUGUACGAGCACGCCAAGGAGACAAGGCUUCCUAGGCGUGGUCGGUCUAGCAAGACUCAACAAAGAAAUGCUCCCUUGGCGUUGGUGUACCACGCCAAGGAGACAUAUGUACAAGCACGCCAAGGAGACAAGGCUUCCUAGGCGUGGUUGGUCUCACAAGACUCAACAAAGAAAUGCUCCCUUGGCGUUUGUAUACCACGCCAAGGAGACAUAUGUACAAGCACGCCAAGGAAAAUCUUGUUUUCUAGGCGUGGUUGGUCAUUCAUGACUUAACAAGGAAAUGCUUCCUUGGCGUUGGUGAUCCACGCCAAGGAGACAUACACAUAUCCAGGCCAUGGAAAUCCUGCUUCCUAGGCGUGGUUUGUCGCUAACUUGAUUUUGCCGGAUCCUGUGGGCCAAGGUCUAUGUCUGAUAGGCCUAUGUAGCUUAAUUUUCCUUUUCUUUUUACUUAGACAUCUCCAGAUCCUUCCAGAACGAUCGAGGCACAUCUGAAAAGUUUGAAUUUCAUGGGCUUCCCGCUUGGACAAAGCCCAUUCACCGGCUAGGGGCCCAUUUGACCGCAAAUAGACGGUAACCCUAGAGUUUACCGGCUGUUGAACCGGUUAGAGCUCCCUAUAUAUUAGAGUGACUUGGGAGUUCAUUUCCCUCAUUCACCAAAAUUUUCAAAUCUCGGAGCCUAAAUACUCUCCCAAACCCUCUCAACUUUCUAUAGUUUUCAGGCGAGUUUUCAGGCGAGUUUCCCGGCAAUCUUCAAGAAGAUCCCAGUUUUCGGCCGAUAUUCAAGCAAUUUUCCAGUUUCCGAUCAAUCUUCAUCUUUUCUCCAUCAUUUUCUGGAUUUGAAGCAUUCAUCCGAAGAACAUCAAUGGCGGACUCCAGUUCUUCUCAACAAUCUCAACUUUCCCAGCCCUCAACCGCUCAUCCUCGCGCGAACCGAGGUAAAAAGAAAUCCCUAGUCCAUGCUAGUGUUUUUUCACUUAGGGAUUUACUUUCUGAAUUCGGGGAAGCUUUCCCUAAUUUGUUGCAUUUAGAAGCAUAUAAGUUUCCUUCGAAAUAUGAUCAAAAGGCCGUAGAUACUAUAGCUGUAGCCUUUGGGAUAAAUGGGCCAUACAGGGCUGAGGCUCCGGGCCCAAAUGACAGGUCUUGUUAUCCAAAGCCCGGGGCCCUUAGGAUUUAUAAGGAAACUCUUUAUGCUGGUUUUAGGUUUCCUCCGCCCAUGUUCGUUUGUAGGCUCUUAGCUGAGGCCCGUAUUUGUCCUACCCAACUUCAGCCCAACGGGUGGAAGUUUAUUUACUGUUUUCUAGUUCAAUGUAGAAAGCAUAAUUUGGAGCCCAGCGUAGCUGUUUUUAGGUACUUUUUCAAAUUUGUAAAUGCACCCAACGAUGAGGGCUGGGUUAAAAUUCAAAAUAGAAAUGUGGCCCGUAGUAUUUUUGUUCCUGACACGGCCCCUGACUCCCUCCCAAAUUGGAAAAAACAAUGGUUUUAUGUUUAUAUGGAGGGGGCCAGUUGGGAGGAUUGCUUCUUUUCCAACUUUAGUCGGGCCGAAGACGGGCCCGUUAGGUCCCUCAAGUUGGGCUUAGAAGAAGAGGCCGCCAUUCUCAUCUUGAUGGGAGACAACCUUCACCAUUGCUCUCUCCUACUUUCCGAGGCCUCACUUCAAGCACAUGGGCUUAGCGAUUUAGGCCCAAAGGGUAUCCCCUUUAAUCCUUAUUAUUUUUUUUUAUUUUUACGAAAUUGAUUAUGGGUCGUAACUUAUUUGCUCAUUUUUUCUUUUUGCAGCUCUUGCCACUUUGGGCAAUAUUUUCAAGAAAAGGGAGACGGCCGCUUCGAAGACCGUUCCCGUGGAAAAGGUCCGCACUAAGCGGCCCAGGAAGGAGGGCGGUUCUCCUAUUGUGGAGAAGGUUCCGGCCUUUAUGGCCGAGAGGCCCAUUGCCAUCGAUGAGGAUCCAAAUCCUUACGUGGUCCAAUGGGGCCUUUUAAACAAAGACACCAUUGUGGGCGACACUCGGGCCGCCGCAGAGUGGUCGAGGAAUGUUGUGACUCCGAGGGACAAGGCCCACGUGGUCGAGUCCUCGGACGACUUGCAGAUUGAGCUUCUAGGAGCUCAGGCCGUGGCGUCGGUAAGACAUUCUCAGCCUUUUAUGUAUCUUGUAAUACUUUGUCUUUAUUUAUUUCUCUUAACGUCUUUCUUUUCUUGUUUUCACCAUCUUGUAGGUCAAUACCUACCUUCAGGCUGCCCUCCACAACCUGAGGGAGGUGAGGACCGAGAAGACGAUCGCCGAGCGGGAUCGUGAUAGGUACCUCGAGUCUUCCACAACCAACUUCGAACGCUUUCGCGAGGUGGAAAAGGAGUUGGCGGCCGAGAAGGAGAGGGUUCGAACCCUGGAAGCCGAGCUGGCUCGAGUCCGAACGGAGGCAAUCGAGGACUUCAAGAAGUCCAAGGAGUACGAGGAUCUGAUGGCGGCCGAGUACGACGCCGCCUUCCCGGAGACCUUCAAGAACUGCUGGGAGGCCAUCAUCGGAGAGCUCAGCUCUAAGAUCGAGGGGGUUACCCUGGAGAAGUUCCCUGUUCCCUCGAUUCCGGGGAAAACCUCAGAAUCCUCAGAGGACCUCGAGGAGACGGAGUUCGGGGAUUCCCACCCAGUCGAGACCCAGGAUGAGGAGGCUCAGGAUGGGGUCGAUUCUCCUAUGGCUGAGGAUACCGAGAAGGAAGAGGAGAUCCCUGAGGAGGAGGAGGACGAGGAGGUCCCCGUGAAAGCGGCUGAGGCGAAAGGGGGGAACGACAUCUUUGAUGAUGGUCUGCCUUAGAUUAGGUGGCUUUAGUUUGUAUAUAUUUAUUCGAAUAUUUAUGUCAACCCUUCGGGGUUUAACUCUUUUAUUAAUUUGUCAACUUUAUCUAUCAAGUUAACUUCUUUUGCAUAUCAUGCUUUUAGCUUCGUAGUAUUUUUCCACUUCGAGCUUUUUAUCCAGGUUGAUUCAUACCUAGAAUUUCUAUCUUUAAUCAUGUGAGUUCAACUUAGAACUUGUGAACUUUUCAUCAAAGAAAGCACAAGUACAGGUAAAAAUGACUUGGACAAACGAGCUAGAUAAUCCUCAGGACUUUAUUAAUAUAUUAGUAAAAGAGAUAAACUACUUUCGGAAAUCAACUACAUGGCAGUGGUCAACAUGACCUUAUUCUUGUGGUAACUACUACUUCCACUAUCAUAGGAUAAGCAUCAGAUAUAAUAUAUCUUCAAGUUGGUCGCAUGCCAACUUCUGGGGACUUCAACUCCUUCCAAGGUUUGAAGCUUGUAUGAGCCAUGGCCUGUGACAGUUUUAAUUUGGUAGGGGCCUUCCCAAUUUGGAGCCAUCUUGCCUUUGGGACCUACCCCAGAAGCUUCAAUUUUUCUAAGUACCAGAUCUCCUUCCCGGAAGUAUCGCUCCUUAACCCGUAGGUUAUAGUAAUAGGAAGCUCGUUUCUGGUUUACCACAAUCUUAGCAUGAGCUUCGUCACGAACCUCAUCAAUCAUAUCAAGCGCAAGUCUCAUACCUUCUUCAUUGGCUUCUGGCUCAUACUGCUGGACCCUGUAGGAUGUAUGAGUGAUUUCAAGUGGCACCACUGCCUCGGCUCCAUAAGCCAGCUGAAAGGGGGUUGCCCCAGUUGAAACCUUGCAAGUGGUUCGAUACGCCCAUAGUAUAGGAAGUAUGUCAUCGGGCCAUGACCCCUGGGCCUUCUCAACUCUUUUCUUCAGUCCAUCGAGGAUUAUUAUAUUGGCCACCUCAGCUUGUCCAUUAGCUUGAGGGUGAGCAACUGAAGUAAAGCGUAACUCAAUCGAGUAAUCCUCACAAUAACUUUUAAACUUAGCGUUAUUGAACUGAGUCCCAUUGUCUGUAACCAUGACUCGAGGUAUUCCGUAUCUGCAAAUGAUAUUUUCCCACACAAACUGAGCAACCUGCUUGGUGGUUAUCUUGGCCAGUGGUUUGGCCUCAAUCCACUUAGUAAAAUAGUCAAUAGCUACCAAUAGAAACUUCCUUUGCGCGCUAGCAAGUGGAAAAGGUCCAAGAAUAUCCAUCCCCCACAUUGCGAAGGGGAUAGGAGUAUUGAUAGAUGUCAGCAUCUCAGGUGGCUGUCGUACAACAGGUGCAAACCUUUGACAACGAUCACACCUUUUCACAUAGUCUUGAGCGUGCUUUAGCAUAUCUGGCCAAUAGAAUCCAAGGCGAGUCACUUUAUGAGCCAAUGCUCUUCCACCAAGGUGUUGGCCACAUACCCCUUCAUGAACUUCUCUAAGGGCUUCUCGAGCCUCAUCCGGCCUCAAACAUCUUAAAUAAGGGAUCACAAACGAUUUUCUAUAUAAGACCCCCUCAAUGAGUACAUACUUAAGGGCCCUUACCUGUAAUUUUCGUGCUUCAUCAGCAUUAGGCGGCAGAUGACCGCUUUGUAAAUACAACUUAAUCUCAUCCAUCCAAGUGGCCCCUGUGUCAAUGGGGGCAAUUAACUUUGCUUCGAUGCUAGGGGUUCUUAAAACCUGAUAAUAAACGCUUCCUGAGCAUACCUCAUCAUCGGAGGAUGCAAAUUGCGAUAAGGCAUCAGCCUUGGUGUUCUCCUCCCUUGGCACAUAUUCUACCAGGCAUUCUUCGAAUAGUGCCAUCUGGGUCUUUACAAUCCUUAGAUAUUUCAGCAUAGUCUCCUCACGGGCUUCAAACUCACCAUUCACUUGGAAGACUACAAGCUUUGAGUCACCAUAGACCUUCAAAUUCUUAACCCUCAAGGUUCUAGCUAGACCAAGUCCAGCUAUCAAUGCUUCUGAUAAGUGGUAUUUAUACACACUUAUAGGCCUUCAUUUCCACUUAAAUUGGUUGGUUGUACUUAAGUGUUUAGUGUCUUUUGAUGUGUUUUUAUUGUUUUUCUGUGCAGGUCACGAGUUGAGGUGAUGAAGUGAUUUUCUAUCAUUUUAGGUUGUUUUUGGUGCAUUAUUUGCAAGAAUAGAGAAUUGUGGAUUCAUCACGACUUGGGAUUUUGUGGGUACAUCUUCUACAAACCCUCACGAGAACACACUCGUCCACUAGAGCUAUCUAGGGGUUUAAAGGGCUUGUUGCAUGUGCUAAAUGCAACCGUGAUCACCUACGGAAGUGGUACUAGAGCGAGGAAGGGCAUGCACGCGAGAACGAGCUAAAAAACGAAGAAACGGGCUGCCAGUGGCAGACAGUAGCGCGCCCGCGCUAGAUCUUAGCGCGCCCGCGCUAGCUACUGUCCCACUAGCGCGCCUGCGCUAGUUUAGCGCGGCCGCGCCCAGCAGAGUUGUUCCGGGCCGAUUUUUGGAGCUUUUCUGAUGGAUUUUAGCAGCGGUCAAGGCCCGGUUGACUUGGUCAAUGUAUCUAAUUUCUCAUGUGUAAAAACCCUAGCCUCACUUGUAUCGUAGAAUAUCGGAAUAUAGUUUUAUCAGUUUUUCUCUUGUAAUAAAACACAUUAGUGAAUUGUAUUGGAUCGUUCUUCGCGAGGAAGUGACAGUUUCGAGCGAGAUCGUGAACAUCAAUUCUGUAACGUUGUGUUCUUAUUUAUUAAUUCAAGCAAUUGUCUUAUGUUUAAUUCUCGUCUUUUAUUUAUCAUGUUUUCAUUAGAACCCAUGAUGUCGAUUAGUUCGAUUAUGAACUAACCGCCUUCAUGGGAUUCUAAUGGAUUUAUCGAUGUAGUCUAGUAACGAAUAUUAAUUACUUGAUUUUGUGACGUACGUUGAUUUCUUUGCAUGAGCCGUGCUUAUUCUUCUUAGGAGCGUAGCUAACUUCUAAGUUGUUUGUUAAUUCUUUCUGAAGCGAGAGUGGAUGAUUGAAUUUAGAACUAUGCCAUGUAAACAUAGGAUUAUGUGAAUGAAACAUAAUUUGUGGUAGACUUGAACUAUUUUUAUCACCCUGUGUAAUCACGAUAGACGACUUGCUAUUAAACCUCUCUGCUUACACUACCGCUAUAGAGAUAUAGGGUCUGAGCUUUGUUGGUGUCCAUGAGAUUUCUGUCUUAAUUGUGGAUUUUGAUUGGUAUGAUAUGUGUGCAACGAGAGUUGGCAUGUAUUGCUUUCGUGUUGUCUGAUUAGGAUCAACAGUCGCAUGAUAAUCAGUAAUUUCAAUUCUAGAUGAAUUCGAUAAUGAAGUUAGAAUCCCAUGUGUUUUCCUAUUCUGAAUUUGAUUAGUAAAUUUAGUUAUUAGUAUAAAAGAACCCAUCCUUGUUAAUUGUCUUGGCAGUGAAAAUUACUCAUACAUUGUUGCAUAGGUGCGUAUUCUUAAUUCACCAGUCUCUGUGGGAUCGAACUUAAUAUAUUACUUGUGAUCACGUGCGCUUGCGUGUAGAUUUUUGCGAACAAGUUUUUGGCGCCGCUGCCGGGGACUCGGUGUUAAUUAAUUAGUUUAUGUACUUGUCAUCAGUGUGCAUUAAAAUUCACUGACUAGGAUUCUAUUCUCUUCUCACUUUUCUUCUUUUCUUUAUUUCAGGUACUUGAGUCGCGUUAUGCUAACACGUUCUAAAGCUCGUAAGGAAGCAAUUGAUUCAUCUUCUUCUUCUGAUUCUGAAACAAUGGAGUAUGCAAAGACAACAGUUGAUGAGGCGUCACAGGAAUUUUCUCGUUUGAAUAUCAAUGAUAACCAAGCUGAGACAAUUGAGCCAGCGAUAUCAGCCAGUGGUAUUCGAAUUAAGCCAUCAAUCAUUCUCAGGCUGCAGGAUACUAUUCAAUUUGGGGGGUCUGUUCAUGAGGACCCAAACCUGCAUCUAAGGAAAUUCGAGGAAUUCAGUAUUGCAUUGGAUUUCAAUAUCGGACCUAAGGAUCUGGUGAAGCUGAGACUCUUUCCAUUCACGCUACGUGAUGUAGCACGAUCGUGGUUUCUCUCUCUCUCGGCAAGCACUACUAAUAGCUGGAACAAGUUGGAGAAAAUAUUCUGUACCAGGUUUUAUCCUCUAAUUAAAGUAUCAGCUAUCAGAAACACCGAAAGUAAAUUCUCUCAAUUCUCAGGAGAAUAUCUUUGUUUAGCUUGGGACCGGUUCAAGAAAAUUCUCGAAAAUCUCAAUGAAGAUGGCAUGCCUCCUGGAAUGGCAAUUCAUUAUUUCUACAGGGGUCUUAAUGGUCAAUGUAGAGCAGAGUUAGACGUGGCAGCUGGAGGAAAUCUGUGGAGCAAGAGCUUCGAUGAAGCUUACGUACUGAUAGAGAACCUGGCUGCUGCCGAGCACAGAGACCUAAAGUGGAAAAUUCCAAGAGAGGAAGAAUCAGAGGAUGAUGAAGCGGUCGAAGUCACUCAGGAACUUCAGAUGACUAAUUGGCACAGAAUUAGAGCUCACUCCGACUCAAUUCCUAAUGCAUGUGGAGACACUUGUCCUCUACUUUCUACCAGUGCGAGUAGCCAAUCUGUAAUUCAAUCACCUGCUGAUUCAACAUUGAAUGAAGCACAGUACCGAAGGAUAAUCCGACGAAUUGACGCGGUUGAAGAACGAAUCGGUCGCUUUGCUGAUAUCUUAACAGACUCUCUUGCUGAAGCAUUCUUAGCACUAGAUGUUAAUGUUACUUGGAAUUCGUUUGGUUAUGGAACGAGGUAUCCUCCACAGGAUACUUCAUCGGAAUCGGAUUAAUUCAGGACUUCACGUCGAGCUAACGACGUUAAACAAGCGCUUCGCGGGAGGCAACCCACGCACUGGAACCAGGUUGUACCGUUGUAAACCUCAAAAACACUAAAAACGAGAAAAAUCAGCCCUGAGUGUCAGACACUAGCGCGCCCGCGCUAGUGUCCAGCGCGCCCGCGCUAAAGUGCACAGCGCGCCCGCGCUACACUUAGCGCGGCCGCGCUACUGACUGCCAGAAACUCGAUUUUUCUCCCAAAAAUAUUUUCUUUUCGUUUUUAAAAGCCCACAAUCCUAAUUUUGCAUGCCUAGCCCGAAAUAUAUCCUCCAUAACCCUAACUCAGCUCUCAAAAUCCUAUAUAAACACAAAACCCAUCUCCAAUUCCUAUUCUAAUUCUAUAAACCCUACUUAUAUAUAUACACAUCCAUACACACAACCACCACCAAAUCUCUCAAACCCACUACACACAAAUCUCUUGCAACUCUAAAUCUCUAUCAAUGGCACCCAAAAGAGCCCGAAGAUCACAAGGACCAAGCACCCAAGCCCCUACAUCUAGCGAUUCUUCCUCGAUGGGUGAGGUUGAGUUCACCUCCGAUGGUGCACGAACCGAGUUUCAACGGCUUAUGAAUAAGUCGAUAGUUAAGGAGAGGGGAUUCUUACCCACGGCGGAAGAUGGUGAGCUCUUGAACAUGAUUCAAGAAAGGGGUUGGGAGUCUUUUUGCGAGGCUCCGGAGGCGGUUCCCUUGGCUAUUAUUCGAGAGUUUUAUGCUAAUGCCAAGGAGAAUCGCGAUGGAUUCACGGUGGUGCGAGGAAUCCGUGUGGAUUAUAGUGCGGAGGCGAUCCGUAGAGUGAUUGGGGGGCGUGCCAAGCGCCGUAAUGAAGAAGAUUGGGUUGUUGAGAGGAUCGGGCGUGCCAAACGCCGGUUUGAUGAUGAUCCGGUUGAUCUUGAGCGGUUGGUGUAUGAUAUGUGUGUGCCGGACACGACUUGGAAGAUGACUGCACCUCCUUUGCCGGCACAUGUUUCGUUUCCAGCAGCCGCGUUGAACCGGUAUGCGAAGGCGUGGAACGCCUUCAUCUGUGCUAACAUCAUGCCAUCUUCACAUGGGCAUGAGGUGACAGUGGAUAGAGCUAUUCUGCUCUUUGGGAUUGUCUCGGGCAAGUAUAUUGAUCUGGGACAUGUUAUUCAUCAGGGGAUUCUGAGGUUCUUACAGGGAGGAACCACUGGUGCCAUUCCAUACGGCACAAUUGUUACGAAGCUCUGUCGAUCAAGCGGUGUUCGUUGGCCAGCCAACGAGCAAUUACAGUUGCCAGCAGCACCUAUUGAUCAUUCGGCGAUCAGCCGGAUGACGGAGUGGGAAGGAGCCGUUCCUCACCCUCGAGGACUCGGUUACAUAUAUGAUGAGAUGCCAGGGGGACGUCCAGGGUUUAUUAGGAGAGUGCGGACUAGAGCUUCUGGAGCUGGUACUUCUCAGACGGAGAGGAGCUCCGAGCCUAUGGGAGAUGUUCAUUAUCGCCGACUAGCGAGACGGAUGGACACUAUGCAUGACAUCCACCAGAGGUUUGCAUUUGACUUGACACAAGCUCUUGGUAAUGCUUUCCAGGCACAGGGGGUCACAGUUCAGUGGCCAGUAUUCGGAGCAGGGAUGCAGUAUCCUCCACCUGAUUCACCUCCAGCAGAGGAGGGGGAGGACUCGGACUCCGAGUAGGUAUGUGGGUGCUCUAGCCUUUUUACCGCUUUCAAUGGGGACAUUGUAAUUUAAGUUUGGGGUGGUAAUCUAAGGAAGAGCAUAUUAUUAUGUAGUUUAUUAUUGCAUGUGUUAGUUAGUUCAUGUAGUUCACGUUUUUUUAUUUUGCUUUUUAUUUUUUUUUCUCACGUUUUCUUUCUAUUUUUCUCAAAUUUUUUAUUUUACAUGUUUAGUAGUAAUUGUCGUAGUUAGUAUCACGAGCAUUUGCAUGAAUUAUGAAGUUAAACCAAGUCAAUUGCCUAUGAUGAGUUAUGUGCGUAGUUCUUGAUUAGUAGUUUCAAUUGCAAUGCUAGGUUAGUACUUGGAAAUUGCUUGUGUUGGAAAUUGUAAUUCACAUAUGUUCUUGAGAUAGGAUUUAGACGAAAUUCCAUGAAUUCUAGGAUUGAAUUGAGCACCCUUCAGCUUAGGUCUGUAAAUCUUAAGUUUGGGGGAACUGAGGGGUAGAUAUGCCUUUCUAAAAAAAAAAAAAAAAAAUAUAGAAAAAAAAAAAAAAAAAAAAAAAUAGUAGUAAAUAAAUUCACUAAAAAAAUAAGUGGUAGAAUUAACUAGGUUGAGCUCAUUAGUACUCGAGUAAUUAAGUCUGAGGGGACUUUGUGCCUAACAACCUAAAGCCCUUCGUGGUUUGGGAUUGUUGACCCAACGCUCGCUACAUGGGUACUAGUGCAUAAAUCUUUAGGGAUCUCAACCAUUGCACGGUUAAAUAAACCACUAGAAUAGAGUGAAUAAUUGGUGUGUGAAGUCUUGUGGUGUUCGUAACGCAUUUACACUGCGAAGCGCUCUGACCUUAGACCGAGCAAUUAAUCACCAAAAAAAAAAAAAAAAAAAUAUAGUGAAUACAAUAGAAGGUUGUGGACAUUCUUUGGGACCUUGGCUUUUAGUUGGACUUGAGUGACGGGGUGUUAGUUUUAAACUUUUACGAUUCUUGAUGGGGAUUCUGUGGGAGUAGUAGUUUUUGUCUUGUCUCAAUAAAAGAGCAUGCUUGCACACACUGGCACUCCACACUUGUAAAUAGAAGAGUAAUUGACUUAGUAGCGAGAGAGAUGAAAUUCGAGAACAUUAGCACAAUCUGAGGUAUUAUAAUUGGCAAGGCAAUUACUUCAUAGUUUACUCAUUCCUCACGUAGUUGCAUUCGUGCAUUGCAUUGUAUUAUUGUAUAGUGUCGUUGACGCUUGAGGACAAGCAUCAGUUUAAGUUUGGGGGUGUGAUAAGUGGUAUUUAUACACACUUAUAGGCCUUCAUUUCCACUUAAAUUGGUUGGUUGUACUUAAGUGUUUAGUGUCUUUUGAUGUGUUUUUAGUGUUUUUCUGUGCAGGUCACGAGUUGAGGUGAUGAAGUGAUUUUCUAUCAUUUUAGGUUGUUUUUGGUGCAUUAUUUGCAAGAAUAGAGAAUUGUGGAUUCAUCACGACUUGGGAUUUUGUGGGUACAUCUUCUACAAACCCUCACGAGAACACACUCGUCCACUAGAGCUAUCUAGGGGUUUAAAGGGCUUGUUGCAUGUGCUAAAUGCAACCGUGAUCACCUACGGAAGUGGUACUAGAGCGAGGAAGGACAUGCACGCGAGAACGAGCUGAACACGAAGAAUCAGGGCUGCCAUGACAGACAGUAGCGCGCCCGCGCUACUUGUUAGCGCGCCCGCGCUACCUUCUGCUGCCACUAGCGCGCCUGCGCUAGUUUAGCGCGGCCGCGCCCAGCAGAAGUGCCCCGGGCCGAUUUUUGGAGCUUUUCUGACGGAUUUUCGCAGCGGUCGAGGCCCGGUUGACUUGGUCAAUGUAAUUUAAUUUCUCGUGUGUAAAACCCUAGCCUCGUAGAAGUAGUUUAGUAGAGAACAAUAUCGUAGUUUCAGUUUAAUCAUUCAAGCACAUUAUCAGUUUGUAUUGGAUCGUUCUUCGCGAGGAAGUGACAGUUUCGAGCGAGAUCGUGAACAUCAAAUCUGUAACGUGUGAUCUUUAUUAUUAAUUCAAGCAUUUUUAUUCCGUUUAAUUCUUGUCUUUUAUUUAUCAUGUUUUCAUUAGAACCCAUGAUGUCGAUUAGUUCGAUUAUGAACUAACCGCCUUCAUGGGAUUCUAAUGGAUUUAUCGAUGUAGUCUAGUAACGAAUAUUAAUUACUUGAUUUUGUGACGUACGUUGAUUUCUUUGCAUGAGCCGUGCUUAUUCUUCUUAGGAGCGUAGCUAACUUCUAAGUUGUUUGUUAAUUCUUUCUGAAGCGAGAGUGGAUGAUUGAAUUUAGAACUAUGCCAUGUAAACAUAGGAUUAUGUGAAUGAAACAUAAUUUGUGGUAGACUUGAACUAUUUUUAUCACCCUGUGUAAUCACGAUAGACGACUUGUUAUUAAACCUCUCUGCUUACACUACCGCUAUAGAGAUAUAGGGUCUGAGCUUUGUUGGUGUCCAUGAGAUUUCUGUCUUAAUUGUGGAUUUUGAUUGGUAUGAUAUGUGUGCAACGAGAGUUGGCAUGUAUUACUUUCGUGUUGUCUGAUUAGGAUCAACAGUCGCAUGUUAAUCAGUAAUUUCAAUUCUAGAUGAAUUCGAUAAUGAAGUUAGAAUCCCAUGUGUUUUCCUAUUCUGAAUUUGAUUAGUAAUUUUAGUUAUUAGUAUAAAAGAAACCAUCCUUGUUAAUUGUCUUGGCAGUGAAAAUUGAUCAUACAUUGUUGCAUAGGUGCGUAUUCUUAAUUCACCAGUCUCUGUGGGAUCGAACUUAAUAUAUUACUUGUGAUCACGUGCGCUUGCGUGUAGAUUUUUGCGAACAAGUUUUUGGCGCCGCUGCCGGGGACUCGGUGUUAAUUAAUUAGUUUAUGUACUUGUCAUCAGUGUGCAUUAAAAUUCACUGACUAGGAUUCUAUUCUCUUCUCACUUUUCUUCUUUUCUUUAUUUCAGGUACUUGGGUCGCGUUUAUGCUAACACGUUCUAAAGCUCGUAAGGAAGCAAUGGAUUCAUCUUCUUCUUCUGAUUCUGAAACAAUGGAAUAUGCAAGGACAGCAGUUGGUGAGGCGUCACAUGAAUUUUCUCGUUUGAAAAUCAAUGAUAAUCAGGCUGACACAAUUGAGCCAGCGAUAUCAGCCAGGGGUAUUCGAAUUAAGCCAUCAAUCAUUCUCAGGCUGCAGGAUACUAUUCAAUUUGGGGGGUCUGUUCUUGAGGACCCAAACCUGCAUCUAAGGAAAUUCGAGGAAUUCAGUAUUGCAUUGGAUUUCAAUAUCGGACCUAAGGAUCUGGUGAAGCUGAGACUCUUUCCAUUCACGCUACGUGAUGUAGCACGAUCGUGGUUUCUCUCUCUCUCGGCAAGCACUACUAAUAGCUGGAACAAGUUGGAGAAAAUAUUCUGUACCAGGUUUUAUCCUCUAAUUAAAGUAUCAGCUAUCAGAAACACCGAAAGUAAAUUCUCUCAAUUCUCGGGAGAAUAUCUUUGUUUAGCUUGGGACCGGUUCAAGAAGAUUCUCGAAAAUCUCAAUGAAGAUGGCAUGCCUCCUGGAAUGGCAAUUCAUUAUUUCUACAGGGGUCUUAAUGGUCAAUGUAGAGCAGUGUUAGACGUGGCAGCUGGAGGAAAUCUGUGGAGCAAGAGCUUCGAUGAUGCUUACGAACUGAUAGAGAACCUGGCUGCUGCUGAGCACAGAGACCUAAAGUGGAAAAUUCCAAAAGAGGAAGAAUCAGAGGAUGAUGAAGCGGUCGAAGUCACUCAGGAACUUCAGAUGACUAAUUGGCACAGAAUUAGAGCUCACUCAGACUCAAUUCCUAAUGCAUGUGGAGACACUUGUCCUCUACUUUCUACCAGUGCGAGUAACCAAUCUGUAAUUCAAUCACCUGCUGAUUCAACAUUGAAUGAAGCACAGUACCGAAGGAUAAUCCGGCGUAUUGACGCGGUGGAAGAACGAAUUGGUCGCUUUGCUGAUAUAUUAACGGACUCUCUUGCUGAAGCAUUCUUAGCACUAGAUGUUAAUGUUACUUGGGAUUCGUUUGGUUAUGGAACGAGGUAUCCUCCACAGGAUACUUCAUCGGAAUCGGAUUAAUUCUGGACUUCACGUCGAGCUAACGACGUUAAACAAGCGCUUCGUGGGAGGCAACCCACGCAUUGGAACCAUUUUGUACCAUUGUAAACCUCAAAAACACAAAAAUCGAGAAAUUUCGGCCCUGGGUGUCAGACACUAGCGCGCCCGCGCUAGUGUCCAGCGCGCCCGCGCUAGAGUGUACAGCGCGCCCGCGCUACACUUAGCGCGGCCGCGCUACCGACUGCCAGAAACUCGAUUUUUCUCCCAAAAAUAUUUUCUUUUCGUUUUUAAAAGCCCACAAUCCUAAUUUUGCAUGCCUAGCCCGAAAUAUAUCCUCCAUAACCCUAACUCAGCUCUCAAAUCCUUAUAUAAACACAAAACCCAUCUCCAAUUCCUACUCUAAUUCUAUAAACCCUAAUUAUAUAUAUACACAUCCAUACACACAACUACCAUCAAAUCUCUCAAACCCACUACACACAAAUCUCUUACAACUCUAAUCUCUAUCAAUGGCACCCAAAAGAGCCCGAAGAUCACAAGGACCAAGCACCCAAGCCCCUACAUCUAGCGAUUCUUCCUCGAUGGGUGAGGUUGAAUUCACCUCCGAUGGUGCACGAACCGAGUUUCAACGGCUUAUGAAUAAGUCGAUAGUUAAGGAGAAGGGAUUCCUACCCACAGCGGAAGAUGGUGAGCUCUUGAACAUGAUUCAAGAAAGGGGUUGGGAGUCUUUUUGCGAGGCUCCGGAGGCGGUUCCCUUGGCUAUUAUUCGAGAGUUUUAUGCUAAUGCCAAGGAGAAUCGCGAUGGAUUCACGGUGGUGCGGGGAAUCCGUGUGGAUUAUAGUGCGGAGGCGAUCCGUAGAGUGAUUGGGGGGCGUGCCAAGCGCCGUAAUGAAGAAGAUUGGGUUGUUGAGAGGAUCGGGCGUGCUAAACGCCGGUUUGAUGAUGAUCCGGUUGAUCUUGAGCGGUUGGUGUAUGAUAUGUGUGUGCCGGACACGACUUGAAAGAUGACUGCACCUCCUUUGCCGGCACAUGUUUCUUUUCCAGCAGCCGUGUUGAACCGGUAUGCGAAGGCGUGGAACGCCUUCAUCUGUGCUAACAUCAUGCCAUCUUCACAUGGGCAUGAGGUGACAGUGGAUAGAGCUAUUUUGCUCUUUGGGAUUGUCUCGGGCAAGUAUAUUGAUCUGGGACAUGUUAUUCAUCAGGGGAUUCUGAGGUUCUUACAGGGAGGAACCACUGGUGCCAUUCCAUAUGGCACAAUUGUGACGAAGCUCUGUCGAACGAGCGGUGUUCGUUGGCCAUCCAACGAGCAAUUGCAGUUGCCAGGACACCUAUUGAUCAUUCGGCGAUCAGUCGGAUGACGGAGUGGAUGGAGGACGUUCCCACCCUCGAGGCCUCGGGUACAUAUAUGAUGAGGUGCCAGGGGGACGGUCCAGGGUUCGAUUAGGAGGGAGCGUACUAGAGCUUCUGGAGCUGGUACUUCACAGACGGAGAGGAGCUCCGAGCCUAUGGGAGAUGUUCAUUAUCGCCGACUCGCGAGACGGAUGGACACUAUGCAUGACAUCCACCAGAGGUUUGCAUUUGAUUUGACACAAGCUCUUGGUACUGCUUUCCAGGCACAGGGGGUCACAGUUCAGUGGCCAGUAUUCGGAGCAGGGAUGCAGUAUCCUCCACCUGAUUCACCUCCAGCAGAGGAGGGGGAGGACUCGGACUCCGAGUAGGUAUGUGGGUGCUCUAGCCUUUUUACCGCUUUCAAUGGGGACAUUGUAAUUUAAGUUUGGGGUGGUAAUCUAAGGAAGAGCAUAUUAUUAUGUAGUUUAUUAUUGCAUGUGUUAGUUAGUUCAUGUAGUUCACGUUUUUUUAUUUUGCUUNNNNNNNNNNNNNNNNNNNNNNNNNNNNNNNNNNNNNNNNNNNNNNNNNNNNNNNNNNNNNNNNNNNNNNNNNNNNNNNNNNNNNNNNNNNNNNNNNNNNNNNNNNNNNNNNNNNNNNNNNNNNNNNNNNNNNNNNNNNNNNNNNNNNNNNNNNNNNNNNNNNNNNNNNNNNNNNNNNNNNNNNNNNNNNNNNNNNNNNNNNNNNNNNNNNNNNNNNNNNNNNNNNNNNNNNNNNNNNNNNNNNNNNNNNNNNNNNNNNNNNNNNNNNNNNNNNNNNNNNNNNNNNNNNNNNNNNNNNNNNNNNNNNNNNNNNNNNNNNNNNNNNNNNNNNNNNNNNNNNNNNNNNNNNNNNNNNNNNNNNNNNNNNNNNNNNNNNNNNNNNNNNNNNNNNNNNNNNNNNNNNNNNNNNNNNNNNNNNNNNNNNNNNNNNNNNNNNNNNNNNNNNNNNNNNNNNNNNNNNNNNNNNNNNNNNNNNNNNNNNNNNNNNNNNNNNNNNNNNNNNNNNNNNNNNNNNNNNNNNNNNNNNNNNNNNNNNNNNNNNNNNNNNNNNNNNNNNNNNNNNNNNNNNNNNNNNNNNNNNNNNNNNNNNNNNNNNNNNNNNNNNNNNNNNNNNNNNNNNNNNNNNNNNNNNNNNNNNNNNNNNNNNNNNNNNNNNNNNNNNNNNNNNNNNNNNNNNNNNNNNNNNNNNNNNNNNNNNNNNNNNNNNNNNNNNNNNNNNNNNNNNNNNNNNNNNNNNNNNNNNNNNNNNNNNNNNNNNNNNNNNNNNNNNNNNNNNNNNNNNNNNNNNNNNNNNNNNNNNNNNNNNNNNNNNNNNNNNNNNNNNNNNNNNNNNNNNNNNNNNNNNNNNNNNNNNNNNNNNNNNNNNNNNNNNNNNNNNNNNNNNNNNNNNNNNNNNNNNNNNNNNNNNNNNNNNNNNNNNNNNNNNNNNNNNNNNNNNNNNNNNNNNNNNNNNNNNNNNNNNNNNNNNNNNNNNNNNNNNNNNNNNNNNNNNNNNNNNNNNNNNNNNNNNNNNNNNNNNNNNNNNNNNNNNNNNNNNNNNNNNNNNNNNNNNNNNNNNNNNNNNNNNNNNNNNNNNNNNNNNNNNNNNNNNNNNNNNNNNNNNNNNNNNNNNNNNNNNNNNNNNNNNNNNNNNNNNNNNNNNNNNNNNNNNNNNNNNNNNNNNNNNNNNNNNNNNNNNNNNNNNNNNNNNNNNNNNNNNNNNNNNNNNNNNNNNNNNNNNNNNNNNNNNNNNNNNNNNNNNNNNNNNNNNNNNNNNNNNNNNNNNNNNNNNNNNNNNNNNNNNNNNNNNNNNNNNNNNNNNNNNNNNNNNNNNNNNNNNNNNNNNNNNNNNNNNNNNNNNNNNNNNNNNNNNNNNNNNNNNNNNNNNNNNNNNNNNNNNNNNNNNNNNNNNNNNNNNNNNNNNNNNNNNNNNNNNNNNNNNNNNNNNNNNNNNNNNNNNNNNNNNNNNNNNNNNNNNNNNNNNNNNNNNNNNNNNNNNNNNNNNNNNNNNNNNNNNNNNNNNNNNNNNNNNNNNNNNNNNNNNNNNNNNNNNNNNNNNNNNNNNNNNNNNNNNNNNNNNNNNNNNNNNNNNNNNNNNNNNNNNNNNNNNNNNNNNNNNNNNNNNNNNNNNNNNNNNNNNNNNNNNNNNNNNNNNNNNNNNNNNNNNNNNNNNNNNNNNNNNNNNNNNNNNNNNNNNNNNNNNNNNNNNNNNNNNNNNNNNNNNNNNNNNNNNNNNNNNNNNNNNNNNNNNNNNNNNNNNNNNNNNNNNNNNNNNNNNNNNNNNNNNNNNNNNNNNNNNNNNNNNNNNNNNNNNNNNNNNNNNNNNNNNNNNNNNNNNNNNNNNNNNNNNNNNNNNNNNNNNNNNNNNNNNNNNNNNNNNNNNNNNNNNNNNNNNNNNNNNNNNNNNNNNNNNNNNNNNNNNNNNNNNNNNNNNNNNNNNNNNNNNNNNNNNNNNNNNNNNNNNNNNNNNNNNNNNNNNNNNNNNNNNNNNNNNNNNNNNNNNNNNNNNNNNNNNNNNNNNNNNNNNNNNNNNNNNNNNNNNNNNNNNNNNNNNNNNNNNNNNNNNNNNNNNNNNNNNNNNNNNNNNNNNNNNNNNNNNNNNNNNNNNNNNNNNNNNNNNNNNNNNNNNNNNNNNNNNNNNNNNNNNNNNNNNNNNNNNNNNNNNNNNNNNNNNNNNNNNNNNNNNNNNNNNNNNNNNNNNNNNNNNNNNNNNNNNNNNNNNNNNNNNNNNNNNNNNNNNNNNNNNNNNNNNNNNNNNNNNNNNNNNNNNNNNNNNNNNNNNNNNNNNNNNNNNNNNNNNNNNNNNNNNNNNNNNNNNNNNNNNNNNNNNNNNNNNNNNNNNNNNNNNNNNNNNNNNNNNNNNNNNNNNNNNNNNNNNNNNNNNNNNNNNNNNNNNNNNNNNNNNNNNNNNNNNNNNNNNNNNNNNNNNNNNNNNNNNNNNNNNNNNNNNNNNNNNNNNNNNNNNNNNNNNNNNNNNNNNNNNNNNNNNNNNNNNNNNNNNNNNNNNNNNNNNNNNNNNNNNNNNNNNNNNNNNNNNNNNNNNNNNNNNNNNNNNNNNNNNNNNNNNNNNNNNNNNNNNNNNNNNNNNNNNNNNNNNNNNNNNNNNNNNNNNNNNNNNNNNNNNNNNNNNNNNNNNNNNNNNNNNNNNNNNNNNNNNNNNNNNNNNNNNNNNNNNNNNNNNNNNNNNNNNNNNNNNNNNNNNNNNNNNNNNNNNNNNNNNNNNNNNNNNNNNNNNNNNNNNNNNNNNNNNNNNNNNNNNNNNNNNNNNNNNNNNNNNNNNNNNNNNNNNNNNNNNNNNNNNNNNNNNNNNNNNNNNNNNNNNNNNNNNNNNNNNNNNNNNNNNNNNNNNNNNNNNNNNNNNNNNNNNNNNNNNNNNNNNNNNNNNNNNNNNNNNNNNNNNNNNNNNNNNNNNNNNNNNNNNNNNNNNNNNNNNCUGUUCGAGGUUUGUAUCGGAUAUCAAAUUCUCCGAGCUCAAUGGCCCACUUAAUCAAUCUUCCACUAGCCUUAGGGCUAUGUAUAACAUUUCGGAGAGGUUGGUCUGUCAAGACUUCUAUCUUAUGAGACUGAAAGUAAGGUCUCAACUUCCUCGAGGCCGUAAUCAUGGCCAAAGCAAAUUUUUCGAUCACUGAGUAAUUGAGCUCCGCUCCAUGCAGAACCUUGCUCACAUAGUAUACUGGUUUCUGGGCUUUGGAUUCCUCCCGAACUAGGACGGCGCUUAGCGCUUGUUCCGAGACAGCUAGGUAUACAUACAGGGUUUCGCCCUCUACGGGUUUUGAUAAGAGUGGUGGCUCUGCCAUAUAUUUCUUUAGAUGUUCGAAGGCCACUUGGCUCUCAUCCGUCCAUUCAAAGUUCUUAACCUUCUUUAAUGCUUUGAAGAAAGGCAAGCACUUGUCUCCUGACUUGGAUACAAACCUUCCCAAAGCUGCAAUUCUUCCUGUCAGUUUCUGAACAUCCCUUAUACUUUUUGGGGGUUCCAUAUCUAGGAUAGCUUUUUAUCUUGUCGGGGUUGGCUUCAAUACCACGCUUUGAGACCAUCAAACCCAGGAACUUCCCAGAACCGACCCCAAAGGCACACUUAGCUGGGUUUAACAUCAUCUUAUGCGUCCUCAGGACUUCAAAGGCCUCUCUAAGGUGUUCAAGGUGAUCCGCUUUGUUCAAGCUUUUCACCAACAUAUCGUCUACAUAUACCUCCAUAGUCUUACCAAUCAGAUGUUUAAACAUCUUGUUUGCAAGGCGUUGGUAUGUUGCUCCUGCAUUCUUAAGUCCAAAGGCCAUAACUAAAUAACAAAAUACACCAAAGUCAGUGAUAAACGAUACCUUGGGUACAUCGCCCUUGUCCAUCCGGAUCUGAUUAUAUCCACUGAAGCCAUCCAUGAAACUCAGCAUCUUGUGGCCAGCAGUAGCAUCUAUCAAUGUAUCAAUUCUUGGAAGAGGAAAACAAUCCUUUGGGCAAGCGUCAUUUAGGUCAGUGAAGUCUACACACAUCCUCCACUUCCCGUUAGCUUUCUUGACCAUAACAGGGUUGGCCAACCAUUCUGGAAAUUGUAUCUCUUCGAUAAAACCUGCUUCCAACAACUUAUCGACCUCCUGCUUAAUGGCUUCUUGCCUUUCAGGGGCGAAGUUCCUUUUCUUCUGCUUAAUAGGUUUCCUCUCGGGGUUUACAUUCAACUUAUGGGUCAUGAAUGAGGGAUCGAUACCUGGCAUAUCGGCCGCUGUCCAAGCGAAAACAUCAUGGUUGUUCCUCAAGAACCUCACAAACUCCUGUUUCAAAUCUUCCUGGAGUAACGCUCCAACAUAAGUAACCUUUUCAGGUUCUUCCGUAUACAAUUGGAUUGGAACCAAAUCUUCGGCAGGCUUGCCUCUCCUUUCCUCUUCUUCCCGGACAUCAAGGUCUUCUAUGGGUAAUACUUGCCCCCCACUUCCUCCGGACCUUAAUGCUCCGAUAUAACAGCUUCGGGCCAUUUUCUGGUCUCCCAGUUCUUCUCCGAUUCCGUUCCUAGUCGGGAAUUUAAUUUUCAUGUGGUAGGUGGAUGGGAUUGCUUUAAAAGCAUGUAUUCCAGUCCUCCCAAGGAUGGCAUUAUAGGUUGGUGAGGCUUUAACGACCAAGAAGUUUACCAUACAUGUGGCUUGCCUAGGUUCAGUACCCAUUGUUACGGGAAGCUGGAUCAUGCCUUCAAUCUUGGUUUCCACAUUAUUGAAGCCAUAUAUAGGCAUAUCCGAUGGGGUCAGUUGAGUAUCGGAGUAUCCCAUCUUUUCAUAGGCAUCGUAGAACAGAAUAUCCACCGAGGAUCCAUUAUCAACGAGCACUCUCUUUACAGACGAGUUUCCGAUCACUGGUGUAAUUACUAAGGGGUCAUCGUGGGGGAACUUCACUUUCUCGAGGUCAACGUUAUCGAAUGCCAUUGCAUAAUCAAUUUUUGCCCGCUUCGGGGGUUCUCCAACUAUAUUCAUUACCUCCCUUGCAUAAGCUUUUCUUGAAUUGCUUGAAGUGCCCGCAGCCGUAGGUCCUCCGGAGAUUAUGUUAAUAAUAGGCCCUCGGGGUUGAGUUCUUUUCUCAUCAUGGUCUCUUCCACGACUGUCGUUAUCUCGAUAGUUCUUGUCUCCAUCCUUGGUGAACUUUGACAACUUACCUCUCCGGAUCAAGAACUCGAUUUCAUCCUUUAACUGUCCGCAAUCGUCAGUCUUAUGUCCUAUAUCCUUAUGGAAUCGACAAUACAGGUCUUUAUUUCGUUUCUCCGGGUCGGUCCUUAUAGGCUUCGGCCAUCUUACACUUUCAUCCUUUUCGAUCUCCAGUAAGAUUUGACUCCUCGGGGCAUUGAGCCUAGCAUACUCAGUGAAUCUUGGUCCCACCUUCUUCUUAGCAGGAGACUUUUCAUCAUCGUCCCUCUUGGGAUAUUUGUUUUCAGCAUUGUACUCGGCGUCGUUUCCGCGUUUCUUAAAGUUAGUGUUCGGCCCUUGAGUACUCUGGGACUUCCUUAGGCUUUCCUCCGCCUUGAUGUACUUCCCGGCUCUCUCUUGUAAAUCGUUCAUAUUAUCGGGUGCCCUCUUGGCUAGAGACCGGCGAAAGUUGUCGUCAGUGGUACCCUGCUGGAGGGCGAUCAUGGCCACCUUUUGAUCUAGGUCCGGGACCUUCAAGGCUUCUUUAGUAAAACGAUUCAUAUACUUCCGGAGUGAUUCGUUCUUACCUUGAUGCAAAUUCAUUAGAGAGGCAGAGCUCUUAGCAUGUGUUUUGCUUCCAACAAAUUGCCCUAUGAAAGCCCUGCUCAAGUCAGUAAAACAAGAGAUAGAAUUAGGGGGUAGGCGACUAUACCAAUGUUGGGCCAUCCCACUCAAGGUUUGGGGAAAAGCGCGGCACUUGAUUGCUUCAGUGACGGGUUGGAGCAAAAGAGCGUUCAUGAAGGUCCGAACAUGAUUAGCGGGAUCACCCGUGCCAUCGUAAGCUUUAAUGGUUGGGAGCUUGAAUUUUCGGGAAAUCCUUGCACCCAUGAUUUCUUGCGUAAAUGGGGGAACCGGGUUAUCAGGAUCGCCUGCCGGUAGCAAGUGAAUUUGAUUCAUCACGGUUUGUCGAGGGUUUUCAUCCCUAGAUUCUGGGGGUUGCAUCCUUGCCUGAUCUCUUUUUAACCGUGCGAUUUCCUCUUCAUGGGCCCGGAUCCUUUCCUCAUAGGUUAUUGGCCCCCGGGGCUCAUUAGUUUCUUGCCUAUGGCGGCGUCGACGGUGCCGAGUAUGAUCGGUUUCUCUCCUCCUUCGAGGGGGGGUAUCACGCUCUUGCUCCGACUCCGAGGAGUCGUAAUCAGUUACGUGCACAUAGUCAUCACCCGUGCCUCCACGAGUGGUUGUCGUGACGGUUGAGUAAUGCGUGCCGGCGUCGGUGACGGUUGCAAUUACUCGAGUCAGAGGGGGCAGCGAGCCAAAAGUCAGGGGAGUAGUAGUUUGAGCAAUGGUCGUACCAAGCGGGAGGGAGGUAGUUACAGGGGUUGAUUCAGUCGAGACUCCGGUGGUGGUUCGACCGCGUGGAACAUGAAUUUCUGAACGUGGUCCGGUUGGGUUCGUCAUGGUUGUCGUUUCGAUGCCCCACAGUGGGCGCCAAAUGUUGUAGAACUAAAAACGGGGGUGAGCGAUUCGUGCUUUGGACUAGUCUCGAUGCGAGAUGCCUACGUAUCCUCUGCUAGGAGAAGAAUCAAGUCCAAAACGUAGUUCUAGUUAUGAGGGGUAGAGCCCUUUAUAUAGGCGCUUCGGAGUCAGAAGUCGGAUGGAAGUAAGAUUCCGUGUAUCAGACUUCUUAUCGAAGUAUGCCUCGAGGCAAGAGAUAGGAUAGAACUCUUAUCCUUUCGUUGCUGAUAUUUAUCCGAACUCCGGGAUGUUUAUCUGUUAGAAUCAGAUGUAUUAUAGAAUUUGGACUUGUAACUGGACCUCUACUGUUAGAAUCAGAUGUAUUAUAGAAUUUGGACUUGUAACUGGUCCUCUGACUGGGCCUCUAUUAAUUAAUUACGAAAUUAAUUAAUAUUUAAGAGCCUCAGGCCCUAUUUAACUGGGCUUCAGUGUUCUUGGGCUUUUAAUAUCUAAUAAUAAUUAAAUAUUACUUCUGACCCAUAUCAAUAUUUGAUACUCAUAAUUCUUUCUUUAGGAUACAAACUGAAAUAUCUCAGCCAUCGAAUAAAUUCUGAGGUAUAAAAAUGAUUAGAAAUGCGGGUUUUGGUAGAUUUCAAUCUGACUUCUAAUGAAGCUCCUCCAAUUUGGUUGAUGAUAGAAUGCUUUUAAUUUGUACUAUGAAACAGGAACAAAUAACACCUAAACAAAACUUCACACAGGAACAAAUAACACCUAAACAAGAUGUACUCCACUUAUUAUCGAGGUCAUUAAAACUUAUGUAACCAUGUAAAAUGCACAAAUGUAUGAUACUUGAUUUCCGCAACUACUAUAAAAUCUAAUGCCCCUUUCUCCAGAUAAGUAUGCCUUUUAAACUGAAGUCAUGUACAGCACAUCAAAAAAACUGAAUGCAUAUAAACAGAUGAAUAAAAUGACAAGCAACUUCAGUCUUCAUUCCUUUUUACUUGACGGUCAUAUACCAACUUGAUCAGCAGAACAAUGACGAAAAUAAAGAAGAAGGAACCUAUGAGGCAAACAGUUAUUGCAAUGGCUAGAGAGUGAGAUAACACCAAAUAUGUUCCUGUAAUGAAGGUCAACAUCAUCGCCAUAAUGGAAACAAUAUUGAGCCCAACUGAUGCAGCAUUGAGCUUCGACACUUGGUGUGGAUCUUCAUACAUAGAUUCGAGAAAAUAUAGAAACAAAGAGCAUGUUGAUAGUAGCAAAGCUAACGCGUCUGAUACCAUGAAUGCGUUGAAAGCUGUCUUCCGUGUCAGAACCACCAAUCCUUCAUCAACUUCCCCACUUUGAUGGAGACCACCCGGCAUCGUAAAUCCUACCGUGAAAGUCACGGUAGUGAUAAGCGCGGUAACUAUUAUCUGUGUGUUGGUCCUCUUUUUAUAUCUUUCAAGAUCUUUCUUCAUGCGUCCAUGCUUUGCAUCCAUCAAUAAUUUCUUUUCUUCAUUGAAUAUCACAUCUUUUGUCUCCCGUCUACUUGGGCGCACUGAACUCUCAUCAAUAUCCGUUUUCUUCUCCAUAUUUUUUACCCAAAACUUCCAAGACUUAGUAGUCUGGACAUCAUCAAGCGCAAUUUUAAUUUGUACCUAGAAAUAAAGGACCGUCAAUUACUAAUAUUGUAAAUGAUUUUGAAAGGUCCUUUGUGUAUGUCUUUGUUAAGACUUUACUCAUUUAUAGUAAGCAAGGUUAUUCUCACAAUCGACCCUGGUAUUAAGCAUAUAUAAUUUUUCUAUAAGUUUAAUUAGCAUUAUAUUUAUAUUGUUAGUUGACAUAUUCGUUAAGAUGAGAUAUAAAAAACAAAGUUUUCAUAUUUUAGUAAAAACAAACUCGGAAUUUUUAAUUAUGUACCUGAUCAGCAAUGAUUUCUUCUUGAAAAUACAGCAUGUCUCGUGGAGUCCACUUUUUCUUGUUUUUUGCCAUUGUAUCAAGUCCUUUAUGUUUUAUGAGUUCUGGUAUGAAACAGCCAUUGGAGAUGAGCAGAUGAAGAGGUGUAUCGCCAUUGGCAUCUUGCUGUUCCAAAAUCUUGUCCUUGUACUUUUCUGGACAAUACUUUAAAAUACCCUGUAUCAUCUCUUUUUUAUUGUUAGUUGCUGCCAAGUGUAGUAUAUUCUGACCAUUUUUAUUAACAGCUGUGUAGGCAGAAGAUGAAGCUGGCCAUGAUUGCAUGAGUCUUAUCACCGUCGAAGUGUAUUUGCAUUCAGCUGCUAGAUGAAAUGGUGUUGAUACCAUAUCUCCAUACACAAAUUGAUAUUUAACAUCCUUCAGCGCUUUUAUGAUGACAUCAAGUAUUGAAACAAAUUCUUGAUACGCAGCAUAAUGAAGUGGUGUCCACCCUUGAUCAUCGGCAAAAGUUACAAGAUGUUUGGCUUCUCCCAAGAUGCGUAUCACAGAAUCUGAGAACAAAAUAAAAGUAAGGUACAGAAUUUUUUACUGGUCAAAACUUAAAUUUAGUUUGUAUCAAUAUAUUUGUAUGUUAAUGGUAGUAAAUACUAAAGAGGACCAACUUUUUUUAGUAAGCAAGCUUAUAAGCUUUCAAAAGUAUACAUUCUAAUAAAUUUUGGGGUGAGACAUCAAUGUAAUGUAGAAAGAGUGUUGUAAGAUUAAUGGAUAUUAUUAUUUGUUCAUACUUGCUACAUUAACCCACAAGAAUCAACGAGAUCACAUUUAUAUAAUAAGUAUUGAUACGUACCUUCAUCACGCCUGUUAAUAGCAAUAAUCAGGGCAACCACACCUUUAUGACCGGUGGUAAUUCCAGCUUCAUAAGUUUCAGAUAGCAAUCUGACGAUGUCUGUGUACUCCUUAUCGAUGGCUUUAUAGAUUAAACGCAUGAGACUAUUUUUACUUCCACGACCAUGUUGAUAGGCAGGAUUUUCUCGUAAGAUCAGUUCAACAGUAUCCACAUAAUUUCUGUCUACUGCUAAUUCCAAAACAGUGUGUCCGGACAUGUCAGUUUUAUUAAAUAAUGCUUCAAAACUGACAUUUGGUCUGUCCUCUGCAUUACUCCAGCGUUUGGCUGCAUCGAUCAUCAUCCCAAUGACAUCUCUGUCUUCUUCCUUCGCUGCAAGUCAAGUGGAAAUGUCAACUAUACAGAUACUACCUUCAGUGUGUAUACACUUUGCUAGUUUUUUCUAGUGUAUCUCUUCCUAGAGCUAAUAAGAUAUAUAAGUAUUGCAAAAAACGGGUCUCGAAGGCAUUGUGAAAUUGUUGUACAUACAUACCUCGGUGGAUAUUAAGAAUAGCAGCAUGCAAAGCUGUCGUACUACCAGCAGGGCCAUCUAAACACAGAGCUGUGCAAGUAGUACAGAUCACUUUUAUUAUAUCAUAGGACCCUUUAUCCACAGCUAUAUAGAUUGGCAUUUUACCUUCAUCAUUUGGAAAAUGUCUACCACUUGGAUCCGCCUCUACUAAGAGCUUAACAAUAGCCACAUUACCCUUAUUGACUGCUACGUGUAAGGCAGUGUUCCGCUUUUGAGCAGUCACUUGCCUAACAAAAGCAUUUAAGAAACCAACUGGAUCCUCAUUAGCUGAAGAAGAGGACAAAUGUCUGGCUGCAUUGACGAGGACCUCAACCACUUCGGUGUGUCCAUGAUGUGCUGCAAGGUGAAGCGAAGUCUGCUUUAAUCUAUCCAGCUUAACCAAAAGGUUUUUGUUUGCAAACUCUCUCACAAUAUAUCGUACACGUUCUGUAUCUCCCUUUUUUGCUUCAACAUGAAGGAUUGUUUCUCCCUCUUCAUUCAGUAUAUCUGCUUCCAUCUCCAAUGCAGCUCUGGCAUUAGCAUCUCCAGCAAUGGCAUCAGGAAACCAAUGGGCAACGGCAUGAGUAUUUUUGUACCUUUCUAGAUCUUCUUUCAUCCGUGCAUGCUUUUCACGCAUCAUCAAUUUUGUUUGUUUAUUGAAAAUCCUAUCUUUGGUCUCUCGUUUACUUGGGAGCACGGAACUUACCAAAAUAUCCUCUUUCUGAUUAAUCUGGAUUUCAUCUAGUGCAACUUUGAUUUGUACCUAUAUAAGGACGGCCAAUGAUCAACAUUUAUUUUGAUUUGGGAACAUACACUAUUAUCUUAUUUGUGAGUGAAUAUUAUUAUCUUGUUUUUAGAACACUAUUAAUGACUUCAGUUCUGAUAUACUCUUAUGGUUUGAAAUACUAGAAAACGAGUCUUAACUGAUAGACUGGGGUAGAAAGGAAAAUUAGAUUUUAGGUACCUGCUCAUCAAUAAUUUGGUCUUCAAAAUACAACAUGUCCGGAGGAGUCCAUUUCUCUUUGUUUUUCUUCACUAUAUCCAGCCCUUCAUAUUUCAUGAGUUCGGGGACAAAACAACCACGGCGGAUAAGAAUAUGAAGAGGUGUAUUGCCACUGUUAUCCUGCUUAUUCACAAGCUCGUCCUUGUGCUUUUCUGGACAAUAAUUUAGUAUACCUUCUAUCAUCUCUUUUUUACUUUGUAAUGCGGCCAAGUGGAGUAUAUUCUGUCCAUUUUUAUCAACAGCAAUAUAUGCUGAAGAUGAAGAUGGCCAUAACUGCAUAAGAAGUAUUACUGUAGAAGUAUAUCCUUUCUCCGCUGCCACAUGAAACGGUGUUAAUAUCAUAUCUUCAUACAGAAAUUGAUUCUCAACUUCUUUUUGUGCUUUUAUCAAGGGGUAAAUUAUUGCAUCAAAUUCGUGAUAUGCUGCAUGGUGAAGUGCUGUCCAACCCAGAUUGUCAACAAAGGUUACAAGCUCAUCGGCACAAUCAUCCAACAGCCUGAAGACGGAUUCUGAAAAACAAAACACAUGAGACUGUUUAUAUUAAACAGAUCAAGUUUUAGUGAUUUUAUAUUGUCACAAUAGUCAAAUUCUUAAUCCAGAAACAAACCUUUAUAAGUUUAGGAAUUGACAUACUGAUCAUAGAAAGCAUGGUCAAUUACGCAGAAAUAUGAAUUUUCAAAAUUAAUGGACUAUUUGAUGAAUCUGGUGAGUGGAUGACCAAAAGGGUUGACCUUGAAAGGCUAAUCUCUGCAUAUUUAAAAGAUUUAUUUGAAACGAGUUCCAUUUCUGGCUUUUAAGGUGCUAUGAAAGGAAUUAGGUGGGUAGUUUAAAAGAAUGUCGAGCUGGUAUGCAGGCUUUAUUUUUUCAUAAAUAUUUGAAUGCAGUUUGCCUAAGAUUGUGGCUCUUGUUUAAAAAUGGUGGAGAGGUUCUACUGAUUCAUCAUAUCUGAAUAAAACAUGGGUUGAUUGAUUCUAAAGUGCAAGGAGCCGAAGGCUACAGGGGAAUUCAGGCCUAAAUAUAAAAUUAUGCCUAAGACGCUAGUGAACAAGAUGAAGCCUUUCUUAAGAGAUAUGAUUCCUUAAAUCAGAGCACUUUAGUACCAAAGAGAUUGAUUACACCCCAAAUACGCUAUGGUGACUUUAAAAGUGUUUUAUGCCUCGGAGAAUGGGGGUGGAGGUUAAGAGCGAGUCCAACAAUGUCCUACUUGUAACCUUAAGUUUAAUAUAAAAAAAUAUGUCCCAAUAAUUUAGGAUAUAUUUAAGUACAAUGUGAUUUAUUCUCAAUAUAUAUUAAAUAUUUUAUUAUUAAAAGUUUACAUUCAUCAUUGAAUGACAAUAUAAAGUAGAGAGAGAAAGGGAGUAUGUGUAAUAAUUUAUUAUAAAAUAUAAGACAGGAAAAGGAGAGAAAUGUCUUAAAAAUAAGGCGGGAAGAGAUUGUGCUGGUGAUAUAAGACAUGACUAAGACAUUGUUGGAUCAACUUUUAUUAUCAAAUGUCUUAAAUUCUAGUUUAGGAUAUCAUAUAAGCCAUCUCUUAAAGAUGGAACAAUAGCCUUAAUUCUAGACAUAAGUAAGCUCACAAUAGGGUCGAAUGGAUUUUAUUAAAAAGAGUGAUGCUAAAAAUGGGUUUUUCUGAUAAAUGGGUUCACCACAUUAUGAGCUGUUUGACAAGUGUUUCUUUGGCAUUCAAGAUAAAUGGGUUUUUCAUGAACAAGACAGAAGUCGCCUUUAGCAAAUAUGAUAAAUGGUUUAUUUCUCUGGAGCGCUGUUCAUAGGAACCUGGGAGAGGCUGUUAUGUAGACAUUGUUAUUGAAAAAUUAUAUUUAAUUGGCAGUACUGAAUAAGAAUCCUUCGUGCAUACCCUGUUUGAGUGUGAUGGAGCAAAGGUUUUUUGGGAGCAUAGUGAGUUUAAAGUGACCAUCCGCUUAUGUGGGAGCAUGGUGAGUUUAAAAAGACCAUCAGGGAUGCACCAUUUGGCUGGUUCACCAAUAAGGCUAGUGAACAAGAGUUUUAUUCCAUUGAUUCUUUAACCCAAUAAGAGUUUUGUUACGACAGGACCAAUAAGGCUUGGUCCUGUUGGAAUAAAAUUAUGUAUGAACAAACUUCUGUUAACCCUGUAAUGGUAGCUGCAGGGCAUACAAACUUGUAUAUGAGUAUUGUGGGUGUGCAAAAAGGGUAUUUUUGCUCCAAUCAAUGUGUGGGGAGUAAAGAGUUCAUCAAGUUGGAUGCUAGCACCUGCUGGAUUGGCAAGAAUUAACUGUGAUGCUAAUGUUCAGGAUGGGUGUCAAGUUGGUCGGGUGUAGUAAUUAGAGAGAUGCCACAGGAAAGCUGAUGAAAAAGGAAGUAGAGGGAAUGGAAGUGUAGCAGAAGCAAAGCCUGGCUUCUUAGGCCUCAGAAAAAAACUGAUGGAUUAAUGUUAGAACUUUGAAUUACAAAACUUGAUUCAGAACUAAUAAAUAUUAGAAAAACUGAAUUUCGUCAAUAAAAAUAAAUAAUAGAAUAAUAAAAUGAAAUCAUCUUAUAAGCAUAAAUUGGACCAAGAACAAUGUUAUAAUGUAAUAGACUAUAUACCUCUUUUGCGGCCUUUAAUAGCAGAAAUCAAAGCCGCCAUAUCGUCGUAUGAAUAAGUAAUAUCAGCUCCUCUUUCGUAGCUGCUCGUGAGUAACUUGACAAUAUCUGUGUACUCUUUGUCCAUGGCUCGGUAAAUUAGAGGCAUUAGAUCAAUAAAAUCGGGAGCAUUCCAAGAUUGAUAUAUUGGGUUUUCUGCUAAUAUUAGCUCAACUAUAUUAGCAUAAUUCCGGUCCACCGCCAGUUCUAAACAAGUGCAUCUAUUCUCGUCAGUUUUUCUAAAUAAUUCGACUGAAUGUUCAUACGUGUCCUCAUCCCAUUCAUCUGAGUCCGAAUCCUCCCCAGAACCCAUCCAUUUCAUUGCUUUGAUGAUCACUCUAAUCACAUCUAUGUCUUCUUUCUUGUCUGCAAAGGAAGUAAAAGUAUGAUGAUCAAAUAUUCAUUAUAAUAUCUUUAAGAUCUAAAUAUUGAAUUUGGCAAUUAAUAAAUAGAAAUAAUCUGGAGAGAUUCAGGAUUGCAUUGAUCCAACUCUGUUCAUAUUGAUACGAGACUUUAAUUGCGUUGUUAAAUGAUUCAUGAUCUUGAAAUGUCUUUAGGCACACAAUCACCUUUUGUACACAUAAAUAAUGUUAUUGUUUCAGUUCUGGAAAUUGUUAGAGACUAAUACUAUCUGCAAAUGUGUUUAACAUCUUUGUGAACAAGGAAUGCAAACAACUUAUUAUGAGGCAGAAAGUGUUAGCAAGAACUGAAAUAAAUUUAGCAACAGGGCAUAUUGAAUUGUGACAUAUGUAUAAACUACAUACCUUGAUCGAGAUUCUUUAUAGCAGCAUGCAGAGCAGUACCACAGGGACCAUCCAAAUUAGAUGGAGAAGUGCAAGUUGUACAGAUCAUCUUCACAAUAUCAGAGUAACCUUUUUCCGCGGCUAUGUACAUUGGCGUUUCACCUUUAUUGUUUGGAAGAUGUGGAUCACUUGGGUCGGCCUCUAAUAAUAUCUUAGUAGUAGCCAAGUUACCUUGCAUCACCGCUAUGUGUAAGGCAGUGUUCAUAUCUUUAUCACCUUGCCUGAGGAAAGCUUGAAAAGAACUUACUGGACUUUGAGAAUCAUCAUCAUCAGAAGAAGAUAAAAGUCUAGCUGCACCAAUGAGGAUCUCAACCACUUCAUUAUCGUGGUCGGGAUCUUUGAUAGCAGCGUGCAAAGCAGUUUUAACACCAGGACCUUUUAAAGAGGGAGCUGUGCAACUUGUACAGAUUAAUUUUACUAUUUCCUUGUACCCUUUUUUCACAGCUAUGUAAAUUGGAGUUUUACCAUCAUUGUUUUGAAUAUGUGUAUCACUUGGAUCAGCCUCUACUAAUAGCUUAACAAUUGCUAUAUGAUUAUUUAUGACGGCUAUAUGCAAGGCAGUGUCCAUAUCUUUGUCACCAAGCCUAAGGAAAGCUUGAAAAGAAGUUACUGGAUUAUCAUCAUCUGAAGGAGGCAAAUUUCUAGCUGCAUCAAUGAGGACCUCAGCGACUUCAGUGUGUCCAAAAUAUGCAGCCCAAGUAAGUGCAGUCUCUUUUUGAUUAUCCAGUUUGACCAAAAGAUUUUUGUGUGCAAACUCCCUCAAAAUGAAUCGCACAUUUUCUAAAUUUCCUUUCUUUGAUUCAACAUGAAGGAUAGUUUCUUCAUCUUUGUUCAGUCUAUCAGCUUCCGUCUCCAAUUUAGCUAUGGCAUCAGCAUCUCCCGCAAUGGCAGCCGCAUACAAAACAGCUUUAAUAUCAUAAAUUUCAUAUAGUGCUCCACCAGGGUUCUUACCUAUAUUUGUGUAUAUAAAGAAGUGUCAAAUGGAGAAUCUAACACAUUUAUGUUGUGUUUGGUUGGUGUCACAACUGUAAACUAAAGCUAAUUAUGAAAGAAAGAAGACUCCAUUAAAGCUCUGUAAAAUGUGUUUGUACAUAGCUUUCUACUUUGUUUUUAUUCUACUUGAAUGAAAUGUAACACACAGAUAUCUAAUAUAUACACACCAACUCUGUAACUAACUUCUAAAACUAACUGCCACUACUUUGUUGAGCUGUCAUUUCGGGACCACAGCUGUCACUCUGUUUUUCCCGCUUCUUCUCUUGAUUCUUCUCACUACUAAUAUACUGAACAUCCCCCCUCAAGUUAGGUGUAUGAAACAGGUUGAACACACCUAACUUGGAGAGUAAAUAACGCAGUUGGUAUGAAGGUAAGGCCUUGGUGAAUAAGUCUGCUGGUUGCUCUGUGGACGGAAGAUGAUGUGUAACCACAAUUCCCUGUUUAAUCUUCUGACGAAUAAGAUGGCAAUCAAUUUCAAUGUGUUUUGUACGUUCAUGAAACACUGAAUUUGAGGCAAUGUGAAGAGCAGACUGGUUGUCACAGUAUAGAGAGACAGGAGUGAGAUUAGGUACAUACAACUCUUUGCAUAGUGAUAACAACCAUGUAACUUCACAGCAUGAAUCUGCCAUUGCUCUGUACUCAGCCUCUGCUGAGGAGCGUGAAACAGUAUGCUGGCGUUUGCAUUUCCAGGAGACUAAUGAAGACCCCAAUGUGACACAGAAGCCAGUGAUAGACUGCCGAGUCUGUUUGCAGCUUCCCCAAUCAGCAUCCGUAAACACUCGCAGAUUGAAUGAGGAGUUGGAUGACAACAGGAUACCCUGGCCACAUGUUUGUUUUAGAUAUUUAACCAACUUAAGAGCAGCCAACCAGUGAAUUUCUUGUGGUUUAUGCAUGAACUGAGCCAGUAUGUGUACAGAAUAGGAUAAGUCUGGGCGAGUAAUAGUCAGAUAAAUCAAACGCCCAAUCAACCUCCUAUAAGCAGAGAUAUCAACAAGCAAGGGAGAGUUGGACUCUGCUGUCAGAUUGUGGUUCUGAUCUAAAGGUACUAAAGAUGUCUUGGCCUCCUCAUAACCAACAUCCUUGAUGAUAUCCAUAGUGUACUUACGUUGAUUCAAAUAGAUUCCAGCAGCUGAACGAGCAAUUUCAAUCCCCAGAAAGUAUUUCAAGGGGCCCAAAUCCUUGAUUUUGAAUUUGGUAGCAAGAAAUUGAGUGACCUGAGUCAUUAAGUCAGGUGCAUUACCUGUUAAUACCAUAUCGUCCACAUACACUAGUAACACAACAAGCUUAUUGUCUUUCUUGAAAACGAAUAAACUUGAGUCACUGAAGGUUUGUGUGAAUCCAAAUUCAAGCAAAGCAUCAGAAAGUAUAGUAAACCAUUCUCGAGGAGCCUGACGCAGCCCAUAUAUUGACUUAAUAAGUUUGCACACUAACUUCUGAUUUGGAAAUUGCUGUAAGACCUCUAGUGGAAUGGGAUACCCUUGAGGAAUUUCCAUAAACACUUCUUCAUGCAAGAAGCCGUGUAAAAAGGCAUUGGUAACAUCAAGCUGUGUGAUGGACCAAUUAUUCAUUGCUGCCAGUGCAAGAACAACACGAAAGGUUGCCAUUUUGGCUACUGGUGCAAACGUAUCAAAGUAGUCCAAACCUUCUGUUUGUGUAAAUCCCUUGGCUACAAGACGUGCCUUGUACCUGUCUAUUUGACCAUCAGGCAAAUACUUCACUUUAAACAGCCAUCGACAGCCAACUGCCUUUUUGUUAGGUGGGAGAGGUACAAUUUGCCAGGUCUGGUUAGCUUCCAUAGCAGCUAACUCAGUAUUCAUUGCAGUGCACCACUCACUUGAUUUACUGGCUUGAUUGAAUGUCUGAGGCUCUUGAAUUUUUGAAAUAUUAGCCAAAAAAUGCUGAUAUGACUUGUCAAAUGCAGAAUAUGAGACACAAUUAGUCAAGUUUUGAGUUACAGUAUUCUGCAGUUGUGGUGGCAGAUUGGUGUAAUCUUUAAACUUGACAGGAGCUUGCCUUUGUCUUUGAGGUCUUACUACAUGAGUAGUAGCUUCACUGAUAGGUAUUGUAGACUCAGAAUUAUCUGUAUUAACAGAUACUGUAGGUGAAGAUUGCAUAUUCUGCUCACUAGUAUCAGUAUUGAUACUGCUGGGAGUUGGAUAGCAUGUGAUGGGAUCUGACUCCCAUUCAACAGUAGAGUUGUUCACAAACAGUGGAGUGGUUUUCAAGGCAAUGUCAGAAGUAAUUUGUUGAAACGGAAACUGACUUUCAUCAAAAUACACAUCUCUGGACACAAAGACUUGUCUGGUCUGCAGAUUUAGAACUUUAUAUCCCUUUUUAGCAUAGGGAUACCGCAAGAAAACUCCUUUAAUUCCUCUUGCUGCAAAUUUGUCACUUGGUUGAGGAACUGUAGUUGCAUAACACAGGCAGCCAAAUAUUCUAAGGCGAGAAUAAUCUGGCUUAGAAUGAAACAGCACCUCAUAUGGUGACUUGCCUUGAAGUACAGGUGUGGGUGUUCGAUUAAUAAGAUAGCAAGCAGUUAACACACAGUCUCCCCAUAAAGUAAGAGGAACAUUGGAUUGAAACCGUAAGGCUCGUGCAACAUUUAGAAGAUGUCUGUGUCUUCUCUCCACAAUUCCAUUCUGUUGUGGAGAGUAAGGACACGUGGUUUGAUGCACCACACCAUUUUGUGCAAACAAGUUAGUCACAGUUUGAUUAACAAACUCAGUACCAUUAUCUGAACGCACAACUUUAACAGAUGUCUUGAACUGAUUUAUAACAUAACUGAGAAAAUCAGAUAUAAUACGACUAACACCAAUUUUAUCUGGUAGCAGAAAAACCCAUGCAGCACGAGACAUGUCAUCAACAAUUGUUAAAAAAUAAGAACAACUGCCAUGAGUCUUAAUUCGAUAUGGUCCCCAUAAGUCCAUAUGGACAAGAUCAAACACAUUUGAACUACAAGACUCACUAUUAGCAAAAGGAUUUCUAACUUGUUUUGACAGAUGACAAAUAUCACAAGUGUGAUUGACAGAAGAUUUACACUGAAAAGGAAACAAUUUCAGAACAGACAUAGGCACAUGGCCAGUUCUUGCAUGCCAGAGAUUAGUAUCUGCAGAAUGAGAGGCAACAGCUGAACAAGAGGAUGUAGAAGAUAGUUUGCAAGCAUUUAGAAUGUAGAGACCAUGGACAGCUUUACCAAUCUCUAGGUCCCUCAUCAAGGUAGGGGCCUGAAGAAAGCAACAAUCAUUCUUAAACACAAUAGAAGACACUGAAUCAGUCACAAAUUUGGAGACUGAAAACAAGUUAUAAUGAAACUGAGGCACACACAGUACAUUGUGAAGUGUAAUAUGAGAGUUAAUAGAGAUAGAUCCCAUAUGAGUGACAGGUGCAGUGUGACCAUUAGGAAGGUAUAAUAGAGACUGACAUGUCACAAUAUCAGACAAUAGAUGUAGAUGAGGUGUUACAUGAUCAGUGGCACCUGUGUCAACAAUCCACUCAAAAUCCUUGUAGGAAUUAUUGUGCACAUGACUAGCAAAAUGCAGAAAUGUACCUGCAAACUGAGUACUAUUGACAGUAGCAUAUGGAUUUGUCUCAGCAGCUGGUUGAACAGAGGUAUGAUUUAGUAGCUGUAGAAGUUGCUUGUACUGACUUUCAGAAAAUUGAAAGUUGCAAGUUGAUGCAUCAGACUGAGAUAUAGUAGAUUUUGUCUGAGAAUUAUCAGCACUCUGAGAGACUUGAGCAGCUACAGCAUUCCUGUUGGACAGAUGUUUUGGCUUAGGCUUGGGUUUACCAUACAUUUUGUGCCACUCAGGAUAACCAUGCAGACAAAAGCAUUUAUCCUUGGCAUGUCCUUGCAUGUGGCAGUAGUCACAGUAGAUAAGCACAUCAGACUGAGCCUUCUUGACUCCUUUCACAAAUGUAGUCUUGGACUUGACUGCUAAGGCUACACUGUCAGCAGAUGGAUGAGAACUACUAGCAAUCCCUCUCUGAUUUUCCUCUUGCAACAGUAUGGAAUAGCAUUUGCUAAGAGAAGGUAAUGGAUUCAUUAAAAGAAUCUGUCCACGAAUAGAAGUGAACGUGUCAUUUAGUCCCAUCAAGAACUGCUCUAACUGUAAAGACUGUUCAUGAGCAUCCAGUUGAGCAUUGAUUGUACAGGUACACUUGCCACAGCAUCUAGGAGAAGUAGUCAUAGAAGACAAUUCUUCUUGCAAUGUCCUGUAUUUAGUAAAGUAGGCAGAAAUAGACAAACUAUCCUGAGAGAGAUGAGACAGUUCUUUCCUGAGGGCAAACAAUUUAGGCACAUUAGUCUGAGCAUAACGAAUACGUAAUUCAUCCCAAAUUGCCUUUGCAGAUUUCAUAUACUGAAUGCUAUUGCGAAUAGAUUCAGUCACAGAAUUAAGGAGCCAGGAUGUCACCAUAUUGUUACACCUGUUCCAAUGUCCAUACAAAUUGGAUGUAGAUGGAGGUGAAGUAUAAGUUCCAUCCACAAAACCGAUCUUAAACUUGGAAGAAAGAGCAAUAUCCAUGGCACGUUGCCACUGACUAUAAUUGUGUUCAUCAAGAAGCACAGUAGUAAGUAUCAAGCCUGGAUUAUCCGAAGGAUGAAUGUAGUAUGGAUGAUUAACAUCAAUUGCAGUUAUAGAACCUAUCGUAGCAGAUGAAUAGGACGCAACUGUAGACAUGACUAAAAACACAGAAUCACAGCAGAUUCAAGCAAGAUUUGGAGAGAAUCGUGUUGAUUAACACAAAUCACAGCACAAACAAGCAGUAAAUCACAACAACAAGUACCAGAAGAGCAAUUAAACCACGAAUUACACCUCUGAUCAAAGAACGAAAAACCAGAUCUGAAACAGCAGAAAAACCUAAAAAAAACACCAGAUGUGAGAUCAGAAAGAACGGCUUAUCUGAAGUCACAAAGGAGAUGCGGAAUGAUUAGACGCGAUCGAGACGCUCUGAUACCAUGUCACAACUGUAAACUAAAGCUAAUUAUGAAAGAAAGAAGACUCCAUUAAAGCUCUGUAAAAUGUGUUUGUACAUAGCUUUCUACUUUGUUUUUAUUCUACUUGAAUGAAAUGUAACACACAGAUAUCUAAUAUAUACACACCAACUCUGUAACUAACUUCUAAAACUAACUGCCACUACUUUGUUGAGCUGUCAUUUCGGGACCACAGCUGUCACUCUGUUUUUCCCGCUUCUUCUCUUGAUUCUUCUCACUACUAAUAUACUGAACAGUUGGGGUGAAUGAUUCCGGAAGGAUUGGAAUGAAAAAUGAACUAUGUUAUGGACAAUUGUUAAGAAAUUUCAUUCCUCCCUCCAUUCCAUUCCUUACAUCAUAUGUUAGAGAUCACAUCUUCAAUUUGAGAUGGAAUGCUUCAUUCUCUCCUACCCCCAAUUUCUUCUCAAAUCUCAUCAUAACAAUAUUACAUUCACUUAAUUUUUUUUAAAACUUCCCUCCUAUCACUAUUAGCUUCAAGUAAUUUUACUCAUUCUAUUCCAUUCCAUUCUUCGUAUCAACUACAUACUAGGGGUCGGACUAAAUACUCUGAGGAAUCAUCAUGACAUUGAAUAGUGAAGAAGAUUAUAACAGAAAAGAAACUGGAUUUAUAUAGCUUAAAAACACAAAAAGGGGCAUACCUUGAUCGAGAUUCUUUAUACGCAGAGCCGUAUUACCAUCAGGUCCGUCCAAAGAUUGAGCUGGGCAUGUUGUAGAGAUUAUCUCUACUAUAUCGUUGUACCCCUUUUCCACAGCUAUGUACAAUGGUGUUUUACCUUUAUGGUUUUGAACAUGUGUAUCACCUGGAUCGGCCUCUAGUAAUAGCUUAACAAUUGCAAUAUGAUUAUUGAUGACUGCUAUAUGUAAGGCAGUAUCCAUAUCUUUGUCACCGAGCCUAAGGAAAGCUUGAAAAGAAGUUACUGGAUUAUCAUUAGCUGAAGGAGGCAAAUAUCUAGCUGCAUCAAUUAGGGUCUCAGCCACUUCAGUGUGUACUUUAGACAAAGCCAAGUGAAGUGCAGUCUGUUUAAAUUUGUUAAGCUUGACCAGAAGGUUUUUUUCUGCAAACUCCCUCAAUAUAAACCGCACGUGUUCUGUAUUUCCGUUUUCGGACUCUGUGUGAAGGAUAGUUUCUUCGUAUCCGUUCAGUUUAUCAGCAUGCAUUUCCAACGCAGCUAUAGCAUCAGCAUCUCCAGCAAUGGCAGCGGCAUACAGAGCAUCUUUAUCCAUAAUCUUGUAGAGGCUUCCACCAGGGCUCUUAGCUAUAAAAAUAAAAAAGUGUCAAAUUAAACAGCGAAGAAGAUUUUAACAAAUGCAAAAUAGGUUUUAGCUUACAUAACAAAAAGAAGUAUAUAUCCCUAUAGAUAGUAUAUUAUUAUCUUUACAGAAAAGAGUGUUUAAAGAGCAUACCUUGAUCCAGAUUUUGAAUACGCACAACAGUACUACCAUGAGGUCCAAGCAAAGAUGGAGCAGUGCAAGUUGUAGAGAUGAUCUCUGCUAUAUCAUUGAGCCCUUCUUCCACAGCUAUGUACAUUGGUGUUUUAUCAUCAUCGUUUUGAAUAUGUGUAUCAGUCGGGUCGGCCUCUACUAGUAGCUUAACAAUAUCCAGGUGACCAUACUUGACUGCUGCGUGUAAGGCGGUGUCCAUGUCUUUAUCACCUUGCCUGAGAAAAGCUUGAAAAGAAGUCACUGAAUUAUCAUCACCAUCUGAAGGAGGAGGCGGCAAAUGGCGAGCUGCAUCAAUGAGGAUCUCAGCCACUUGUUUGUGUCCUCCUCGAUAUAUAGCUAAGUGUAGUGCUGAAUGCUUAUAUCUAGUAAGCUUAGUCAAAAGAUUUUUGUGUGGAAAUUCCCUCAAAAUGAAUCUCACACGUUCUGUAUUUCCCUUCUGGGAUUGCAGGUGAAGGAUAGUUUCUUCAUCUUGGAACAGUGUAUCAGCUUCCAUCUCCAAUUGAGCAAUGGCAGCAGCAUCUGCGGCCAUGGCAGCAUCGAAGAGAGUAUCCAGAUCCAUAACUAUAUCUUUACUCUACCACGGCUCCUGCCUGCUGGACUUUCUCGGAUUAUGAAAAUGCUAGUUAUGUAAUUGGAAGCUUGGUGUUGGCUUUAUAUCAACAAGAUGUUGACCAACCAAAAUGCUAAGUCGUGCUCAUGUAAAUUGGUUGUUGGGUUUGUUAACGAAGAUGCAUCAUAAUUUUGCAUCUCCGGCAAUGGCAGCGUCAUACAAAGCAUUCGUAGCCAUAGUUCUAUAUCACUGAUUGAAUCAGUCGAUUAAUGGAAGAAAAACUACAGGGGUGCUAAGUUAUGCAGAAUUACUUAUGGAAGCUGCAGCUUGGGCUGUGCUCUAAAAUAAGAUAUUAACUAACAAAUACUAUUAGCAAUCCGUUUCAUACGGCAUUGUAUAAUGGAACCGUUUGGGCAAAAUUAAAAAAAGUGACUUCUUGCUUAAACUAGAGAAGUGGAGCAGAAGUAAGAAGUAAAUAAGUGAAUAAAGUGUUUGGAAAAGAAGCAGAAGCUGUGAGAGAGAAGCUAUGAUUCUCAGCUUCUUAAAAGUGCUUCUUUACACGGGUCAACGAAAGCCGAAGCCAGAAGCAGCUUCUACUUCUGGCAAACAAACAGGCCCAAUAUCUACAAUCCCUGCUGCUGCAUGUGGCCAGGUAUGUAGUAGACUUUUCAGAUGAUUGGGUUGGAGGUAAAUAAACAAGUCCCCCACAUGUGAUAAGAACGAUACGAGUCUACCAUUACAUAACACAGGCUUGUCACCGAAAGUUCUGUACGAGCCCCGAGCUAACUAAUAUAAUCAAUAUCAUCGAAAAAUAAUAUCUUGUUGGUUGCAAAUUUAGCCUAUAAUUAUAACUAAUCCCGUCAAAGAUAGCUAUAAUAUAUCACUAUUCUAAUAUGUUUUUAAUUUGCAUGUCAUCCCAAAAAUGUCAACUGUAUAAAAAUUUAAUAAUGAUACGAUUCCCUAAUUAUUUACUUUCUGCAAAAGUCUCCUUGACUGAGUAUGCAAUUAUUGUGUCUAAACAGCUGCGUGCUUACUGAAAGUUUCAGAUUAAUUAACUUAUAAUCAAGAUUGAUUAUUACUUUCGACCUGUAACUACCUUUUUUUGUUUAAAAAUGUCGUUGCAUUGUGCAUAGCUACAACCGAGUCAAAUAAUUCAUUAACUAGCUCGGGAUGAAAUAGAGAGAGAAUGAAAAAAAUGUACUCUAAUAACAUCAUGUUAGAUUAGAAAAAUAUAUUUGAUUUUCAUUCUUUCAAUUAUUUCAUUGUUGCUAUUUUAAUUAAAAUUUUAACAUAUUUCAGAAGAAUUUUUAAGUAGUAUGAUAGACUCGGCCUAACUUCUGUCAAAUAUGUAUUACGACAUUAAUUAAGUUAAAGUAUAUAGCUAACUGGGUUGUUUGUGCUUGCAUAUAUGCCAAAAUAUGUAUAUAUUGCAAACCUAAUUUUACAAACUAAAAAUUAAACUCAACUGAAGGUAAGAUAUGUGGCAUUUUUUUGAUAGUAUGAUGAUAUAUGUGCUAGCAUUUGCAUUAGUACCCCUGCUUUGAGCUUCUACAUUGGCACCGCCACUGCUUCUUUUAAUCGGAUCAAUCACGUCAAUUUGUAGCACCGCCACUGCUCCUGAGUUUUUUCGUGCUUAGGGUUUUAGAGAAUCGAGCAGGAAGGGUAAGAUGGGUUUAUAGUAUAAUAACCCCACGUUUUGGUAUUAUUUGCUAACGCGGUAAGACAGAUUUACCGGAAGUUAGCAAGAACACCCAUAAUGCUUAAAAAUUAUAUUCACAGUGCAUUAUAUGGCUACUUUUAUUUUGUGGACAUUAAAGUGCAAAAAAAUUAUUUUAUAAGCCAACAAACUGCAAUUUACUCUAAUAUUUAUCACAAAAAAAUUAAACUCAUUCAUAUCUAGCGACUAUUAUCUCAUAAUUUCUUUUUGGGAAUUUAUCAAAUAUACUACUUUUUAGGAUCUUAUUUGCAAAAAUACCAUCUUCCUAAAUUAAUUGCAUAUUUACUAAACUAAGUUUCUAAAUUGCAAAAAUACUACCCCCUCCCCCCUGCAACUAAAUGCAACCUCAAAUACAACUGAAUGCCUGAUUUCAAGUUCCACUUUUCAAAUGUCAUUUUCGACCUCAUCCUUGGAAUCCAUAUAUAUAUAUAUAUAUAUAUAUAUAUAUAUAUAUAUAUAUGGAUUUCAAGGAUGAGGUCGAAAAUGACAUUUGAAAAGUGGAACUUGAAAUCAGGCAUUCAGUUGCAUAUGAGGUUGCAUUUAGUUGCAGGGGAGGGGGUAGUAUUUUUGCAAUUUAGAAACUUAGUUUAGUAAAUAUGCAAUUAAUUUAAACGUUUAAAUAUCAAAGUUUUAUUUAAAAAAAUUAAAAAAAUAUAUUAUGAAACCAUUAUUUAAAGGGAGUUUUUUCAUAAAUAUAUAGGAAAAAGUAAAUUUUUGCAAAUUUACUUUUCUCAAGAAUAGCUAUUUGCAGUUUUACUACACUAAAUUUCUAAAUUGCAAAAAUACUACCCCCCUCCCUUCUGCAACUGAAUGCAACCACGUGCAACUGAAUGCCUGAUUUCAAGUUCCAGUUUUCGUAAUGUCAUUUUCGACCUCAUCCUUGGAAUCCACACAUAUAUAUGUAUGGAUUCCAAGGAUGAGGUCGAAAAUGACAUUUGAGAACUGGAACUUGAAAUCAGGAGUUGCAGUUGCAUGUGGUUGCAUUCAGUUGCAGAAGGGAGGGGUAGUAUUUUUGCAAUUUAGAAACUUAGUGUAGUAAAACUGCAAAUAGCUAUUCUUGAGAAAAGUAAAUUUGCAAAAAUUUACUUUUUCCUAUAUAUUUAUGAAAAAACCCCUUUUUCCUACACAAAUUUUUAUAUAAUUUUUCAUUUCAUUGUCUACUCGUUCCAUUCUAUCCGGGUGAACACAACCUAAAAAUUUGAAUUUGGACAAAAUUUGUUCAAUAAAACUUUAUUUAACAAUGUUUGAUUGCUUUAAAUUUUGUUCAAAUUCAUUAAUAUAUCUUAACACCAUCCAAAACCAUACAUGUUUGUUAUCCUUCGAGGCCCCAUUCAUGUAAAGAGACUUUUGGAGCUAGUUGACAAUUGACAUGCAAAACAACCGGUUUCAUACGUCUAUCUGUCAUCUACUCACCACAAUAAUUGAUGUAAUUAUACCUAAGAGAUAAUCAAUCAUACUUGAGCAAAUUCGAAAAAAGUAAAAACAUAAAUUUUAUUUAUCAUUCCAUCCUCUUUAUAAAAGUCUCCUUUCGAAAUAAAAUUGGAUUAGUAGAGAAAAAUUUAUAUAUAAUCUUUCAAAUAUAUCGGUGUAUUUAUUAUUAUGUUAUUAUUUUUAAGAUAAUAACUAGGAGAAUUCAGAAUUGUUUGAUUUCUUCCCAUCUGUGUCCACUCCAUCUCCAAUUCAGCAUCAGGGACAACGCAGUCAUCGAAAGUCUGCCAGUUGAACAAGCUACACCAACUGUUGUAAACUCUUAAAUUUAAGUGAAAAAUUUCACAAGAAACUUUUUUGGGAGGACAUGAUGCUCCUAAUCCAACAUUACUUAAACAGAGGCUUGAUGAGUUGAUGUAUAGUUGUAUACUAAACCCGUUUACUGCGGCAAUUUCUAUUCUGGAGUCCACUGCUACAUGUGGCCACUAUCAUUUCUCACAACCUCAUUAGUUCCUAUUUAAUUAACUUAAACCAACUCUCUUGAUGGAUUUAAAAAGAGUAAAUUUCAAAGAUGUGGCUACAUUUUGUUGGAAAUAUUAAACUAUUAGCGCAACAAUGAGGCAGUUAUAUAUCAGGAAUUAAAAAGAACAGGCAAGGCACCAAAUAACGAAACAAUACACGAAGGCAAAACAGAAAUAUAAUCAGUACCUUAAAUCGACAAGAAAAGACAGAAAUCACUUAGCUUGCGAAGCUUUAUCAAAUACUGAUCAAAAUCAGAAUAACAGCUGAGUCGCCUAGCCCUUGAAAAGCCUAGACUAUUCUUGACACGAUAAUUGCCCCACUUACGCUGUGUUGGGUUGCAGCAAUAUCGCCUCCAGGAUAAAACAGAUCAGAUCAACUUGUUCACGGACACGCAAUUGAUCAACAGUGACCUGACCUCAGUUCGCCCAGAAAACCUAUGCAAUCUGUUCUGUAUGUAUUUUUGCAGAGAGAAAAUAGAGAAGAGUAGCAGCUAGGGUUUUUUAUCUUUUUGUUAUCAGUAUCUCUCACAAAACGUUUUGAUUCUGUAUAUAAUACAAAAUAAAACGUAACUGAAGAUAUGGCAUUAAUUACAAUAAAUAUUCUGACUUCAAUUGUUUUAUUUUAAUUGAAUAUAUAUCAGUACAUUCACCACUCAGGGGCACGUACAUUCACCACUCAGGGGCACGUACAUUCAUAUUAAAAUAAUAUUAUAAGUCAGGAUUUAUUUAAUUAAAACAGUGGUAAAAUUCCUCGCCCAGGUCGCCUCGUGUACGCGAGACGCCGAGACAUUCGCCCUUCGACCCGACCCGAGUCGAGGCGUGGCGGGGAGGCGGCGGCGGCGCGCGCGUGUGUGCGCGCGCGAGGCGCUCACUACAACCUUGCACACCCACAUGCCUUGGUAGUUGAACACUACACUUGCACAUGUACUAUAUAAAGCCACCAACCUCACUUUCCAAUAUCAAUGUGGGACUAACCCACAUACCAUAUUUUACCACUUUCAAGCUACUAACUUCAACUCAAUUUAUUUAUGGAUUACACUAAGAAAAUGUCUUAGAUCCAAACAUGAAAGUUUAAGUCCUCAUUACAAGGAACAACACCUCCAACAAUUAGAUUAAGGUAAUUCCAUCAAGAACCCAUAUAAAAUGAGUCUUAAAAUUUACCAUUUUCUAACAAUCCCCCACUAAUCCAUACAGAAAUGCAUAUCAGAUUUUAUCAUGACUUGUUUUUCAGAGUAGGUACCCUUCCGGGUUUGAACCCUCCUAAGUCCUCUACUUCGAUGGCUACCGGAUAUAGAUGGAAUAUUUCACCUUGAAUCUUUAUCCGUUUGGUGUAACCACACUCCAUAGACGACGACAAGUCAAAGGCUAUGGUACAGAUCUACGGCUUUGAGACGUUAAUGGUCGUGUCUCGAUCCUGUUCGACAAAUGUUUCAAGGAAUAACCCAUUCCUCUAAUUGCGACCACACAAUUACAUUCGCUUAGCUGGGCAUCUCCAAAGAUGUACUGCUAACUUCUCGUCAAAUGACUUGACCCCAUUCAGAGUUUUAAAAACUCUUGCUAUACAUGCAGUAACAGUACCUUUUAAGGUUUCCAGGGGAUAGACUCAAAUACAUAAGUAUCUAGCUAUAUGUAGUAAAGGUACUACCGAUCCAUCCUUACAACUUGUUAUUACCCCAUUGAAUACACUUCAAGGGAUCUCCUCUCAGGUGUAUUGGGUUCCCGCUGUAGAUGAACCAUGAUGGGUUACCAGUCCCAUCCCCAACCUCGACUUAAGGACUACAGCAUGCUCAAGCCCCUUAGUCAACGGGUCAGCUAUAUUAUCCUGAGUUCCAAUGAACUCUAUAGCUAUAACCCUAUCAGAAACAAGACCCCUUAUAGACUUAAGUCUAACUUGGAUGUGUCUCUUUGUCUUAGCGUUAUACUUUACACUUCUGAUCUUGUCAAUAGUUGUACGGCUAUCACAAUGAACAGAAAUGGCAGGAAGCGGUUUGCUUACUACAGGUAACAUUGACAUCAGUCCAUGUAACCAUUCAGCCUCCGUCCCCGUGGCAUCCAAUGCACACAACUCAGCCUCAAAAGUAGACCGAGUAAUCAAAGUCUGUCUAGAAGACUUCCAGGACACAGCUCCACCCGCUAGGGUAAACACAUAUCCAGUCACUCCAUUGGAACCGGAUUUCUUAGCUAUCCAACUUGCAUCACUGUACCCCUCGAGUACCCCCGGAAAUCUCCGGUAAUGCAAGCCAAGAGAAAUAGUUCCCUUGAGAUAUCUAAGAACUCUAUCCAGAGCCUCCCAAUGAGUCUUGUUCGGACAGCUUGUAUAUCUAGCUAACUUAGACACAGAAUAAGAAAUAUCUGGUCUAGUCACGUUAGCAAGAUAUUGCAAACUACCAAUAAUCUGAGACUACCUUAACUGAGACACAGGUACACCUGAACUAUUCUUGACAAGGGCCACUUUAGGAUCAUAGGGACAAUUUGAAUAACCAUACUUCUCAAGUAUAGAUUUCUCUACAUAAUGAGGCUGUGACAAGGUUAUUCCAUCAGUUGACCGUGUUAACUUAAUCCCAAGAAUCAUACUAGCCUCACCCAUAUCCUUCAUCUCAAAGUGCCUUUUCAAGAAACUCUUUGUCUCGUUAAUAAUCGCAAUAUUGGUUCCAAACAACAAAAUAUCAUCAACAUAUAAGCAUACAAUCACACAUUCAUUUCCUAUAACCUUAUAGUAGACGCACUUAUCACUUUCAUUAACUAAAAACUCGAAUGCUAAAACAGUUUCAUCAAACUUUUUAUGCCAGUCGAUAGGUGCUUGUUUAAGGCCAUAGAUGGACUUGACUAGUUUACAUACUUUCCUCUCGUUACCAGAAGCAAUAAAUCCUUCAGGCUGAUCCAUGUAAAUCUCUUCUUCAAGGUCACCAUGAAGAAAAGCUGUCUUUACAUCCAUUUGAUGGAUGAUAAGACCAUGCACAGAAGCCAAUGCUAUAAGCAGUCGGAUUGUUGUCAUUCUAGCAACAGGAGAGUAUGUAUCAAAAUAGUCUAUACCUUCUCUUUGCCUAAAACCCUUAGCAACUAGCCUCGCCUUGUACUUAUCUAUUGAGCCAUCUGGGUUCAACUUCCUCUUGAAGAUCCACUUACAUCCUAUAGUAGAACAACCAGGAGAGAGAUCGACUAACUCCCAUGUUCCAUUAGAAACAAUAGAGUCCAUCUCACUCUUUACAGCGCCUUUCCAAUGCCUUGACUCCGAAGAGUCCAUGGCUUGACGGAAAGUUAAAGGUUCAUCCUCGACAUUGUAAGUGAGAAAGUCACUUCCAAAGUCCUUGACUACCUUUGCACGCUUACUCCUUCUAGGUUCCUCUACUUCGUUAGGAGUAGAGCUACUACUAGGAUUCGCCCCCACAUUUGUCAUCUUUUCCACAUGAUCGGGAAUAGAACUCGAUGUGAGAGUCGGAUCAUCCUCAGAAUUACCCUGAGGUAUACCAGUCUUCAUAGGGAACACGUCCUCAAAGAACGUUGCAUCACGAAACUCAACUAUCGUAUUAGCCACAAUGCCGUCUAUGUCAGAUUUUAUAACUAAAAAUCUCAUAGCGGUUGUGGUCUCUAGAUAGCCCAAAAAGAUACAAUCAACAGUCUUAGGCCCUAGUUUCUUUCUCUUGUGUUCAGGUACAAGUAUCUUUGCAAGGCACCCUCACACACGAAGAUAAUUCAAACUAGUUUUACGUUUUCUCCAUAAUUCAUAUGGUGUCUUAUCCAUGUGUUUCAAAGGGACCCUAUUCAGAAUAUGGCAAGCCGUAUUCAGAGCCUCUCCCCACAUGUAUUUAGGCAACCCCGAAUUAAUCAACAUGCUGUUAAUCAUAUCUUUAAAAGUUCUGUUCUUUCGCUCUGCCACCCCAUUAGACUCAGGUGUGUAUGGUGGAGUAACCUCAUGAACUAUACCAUUGCUUGCGCAAAAUUCAUUAAACAAGUUACUUGUAUACUCACCACCUCUAUCAGAUCUCAAACGUUUAAGUACUUUGCUCGUUUGUGUUUCAGCUUCAUUUUUAAACAUAAUGAAUUUUUCUAGUGCUUCAUCCUUAUGUUUAAGCAGAUAAACAUAACAAUAUCUACUAUAAUCAUCUAUAAAGGUAAUGAAAUAUCUAUAAUGAUCCAUAGUCAAAACACCACCAAAUUCACAUAUGUCUGUGUGCACUAAAUCUAACAAUUCAGAAUCCCUAACAACAUUAUGAAAAGGUUUCUUUGUUUGUUUAGCAGUCACACAUACUUGACACUUAGAUUUCUUAUCAAUGGAAUGCUUUGGAAUCAACUCUAAAUUCAUCAUAUUCUUUAGAGCACCAAAAUUUAAAUGACCAAGUCGUGAGUGCCAUAAAUCAGAUGAUUCAACACAAUUAACAGAAGGAACAUUAAUAAAACCACCCAAAACGGGUUCCACAUUUAUCACAAAUAAACCAUCCGACAAGUAACCCUUGUCAACAAAUGUACCAGUCUGAGUAAUCACAACUUUAUUACAUUUAAAAGAAAGUUCAAAGCCAUUUUUAACUAAAUAGCUUCCACUUAUAAUAUUUCUAUGAAUAGAAAGAACAUGAUGCACUCUAGUGAGGGUCAGAACACGCCCAGAAGCAAACUUCAGGUCCACAUUUCCAAUUCCUAGCACUUGAGCAGCACUUGCAUUCCCCAUCCUCACUGUCACUCCAUGACACUGUUGAUAAGAUACAAAGAGAGUAAUAUCAGCACAAAUAUGCACAUUAGCUCCUGUAUCAAUCAACCAUUCAUGAGACAGAUAAGCGGAAAACAGUUCAGGGUUGUAGGCAACAUACCCGUCAUUGGUUUCAGAGGCAACAAUCUCACCAACAACCAUGUUAUCCACAGGCCCACUCGUGGUUCCAAGCACAGUAUUAGCCUGAGCUACCACACCAGCUUUCUUAGCUUUCUUCAUGGGACAGUACUUGCUCCAAUGACCAACCUGUCCACAAGACCAACAUGGCUUGUUUGCCUUUGGUUUCUUAGCCUUGUUCUUGUCAUUCUUAGGUUUAUCCUUCUUAGUGACAGAUUUCCUUUUCUGUCCUACAGUUACUACGUUCACCUUUGAACUACUCCCAUGCUCAGCAGGCAUCACAUGUCCUUGUUUGGACUUGUGCUGCUCCUGCACAGAGAUGUCCAACAUCAGAUUAGUCCAAGUGAUCUCUCCUUUCUGUCUUUUCAGGGAGAGAGCAAAUUCUUCCCAAGACUUUGGGAGUUUUUCAAUCACGGACAUAACCUGAAACUUUUCAGGCAGGUCCAUUCCGGACUCCUUCAAAGCAUGCACCAACAUCUCAAAUUCAUGCACCUGUUCCGUCAUGGAUUUUCCAUCCACCAGCUUGAAAUCAAGAAACCUCGCCACACUAUACUUCUCAAGACCUUGAGAAUCAGUAUUGUGGGUUUGGUCCAGCUUCUCCCACAAAAGCUUAGCAGUAUAGGCAUCCGAUGAAUAUACAUCGAAUAGAGUGUUCGCUAACGCUGCCAAAAUAGCAGCCCUAGCCACCCCAUCCUUUUCAGCCCACAAAGCAUAAACCUUUGCAGAAUCAGCCUUCUCUUGAUCCACAACAGGAGGAUCAUACUGCACCACUGGCCAUAAGCCCUUAACCGUUAACCAGAGCUUCAUCUUUUUCUGCCAACGAGAAAAGGAAGCCCCCCCGUUGAAUUUAUUAGGCAUGCCCGAUAAAUCAAUAGGCUGAGGGAAACGGUACGUAGCCCAAUCAAUGGCAGCAAUACCACCAGAACCAGAACUAGAAGCACCAAGAACAGUCACAGGAGUUCCAGUUUCGUUAACCAUCUUGCUAAUAACUAUAUAACACAAAUUAUCGUUUCAAGAUUGUUGGAAAUAUUAAACUAUUAGCGCAACAAUGAGGCAGUUAUAUAUCAGGAAUUAACAAGAACAGGCAAGGCACCAAAUAACGAAACAAUACACGAAGGCAAAACAGAAAUAUAAUCAGUACCUUAAAUCGACAAGAAAAGACAGAAAUCACUUAGCUUGCGAAGCUUUAUCAAAUACUGAUCAAAAUCAGAAUAACAGCUGAGUCGCCUAGCCCUUGAAAAGCCUAGACUGUUCUUGAAACGAUAAUUGCCCCACUUACGCUGUGUUGGGUUGCAGCAAUAUCGCCUCCAGGAUAAAACAGCUCAGAUCAACUCGUUCACAGACACGCAAUUGAUCAACAGCGACCUGACCUCAGUUCGCCCAGAAAACCUAUGCAAUCUGUUCUGUAUGUAUUUUUGCAGAGAGAAAAUAGAGAAGAGUAGCAGCUAGGGUUUUUAUCUUUUUGUUAUCAGUAUCUCUCACAAAACGUUUUGAUUCUGUAUAUAAUACAAAAUAAAACGUAACUGAAGAUAUGGCAUUAAUUACAAUAAAUAUUCUGACUUCAAUUGUUUUAUUUUAAUUGAAUAUAUAUCAGUACAUUCACCACUCAGGGGCACGUACAUUCACCACUCAGGGGCACGUACAUUCAUAUUAAAAUAAUAUUAUAAGUCAGGAUUUAUUUAAUUAAAACAGCGGUAAAAUUCCUCGCCCAGGUCGCCUCGCGUACGCGAGACGCCGAGACAUUCGCCCUUCGACCCGACCCGAGUCGAGGCGUGGCGUGGCGGCGGCGGCGGGCGCGUGUGUGCGCGCGCGAGGCGCUCCCUACAACCUUGCACACCCACAUGCCUUGGUAGUUGAACACUACACUUGCACAUGUAUUAUAUAAAGCCACCAACCUCACUUUCCAAUAUCAAUGUGGGACUAACCCACAUACCAUAUUUUACCACUUUCAAGCUACUAACUUCAACUCAAUUUAUUUAUGGAUUACACUAAGAAAAUGUCUUAGAUCCAAACAUGAAAGUUUAAGUCCUCAUUAAAAGAACAACCUCCAACAAUUAGAUUAAGGUAAUUCCAUCAAGAACCCAUAUAAAAUGAGUCUUAAACUUACCAUUUUCUAACAAUCCCCCACUAAUCCAUACAGAAAUGCAUAUCAGAUUUUAUCAUGACUUGUUUUUCAGAGUAGGUACCCUUCCGGGUUUGAACCCUCCUAAGUCCUCUACUUCGAUGGCUGGAUAUAGAUGGAAUAUUUAACCUUGAAUCUUUAUCCGUUUGGUGUAACCACACUCCAUAGACGACGACAAGUCAAAGGCUAUGGUACAGAUCUACGGCUUUGAGACGUUAAUGGUCGUGUCUCGAUCCUGUUCGACGAAUGUUUCAAGGAAUAACCCAUUCCUCUAAUUGCGACCACACAAUUACAUUCGCUUAGCUGGGCAUCUCCAAAGAUGUACUGCUAACAUCUCGUCAAAUGACUUGACCCCAUUCAGAGUUUUAAAAACUCUUGCUAUACAUGCAGUAACAGUACCUUUUAAGGUUUCCAGGGGAUAGACUCAGAUACAUAAGUAUCUAGCUAUAUGUAGUAAAGGUACUACCGAUCCAUCCUUACAACUUCUUAUUACCCCAUUGAAUACACUUUGAGGGAUCUCCUCUCAGGUGUAUUGGGUUCCCGCUGUAGAUGAACCAUGAUGGGUUACUAGUCCCAUCCCCAACCUCGACUUAAGGACUACAGCAUGCUCAAGCCCCUUAGUCAACGGGUCAGCUAUAUUAUCCUGAGUUCCAAUGAACUCUAUAGCUAUAACCCUAUCAUAAACAAGACCCCUUAUAGACUUAAGUCUAACUUGGAUGUGUCUCUUUGUCUUAGCGUUAUACUUUACACUUCUGAUCUUGUCAAUAGUUGUACGGCUAUCACAAUGAACAGAAAUGGCAGGAAGCGGUUUGCUUACUACAGGUAACAUUGACAUCAGUCCAUGUAACCAUUCAGCCUCCGUCCCCGUGGCAUCCAAUGCACACAACUCAGCCUCAAAAGUAGACCGAGUAAUCAAAGUCUGUCUAGAAGACUUCCAGGACACAGCUCCACCCGCUAGGGUAAACACAUAUCCAGUCACUCCAUUGGAACCGGAUUUCUUAGCUAUCCAACUUGCAUCACUGUACCCCUCGAGUACCCAUAGAAAUCUCCGAUAAUGCAAGCCAAGAGAAAUAGUUCCCUUGAGAUAUCUAAGAACUCUAUCCAGAGCCUCCCAAUGAGUCUUGUUCGGACAGCUUGUAUAUCUAGCUAACUUAGACACAGAAUAAGAAAUAUCUGGUCUAGUCACGUUAGCAAGAUAUUGCAAACUACCAAUAAUCUGAGAAUACCUUAACUGAGACACAGGUACACCUGAACUAUUCUUGACAAGGGCCACUUUAGGAUCAUAGGGUGUACUUGCGAUUCUAUAAUUUGAGUAACCAUACUUCUCAAGUAUAGAUUUCUCUAUAUAAUGAGGCUGUGACAAGGUUAUUCCAUCAGUUGACCGUGUUAACUUGAUCCCAAGAAUCAUACUAGCCUCACCCAUAUCCUUCAUCUCAAAGUGCCUUUUCAAGAAACUCUUUGUCUCGUUAAUAAUCGCAAUAUUGGUUCCAAACAACAAAAUAUCAUCAACAUAUAGGCAUACAAUCACACAUUCACUUCCUCUAACCUUAUAGUAGACACACUUAUCACUUUCAUUAACUAAAAACUCGAAUGCUAAAACAGUUUCAUCAAACUUUUUAUGCCAGUCGAUAGGUGCUUGUUUAAGGCCAUAGAUGGACUUGACUAGUUUACAUACUUUCCUCUCGUUACCGGAAGCAAUAAAUCCUUCAGGCUGAUCCAUGUAAAUCUCUUCUUCAAGGUCACCAUGAAGAAAAGCAGUCUUUACAUCCAUUUGAUGGACGAUAAGACCAUGCACAGAAGCCAAUGCUAUAAGCAUUCGGAUGGUUGUCAUUCUAGCAACAGGAGAGUAUGUAUCAAAAUAGUCUAUACCUUCUCUUUGCCUAAAACCCUUAGCAACUAGCCUCGCCUUGUACUUAUCUAUUGAGCCAUCCGGGUUCAACUUCCUCUUGAAGAUCCACUUACAUCCUAUAGUAGAACACCCAGGAGGGAGAUCGACUAACUCCCAUGUUCCAUUAGAAACAAUAGAGUCCAUCUCACUCUUUACAGCGCCUUUCCAAUGCCUUGACUCCGAAGAGUCCAUGGCUUGACGGAAAGUUAAAGGUUCAUCCUCGACAUUGUAAGUGAGAAAGUCACUUCCAAAGUCCUUGACUACCUUUGCACGCUUACUCCUUCUAGGUUCCUCUACUUCGUUAGGAGUAGAGCUACUACUAGGAUUCGCCCCCACAUUUGUCAUCUUUUCCACAUGAUCGGGAAUAGAACUCGAUGUGAGAGUCGGAUCAUCCUCAGAAUUACCCUGAGGUAUACCAGUCUUCAUAGAGAACACGUCCUCAAAGAACGUUGCAUCACGAAACUCAACUAUCGUAUUAGCCACAAUGCCGUCUAUGUCAGAUUUUAAAACUACAAAUCUCAUAGUGGUUGUGGUCUCUAGAUAGCCCAAAAAGAUAUAAUCAACAGUCUUAGGCCCUAGUUUCUUUCUCUUGUGUUCAGGUACAAGUACCUUUGCAAGGCACCCCCACACACGAAGAUAAUUCAAACUAGUUUUACGUUUUCUCCAUAAUUCAUAUGGUGUCUUAUCCAUGUGUUUCAAAGGGACCCUAUUCAAAAUAUGGCAAGUCGUAUUCAGAGCCUCUCCCCACAUGUAUUUAGGCAACCCCGAAUUAAUCAACAUGCUGUUAAUCAACAUGCUGUUAGAAAAUUUACCAUUUUCUAAUGGAUUUUACACCAAUUCACAUUUUUGUGGCUGUACUUUAAAAAUAGCAAAAAUGUAGCCAAAAUUCUUCUCUGCCUUUCAAAAAUGUGGCUGCCGUCAAGUCCACUCUAACAAAUUUAACGGACGGUGGGAUAUUUCUGUUUUUUUUUAAUUUUCUGCAACGAUCAAAACAGUAUCAUCAGAACUCAAAUACUGAACAACCAAAGCAAGUUGGUGCAUAAUUUCAUCAUUCAAUCAACAUAUUUCUUGUUGAGUAACUUCGAUUCAUAAAUAAUAAAAUCAGACACUCUAUCUGAAAAGUCACUGCACAACCAACAAACCCCAAUCUUUUUGCGUGAAUUUAUAAAUACACACAUAAUACAUACAAUCACGGCGGCGACGGCGAUAAUGAGCCAGCACGGUCUCGUUGAAAGCCUCUCGCACAUUCACAUCACUGUACUCUCUUCUUUUCUCACCCUCUAAUUUCACUUUGAUUAACUGUAUAUACAACUAUGUGUUUUUCCUGUGUGUAUAUACGUUUGUAGGUUGGUAAAACUAUCAUCUUCAUUUGAUAAGGUUGUGAUUGAGGCCUAAUUAUCGAGCUAUAGAGGUUCUGAAUGUUGGAAUUUGUUCGUGAUUACCGUAACUCAGCAUGUUCGUGAUUACUGUAACUCAGCAUUUUAGUUUUUUAUUCUAAAUUUCUUUUUAUCUCAUAAAUACCCCUCCUAUUAGAUCCGUUAGUGUGGACUUGACAGCAGCCAUAUUUUUUCUAUUUUUAAAAUUCAGCCACAAAAAUACGAAUUGGUGUAAAAUGUAGCCACACCCUUGAAUUUUGCUUAUUUAAAAAUAAUAAUCAUACUAAUCAUUUUUACUCCAGGAAGAGCCAAUUUGACCUGACCUUGAAUAAAGAGUAAACCUCAAGGGUGUGGCUGAAGUUUACACCGAUUUUCAAGUUUGUGGCCGAAUUUUAAAAAUUACAAAAGCGUGGUUGGAGUUCGCCUCCGCCUUUUAAAACUAUGGCUUCCGUUAAAUGCCCUCUAACGGAGCUAACGGAAUUGAGGGUAUUUUUGGAUUUUUCGAAAUUCUUCUCUUCUCCCCUUUAUUUUCUCAACCGAUGCGCCGCUGUCCUCUCUUCCCCUUCUAAACUUCUCAUUUCUCUCUUUUUCCUCCCUCUCCACAAGUAGUUACUGCAACUACACAUCUCGAAAUUCAAACUCUCUGAAAAUCAACAGGAGAUACAUAAAUAUUAACAUAGAAAGUGAUUAGCAAUUCGCAGACAUAUAUACAAGUAAAUAAAAAAAGAGAAUGAGAGAGAGAGGGAGAGGGAGGGAGGGAGAGAGAUGACCUGUAUUCCCAAGUUUGAAAGCCAGAUUUGUAAAUAAGAAAGUGAAGCGGCUCCCAGCAAUUGAAGACUUCAUCGGAAUCGUGAAUGAUAUUGGUAGUAGCGCUCAUAUAUCUAAGCAUGCCUAGGGCAAGUACAGGUAACAGAAACCCUAGCCCCUUGUCCUCCUCGCCGUCAUAAACUCUCCCUGGGUCAUCUAGGCUAAACUCCGGCACCGCCACCACCAUCGAAUUCACCCUUCACCACUCUAUUCUUGCCAUCGUGUUCACGGUCUCCAACCCCGACUCCCUGCUCAGCCCCCUUCCUUGUAUCUUUCUCACGCAGCAGUGACGCUACAACACAACCGGUGGUUGUUCACGGCAAACACCUCUGCAACCCACCAUACCAACGACCACUUGAUAGCCCUCAAUCUCAUCUCAAAUUCAAGCGUGGAUUUUGAAUCCCAAUCGCCAACCCUAGUUCUCGAUCCUCCGUUUUUCACCGCCGCUCGUGCCGCCCCCUUUGUUUCUUCCUCUUUUCCCCAAACAAUUUUAUUUAUAUAUUUUUACAUAUCCACCCCUUUAUUUAUUUAAUUUUAAGUGAGUUAACGGCUAAAAUCUAACGGACUUAACGGCAGCCAAAGUUUUAAAAGACGGAGGCGAACUCGAGCCACGCUUUUGUAAUUUUUAAAAUUCAGCCACAAACUUGCAAAUCAGUGUAAAUUUCAGCCACACCCUAGAAAUUUACUCUUGAAUAAAUUCAGUUGUAUGAAUGCAUCGAUCACAAAUUACAAUUAUAUUACAUGAAAAUACAACUAUCACGUCUCACAACUAGGGCUGUAAAUGAGUUGAUACGCUCGAUAACCGCUCGGUGUUCGGUACACUAGAGUUCGACUCGAUAGUUCACGAGCCAAGUUCACGAACUCAUAAACAUGGCUCGUGGAUGUGGGAGUUUCAUUAAUGAAUGAUUUGUUCUGAAUUUAUGAUUUCUUAUAGAAUAAAUUAAAAUAUUGUUGGGAUUUUAAUUUAUUUUUUUUUAAUUAGAUUAAAUAACAAACAAGCUCGUAAAUAAAUUUACGAGUAUAAGCUAGCUCGUUAGCAAAGUUUAUUGAACAAGCUCGUGAACAAAAUUAAUGAACGGUUGGUAAGCAAAAAUUCGUGGGAUAUGUCCGUGAGCGUAAGUUAAUGAGCGGUUCGUGAGCAAAAGCUCAUGAGACAAGCUCGUGAGACAUGUUCGCAAGCGGUUCGCGAGCCGUCCGUGAACAUAGUUAUUCCUUAAUGAGUCGAUACUCAAACAAUAUUUUUGGCUCGAUCCAAGCUCGAGCACGAGUUCGCUAAUUUUUUAACAAACGAUACACGAGCACUCUAGAGUUCGGCUCGGCUCGGCUCAUUUACACCCCUACUCACAACCUGCAAGUUGUCUUAACUUAAACUAAGAAGGUGUUUUGUAGUGACUGGAAUAAAAUGAAAUUCGUAAUCUGAAAUGAGGUGAUUAAACAAAGUGUUUAAAAUUUUAACUUUACUAAUUGUUUCAUUCAAAAUUAUUGAAUUUUAAAUUUAACCGAAUGUUUUGAAAAAAAUUAGUCAUUUCACUUGUUUUUCAUGUUUCUCUCAUGUUUCUAUGCGGUCUAUAUUAUAAAUAGAGUUGGGCUCUGUGGAGACUCAAUUUUAUUGGAGACUUGGAGACCACAUCUCUCACCACUAAUUUAUAUAUCUAUUCAAUGGACACGAUUAAAGAUACAGUAAUUUGCUUUUAUAUCAAUGAUCACAUCACGUGCAUUUAAUAUACGUAUUUAUAGUCAACAUUAUCAUCAAGGGGAAAGCAGUAAACUAAAUUACGAGAGAAGGGAAGAUGAGAAAUAUAUAUCACGGAUAUCCAAAAUCCCGCGCUUCCGUCAACACAAUGAAAAAUUGUAAGUUAUUACAAACUUAUUAAACAAUAAAGUAAAAGAGAAAUAAAAUGAGAAGAUGAUUAUGGAACAUAUUUAUACUCCCGAUGAGUGCAGGAUGAAGUUAAAAUUAGAUGAGAAGAGUGAAUAACAUCAAUUUGGGAGACAAUGUGAAUUUAAAUUAGGAGGGGAAAAAAUACAGGACAACCAAAGGCAAAUUAGAAGGUGGACAGGACAACCACAACUAAAUUAGAAGGUGGAAGAAUAGAAUUUUGCAUUCAACAAAAAGGUUGCAGAACAAAGAGAUGAUACAGUGUUUGUUUGUGGAACAUAUAUAUAGUUUCAAUUGGUGCAAGAUGGAGAUAAAAUUAGAUGAGAAGGGUGAACAAUAUUAUAAUGGGAGACAAUAUGAAUUUAAUUCAGGAGACAAGAUAAAAAAUGCAGGACAACGAGGACAACGAGUUUCUAGAGAAGAUAAUAUUAAUUUUGAAUUAUCUAAAAAGAGGGAUGAUAGACAAGCAGUGCGGCUAACUUAACUGGCAAUUCACAACAAGGUAGAAGGAUAACAUUUUAAAUUCAACAGAAAAGUUGCAGAACAAAGAGAUGGUAUAAUAUUCUAACAAACAAAAGACGUAGUUAUACGAUUUCUAUGAUAAGAAAACUGGUCAAUGCAUGAUGAUCAUCUGUUUCGAAAUCCUGUAAUAUUUUUGGUACUAAUUGCCACCAUUAGAUAUGCCAUAUAUACAUUUUGUUGUAUUUAAUUGAAUGUUAUUAAAAUAAUUAUUGUUUUGAUUGUAGACCGCUAGAUUAAAGAUUGUUGGACGGUUUAGAUGAUGGUCUCCAAUACUCCAAAAAAAGAGUACUCCAAGGAACUUUACUCAUUAUAAAUAAUUUAAAUUUAUUCAUACUUAAUCACUACUUUUUUCAUUCCUUCUUUUUUAUAUAAUUUUUUUAGUUCAUGCUCUCCGCGUUACAUUGUGAACACAACUUAAUUGUUAUGUCGUAAUGUCGACCUAUUCUUUUUUGAAAAAUCUGAUUAAAUAAUUAACUAGAAUUAAUUAUUAAUUAACAAAAUUUAAUCAAUCAAUUAAUACAUAAUUUAAUUGACCAACUAAAAUAAUUAAUUAAUAAUUUAAAUUAAUAAAAUAAAAAAUUAGCAUUUGUUUUUGAAUUUAUAAAACAUGAAAAGUAUUUUUGAAAUUAAAACAAAUAAUCAAACAUCAAUUCUUUUUUUUUUUUGAAACAAAGGUGUUAAUCUAAUAAUAGAAAGUCAUACGGCAUCUACACCAAUGAUCGAGUCGAACAAACUGGAAAUUGCAAUCGCCUGUUCUCAUGGAGAGACAGUUAAACGAUAUUUUGAAGAUAAAGCAUAUACAAAUACAAAUACCCGCUUCAUGCAUCCUGGUUGAAUCACCGAUACCCUCUUCAUCAUGCCCUAAUAGAGCUAUCGUUUGAGCUAUCGACCAGAAUUGCGAUUUCAUACAAACUUUCAUCAUCAAAUCAACACACCCGCUUACAAUGAAGAAGCGAAAACAAAACUCUCACAAGGGAGAGAAAACAAUCUAGAUCUGGAGCGAAACAACAAAAACAAGAGAAAUCAGACUGAAAAUCCACCCGAUUGAAACAGAUAGGAAAGACGACGAAAUCUCCGAUGGUUUUAGAUCUAAGAAUCUUCCCGAGAAUAGAUCUGGAACAGAACCACAAAAACAAGAGAAAUCGGACUAAAAACCCACCCACUUGGAAGAGAGACAGCAAAAUCUCCGAUGGUUUUAGAUCUAAGUUUUCGGAGAAGAAGUAUUAUUCGAAAACUAGGAAGAAAACAAAGUAAUUAACUGAUUUGGGGCUUUCCACCGGUGAAAACCGAUGGAAGCCCCAGGCGGCUACGACAAAAGAGAGGCUAGACUAUAAAGAGAAUUAGGGUGAUGAUAUUGACGUGGGUAAUGUCAGAGACAAAAAUGCAAAUAUUACUCCAAUCAAAUAUCAAUUUUAAAAAUUAAAUUGAAAAGAUUUAAAUUGUAAGAUUGUAAAAGUAUUAACGGAGGGUACAUGUUCUUUACGUUAUUUUUUUCCCGUGUUUUGAGACUCUAAUAAAAUGUAGUUUCAUAAUAUAUUUUUUAAUUUUAUUUCUCUUGGAAAAAUAUUGACGUUUAAACUUUUAUUCAAUAUAUAAAAAAACCUUAUAGAACUUUACUCAAUGGGACCGAGGAAGUAAGAUACAGGGUAUCAAUGGCCCUGUUUGGGCAACGGAAGUUGCUCCUGAAAUUAAACACCUAGAGGGGGGGUGAAUAGGUGUUAUGGCUAAUAUGACCGAUUUUUAAUGUUACCGAAUAUUUAUACUGUCACAGACAGCUUGCUGUUAAUUUCAGAGUAAACAGUCAGCUAGCUAACAAUGCAGAUGCAAUGCAAAACAGAUAUAAUCAGUAAGCUAGCAACACAGAGAAUUUUAGCCAGGUUCGACCCCUAACCCUAAUGGUCUACGUCCUGGUCCCCUACCAACUGGUAAGAGAUUAUAUUAUUAAUCAAUAAUGUUAACGAUUACAAUGAUUCAAUAAUAUAACUCCCUUUAUCCCUUGUUCCUGUUAUCAGCUUGCUGAAACCCCUGAACCACGAACCAAAAGCUCUCCAAGACCUAUACUUCCCAAGUAUACUCUUCUAGCUAACUAGUCCCCUUGUUCCCUUGUUUCACAAGCUCGAUACACAGCAACAAACCUUUACACUUUGAACAAUACAAUGUAUGAGUGUAAUACAACCGAAACUAUGAACUCAAUAUAGAUAUAUAAUCAAAUAUAAGUACUAGAGCUCAAGUAAAGAUUUUGCAAUGUAAGUGUGUUGUAUUUCAGAAGCUUGAAGUGUGUUCUUGUUUUCUACCAAAACGGAAACCACACUCAAGUUUAUAUACCAUCAUUCCAAACGGUCAUAACUCAACAAACUAUCCAACGUUCUUGGCCCAACAACCUCACGUUUAAUUUGCUUGAAUAAUGAACGUUUGAACGAUGUAUUUUUACUGAGUAAAAGCAUAAAGACGUUUGAAACAACUCAGUAAACGUUUGUUUAUAAAACAAAACAGUUUGAAUAGAAGUAGGAGUCUAAAAGGAUAAACAAGGUUUGAAAUCAACUCCUAUAUUUUAGGAAAACGAUUUUGAAUAAAACUCUUUGAUAAAAGAUGAGCUCUAAUAUUUAUAUACUGUAUAUAUAUGUAUUAGAGUCCUCACAAAACGUUCCCUAACAAAUCUCCUUGAAAAUAGGACUUGAUCUUUAUCCGAUAAGCAUCCUGUCAGUACGCUGUGAGCUUGCUGAUAGUCUGUCAAUAUUCCUGUAAGCUUGCUGACAGAACAAUGAUAACUUCAAAAGACAUUAGCUGUUAGCACAGUUAUAAUCUAGUUCUCAGCUAGCUACCAGAGUACAGUUUUAUGUUAUCAAGUUGCUGUUAGUGUGAUCAUCAAAAUCUCGAGAGUAUCAAUCUCCCCCUUUUUGAUGAUUACACUAUAUUUAGGAAAGUAAUAAUACUCCCCCUGAAUAUAGCAAUCUUAUAACAUUAAACUAUACAACAAAUAUAACAUUCACAACACAAACCAAGUUCCUAAAUUUUCUCCCCCUUAAUCAUCAAAAGGGUAGAAAAUCAAGCAUCGUCAUCGAGAUCACAAAAAUUAUCCAAAUCAGCACAUAAUNNNNNNNNNNNNNNNNNNNNNNNNNNNNNNNNNNNNNNNAAUUUAUGAAGUAAAAUUAACACGAAACUCUUGAAAUGACCAGCAUGCAAAAAUAAUUAACAAUAUGUAAAGUACAGAGAGUAAGCUGAUAGUACCCGGACCAAGCUUAUUAGCUUGCUGACUGCACAUCACACAUACCCAAUUCCCUUCUCAGCACAACAUAUCUUUGUUCAGGAAGAGGUUUUGUGAAAAUGUCAGCUAGCUGAUCUGCUGUAGCCACAAAAAUCAGCUUGACAGCACCUUUUGCAACAUUGUCUCUCAGAAAAUGAUGUCGAACAUCAAUAUGCUUUGUCCUUGAAUGAUUGACUGGAUUUUCUGAAAUGUUGAUUGUACUUGUGUUGUCACAAAAGAUAGGAGUUUGCUUGCAUUUGAUUCCAAAGUCCUUCAAUUGUUGUCUCAUCCAUAGCAUUUGAGAGCAACAGCUACCAGCUGCUAAAUACUCCCCCUCAGCCGUAAAUAGAGCAACUGAAGUUUGCUUCUUGCUUAACCAAGAAACUAAGCUUUGACCCAAAAAUGCACAAACACCACUUGUACUUUUUCUAUCAGUUUGACUACCUGCAUAAUCUGCAUCACUAUAUCCAACAAGAUCAAAAGCAUUUGUGAUAGGAUAGAAUAAACCCAAACUAAUGGUUCCACUUAAAUAUUUAAAUAUUCUUUUAACAGCUUGUAAGUGAGAAUCCUUUGGUUUUGCUUGAAAUCUAGCACAAACACAAACACUAUACAUAAUAUCAGGUCUAGAGGCUGUAAGAUAAAGUAAACUACCAAUCAUACCUCUAUACAUUCGAAUAUCAACAUCUUUACCAUUUUCAUCUGCUGUCAGCUUGCUGACAACGCUCAUUGGUGUUGAUUUCGCCUUGAUAUUCUCAUAUCCAAAUCUUUUGAGUAGAUUCCUGAUAUACUUAGAUUGAUGCACAUAAAUUCCUUCUGGAGUUUGCUUAAUUUGGAGCCCCAAGAAAUAAUUGAGCUCUCCCAUCAUGCUCAUGUCAAACUCACUAUGCAUGCACUUUGAAAACCACUUACACAAAGAAUCAUUAGUAGAUCCAAAUAUAAUAUCAUCCACAUAUAUUUGAACAACUAAUAUAUCUUGACCUUUAAAGAUAGUAAACAAAGUAGGAUCAAUUUUACCUCUAAUGAAACCAUUUUUGAUCAAAAAUUCACUUAACCUUUCAUACCAUGAUCGAGGUGCUUGCCUUAAUCCAUAUAGUGCCUUCUUGAGCUUGUAGACACGGUUGGGAUAUUUUUCAUCCUCGAAUCCUGGUGGUUGCUUGACAUAGACUUCUUCCUUUAGAUAUCCAUUUAAGAAUGCACUUUUGACGUCCAUUUGAUGUAGCUUGAACUUCUUGUAGCAUGCAAAUGAUAAUAGCAUCCUAAUAGAUUCCAAUCUUGCAACCGGAGCAUAUGUUUGAUCAAAAUCAAUUCCUUCUUGCUGAUUGUAUCCUUGUGCAACAAGUCUAGCUUUAUUCCGAGUGAUAGUACCAAAUUCAUCAACUUUAUUCUUGAAUACCCAUUUGGUUCCAACAAUUGAAGCAUCCUCUGGUAGAUUUACAAGUUCCCAAACAUCACAUCUUUCGAAUUGGUUGAGUUCUUCUUGCAUUGCCAUGAUCCAAUUUUCAUCUUGUAAAGCUUCUUGAACAUUCUUUGGUUCCUCUUGAGCUAUGAAGGCAGCAUAAGCACAAAUGUUGGCUUGAGCUUUCCUUGUCUUGAUUCCAGCUGAUUUAUCUCCAAUGAUCAACUGAGGAGGAUGAUUCUUCACUGUUCUAGUUGAUUUUGGUAGAUUAUGUUGAGCUAUGACCUCUUCAUUCCUUGUAGUCUGCCUAGGAGGAGUCUGAUCAACAACAUUUUGGCUUGCUGAUGAAGUUUGACCUCUGGAUUCGUCCAAUGUGAGCUUUGACAUCUUAUCCAAAGUUUCUUCAAGAGAUGGAGUGGAUUCAGUAGCUUUAUUGCCUUCUGAAGUUGUGGCAGUUGACUUGUCAGCUUGCUGAUUUCCAGUUUCCUUCACUGUCAGCUUGCUGCUAGUACCUGUACCUGCACAUUCUUCCUCAUCCCUUGCAAGAUCAUCAGUAGACUCUUGAAAUGAAACAUCAAUAGACUCUUCAACAGUAUGUUUAGCAAGAUUAUACACUCUAUAAGCACGACUUGUUAAAGAAUAGCCCAAAAAUAUAGCUUCAUAAGAUUUAGAAUCGAAUUUACCAUCCCUAUCAAUGGUUUUGAGUACGAAGCACUUAGAUCCAAAAACCUUGAAAUAGCUGAUAUUAGGCUUCUUUUUCCUUAGCAAUUCAUAAGGAGUCUUGUUGAGAAUUGGCCUGAUAAGCACUCUGUUAAGAACAUAGCUUGCUGUGUUGACAGCUUCUGCCCAAAAGCUUCUUGGCAGCUUGCUCUCCUGCAGCAAUGUCCUAGCUGUUUCUUGUAAGGACCUGUUCUUACGCUCUACAACUCCAUUUUGCUGAGGUGUACGAGGUGCUGAGAACUCAUGUGAGAUUCCUCUUUCUUCACAAUAAGUAAUGAAGUCCUUUUGAAAUUCCCCACCAUGAUCACUUCGAAUACCAUUUUCUUUGCCUUAUGUGGAGUCCUUGUUUGCUUUCCCAAUUGACAAGCAGAACAUGUCUCCAUCUUGACAUACUUAAGCUUUGGUAAUCCUUGAACAAGCUUCUUUGCUGACAGCUUGCUGAGAUGAUCCAUAUGAGCAUGUCCAAGCCUUCUAUGCCAAAUUUCUGGAUUAUUAUCCACAGCUGCUAAACAAACGCCUGCCUCCUGUUCUUCAAAGUUCAAAACAUAUAUAUUUCCUUCUCGUUUUGCAACUAGAGGAGUUUUGUUAGCACCAACAAGUAUAGUACAUUCAUCCUUACCAAAGUUAACAAUAUGACCAUCAUCAAAUAACUGACUUAUACUAAGCAAGUUAUAAGUAAGACCUUUAACAUAUUGUACCUUGUUGAUAGAAAUGAUACUAUUACCUAUAGUUCCUUUGCCAAGAAUAGGAAGAGUUUUGCUAUCACCAAUUGUGACACGUCCACCCUUCUUCAUCUUCAAGCUUAGAAACUGUGAUUUGUCUCCACUCAUGUGCCUAGUGCAUCCACUAUCCAAUAUCCAUUGAUUUGGCUUUACUUUAGACACGAGACAAACCUACAAAACAAACACAAAACACUCAACUCAGCAAAUAUAGCCAGGUGAUCCAUAGUAUCAAUGCUGAGAGCUGACUCCAAUGCUGUGACCUUGGCACCAUAUUCGAAUGGAACAGCAUUUAGAAUAUUCAUGUUGAUUUCCGAUUGAGGAAUCUUUUUGCCAAGUCUUUCAAGACUGUUGAGAGUGACUUGGAAUCUAGCUUGGCUUUCUCGAAUGGAUUCUCCCUUCUUGAUAGCAAAGCUUCCAAAUUCUUUCAUAAGCUUCCCGAGCUUGACUUUCUUUAAUGCCUUUGAGCCUUCGUGAUAUGUCUCCAAUGCAUCCCAAAUUUCUUUUGCAGAUUUGAGAGAAGAGACCUUGUCAUAUUCAGCUUGAUUCAGCCCAUUGAUUAAUGUACUCCUUGCUUUUCCAUUGGCAGCAACCUUUGAUAGCUCGUCCGCUGUGAGAACAUCAACGUCCUUGACUUUGCCAUCGCUAUCAAGAUAUUCAUAAGGACCUCUUUGCACAACUCUUUGCAUUAGGGGAUCUCUGGAUAGAUGAGCCUCCAUUUGGCCUUUCCACCAAUUGUAGUUGUCAGAACCCGUGAGGAGAGGAGCUCUAAAAUCGGACUUUCCCUGAAAGUUAUCAGCCAUAUCGAUCGAUACUAUUCCUGUUACAGAAGUAUUAGUACAAACACAGCUCUGAUACCAAUUGAAAUUACACACCUAGAGGGGGGGUGAAUAGGUGUUAUGGCUAAUAUGACCGAUUUUUAAUGUUACCGAAUAGUUAUACUGUCACAGACAGCUUGCUGUUAAUUUCAGAGUAAACAGUCAGCUAGCUAACAAUGCAGAUGCAAUGCAAAACAGAUAUAAUCAGUAAGCUAGCAACACAGAGAAUUUUAGCCAGGUUCGACCCCUAACCCUAAUGGUCUACGUCCUGGUCCCCUACCAACUGGUAAGAGAUUAUAUUAUUAAUCAAUAAUGUUAACGAUUACAAUGAUUCAAUAAUAUAACUCCCUUUAUCCCUUGUUCCUGUUAUCAGCUUGCUGAAACCCCUGAACCACGAACCAAAAGCUCUCCAAGACCUAUACUUCCCAAGUAUACUCUUCUAGCUAACUAGUCCCCUUGUUCCCUUGUUUCACAAGCUCGAUACACAGCAACAAACCUUUACACUUUGAACAAUACAAUGUAUGAGUGUAAUACAACCGAAACUAUGAACUCAAUAUAGAUAUAUAAUCAAAUAUAAGUACUAGAGCUCAAGUAAAGAUUUUGCAAUGUAAGUGUGUUGUAUUUCAGAAGCUUGAAGUGUGUUCUUGUUGCUCUACCAAAACGGAAACCACACUCAAGUUUAUAUACCAUCAUUCCAAACGGUCAUAACUCAACAAACUAUCCAACGUUCUUGGCCCAACAACCUCACGUUUAAUUUGCUUGAAUAAUGAACGUUUGAACGAUGUAUUUUUACUGAGUAAAAGCAUAAAGACGUUUGAAACAACUCAGUAAACGUUUGUUUAUAAAACAAAACAGUUUGAAUAGAAGUAGGAGUCUAAAAGGAUAAACAAGGUUUGAAAUCAACUCCUAUAUUUUAGGAAAACGAUUUUGAAUAAAACUCUUUGAUAAAAGAUGAGCUCUAAUAUUUAUAUACUGUAUAUAUAUGUAUUAGAGUCCUCACAAAACGUUCCCUAACAAAUCUCCUUGAAAAUAGGACUUGAUCUUUAUCCGAUAAGCAUCCUGUCAGUACGCUGUGAGCUUGCUGAUAGUCUGUCAAUAUUCCUGUAAGCUUGCUGACAGAACAAUGAUAACUUCAAAAGACAUUAGCUGUUAGCACAGUUAUAAUCUAGUUCUCAGCUAGCUACCAGAGUACAGUUUUAUGUUAUCAAGUUGCUGUUAGUGUGAUCAUCAAAAUCUCGAGAGUAUCAGCUCCAACUUUUUACUUGAGUUUUUCUUAACCUGUUUGUAUAAAAAAGUAAGAAGUACUUAAGCCAGGUGAUAAAGAAGUUAGAAGUAGAAAAUACCAACUUUUCUUUACAACUUAUACUUUUUUUCCAAACACUUUAAGUACUCAUAAUUAUUAAUUUGCUUCUCAAUUCUACUUCACUUGUUUACUUUAAUCAAGAAGUCAUUAAUUUUAAAUUAACCCAAACGGUCCCAAAAAUUGAUGGGCAAUGCUUGGUACCAAAAAUUAUUUUCUCAAAAGGAAAAUGUUAGGUACCCCAAAAUAUUAUCCCAAAUAUUUUUCCCAAAUGAUGUGUCGAAGUUUGAUUGGCUAUUUACUUCGAUAAUAAUGAGACUCCCCGUGUAUAUGCAUCAAUCACCCAGUUACAAUGUUCCACUUGUCUGACACAUUAUUCGUUAAAAAAUUUUGGGGAAAGUUUUUGAGGUAUGUAGCAUUACCUUUCCCAAAAAAAUUCCCAAAUAGCUGAUGGAGGGUCUAUAUGUAUUUAAUGGCUCGAUAAGAUAAAAUGUGAAAUUUGUGAAAUUUUUAGAAAAACUUUUGAGUACAUGGCAUUUUCCAUGGUUUGACAUGUAGGGUAUAAAUAAUGGACUCCAUUAUUUUAUUGUCACUCUGCAAACAUAUUUGCCUGUCCGGGAGUAUUCAUCACUACUCAGUAUUUACAGUGAAGUGGCUAGGCACACUUUAAUGCAAAGGUUACAUGAUUAAGGUACGUACGAGCACGAGGAGUGUCUGUCAACAAUGUAACCAAUUGUAUCAACCACUUCUUAUAUGUUGUAGUGUAGCAUUUCAAUGUAGGUCCUUACGCGGGGACUUCAUGUAAAUUGGUUGUUGGGUUUACCAUCGAUAAUGCAUUUACAAUUUUAAAAUUCUUAACGAAACAAAGGUUAAAUUUGCCACAAGCAAUGAGUUAACUACUUCGGUAGGAUGUAUAAAAAGAGAUUUCAAACUUGAGGCUAUAAUACUUUUCCAAUUUCUUUUAUUACAUUUGUCAACACAUAUUUUUUAUUGUUAAUAUUUUUGAUUUUAUAUUAGUAUUAAAUAUAAAAAUUUCAUUAUAGAUUAACAUCUGCGAGGGCCUCAGCCUUAUGAUACUAAAACUGCCACGGCCGAAACUAUUAAAAUCUUCCACUCCACUCAUCUUGUUUUUCAUAUGAACACAGGCCAGACAAGAAUGGGCUUCCAAUCCAAUGUACAAAUAACACAUUCUAAAACGGAGUGGACACUUUACAUAUUGCUAACUUCACAUGUGUCAAUUUUAUAACAAAUGGGCUGCGGUGAAUUUUGAUAUUUUCUGCCACACUACUUGUCUGCUUUCGCCAGUUUUACCUCAGAAUAUCAGAUGAAUACGCGUAUUUAAUAUUAGUGGUAACAAGUUUUUAAAGGAUGCUAGACAAUUUAAUCAGUUUUAAGGGACCUGGUUUUUAAUUAGAGAAAAUUAAUUCUAAAAUCCCUGAAUUAUAGACACUUUUUUUUAGGUCCCUGAACUAUAAAUGUCAAUUCAUAAGUAAUUCAACUCUUGAUUUUUUCCUAUCUGGGUCCUUCCGUUAGAUCUGGUUUGACGCCGUUAGUUCAUCUUAAGUUCAUGAGAAUCAAAGAUAAUUUUGGAUGUGAUUCUGGUAUCCAAAUUUGAAACUUGAGUAAUCAAAUUGCUCGUUUUUCAAUCCCCUAUCCAUCUAUACCAUCAAAAUUUAGUUUGGUAAUUUCCGAAUUUUGAGUUGAAUAUUAGUUUUCAUUUUAAUAGCUUUUAUACGAAUUAUAAUGAUGUAGAUUGAUAUAUCGUGUAAUGAUGAGCAUAUUCAUAUAUUCGUGAUUUUUAAUGUUCAAAUUAGUCUCGUUGGAAAAUUCGAGCUUACCGGAUUUGAGUUUUUUCGACCAAAUUCGCCGGAAAAACUAACGACGUCAAACCAGAUCUAACGGAAGGACCAUGUAGGAAAAAAUCAAGAGUUGAAUUACUUAUGAAUUGACAUUUAUAGUUCAUAGACCAAGAAAAAAAGUGCCUAUAGUUCAGGGACUUUAGAAUAAUUUUCCCUUUUUAAUUAACCUGUUGCAGUAGCACUGAAACAACAUAUUGCUCUCCAUUUCCUACUAUGUAAAGUGAGUCGAAGUUAUAAGCUAUUAGAUGAAAUUAUAAGAUAACAAACUGAUCAAAAACUAGAGGUCGUCGGGAGUAGGCAGAGUUAAAGUCCCGAAAGAAUUUGCAAAGCAGAAACAACACAGUUUUUUUAGAGGUAAUUGCAUAUCGCACCCCUUAACUAUGGUUAAAAAACGAUAUUGUACUCAUACUUUGAGAAACUCAACUCGCACCCCCUAUCUUUACAUUUCAAGAACGAUACGCAUCCCCUCUGUUGAAUUCCGUUAACUUCCGUUAAAAUACUCCAUCAAUCUCAAUUUACAUGUCCCUUUUGCUUUUCGAGGAGUCAAAUUGACUAAUUUCUGACCAACUAUUAGAAAAUUUUUAAAUAUACACUAUUUUAAAUAUAAAAAAUAAAUAUUAUGUGAUAUUUAUUAUAAAUAUAUACACUUUUAUUAAACAAAAAUUUGAAAUGUAAAAUCAUUUUGACUUAGGAAUAGCUUAAUUAAACAAAAAUUUUUAAAAAAAAUCAUCAAAAAAGUAAAUCUAGUCUAUUUUAAUAUGUAACUUUCUAUUUCCUAAAAUAAUAAAUAAAUAUUUUUUAAUAGUUGGUCAAAAAUUAAUCAAUUUGACUCCUCGCAAAGCAAAAGGGACAUGUAAAUUGAGACGAAGGGAGGAUUUUAACGGAAGUUAACGGUUUUUAACGGAAUUUAAUGGAGGAGGGUGCGUAUCGUUCUUGAAAUGUAAAGAUAGGGGGUGCGAGUUGAGUUUCUCAAAGUAUGGGUAUAAUAUCGUUUUUGAAUCAAUUUGACUCCUCGCAAAGCAAAAGGGACAUGUAAAUUGAGACGAAGGGAGUAUUUUAACGGAAGUUAACGGUUUUUAACGGAAUUUAAUGGAGGAGGGUGCGUAUCGUUCUUGAAAUGUAAAGAUAGGGGGUGCGAGUUGAGUUUCUCAAAGUAUGGGUAUAAUAUCGUUUUUGAACGAUAGUUAGGGGGUGCGAUAUGCAAUUACCUCGCUUUUUUAUAGGUGCGAAAGUCCUCGAGUCUGUGGAACUUGUUAUUUGUUUUGGCAAGUUUCCAUCAAGUAUAUACAUGUAUAUAAGUUUAAAUGAUAACUAAAAAUGAAUUGGGGGGAUACAGGGUGAUCAGGAGUGCAGAUGCUACACUUCAUGAUAGCAAUAGAGUAUCGUCCUUGAAAAUCCCUCCAACAGUAAAGAAUUUUAUGUGGAGAUCUCUAACAGGGUGUUUACCUACUAAGGAAAAUUAUUUACUAUGUAAAAGAGUUGCAGUUUUAAGUGUUUGUCCUGUGUUCAUACCCUUGUUACAUGUCAGUUUGCAGGGAUGUGUUGGAAUCAUGCUGGGAUAGUAGUAAAUGAUCGAGAUUGUACUAACUUAUCACAGUGGCUAUAUUUGGUAAUGGAGGUAUAUGAGAGCAAGGAUGUCCAGAUAGCAUGUAUUUAUGCUAGGAAGUGUGGGAAAAUAGAAAUGCUUCGGUGUGGCACCAAAAAGGAAAAGACUUUGAUAGGGUUGUAGUUUCAGCAAAGCUUACUCUAAGUCAUUGGUGGAGUGCUCAAGACAGGUCAUUCGAUAAUUUCCUAGGGUUCAUGACUCAAGCAGAUUGUAAGGAGCAUUGGGAAUGUCCAUUACAGUAAUUAGGAAGCAUGAAUAGGUUCAUGAUGUUAGGAUCUAGUAAUGUUAAGUGGCUUGUUUCACUUAUCUUUCUAGUAGUUGUUAUACCAAGCUGUACUCUCUGAUAAUCUAUCAAUUAUUAAGCUUUAACACACUCUACAUGGUAUUAGAGCCUGCUCCAUUUUUUUUUUUACAAAAGAACAUUACUUCCUGCUCAUCUAAUCCAAUUUCAAUGAACUAGGCAAUUUUAACAACAAACAGAACUUGCUCUGCCAUAGGCAUUUUGAUCAAUUUUAAGAGAGGACAUUUGCAUUUUUAACUCUCUGUAGUACUAGUGUACUCUUGAAAACAUAUUGUUACUCUAAUUCCUACUACAAUUUAAUGUUAGUCGAAGUCAUUAGCGACAAGAAUCAAAAUAUAAGAUAAUAAACCUGAAUGAACCAAAGGUUUACUGGGAGGCAGACUUUUAAAAUUCUUGGAAGGACUAGCAAAACGAAAACAAAAUAGCUUGAUGACAAUAGAAAGUUGUGCAACUCUACUUAACCUAGCUAAAAUUGUGAAACUGACCUAUAGACAGUUUUUCUAUUCGACUUGAUCUUGCUUUAACUACAACACAAUUUAUCUUUAUUCAUCUAAUAUUCUUCACAAUUCUUGAUUGAACUUUAUCAUGAUUUCACAUGUGCUCAUUCUAAUUACUAGAGCUAGAGUAGGACUACUUUAAUUAUAAGAGAAAAAGGAUAAGGAACCAGAAAAAUUUACAUAUUAACAUAAUAAUAAGAGGAUUACGAUGAAUAUUAAAAAAAAGGAUUACCAUGAAGACUUGCACAACCCGCAAGGAACAGAGACAUAUAGUUUCUGGAGAGUUUAGUAAGCAACAUCACCGAUCUGAUACAUGUUAUAUACACUUGCACAUGCACAUGCACACGACCAUCAUAUAUAUCAUUUUACAAUGAAAACAUACAGAAACCGGAUCAAUAUUACACGUUAAUUGUAUAAUCUGUAGUGCAUCUUAUGUAAGAAUACCAAGGUAGAAAGCACCACAACAAAAAACAAUAUGUAUUCUAUUCUAUCAUAUUUCUUUUGAUAUCUUUGGCUUUUCCUAUACAAAUCAUCCUAUGAAGAUUCUAGACUUACCUAUAUGGUUAGGAAGAUUAUCUAUACUAAUUACGAAUUUGAGAAAGCUAGGGAUGAUCAACUCACCAAAUUCAUGUAGUUAAGGGACAGUUGACAAACACUGUACUAGUGGUAAGUCGUGUGUAUGUGUGGGUUAGCUAUCAUAUACAUGAACUAAGCUAGCUAGUAAGUGAAAUUUAAACGAUUUAAUAUCACAACAAAACAAAUAUAUAUUUUUUGGAGGUAUUUUAAAUUGUCUUGCAACCCUGUGCUGUCCAAUAUCUCUAAUUUGGCAGCUUACAGUUAAAACAUCUAAUUUUUCACAGUAUUUUUAGUUUGUAAUGUUUACUUUCAAACGCUUAACAUACACUACAGGAAAACAGGUCAAAACCGACCGCACAAAACCGACCGCCGCAUAUAAAACCGACCGACGGUCGCGUGGUCAGUUUUAACCCGUCGAAAUCACAAAACGACGUCGACCUGGGUGACGUGGCAACAAAUAAAACCGACCGUCGGUAACGGUCGGUUAUAUGUAUGACAUGGCACUGUUAUAACCGACCGUUCUCUGUGGUCGGUUUUGUUUUCCGCGGAAAAAUAAUUAAAAAUCAAUUUAAAUAAAAAUAUCUGUGCGUCAACCCCUCAAAACAACGUCAUUUUUUUGUUUGGUACUAAAACCGACCGAUUGGUCGGUCGGUUUUAACCUGCAGCUUUUAUAUCACUUUUUAGCUAGUAAUGAGCUCACAUUCACUUGAAAUAAAAAUCAAAGGAGAAGAAAGGAGCUAAAGUGGGGAAGAAUUAUUGCUUGCAAACAUUUCAAGUAAGUGAUUUUCAUUUAUUUGCAUUAAAUGUGUGUGUGGUGGGUGUGUUAAAUGUUUUUGUUAUAUUAAAUGUGUGUGUAUGUAAUUACAUUGAAUGCUUGUAUUGCAUUAAAUGUAUGAAAUUCAUGUGAAAUUAUUUGUUAAAUGUAUGUGUGUAUUGAAUGUAUGUGUUGUUAAAUGUAUGUGUGUGUUAAAUGUGUGUUAAAUGUGUGUGUAGAUGACAAACUUGGAUCGAAGUUGGAUUAGUAAUCAAGUGCAAAGUGAUAAAAUUUCGUUAACUCCAGAAUAUAGGAAUGGUGUAGAAACUUUUUUAAAAUUUGCAAGUGAAAAUGGAAUGGGAGAAGAUGGUACAAUGAAGUGUCCUUGUAAACGUUGUAGGAAUUUGAAUUGGUUAAGUAUCGACGAUGUUAGAUUCCAUUUACUUGCUAAGGGGAUGCUUGAGGGUUAUACCGUUUGGACAUCACAUGGUGAAGAAAGAGGAAGAAAACGUAGUCGAACAUCGCAUAAUCGUUAUUGUGUUCGGGAACCUACGAGGGUAGAACAACCGGUAGAUUUGAAUGCGAUGCUACAUGAUUUUGCCGGUGAAAAUUCCGAAUUUUAUAACAACGUGGAUACGGGAACUAGGAAUGUAGAAGAAGUUCCAAAUGAUAGUGCAAGAAAAUUGUAUGAGGUGAUUGUUGAAAAUGGAGCACCUAUUUAUCCCGGUAAUACGAAGUAUACAAGAUUAAGCUUUACCACAAAAUUGUUAGAAUUCAAGAAUAUCUCACAUUGUAGUAAUAAGGCUUUUGAUAGUUUGCUUACACUUUUUGCGGAUGUAUUACCAAAAAAACCCACGUUGCCCCAAACUUAUUAUGAAAUGAAGAAGAUAAUGAAGGGUUUGAGGGUUUAAUAUCAAAAGAUUGAUUUAUGUGAGAAUGAUUGUAUGUUAUUUUAUGGAGAUGACAAGGAUAAAGUUGUGUGUGAUAUAUGUGGUAAAGAUCGUUAUCGGGAUGUUUUGAGGAAAGAUGGUAAAAAAAUACCAAAAAAAAUAUUGAGACAUUUUCCUUUGAUUCCUCGACUACAACGCUUGUAUAUGUCAAAACAUACAUCCGACCAUAUGAGAUGGUACAAGAAUCGAGAUGUCAAAGAUGGAGAAAUUAGUCAUCCCGCGGACGGAGAAGAGUGGAAAAAUUUUGAUCGUCGAUAUCCAUCAUUUGCUCAAGAAAUUUGUAAUAUAAGGCUUGGCCUUGCAACCGACGGUUUCAACCCAUUUGGCCCUACCGGGAAAAAAACAUAUAGUGUGUGGCCCAUAGUAGUAGUUGUCUACAAUCUUCCGCCAUCAAUGUGUAUGAAAAAACCCUAUAUGUUUAUGACCGAUAUAGUGCCGGGUCCGAAUAGCAUUGGCAAAGAUAUUAACGUUUGUCUAAGGCCUCUCAUUGAUGAAUUGAAGAUAUUGUGGAAUACAGGAAUUGAAACAUAUGAUCAAUCUUCGAAACAAAAUUUUACAAUGAGAGCGGCUCUUAUGUGGACAAUUAGUGAUUAUCCCGCUAUGAGUAUGAUAAGUGGAUGGUCGGGUAAAGGAAAAUUAGGAUGUCAAGUGUGUCUUGGAAGUGUGCAAGGGUUUUAAUUAAAACAUUAUGGUAAAUGUAGUUUCUAUGGCACAAACCGAAUAUUCCUUGAACCGAAUGAUCCACUACGUCGAAAAAGUGAUUUGUUUGAUAAUGCGGAAAGAAGAGUGUUUCGUGGUCGUUUGUCCGGGGAGGGUGUAAAGGAGUUGCUUGACGGUUUAGUUUUUCCACCACCCGGAAAGACUAAUACAAAGGCGAGGAGUAUCGGAUAUGGGGAAGAGCAUCAUUGGACUCAUGUUCCAAUUUUUUAUGAACUCCCUUAUUGGUCUUCACAUAGUUUACGAUAUUCAAUUGAUAUCAUGCAUACGGAAAAAAAUGUUUUUGAGAACCUAUUUUUUACUAUUGUGAAUGCGAAAAAGUCAAAGGAUCACAAAAAAGCAAGAGCGGAUUGCAAGCACUUUGGUGUGUUACCUCAUUUGUGGAUCGAUGAAAAUGGCAAGUCACCCAAAGCACCUUUUUCCAUUACAAGAAAACAACGUAAACUUUUGUGUGAAUGGAUUAGUUCACUGAAACUUCCAGACGGUUAUUCCUCAAAUAUAUCUCGUUGUUGUAAUGUUGAGGAGUGUACAUUUUAUGGAUUCAAAUCGCAUGAUUGUCAUAUAUUUCUUCAAAAAUUAUUGCCUCUUGCAAUUCGUGAGCUUUUACCGGCGCCUAUUGCGGAUGCCAUCACAGCAAUUGCAAAUUUUUUUCGAGAUUUGUGCUCAUCCACGGUUACAAAAACCGAUUUGGAAAUAAUGGAAAAAUCAGUUGUGAAGGCAUUGUGUUUGUUGGAAACAAUUUUUCCUCAAAGUUGGUUUGAUUCGAUGGAACACUUGGUUGUGCAUUUGGCGGAAGAAAUUAGACUUGCUGGACCUGCUUACUGGCAUUGGAUGUAUCCAAUUGAGCGUUUAUUGGGGAAACUAAAACAAAAAGUCGGCAAUAAAGCAAGAGUUGAGGGUUCCAUUGCCGAACGAUAUAUGGAGGAGGAGAUUGUCAAUAUUUGUGCUUUUUACUUUGCAUCCGACUCGAUUCACAAUAAAUUAAGUCGUAACGAAGUUUUGUUUGAUGUACAAAAGACCGACAAAUUAGAAGUUUUUAAAUAUCCAUGUGAUUCUCUUGGAAAAGAACGAAGUCGAUAUUUGAAUGAUGAUGAGCAAUUAUUAGCUGAUGAAUAUGUUCUUCUAAACUCUCCUGAAGUUCAACCUUAUCUAAGGUAUGGUAAAUACAUUUUAUGAUAAAUUUUUGUGAAGAUGUCAAUACAUUUUAUGAUAAAUUCAUGUUAUUGACAUUUAUGCAUUAUUGUAGGAGGUACCAAGAUCGAGUUAUGAGACAACGUCCUGAGACAACGCCACAACAAUUAGAUCAUAUUGUGAAAACUCGAUUCAAAGCUUGGUUUAAGAAAAAGGUUGAGAAAGACGAGAUAGACGGACCUCGUUUCAUGGACUUGCUAGAAGGACCAGCAUUAAAGGUCAUGACUUUUGAAAAUUGUCAAGUUAAUGGAUAUAAAUUUUCAACAUCAUCCGCAUCCGGUUCCGGUGUUGUAGUUAAAGGAACUUUGCACGAAAAUAAUCUUGAUUAUUAUGGUCAACUAAUAGAAAUUAUAAGACUUAUUUAUCAAGGAUGCAAUCACGUAUAUUUGUUCAAAUGUAUUUGGUUUGAUAGUCUCGGAAAUGGUGUGAGGAUCGAUAAGAAUCGAGUGGUGACGGUUGAUAUAACUUCAAGAUUGAGAUCUAACGAAGUUUUUAUUUUAGCUAGUCAAGCCUCUCAAGUAUAUUACGCUCCUAGCGUAUUGGAUCCACGAAGCAAAAUAUAUACGGUGGUCAAAUCUAAAAGUCGUCCGAUUGAUGAAUCAAUUAUUGUGCAAAAUGAUAUAGAGGACGCUUUUCAAGAAGAUAGAUCUAAUGCCGCUAGCUCAUUUUCACUAUUUGUUGAUUUUGCACAAUAUGGACAAAUACCAUUUAUUCGGCAUGAAAAUCAAGAUGAUGAUGAUGAAGAAGACGAAUUGCGAGAUGAUGAAAAUCAAGAUGAUGAUGAUGAUGUUGAACACAAUGAAGAAGAGGAAGAUGAUAAUGAAGAUGAUGAUGAAGAUAAUGAUGAUGAUAAUGAAGAUGAUGAUGAAGAUGAUGACGGUUUUGAUGACUUUCAAUGAUGUGUAAAUAAUAUACAAUGGUGUAAUCAUAUACAAUGUUGUUUAGGCUGCUUAGUAAUUUGGUUAUGUAUUGGUAUUUGAUGUUGGUACAGGAUUUGGCAAUUGAAACUGCAAAAGAAUCUGUUUUUUUUUCAAUUUUUGCCCAGAAAACCGACCGUCAAACAACAUAACCGACCGGUUUUGACCAUUAAACUACCAGAAAACCGACCGCAUUCAUAUAAAACCGACCCCCAUUUUCCAGAAAACCGACCGCAUUCAUAUAGGCGCGGUCGGUUAUAAGCCGGUCGGUUAUAAAAUCCAGGAUAGCGUACUGCCACAAAACCGACCGUGUCAAAACCGACCACAUAUAACCGACCGUUGCAGGAUUUGACAUCGGUCGGUUUUACUUAAAAGUCAGUCAAAGCCUCUGUAUAUUAUUUGUUAUAUAUAUAUAAAUUAUAAUAAUAUAACUUUACCAGAAAACCGACCGUGUUCAAGUAAAACCGACCAAUUUUUUCCAGAAAACCGACCGGAUUCAAUUAAAACCGACCGUCUGCCCAGAAAACCGACCGCUGGCCCCUUUGACUUCGGUCGGUUUUAACUAAAAGUCAGUCAAAGUCUACAUAUUAUUUAUUAUAUAGACAUAUAAAUUAUAAUAUAUAAACAAAUAUAUAUAUUAUAUAAAUAUGUAUAUAUAUAUAUAUUAUUUUACAUAAUAUUUUACAUGUAAUAUUUAUAUAAAAUAUAUUCGUAAUAUAAAUAUAUAUACAGUCAUAGCUAUCUCUUCAAUCUUACAUACACGGAUGGUUACAAGUGAAGUGUCCGGAGAGGAAGGUGUGAAACCUAACUCUUGUUUCCUCCUUUGCUCACGGUGAUAAGUAAACGUCGUUCAUCCCGUCCCCUUUGACGGUAUUCAAAGCAGAUCGUAGGCUGACUCAGUACUAGUCACUAUCCUGUGUCUAUAUAUUAUUGGCUCAUUUUUAAUAUAUAUUAUUUUAACUUUUUUUUCCUAACUUCACGUGCCAAAAAUUUAAGAUUAUUCCGAUCAUUGCAUGUACAUUCUUAUAACUGAUAUAUGUCAUAAGCAGUGUUCUAAUUAAUAAUCGCCGAUUUAACUGAGUAAUCCCCGAUUACUCCACUGCAAGGUCGGACAUUGAUUCGAUUUUUGAAAUACGAUUAAUCCUUAUAUAUAUUUCUUAAUCGAAGUAUAUACGAUAAAUAUACCAAUUAAAAUAUUAUAUUACCUUAAAUAUGAAUAAUUAUAGAGUUUAUGAAUAUAAUAAAUAUAUUAGUUGCUAAUAUAGUAAUAUUACUUUUGAUUUAAAAUUAAAAUAUUAUUAAAUAAUACUAGCUAUUAAUAUAAUAUUAUCUAACUAUUUUUAAUAUUAAAAUAUUAAAAGGUAUGGUUUUUAUUUAAUUAAAUAAUAUAAUUUGGCCAUUUUUUCAAUUUAGGGUUCCUUAAAACCGACCGACGUACUAUAAAACCGACCGAUCUUUUUUUGCGCCUAAUUUUUCACGAAAAAUUAAAACACGCGCCUUAGUGAAACGACGUCGUUUCACCGGACCCAACGUCAUAACCGACCGCUCCGUCGGUCGGUUUUAAGCUCUGUAUAUAUAAAAAAACAGCCAUUUUAUUUCUUUUCCUUUUAUCUUCCUCUCAACUCUCAUCUCUCUCGCCUCUCUGAACUCAAAUCUCUCUCGCUCUCAAAUCUCUCUCACUGUCUAAUCUCUCUUGCUGUAAACUCCUUCUCUCAAAUGGCAAUUCAAUCUUUCAUCUCUCUCGCUGAUCUCAACUCCCUCUUUCUCAACUUGCUCGUGAUUAUGGUUGCGCUCGAUUCUCUAUGCGAAUUUGUACUCGGUUCACAGAGGAGGGUUCGGUUUCCUCGGAAGAAGAAAGCCCCUUCGCUUUUCGGUUUGGGUUCGGAUGAUUCGGUAUGCUCGAUUCGUUUAGUUUGGGCUCUAUUUCAUUUUUUCAAUUUAGUUUAGUUUAGUUUGUAUGUGUAUAUGUUGGUGUGUAUGUGUAUCUGCAUAUAUUUGUUUGUAUUUGUGUUAAUUUCUGGGAAUUUCAUCUAUGGGUAUGUAUUUGUGUAUGUUUGUAAGAGUAUAAGUUUGUGUUAAUUAGUAUAUACGUGUAUGAAAAAUUUUGCAUGCAAUUUGUCCGUCGGUUAUAUGCAAUUUGUCCGUCGGUUAUAAGUGGGGUGAAAUUUUUCUUAAAUUUUCAAUUUGUAUAGUUUUUGUUUUCUUAGGCCCAUCAUUUGUAUGUUUGUAUGUGUUUGUAUAUGUUUGGUUGAGCAAAACACAUACUAAUUGUAUAAUUAUACAAAUUAGUAUGUAUAUUUUGUAUAUGUAUAGUUUGUAUAUUACUUUAAAUAUGAAUAAAGUAAGCGUGUAUGUGUUUGUGUUUGUGUUAAGGGGAUAAGUGUUUAAGUGUGUUUGUGUUUGUGUUAAGGGGAUAAGUGUUCAAGUGUGUAUGUUUUUGAGUUUUGGAUUUAACUUGAUUUUAAUUUUAAUGAAUUGUAUUGUAGGGGCUCUUUGGUUGGGUGAUGAUUAUCGUCAUGAUUUCAAUGACGAUAUAUAUCAUGGCAAGAAAAAGGAAAGCAACGGACAAGGACACCGACAAAGGCAAGGGAAAGAGUGUCGGUAGUAGUACAAACAAAAGGCGCGCGAAGGGAAAAGGCAAGGUGAAAGAAAAGACGGUGUUGCGUGACGAGCCAACGGAUUCGGAUACCGAAUCGGACCAAAACCCAAGGGAGGCGGAGGCGGAGGCGGAGGAGGAACCGGUGAGAAGAGUGAGGAUGCCGCGGUCACAUUCAUGCGGCAUUUUUGGAGCUAAGAUACCAACAAGACCUCGACGGAUCAAUAUCUCCGAUGGACAGUAAGUAUAUUUUUUUAUAUGUAGUGUUUUGUAGUGAUUUGUAAUGAUUAAUAUAUAUAGUGUGCGUUAGGUAUUAAUAAUUUGUUCACGAGUUUAUAUUUAUAAUGUUCUUAUAUAGUAUUGAAGAUAAUGAGGCAAAAAAGACUUUGCUUGCGAUUAUUCGGGCAAGAUGGCCUUUGGGUAAAUACACGUUUAGUGACAUAGACGCGGCUUACCCAAAGUGGCUCGGUCUAAGGGUUGAGGAGUUUCUAGUAAGUAGAUUUUUUUUAAAUAUAAUAUGUUUUUGAUUUUGUUGGUAAUUGGUGUGAUUAUUCAAUUUUAAUCCUUGUACUUGUUGAUAUUAUGUAGAAAUAUUAUAGGCAAUUGAAAGGUCAAAGCCGUUCAAAAGCCAAAGCUAUCAUUGAAGAUCACAUAAAGGUCACAAUCAAAAGGACCAUGAAUGAAUUGAAGAGGAGGAUCGAGAGGAAGUCAAGGGAGGAAGGGGUUUCGAAGUUGGCUUUGAAACCGGAAUAUUAGAAUAUCAUUUUUUGGAAAGAUCUUCUCAAGUAUUGGGACACGGAUGAAGGCCAUUUGCAUAGGUCGGAAGUUGGAGCUGCUAAUCGGCAACGCGUGGAAAGGUUGCAUAGCGCGGGUGCUCGCUCCUUCAACCGUGUGCGCGAGGUAGUACUAUUUUUAAUAUGCAAACACACACACACACUUUUUGUUUUUACCUUAUAAUUAUAUAAGAUAUAAUAUAAUAAUGCAAAUGCUAAUAUAAGUUAUUUUGUGGUAUAAUUCAAGAACAUGAAAAAGAAAUUGUCUAAAAGUCCGACGAAGCUUGAGGUGUGGGUUGAAUGCCACACUAGGAUCGGCUCCAGUCCCGAGAGCCGAAUAUAUACUACCCCCGCCGCUAUGCGCAUUGCGGUAAUCUUCUAAUUUUAGCAUUUUAAUUAAUUGUGAUAACCAUGAAUACGUCAAUAUGUUUAUAUGUUUAAUUAAUGCUUAUAUCUUCUAAUUUUAGCACUUUAAUUAAUUGUUUAUAUCAUAACCAUGAAUGCUAAUUAAUUGUGAUAAAUGUGUAGGAACGAUAUGCCUCCAUUCUUGAUCGUAUGCCGGUGGAGGUUACUCAAACGGGGGAGCGGGAUGAGCCUUGGGAUUGGUGGAUGGAAGCAAUGGAGGUUCCCCAAGGCGAGAGGCCAAAAAAGAAUUACGUUGUGGGGUUCCCUAAAGCUCGAGCUAGUGAUUUGAUCCCAACACUAGCCACUCGCUAUAACCCGUGGUGGCGCCGGCUCAUUCUCAUCCGCUCCAACACAAAAUCCGGUGGUUCCCGAUUCCAUCUUCCUCCCGAUUGUCCGCAAUGUGCUCAAUGAAACCCGUGCCAAUCCUCUCCAAUUUGCUCGUCGCCUAUCGGAUGAGGAGAUAACAACCUUUGCACGCACAGCCCUCGAGGCAUCCGAUCCAGCCGCUGACCCGGCUCGGAGGGCUGAAUGGAAUAGCCUUCUCGGCGGCGAGAUUGUGCACAUUGUAGGGACAUUGCUCGAGGAUGUCCUCCAAAAAAUGGAUGCUCGUGCUCAAAUGGUAAUAUACUUAUGCUUUGUUUUUUGUUUUUGGUUGAUAUGUAAAAAUGAAUGGAUUUCUAAUUGUUUGACAUGUUUUUGUAGGCAACUGCGCAAGAGGGAGAGAAAGAUUACACGGAUGUGGACGAGGAGACGGAUGAAAACACGGAUGAUGAGGGUGAAGGCGAAGCCGGUGGCGAAGGCGGUGGGGAAGGCGGUGGUGAAGGCGGUGGCGAAGAUGGUGGCGACGGCGGUGGUGAAUCAUCCGAUGUUUCAUUGACCGAUUAGUGUAAUUUAUAUUUUAAUUUUAACGGAUGGUAUAUAUUAAGACAGUGGUUGGAUUUGGAUUGUGAAUGUUUGGGUUUUGAAUUGUUUGAAUGUUUGGAUUUGAAUUUGUAAUUAGUAUGUUUGGAUUUUGAAUUGUUUGGAUUUGGAUUUGUAAUUAGAAUGUUUGGAUUUGGUUUAAUUAGAAUUGUUUCGUUUAAUUUUGUUGUUGGUAUUUUGUGAUGUUUGGUUGUUUAGGAUGCUUGGUUUGAUUGUUUGGUUGGUAUGGUUUUGGUACAGGGAAUUGAUUGGAAACUGCAGAUUCUGCUGCAAUUUUUUUAAAAAUUCACCCAGUAAAACCGACCGAAUGGUCCCAAAACCGACCACUUUUUACCAUAUUGAUGCCAGAAAACCGACCGCAUUCAACUAUAACCGACCGUGCUCAUCACAUAAAACCCAGAAAACCGACCGCAUUCAUCAAGAGUCGGUCGGUUAUGAAAGUGGACGAGGAGACGGAUGAAAACACGGAUGAUGAGGGUGAAGGCGAAGCCGGUGGCGAAGAUGGUGGCGACGGCGGUGGUGAAUCAUCCGAUGUUUCAAUGACCGAUUAGUGUAAUUUAUAUUUUAAUUUUAACGGAUGGUAUAUAUUAAGACAGUGGUUGGAUUUGGAUUGUGAACGUUUGGGUUUUGAAUUGUUUGAAUGUUUGGAUUUGAAUUUGUAAUUAGUAUGUUUGGAUUUUGAAUUGUUUGGAUUUGGAUUUGUAAUUAGGAUGUUUGGAUUUGGUUUAAUUAGAAUUGUUUCGUUUAAUUUUGUUGUUGGUAUUUUGUGAUGUUUGGUUGUUUAGGAUGCUUGGUUUGAUCUUUUGGUUAGUACGGUUUCGGUACAGGGAAUUGAUUGGAAACUGCAGAUUCUGCUGCAAUUUUUUUAAAAAUUCACCUAGUAAAACCGACCGAAUGGUCCCAAAACCGACCACUUUUUACCAUAUUGAUGCCAGAAAACCGACCGCAUUCAACUAUAACCGACCGUGCUCAUCACAUAAAACCCAGAAAACCGACCGCAUUCAUCAAGAGUCGGUCGGUUAUGAGACGGUCGGUUAUGUGAAUCAGGGUGGCCUUCUGCCACAAACCCGACCGACUCAUAACCGACCGCACAUAACCGACCGUGGCAGAAGGUUGACGGCGGUCGGUUUUGUGUCAGAGUCAAUUCAGAUAAAAGGCACAUAACCGACCACUGAAAUCGGUCGGUUUUACCAGUCGCUUCUGACGUGGUGUGACACCUGUUGCCACGUGGUGACAGGUGGCAUCAAGUGGGGCCACUUUUCUGGGAACAAAACAGCACAUAACCGACCACUUACUUGGUCGGUUUUAAGGGUUAAAGCCGACCAAUUCGCGUAACCGACCAGGGUUUAACCGACCAGCCAUAUCGGUUGGUUUUAUGCUUAUAACCGACCGAUAUUGUUCAUAACCGACCGAUGCUGGCGGUCGGUUAUGUCCUGUUUUCCCGUAGUGAUAUUAACCAUCCCAGAACAUUGCUGUAAAUCUCAUUUUAAAUCAGGUAAGGCAGUGAGAUUACACAGAACUUACCAACUCAGAAUCGAGCUGCUACCUCAAUUGGAAAGUGACAAAUGCUCAACUUAAAUUUCUAUAUAAAGCACAAGGAUGGCUGCCCUAUUUUGGAUCUAAGAUUAUUUUCACGGGGCACCAGCACCACAUUAUAUAUGGAGAGAUAACCUUUCUUUAAAAAAUAAAUCAUGGGGGCACCUCUUUAUUCUAUUGAUAAAGUCAACAACGAAAUUUAUUUGGGGGACACUGCUGUUCAUACUGAAGCAGACCCAAGCAGUGUAUGUUGUUAUCUGAAAUAUCUAAUAAUUUCGAAACUAGUAUAUAUAGACCAGCAGGUUCUACAAAAAAAAUCAGAUGGAUACCUGUUUUAGCAGCCUCCCUGCAACUCCUGCACCUUCUAUUCAUCUUGUGCUAAUCUUUAUAUAUUUGUGAAUUUCAAUAUUUAAAUAAAUUAUUUAGAUUUACCAUACUUCUGGUGUAAUUGAAAGUUCUGAAAAUGUGCAUCAGAGUUUGAGAAUCUGUGACAACCUUAUUGGCAUAGUUAUAUAAGAGUAGUUCAUCAUCAAAAGUUCAUCCAACAAAUUUACUUGAGUUAGACAUCAUAUCACACUUCUGAUUAGUAAACUCAUGGCUGUGAACUUGAUCUAACAAUCUUGUCGUCUUUUCUCUAGGUGCUGAUGUCUUGAUACUCUUGAUUUGCUGUAAUGGCAACAGAUUUCAAAAAAUUGAAAUAUUUCAUAAUGAAUUAUGGUGAUUAAUAACUCCAGGCAAUGAAAUUAAGCAAAAACUCUUAUUUAACAUUAAAAAAAUCAAAUUCACACCAUGGUGGUGACAGAAAUGUCUUUCACUUAAAAACAUCAUUCUUUUACUUGGGUUGUCAUGUACAAUACAUCAAGAAAACAUGAAAUACCUAAAAUAGAUUUAAAUAGUGACGAACAUGCUCAAUCUUCAUUCCCUUUUACUUUGCGGGCAUAUACUAUCUAGACUGAUUAAACAAUGAUGAGAAGAAAAAAGAGGGAACCAAUAACACAAACAGUGAAAGCGGGACUGGUGAAUGGGAUAUACCAAAUAUGUUCAUGUAAUAAUUGUCAACAUAAUUGCCAUAACCGAAACAAUGUUUAGCACACUUGAUGCAGCAUUGAGUUGAUUGCUGAGCAGGUACAACUAAUUAUAUGUAUUAGAGUUGACGAAGGAGAAGAUGAUGCCAAUAUGGCAGGGCAAAAAAAUUGACCUCUUUUUAAAAGGGGAGUNUCAAAAAAAUUGACCUCUUUUUAAAAGGGGAGUCAACUUUAUCCCUUCACUUUCUUCCCAAACUAUUUUCUAUACCCCGCAACAACUCCUCAAUAUCUUCCCCUGAUAAAGUUGAAGGACUCUUGGCCAUUUCAAUUUGGCCAUUGAAUCUUCUUUUAUCCGGCCUCCAUUUAUGUGUAGGACAAAGAAAUUUCCAAUGGUUCAUAUAACACAUUUUUCUACUAUGUUUUAAAUAACUUGAAGAAGUCUCGUAAUGGCAUACGGGACAUGCAAGUUUUCCCUUGGUGCUCCACCCCGACAACAUGGCAUAUCCCGGGAAGUCGCUUAUCGUCCACAAUACACUUGCACGUAAGUUGAAAUUCCCACCAGAAAAUGCAUCAUACGUUUCGAUGCCAACAUCCCAUAAUUCUUUUAGCUCCGCAAUCAAAGGUUGCAUGAACACAUCAAUAGAGUUCCCCGGAGAAUUAGGGCCAGAUAUUAACGUGGAAAGAAUUAAAUUUUCUUGUUUCAUGCAUAAUAAAAGUGGGAGGUUGUAAUUAACCAAUAUAAUUGGCCAUGUACUAUGGCUUAGAGUCAUCGAACGAUAGGGGCAAAAGCCGUCCGCUGAUACACCCAACCUAACAUUUCGCAAUUCUGAUGCGAAAUCAGGAUACUUCGAAUCCAUUAUCUUCCAAGCUUUGGCAUCAGCUGGAUGCCUUAGUUUCCCAUCUUUUUUCCGUCCCGUUGCAUGCCACGUCAUUAGUUUAGCAUAAUCCUUGCACAUAAACAACCUCUGCAACCUUGGUUUUAGUGGAAAGUACCUCAACACCUUUGCUGACACUUUGUGUAUCAAUUUCUCGGGAUCAUUAUUAGCUUCAUUGCCAUUUUUUUCACAUACAACCCACCUCGAAGCACCACAAUUAUCACAGACAUCUUUAUCUUUGUUAUUUUCCCAAAACAACAUGCAAUUGUUUGGGCAGCAGUGUAUUUUGUGGUAGUCGAGACCUAAAUCCUUAAUAAUACUUUUUGCCGCAUUGAAGGAAGAAGGUAAGUGGGCAGUAGGAAAAGCCUCUUUAAUAAGGUUUAGUAAUUCCCCAAAGGCAGAUUCUGUAAUUCCAUGCGCACACUUUAAGUGAUAAAGCCUAAUUAUGAAACUCAAUCGCGAAAAGUUGGUGCAUCCGGGAUAUAAUUGUUGUCUCCCCUCUGUCGCAUGGUGAUAGAACUUUGUGGCCUCUGCAUUUGGCACAUCAUUGUUCUCCUCCACAUUAUCAAAUCUUUUACCGGUACAUCUGAACAUCUCUUCCAGAUUGUCUUCAAAAUCCAUCCCCGUACCACAGUCCAUGUAGUCAUCAUUAGCACGGCUUAAUUUACUUUGUGAAACCUCACAAAUCCAUUUCAGAUGUAAAGGGGAAGGCCCGCUGCAAAUUAGAUGGUCAAAGAUAAUCUCUCGAUUAUGCCACGUUCGAUUGGCACAAUUUUUGCACGGGCACUUCAUUUCGUCCCCUUUGCAAAAAUUGGGGAAGGCAUUUUCCAGAAAAGCUUUUACCCCAUUCACAUACUCCUGACUACAUCUUGGAAAUCCAAUCCAAGCUGUAUACUCGUCAACGUCCAUUGCAACAUUCUAGCGUGUCCUACGGAUAAAAGAAUAAUAUAUACACAUAUAUUUUUAUUUCAGGCCCCUUACAAACAUAAAAUACAUAAAUUACAAAUAAGCAUAUAAAAUACAAAUAUUAUAAAUAAAAAAAAUGAAAUACAUAUAUUACAAGUAAGCAUUUAAAAUUCAGAAGUCACAAUUAUAUAUAUAUAUAUAUAUAUAUAUAUAUAUAUAUAUAUAUAUUAUUAUUUAUUUAUUUUAUCAUAUAAAUCAAGGAACAUUUUAACUGCAAAAUUGGUGUUUUCAAUAUUGAUUUGGAGUACAUCACAAAUAUAUAUAUAUAUAUAUAUAUAUAUAUAUAUAUAUAUAUAUAUUGCUAGACACAUAAUUCAAAGGGAAUUAGGAGUUCACAUUAUCUAACCAAGUUACUAGAUAAAAGUUGAACUCAUUAAAAAGUAAGGACAUAGGACGACUAUUCCCUACUAAGCCUCUGAUCCUCUAUCCAUCCAAGUCAUCUAAUAGUCUUGUAUCCAAUUCAUUAAUCGUAAUUCGAUAUUUCCGAUGUCAUCACAACUCGAGACUCUCCACAUCAAAUCAAAACCAUGAAAUGACAAACAAACUUCAAUUACGAACUCGAAGCAUGAAUUAGCAUAACAAACAAAACUACUCGAAAUCAUUUAUAAUCAAAGAACAGAUUACACGUAAAAACAACAAUCAGAACAUAAUUGAAUACGUAUACACACGCAUCUGAUAUAGAGCAAUAUGCUACCAGAAAGAAACUAAUGCACCAUAAAAUAAACACAAAAACACAAGCAUACAUAAUCAGUAGGUAACACAGUUAUAUAUAACAUAAAAAUGAAGCAUUUAAAUUACCUCAACUAUUGAAGCCCCGAAUUCAAGCCUCGAUGAGCCCUAAUUUUCAGCCUUUAUGAAAAGCCCUAAUUUUCAGCCUCGAUGAAAAGCCCUAAUCCCCUGCAAUAUGAAAACCCAAGUCAGUAAAAACCCUAAUUAGCUCGACUGAAGCACUAAUCAGCAGGAAACUAAACUAUAACACAGCAAAACCAACUUGACCACAGCCAUACAAACAACUCGCCUAACUAUCAAAAAAACUAAACCAAAAACUAACAGUGAAACUCGUAAUGAUUUAAACUAAACUAAACUACUCGACUCACUGUGACUCGACAAGAACCCAGCCAUAUACAAGACCCAGCUCAGACAACUUAUAAAACGAAAACUAACUACCGAGACUAACGAUUCAGCGACUCGGAAUUGGGAACACAAACCAGCAAAUGAACUACAACCAUGACUAGAAAACUGACUCGGUUGCAACACAAAACAAUCGGAAACAAAAAACUCAGUGAAAAACCUCUUCACAGCAACACAACUAGCAAAAUAAACUCAACUAUGAUGCAGACUAUACUCAGACGCAGCAUUUAAAACCCAACAGCAAGCGAUUCAAACGACUUCAUCAAAACUACAGAAACUCGAAAGUGAAACAGAGGAAAUCACUUAGCAAUAUAGCAAACAGAGAAAAUCACUUAGCAAUUGAAAAUUUAUUCGAAAAUCCAGAAACACAAACACCAAACAUAAGAACCAAAGAUAAAUAAAAAACGAAACAUAAGAACAAAAGAUAAACACAAAACAUAAAAACAAAAUAUAAAAAACAAAACAUAAAAACCAAACAUAAAAAAUGGAACAUAUAAAUGGAACAUAUAUUCCACGGAAAUUACCUGAAUAUUGAAGCCCCCAAUUCAAAUCCACCUAAAAGGCCUAAUUUCAAGCCAUAGUGAAUACCCUAAUUUCGAUUUACCUCGAUAAUGAGAUGAGUGUUAAGCUGAGAUGUAGUGAGAGAUGUGGGUGAGAGCGGUGAGAGACGGAGAGUUGAGAGCUGGUGAGAGUGGAGAGGUGAGUGAGAGUGUUAGUGAAUGGGGAAAUGAAAAUGUGAGUGUUUUCAAAACGGGGGAAAAAGCCCGCUUGCAUUUUCACCUCGAUAAUGGUGCUGUCUUUUUCCUUUUAAUUUUUUUUAUUAUUUUGAUAUAUACUUUACUAAUUUAAAAUAUUUCUGUAAAUAUUGUUUAUAAUGUAAAUAUAAUAUUAUUAUAUUAUGUAAUAUAUUAUAUAAUAUAUAAUAAAUACUAAAAUAAAAAUUGUCACGAAUUUGUAAAUAAUUGAUUAUAUUUCAUUUAUAUAUGAGAUGAGUUAAUUAGUGUAAGUAAAUUUAAAGUAAAUUAAAGUAGUUAAUUAUAAUAUUGUAACGUUUUUGAAUAAGUGUUUCAAGUUGCAACACUUCAACUUUAAAGUAACAUCGAUUUUGUAUAAACAUAAUACUUAUUAAGAAGUGUUGCACUAGUCUCAAGAAGUAUGUCUAUUGUAACUAAAUAAAGGUAACGCCCAUAAAAGAAUGUUACAAAUGAGCACUUAUGGUGUAGUGCUAGUUGAUAGUAUAGUGCUAGAUCUUCUUUUGUUCUCUCAUUUUCAUACUACAUUUGUAAACACUUUUUAUUUAAUGCAAAUCUUCUUUUAGCUUGAUCUUGUAUUGUCUCUAUUUUCUUGCUCCUAGUGGCAUAUUCUUCUUAGCACCACCAUAUGCCUAAGGGCUUUUGGGAAUGGGAGAAGCUUUCUAAUUAGUGUAGAUUUUAUGAUUGCUUAAAUUAGUCGUUAAAGCUCUUUUAAAUCCUAACACAAAAAUAAUUUGUGUAAGGGGCUUAAUGUUUUAGAUUUAAAUUCGGCAGGUCAUUAUUUUAAUUAUCAUUUAGCAGCCAAUAUAGUUUUCGUUUUGUUUGCUUUUAAAACUCACUACAACCCAUCAUCAAAUUAGAACUCAUCUAUCUUUAGUGAAAGGGAAUUUGGUGGCUGCAAUGUGGUUGAAAAUUGUAUUUCGACUCUGCUAUUCUCUCCUCCGAUUCGCACCUGCUCUAUCGCCGCUGUUUCGGCACGGCACCGCCGACGGUGGCGGUGUUUAUCGACAAGGGUAUCACCGGAAAAACGGUACUGUACUUGCGCCUCUCUUUCAUUUGCCUAGAUCUGUCUUCUCUGUGUUUUUUCACCUUUCAGUUCUUUUUUAUUUGUAUAUAAUUGUUUUACUUUUUCUUUAUGUACCAUAUGUAUUGGAUCAUACGUCAAUUUUGCGCUGAUUGGUCGAGGUUGUGUUUAUGUUUUGUUUCCAAGUUGUAGUCCUUGUCUCGUUUUUAGUUUUUUUUUGGUUUUGCAUUUUCAGAGUUACAGCACGGUGUUGAAGUAUGUGAUGCUGAGUUUUGAGUUUUGAUGCAUAGUUUGGUCUGAGUCGCCAUCCCGAGUAUUUUGUUUAGCACCGAGUUGAGUGAAACCGUGUUUGCGUCGUUUGAUUUGCUAGUUUUGUGCGCUUCUGCUGAUUUCACUAGCUUAAAUGAUUGCCUGGAUUUAGUUCUGAGUAUUGUUUCCUGUUAGUUCUUUUUUCAGCCAAGUAACGCCCGAGUCGCAUGAUCCUAGUUUUAAUGUUGCAUUAUUUUGUUUAUUAUUGUCUGAGCUGCUUUUUGAUUUUUUGUCGCUACUGAGUCAAUUAAUCCAAGAGUUGAUACGGGUGUCAUGUUGAAUUAGUAGUGGUCACUUAAUUAGUGUUAUUCUGAUUGAAUUAUUUUAUGGCAUGAUUUUAGUUUUAGAAUUGUAAAUUUGAAUAUUAUUUGGAAUUGUAAAUUUGAAUAUUAUUUGAUUUUGAUAGUAGUAAUUGUAGAUCUUGAUUUGUUACGUUUUAAAUUGUGAUUGGAUAAAUAUUCUUUUUGAAUAUUUAGUACCAUUUAUAAGGUCAUUAUUGAUGACAUUUUAUGCCUUUAAUGGCUUUUAGUGCCAUUUUUAUGGCUUCCGUUACCAUUUUGAUAGUCAUUACAUUUAAUAUAUGAAUUAGAUUUUAAACUUAAUUUUUAUUCUUCAGUUAAAAUUUUAAAUUUUUAUGUGUCUAACCAAAGGAUUUUCCUUUAGUUAGAUAUUUAUUAAUAAUUCUACAUUAUAUAUAUAUAUUCCUCUUUAUUUUUUGAUAUAUAUACUCUUUACUUUUUGUUUUUAUUAGAUUUUUUUGUAUAUUGAUUUAUGUUUUAUUUGAUUGUUUUUUUCUCAGGAUACUUUGGAAGUGAGCUGUAGUGUAUGGGUAUUCUUUUCUAAUUCAUUUAAGCUUUAUUGUCUAAACGUCCGGAGUUAUGCUCGCAUGACUUUCGGUUAGAUGAUAAACUUUCUUGAAAGAAAGAUAUCCCAGUUGCGGUUUAUUGUAUUUCGAUACAAUUCAUCUACAAUUAUGUAGACCUUUAAAAAAAAAACUCACUACAACCCCACCUCCAUUAUAUACACUCUGUUUUCUUUCCGUUUUCUUUAUCAAAGUCACCUGCUCAGUUUUUGUUCAAAACAUAAACCCCUGCUUUGUUUUUCUCUAAAACCCCAUUCCCCUGUUUUAUUUUUCUUUCGCUGAGUCGCACACCGAGUCAAUCGAGUAGUACGAGUCCGAGUUUUGCUUGCAAUCGCUGUUAAAUUUCCGAGUUGGGGUCUGAGUUUGUGUUUUCGUUACUUAGUUUCUUCGAGUUCAGAAUCAUCAUUGAGUCAUUGCUUGUUUAUUUGCUGCUCGAGUUGAACUUGUUAGAUGGGUUUCUGUUGAAUGCCGAGUUGAAAUACGAGGUCCUGAGUCACCGAGUCCGUUGAUUUCUCUUCCUUCUUUUUGUUUGCCGAGUCGUCUGAGUUGUUUGGUUGCUGGGUCGAGUCGUAGAGUCGUAGCGAUUUCUUUAAGUGUAAAUUUCAUCCUCCUGUUUUCGGCUGCUGUUUGAGUAUUUUGUUUGCGUCAUUCCUGCUGGUUUGAGUCGUUCACCCGAGUCGCUCUACUUUGUUUACGUUGUGUUCUGCUACGUUUGAUGAAGUUCAGUUUCGAGUCAUCGCGUCUGUUUCGAUUUCUGUUGCUGGGUUUGUUGCUAGUUGUUUACUGUUCAGUUUGUUUUUCAGUCGAUGUUUGUGUGUGAGUCGAUUGUGUCGAGUCCAGUGCUGAGUGUUUUUAUUGUUUAUCGUCGAGUUUUUGAGGAGCUGAGUUCAAUGUUAAGUGGCUGAGUUCGAGUUACCGAGUCAUCGAGUCCUGGGAGUUGAGUUCGUAUCACUGGGUUAAAUUUUUGUUUAAGUUGUAUACGAGUGUUGAUUUCUCUAGUGUCCCCAUUUGUCUGUUCAAGCUGGCCGUAUUCUUUAUUGGGUCCAGGUCCCCAGCAAUCGAUUGUUGGGGGACCUUUAACCAACACAUGCUGUUUGAGCCGUCCGAUGGGCCAAUUAAGGGCCACGAUUAAAAAACCGUCCAGCGCUUUUUUGUCGCUGGACGUGUGUCGUCCAGCGCUAAAAAAUCGCUGGACGAGUGUAUGUUUUUUAACCGUCCAGCGCUAAAAAAGCGCUGAAAAGACAGAGACACAUAUAUAAGCGUGAAACAAAGACAUAAUGUAUACAAACAUUUGAAAAAAGGAGCGAGCGAGCAAUUUGAAUCGUGUUUUACCACUGCAAUCACCCAUUCUUCGAUUGAUUCUCGCAUAUCUGUAGAAUCAUGCUUUACCAGUUGAUUAUCGUGCUUUACCAGUUUGUUGGAUUCAAGGCAGUGGAGUCGAAGUUUAUCGGGUAAUCUCACCCCUUCAACCUCGUAGCUAUUUGGUUGCUGUUAGGUUUAGGAUGUAGGUUUAGGAUGUUUGUAUGGCUUCGAUUAUACGUUGCAGUUUGCAAUAAAACCUUGCUUUUUCGUAGUGAAUGCAAAUUGUUUGAUAAAAUGCCUCUUUGAAUAUGCUGGUUUGAAAGUGUUUGUUUAAAUGCAUCUUAGAACAGGUUCAUUGCAAACUCUGAUUUAUGUUAUGCAAUGAUUUGUCGUCAUGAAUUUAUGGUUGAUUGCAAUGUGUUUUAUGCUUUAGUUUCAGUUAGUAUAUACUUGAAUUUGUUAGUGAAUUUGCACUGAUUUUGUACGGUUAUAAUGUAUGAAUUUGUAAGUGAAUUUAGGCUGUUUGAGUGAUGCUGAUUUCUUUGUCGAUAUCUGUUGUGUUGUAUUGUCAUUAAGCGUCACUGAUUUAUUGUCGAUAUAUGUUAUCUGCUUUGUAAUGUAUGAAUUUGUAAGUGAAUUUGUUAGUGAAUUUGCACUGAAUUUGUAAGGGUAAUUUAUGAAUUUGUAAGUGAUUUUUUGUGUUUGGGAUCUGCAGAGAUGGAGGACAUAUUGCCAGGACCGAGCAGCUGGGUGGUUAUCGCUGACAAUGCUUACCAUGUCAGUGAUAGUGUAUGGAGAGGUACAGAUAGGGGGCCUUUAGAGUGCUUUGGUGCGAGCCGUCUACUUCAUGUUUGGGUUCUGUUUGAGGCACAGAAGGAGUUGUUGCACGCCGUGGGAUUUGGAUUGUUUGCUAACCAGGAUGUGGGGGUACAUAAUGACACGGCAUUAGUCUCUGCACUCGUGGAGCGGUGGAGGCUUGAGACCAACACCUUCUUCAUGCGCCAGGGUGAGAUGACUAUUACUCUCCAGGAUGUGAGUUAUAUUCUGGGCCUGCCUAUUCUUGGGCAACCUUUGGGAGGGCCAUCCAUACAGUGCCCGGGGUCGUGGUUUCGAAGAUUUUGGUUAGAGCCACUGAGUGAUGCAGAUUAUGAGGCUGGUUGGAAUAAGUCAGGCAUCAAGUUCACCUGGCUUCAUCAUAGAUAUGGACGGGCAGGUGUGGAGGGUGACCCUGAGCGGAUUGCAAUUCACGCGCAGGCUUACCAAGCGAAACUUGAAUAGACUCGGACCUGUCAUACAAACUAAACUUUGCAAGAAGAAACGGAUUAGGCUUAUCAUCAAGAUUGUCCGUUUGCAAAUUAUGUACGAACCCCUUCACAUAUGCGAUACGAAAUUGAUCUUUUUGGAAACGUGUCUCGCGGGGCCUCAAAUUGUUUAUCUGAGCAAUUCGCUCGACAUUGACAAGUUCGCCUCCAUCCCAAGGACGUAGCACAAAACGCUUGUCUUUGUCCAAAGCGUCUGCUCCCAAAAGCCUAAUGUGAAUGAAAUACGGUGGCGGGCAUCUCCUUGCCUUUGCCUCCAUUUCUCCACUAGCAAUCCAUGUACACGCAUCGCUCCAUCUCCUAUCCCUUUCACUUUCUUCCUCCAUAGGGUACAAGUUGAAAUCCUCUUCUUUAACCACAGGAGCAUUUAUGAAGAACCCGUUUGCAUACGAUGGGCAAUCUAAUGCCUCCAUUUCUCCACUAGCAAUCCAUCCACACGCUUCAAUUUCUUCCACCAUAGGAUCUAAGUUGGAAUCCUCUUCUUCGACUACGGGAGCAUCAAUCAAGAAUCCAUUUGCAUACGAUGGACCAUCUAACGACAACCGGUCAAUAAUGUCAAGCAUCUCAUUGUCCGACGGGGUGGACCAAGAACGGAACCAACUUUCACUAAGAGCCUCCUUCGAGGGUGAAAGCGAAUCACUAACAUGAGUAAGUGUGUCACUAAUGUCAGAUAGGUGGCCAUUUUCCAUUUUUCACCUACAAAUAAAAAUCACAUAAAAUCAUAUAAAAUCACUUUAUAUCACAUAAAAUCAUACGAAAUGACAUUAAAUCACAUAAAAUCAUACAAAGUGACAUAAAAUCCUAAAAAAUCAUAUAAAAGCACAUAAAAUCACAUAAAAUCCUAUAAAAAUCAUAUGUGACAAGAUCACAUAAAAUCAUAUAAAAUCACAUAAAAUCAUAUAAAAUCACAUAAAAUCACAUAAAAUCCUAUAAAAUCACCUAAAAAAGUUACAUCUCAGCACUCUUAUUUUGGUCUCCAAAUUUUUUGCAAGUCCUUAUGUCAUGGCCAUCUUAAUGACAUUGCUUGCAUUUUCUCUUUUUCUUACUAAGGCCUUCAAUUGGAUUUUUGAAACGUUGUGGCUUCUUCCUACCCUUCGUUUGAGACACUAUAGGAUCAAGUACCGGCUCGUUCAAGUCGUCACCAAUAUUCUCUUCAAUGGGAUUCUCAGUAUUUGUAUUGAGAGCAGUAUCAUCAUCAUCAACAGCCAUUUUCUCAAGAUUUGCAAUUUCUCGAUUCAUCACCUCUAGGGCAUACUCAUAUCUUUCUUUCGAAACCAUUCUACUAUGACAAAAACUCAUUGUUAACAAAAUCAUAUGGUUGAAUCUUUGACUUGGUGUCAAUUCUGUAGAUGUUGGAUCAUCGCAACCCAUAGCAUAAGGUAGCAUACCAUCUACCCUAUUAGCAUCUCUAGUCCAACGACGUUGAAUAAAUGUUACUGGAAUUUGGGCAACAUUUUUCUUGUUUAAAACGGCAAUGAUGUGUCGACACGGGAUUCCUAAAUGUUCAUACAUCCGACACACACAUCUUCCUGUUAGGGCCACUUUGUUGAACUUCACUUCAUACAGUGUUCUUUUGUCGACUUCGGUCAGGGGUCUAAAACACCUAUAAUGUGUGACUUCAUCCCCUAACGUCAACUGAUCUUUAUCCUUCUCCACAAAGUAUUUAGAGGCUUCUAGCAAUUGAACUUGAAAUUGGCGAAACAUCUCCUUGGUAUACAUGGAAGCCCCGUCUUGUUCCAAAGCCGUCUUCAACCUCAUGUAACGGGUUUUAUUCUUUGUGUCAUUGUCCUCCUCCUUCUCCCGCAUAAAUUGUCUUUCAAUUGCUUUCUGUGCAUUCUCAACAAAUUCCUUCAAUCCUGUACUAGAACUGACAUAGCUAUCAAAGAAUGCAUUCAUCCCCUCGCUCCUCGAUGUCGUGUUCUGACCCGCAGAGAAUGUACUCUUACUGUAGGCCGAGAUCCAUUUCUCCUUCAACAAAUACAAUCCUUGCAACCAUGAAUGAUCUUUCAAAUCAUACUUCACCACUAAAUUUUUCCACCUCUCCUCAAAAAUAUCCUCCGUCAAUGAAUGGUAUAUGCAUUUGUUGAAAUCUACUUUGAAUGUUCCCGGAUGCUUAAUAUAAAGGGUGUUCAAUUUUUCGGGGAACUUCUGGCUUAUAUGCCAAGAACACAACAAAUGUCGGGUUUGGGGUAGUAUGGAUGCAAUUGCCCCCGCCAUAGCUUGAUCUGCUUUAUCUUGGUCCGUGAUUAUAGUGUUCGGGUGUUUAUCGCCAACCGCUUCAAGCCAUGUUCUUAGCACCCAUUCGAAACUACUUUUUACUUCAUCCCUCAUGAGUGCAAAUCCAAAAAGAACAGAUUGGUAAUGAUGAUUGACCCCUGUAAAAGGCACAAAUGGCAUGGCAUACCUAUUCGUUCGGUAUGUCGUAUCAAAAGCAACAACAUCUCCAAAAUUACUAUAGGCCAUCAAACAUUUAGGAUCCACCCAUACUAGAUUUUUCAAACGGUUUUCUCCAUCCACUUGAGUUUUCACAAAAAACUUCCCACCGCCUUCCUCUUUAAGACGACUUAACAAAUCCAAACCCGCUUGAGCAUCACUCACUUGUAUCUUUUUCUUCCGCUCAUCCCACACUACAUUCCUAAUAUUUUGGCUACCAAAACCAACAUUACUUACUCCACCUUGCAUAUUGCUAAAAAGACUCAUGGUUUGGCUAGGGCAAAUACCUGACACAUUUAACACAUUUAUAAGAUUUCUUGCCGCACUCGUCAUAUGUCUUUCCCGUUGAAUCAAACUCAUCUUACUAGGAGAUACAAGAUCAUGAUUGUGUUCUAAUUCAACGGUUGUCAACUCCCAAUAAUCUUUUUUCUUCUUUUUCACAACAAACAUCCUAACCUUACAACCACUUCUAGGAAGUUUAUCCCGAGGACGUGUGCCGUUACUACUACCUACACAUACUUCUUCAUCCACAACAUUUUUGUCUUGAUUUUCACCCGCAAGUCUACAAACAAACAUCCGGGCAUAUAUUUUAUCAACUUUUGCCCUUUUCUUUGUUUGUUGUAUUUUCACAGCAAACCCAUCCUUAAGGGCAUAUGACCUGAUAAAUCUAUCCGCGUCAUCUAAAUUAUCAAAUCUCUGAUUCAAAUACGGGACUUCCAUAUUUUUAUUUCUUUCAUUCUCAUCAUUAAAUUUAUUAUCCACUCCUUUAUCAUCACUCUCUACGUUCUCAUCAACCUCAUCAUCACCACUAACAACAUUUCGAUCAUCAAUACAAUCUUCAUCAACACUAACAUAUUCUUUAUCAUCAACAUUUUCAUCAUCUUUUAAAUCAAUAAACACACGAUCUACAACACUAUCAACCUUAACAACAUCAUCUACAUCUACGUAAUCCUUAUUAUCAACUUUUUUUACUCUUUUUCUUGGAACAAAAUCCUCGAACAAAGAAUCCGCCAUAAUAACAACAACACAAACGAAGCAAACAACUAGAUUAGAGUAAGAAAUUACCACAACCUUGAGUAUGCACUUGCUUCUUUAGCUCCAAAGAGUAUGCACUUACCACAAACCCUAGCUCUCCAAUUUUUUAACCUCCUCGAUCUUUUUUCUACCACUAACCUAAAGUGACCUAGUACGUGAGUAUAUGAUCAUUUCUCUGUGUUUCCAGCGCUUUUUUAGCGCUGGACGAGUAAAAAUAUCUAACUCAUCCAGCGCUUUUUUAGCGCUGGACGGUAGACGUCCAGCGGUAAAAAAGCGCUGGAUGGUUUUUAAAUCUCGACCGUUGAUCUCGCCAUCGGACGGCUCGCGAGGGGUGUGUUGGUUAAAGGUCCCCCAGCAACCGAUUGCUGGGGACCUGGACCCUUCUUUAUUUACUAUUAAUUUUAUUAGAUACUGAUUUGAUUGUGUUUGUUGACGGAAUGGCUAGUUGUACAUACGUAAGGGUCAUGUCAAAAUUGUAUGUUUUCUUUUUAAACUCGUUUCCUUAGGAAUUAGUAGUAAUUUUAUUUAAACCACUAAUUAGUUAAAAGUGAUUAAGUGGUAACUAUUUAAGAUUAAUUAGAUCAGAUUCUAAAUCAUAGUUUAUGAUUAUUAAAAUUAGUUUUUAAAAUAUCCACUCUUCACCAUUAAUUGUUCUAAUUUGCCUAGAUGAAAGAUUAAGGUUUCGAAAAUUUUUUUAAUCUCCGUGGAAUCGAAUCUUAAAUACUAAAACGUGAUCGUGCGCUUGCGAUUAAUUUAAAAAUCAUUUUUCUAGCACAUCACAAAGGAGAUAUGGGAUGCAUUGGAAGCUUAUCAUGAAGGUUCAAAGGGUCUAAGGAAAGUAAAGUUGGGACAACUAAUGAAGGAACUUGGUGCUUUCGGUUUGCAAAAGGGAGAAACAAUUAAAGAAGCUCAAGCUAGAUUUCAACUCAUUAUCAAUAACCUAGGGAGACUUGGAAAGAUAAUUCCUCAAUCAGAAUUCAACAUGAACAUUCUCGCUUCUGUUCCAUUCGACUUUCAAGCCAAAGUAACUGCCUUGGAAGCUGCUCACAAUAUUGAUACAAUGGACCAUCUAGCUCUUUUUGCUGAAUUGGAACAAUUUGAAAGAAAGAUGAAUGCCAAGAAGCAUGAUGCUCUAGUUGAGAAAAUGAAGAAUUUAGCUCUUACUGCUGAAAAGAGCAAGCCAAAAUCAGAUGAGGAAUCAGACGAAGAUCUUGCACUCCUUUCCAAGAAGAUUCAACGGAUGAUUAACAAACAUAAUCAGCUGAAAAGGGAGAAAGGCAAGGAUAAGGCUAAGUACUCAAGUAGCAGAAAGCCUUCCAAGGAAUCAAAGGAUCAGAACUGCUUCGAAUGUGGAAAGCCUGGUCACUUCAAGAAGGACUGCUACAAGCUGAAGUCAAAACAGCCUGCUGUUUCCAGAGACAAAAAGAAGAAAUCUAAAGCACUUCUGACUUGGAGUGAUGAUGAUGAAAGAAUCUGCUUCUAGUGAUGAUUGGUGAGGAAAUGAUCAACCUUGCACUUGUUGGCAUCGAGGAUGAUAAUGUUCAAGGACUCACCGAUGAUGGUCUUGUCGAAACUGGCUCCGAGGAUGACAACAGUGAGGUUAGUUCGUUUAGAUUUGAUAUUUCAAAUGAUAAUCUUGUGCUAGAACAACUAACCAUGCAGGCACAAGAUCAUAUUCCAAAUGAGGAAUAUAAUUCUCUCAAGGCAGAAAACAGCAAGCUGAUUGAAAUGAACAACUAUCUUAAGAACAUGGUUCAAGAGCUUAUGCGGAAGAUAGAUAAAUUCUUUGACUCCAAAGAGCCUACUCAAGCCAGAAUGAAGGAACUUCAAGAAAAGCUAGAUCAAGCUGAAGGUUUUCAUAAAGUUUUGAUGAGACGAAAUGAAGUUCGGAAAGAAGAGAUCUCCCAGUUGAAACAAGAAGUAGAAGCCAGAGAUGCAUGCCUAGAGACAUUCAAGCUAAAGGAAUCUACAAAGUUGCAUACAUCUCAGCCUGCUCCCAGUACAUCUCAGCCUGCUGCAAGUACUUCACAGCCCACUACUACAACAAACCAGCAAGCUGAAAAGAUCAAAAUUCUCGAAACAGAAGUAUUGAAGCUCAGAAAAGGAAUGAGAACUUUUGUUCAAGGAGAAGAAGGUCUAAAAUAUAUGAUGAAGAGCAUCAAGGUUCCACUGGAUAAAGAAGGUGUUGGUCAAAACUUCAACAAGAAGGCAAAUGCUCUCAAGUAUGAAGGAAGGCGUGGCAAACCAUACAAAUAUGCUAUGCACUGGAAUAAAUGUGCAAAAUGUGGAGGACAAGGACAUCUAGCUCAGAAUUGCAGAGUCAGGCCUCAAAGACAGAACUUCCAGAAAAGAUCAGAAGGGAAAACACCCUACUGGAACAAGAAAACAGCUUACCAGAAUGGUCUAAACAGAAGCUAUAGAACUCAGCAGCAUACAUAUCCUACUGUGGUCCAAAAGUGGAUCAAGAAAACUGAUUUAAAUGCUUUAUAUGUUCUUGCUUCUAACCAGAAUGGACCCAAACCAAUUUGGGUACCAAAGGGUUGAGUUUCGUUUUCUUUGUUUUGCAGAUGUGUCUUGCUGCUAAGAUCAAGUCUACACAAUGGAUCAUUGAUAGUGGUUGUACAAGGCAUAUGUGUGGAGACAAAACUCAGUUUAAGAGUCUGAAGAUGAAAAGAGGAGGAAGUGUAACUAUUGGUGAUAGUAAAACUCUCCCUAUUCUAGGUAAAGGUAAAGUUGGUAAUGACACUGCCUCUAUUUCUAAUGUUAGAUUUGUUAAAGGCUUAAAAUAUAAUUUGCUUAGUGUAAGUCAAUUGCAUGAUGAUGGUCAUAAAGUUGAAUUCUCUAAGGAUAAAUGUCUUAUUACUGUUGGUACUAACCAGAUUCCUCUAGUUGCUAGAAGGAAAGGAAAUAUAUAUAUCUUAGAUUUUGAGUUGCAGAAAACAGCCUGCUGUUUAGCUGCUGUGGAUGCUGAUCCAACCAUUUGGCAUAGAAGAUUGGGUCAUGCUCACAUGGACUUGCUUAAGAAGUUGUCAAGCAAGGAGCUAGUGAGGGGUCUGCCCAAAUUAAAGUAUGCCAAGACCGAAGUGUGUUCAGCAUGUCAAUUCUAACUGUUACCGUUAACUUUUGCAGGUUACCGUUAACUUUUGCAGGGGAUCUUAGAUUUUGAGUUGCAGAAAAGAGCCUGCUGUUUAGCUGCUGUGGAUGUUGAUCCAACCAUUUGGCAUAGAAGAUUGGGUCAUGCUCACAUGGACUUGCUUAAGAAGUUGUCAAGCAAGGAGCUAGUGAGGGGUCUGCCCAAAUUAAAGUAUGCCAAGACCGAGGUGUGUUCAGCAUGUCAGCUAGGCAAGCAAAUCCGAAGCACUCAUAAGGCUAAGAAUAUGGUAUCAACUUCUCAACCUCUAGAACUCUUACACUUAGACUUGUUUGGUCCUAAGGCUUAUAAAAGCAUUGGAGGUAAGCAAUAUUGUUUGGUUGUUGUUGAUGAUUAUUCUCGAUAUUCAUGGACUUUAUUUCUUCGUACUAAAGAUUGUGCAUUUGAAGAAUUUGAAAUUCUAAUCAAACUUCUUGAGAAUAAGUUGAAAACCAAGCUUAUAGGUAUAAGGAGUGAUCAUGGAGGUGAAUUCCAAAAGGACUUUAUUACAUACUGUGAAGAAAGAGGACUCACUCACCAAUUCUCAGCUCCAAGGACACCUCAACAAAAUGGAGUCGUAGAGCGCAAAAACAGGUCACUUCAGGAAACAGCAAGGACGUUAUUGCAAGAAAGCAAGCUGCCAAGAAGUUUCUGGGCAGAAGCAGUCAAUACAGCCUGCUAUGUUCUGAACAGGGUGAUCAUCAGGCCUAUCUUGAACAAGACUCCAUAUGAGUUGCUGAGAAAUAAGACUCCUAAUAUCGGGUACUUUAAAGUUUUUGGUUCUAAAUGUUUUGUUCUUAAAAAGAUUGAUAGAGUUGGUAAAUUUGAUGCUAAAUCUUUUGAAGCUAUCUUUCUUGGUUAUUCUUCAACUAGUCGUGCAUAUAGAUAUUAUAAUUUAGAUAAACAUACUGUUGAAGAAUCUAUUGAUAUUGUCUUCAAAGAACCUAACAAUGAUCUGCCAAGAGAUGAGGAAGAUGAUGCAGGUAUUGAUCCAAAUGCUCAACCUCAAUCUGAUGAGAAGAAGUCAGAGGAAGCUGCUACUCCAACAUCUAAGCUAGCUGAAACUCCAUCUUCACAAACUGUCACUCCAUCACAGCAAGCUGGAACAUCAUCUCAGCCUACUGGAAUGACAUCUCAACAAGCUGGAUCUUCAUCUCAGCAAGGUGGAACAGAAUCUCAGCAAGCUGGACUCUCCUCUGCAGUCAGGAAUCUCUCCAACAUUCUGUCUCAAAUGAAGCUUGAUGGAUCUUAUGAUGAUGAUGUACCACCAACAAAGCGGAUUCGAACAUCUCAUGAAGAAAUAUCUUAAAAAACUCUGCCCAAGGCUACAAGGACAGUAAAGAAUCAUCCUCCCGAGUUAGUGAUUGGUGACAUUUCAAAAGGAAUCAAGACAAGAAAAGGAAAAGCAAACUUCUGUUCUUAUGCUGCUUUUCUAGCUCAAGAAGAACCAAAAUCUGUUCAAGAAGCUCUCAAAGAUGAAAAUUGGAUCAUGGCUAUGCAAGAAGAACUCAACCAAUUCGAAAGAUGUGAUGUUUGGGAAUUGGUAAAGCGUCCAGAGAAUGCAUCAGUUGUUGGCACUAGAUGGGUAUUUAAGAACAAGCUUGAUGAAGAAGGUACUAUCACUCGCAACAAAGCAAGGCUUGUGGCUCAAGGAUACAACCAGCAAGAAGGAAUCGAUUUUGAUCAAACAUAUGCUCCGGUUGCUCGCUUGGAAUCAAUCAGAAUGCUCUUGGCUUAUGCAUGCUACAAAAAGAUCAAGCUGUUUCAGAUGGAUGUGAAGAGUGCUUUCCUAAACGGCCUGCUGGAAGAGGAAGUUUAUGUAAAACAGCCGCCUGGUUUUGAACAUGAACAAUAUCCAGACUACGUCUACAAGUUGAAGAAAGCUCUUUAUGGAUUGAAACAAGCACCUAGAUCAUGGUACAAGAGCCUCAGUAAGCUCUUAAUUAAGAAUGGUUUUGUACGAGGCAAGAUUGAUCCUACUCUAUUUACAAAAUCUCUUAAUGGUGAAAUCUUAGUAGUCCAAGUUUAUGUUGAUGAUAUUAUCUUUGGGUCUACUAAUAAUGAACUUUGUGAGUGGUUUUCGAAGUGUAUGCAUAGUGAAUUUGACAUGAGCAUGAUGGGUGAGCUCAACUAUUUCUUGGGUCUUCAAAUCAAGCAAACUUCUGAUGGUAUCUAUGUGCACCAAGGAAAAUAUGUGAAAGAGUUGCUGAAGAGAUUUGGAUUUGAAAAUGUCAAGUCAAAACCCACUCCAAUGUCUCAAACCAGCAAGCUGUUUUCAGAUGAAUCAGGUAAAAGUGUUGAUAUAACACGAUAUCGAGGUAUGAUUGGAUCUCUAUUAUAUCUAACAGCCUCUAGACCUGAUAUCAUGUAUAGUGUAUGUGUUUGUGCACGGUUUCAAGCUAAUCCAAAGGAGUCCCACUUAAAUGCUAUUAAGAGGAUCUUUCGAUACUUAAGUGGUACUAUUAAUCUUGGACUUUUCUAUCCUAUAUCAAAUACUUUUGAUCUCGUGGGGUAUAGUGAUGCAGAUUAUGCCGGUUCUCAAACGGACAGGAAAACCACAAGUGGUGUUUGCAAUUUUCUUUGUUCUAGCUUGGUGUGUUGGCAAAGUAAGAAGCAAAAAUCUAUAGCUCUCUCUACAACUAAAGGUGAAUAUCUAGCUGCAGGGAGCUGUUUUUCUCAAAUGCUUUGGAUGAUGCAAACUCUCAAGUAUUUUGGAAUCAAAUGUGACAAAGUCCCAAUAUAUUAUGACAACACUAGCACAAUAAAUAUCUCAGAAAAUCCGGUUCUUCACUCCCGCACAAAGCAUAUCGACGUUCAACAUCAUUUCUUGCGUGAUAAUGUGGCCAAUGGAAAGAUCAGUCUAGUAUAUGUUCCUACGGAGUAUCAGCUCGCUGACGUUUUUACCAAGCCUCUGCCCGAAGAACGAUUCUUAAUCAUCCGCAGGGAAUUGGGUAUGUGUUCAGUCUAAAUCAGCAAGCUGGUUCUGGUAUGUAGCCUAUUACUUUAAAUCUUCCAUUAUAGUAGCUAGCUGUUGUGUAUGUGUCGUUUAAUCUAUUUGGUUGGUGGUAGUCAACACUUAUCUCUGUGCACAUUCAAUGCUGUUGUAGUUAUCUGUGCUCUGUAUUAUGUGCUACAUUUUAAAAUUUUAAAAUUCUUGUUAUAUAUCUUCUUAUCUGCUACCUGAUAUAUGUUCUUUAAAAUAUGUUUUAUCUAAUUAAAUGGGGUUUUAGUUAUUUUAAGUCAAGUAUUUCAAGGAUAUCUCCUCAAUUCUCGGUAAAAAGGUUUAUCUCGGAGAUAUAUUAUUCAAAUAUUUGGGAACUCCUACAGCCUCGCAUCUCUCCACAACAAAAGUCUACCAAGGGUUUUAUUUUCAAAAUUACACUAGCGCUCGUCUCUCUCUACACUCUCAACCGAGCUCUCUCCAAAACCCUACCAAUGGCGAAAACCAGAAACACCACCACUCCGGCCUCUAGUUCUAAGAAACGCCCUCGUCCCUCCACCUCUGACUGCAUCAUCAUCGACACCACUGUCGAAACACAGGAGUCCUCAAACCCUACAACGGACGAUGUUCUGAGUUCCGAUGAAGACUCCGCAGUGGUUCCAAUUCUUAAGAAAUCUCGGUAUGCUAUCAAAUUCAUGAACAAAGACCUCGAAAUCAGGUAUCGCGAUUAUAACCUUGCUAGUCGUAAGAUUAUUUAUAGAAAGUCUAUUGUUGGAUCGGAAUUUGCUGAUUGUGGUUUAAUUGAGAUUUUUGACACUAUUGGGAUGAAGUCGUUAAUUGAUUUACCUGAUGUUUGCUAUCCCUUCCUUGUUCAAGAAUUUUAUGCUAAUUUGCAUACACCAACUAAGGGCCGUUUUAUCAGUCGGGUACGGGAUCAGGGUAUUUGUCUGAAUGCUACAAUAUUGAAUGGUAUGUUAGAAUUUAAGAAUAUCACUGAUGACUUGAUUGUGCCUCUCACUAAAAAGGGGAUUUGUGACUUGUUUGAGGAUUUAUCUGAAUUAGAACAACACAGUCUAGUUCGUGGUGAUGUUGAUAAUAUUGAUGUGUCUUCACCCACCACUGCCCAACUUGACCUGAUGACACAUUUGUUGUUCAAGAUUUGUCGCACAAAUAUCUACCCUCGCAUUGGUAGUCGAUCUGGGUUAACUUGUCAGGAUCUUAUUCUUGUGUCCUUACUGUUGAAAAAGAAGAAAUUUAAUAUAUCUGGAUUGAUCUUGCACAAUAUGAUGGAUUGUUUGAAGAAGAAAACCCGUGCUUUUCCAUAUGCUCUUUUACUUUCUCAGGUGUUUGAGUUUUCGGGUGUGAAAUUGGAAGAGAAGGAAGCAGUGGAUGCUACUGAAUUUAUUGAUUGCUCCAGUCUCACUUAGUCCAGUCUUCAGAUCAAUGAGCUCGGAUUUUAGAAAAGAUUCCCCCACCGAUUGUGCCUUCACAUGUGUCUACGUCCAGUCUGCCAGAUUCUUCCUCUGUUGCUUCAAGUAUUCAAGCUCUCUUCGCCAAAUUGGAAGACAAGUUUGCUGAUAUUCAGAGGGAAUUUGCAAAGUAUAAGCAGGCAGUUAGUGAGGUGAAAGCCCAGAACACUGAGAUCAAGGGUAUGGCAACUGAAUUGCUUGGCUACUUUCAGAAAGCUAAAUCUGUUGUUAGAGCUGCCAGGACUGCUACAGAGGCUGAUAAGGAAGCUUAUCAGAAUGCUGCAAAGGACCUCUCCAAUGCUCAGAUUUCCUCUCCUGCCAUUGCUUCGGGUUCAGUCAAUCAGGAUUAGGUUGUUGUGGACGACCUUUUUGCUGAUUAAGGGGGAGAAAUCAGGAGGAGUACUUGGCUUGGGGCUGGGAAUUUUUAAUUUACUGCUUUUAUUAUGAAUUUCUAUCAGACUUGUGGUGCCAUGCUACUUUAUGUGUUUUAAGACUUAAUUUGCUUUUGAUGUGCUGAAAUAUCAGCAAGACAUGUUAUGUGGUUUAUGUGUGGAUUAUGCUGUGAUAACAGCUUAUUGACUUGGUUGUUUAAUUGUUGGAUUUCGUUAAGUCAGUUUAUGAUAUGUUAAGCUAUUAUUGUGUUAAAUUGUUUAGGUAGCUAAUUUCUUUGAUAAUCUAUGCUAGAAUUCCAUUGCUUCUAACUUGUGUGUAGGUUUAUCAUAUUCAGGGGGAGUAUUACUCCUGAUAUUUGUGUAAUCAUCAAAAAGGGGGAGAUUGUAAAUCCCAAGUUUUGAUGAUGACACAAUUUAGCAAGCUACUAUCAUUUCCAUCUUAACAUAACGUAUUUACUCUGUUGUAGCCUGCUAUAUUAUUAUCUAAUCAUUUCUGCAGGUUUUAUAUAGACAACAGAACUAUAGCAAGCUAUUUCAUAUGUUAGCUUGACAUGCUUAAGUUAUAGUGUUAUAGCCUGCUGUGUUGCUUUUCUAAUACUGUUGCAGGAAUUUUACUGUAACAGAUUUAUAGCGAGGUGUUUUAUAAUAGCAAGCUAUAAAAGAGUCCUACCAGAAGUAGAACACUUCACAGAAUUGAAGCUGUUGACUUCUACAAAUAUUAGGACUUACAGUGUACGUUUUCUAAUCUGAAUAUGAGUUAAAUAUACAGAUUAUAAGCUCAGAUUAUGUAAAUGAAAACAAUUCCUAAAAUCAAGGAAGUUGUUACACUUUAAACUUAUCUUUUCAAAACACACUUCCUUAUCCCAUUUUAAUAGGAACUGUUGCUUCAAACGUCUUUCUAAAACUCAGCCCUCUAUUUCUGUGGAGUAUAGUAUUGAACUAACAACCUGCAACGUUCACAUAGUGCAACGUUUAUGGAGGUUUGUUUCAAUAUAGCCGUUAUAGCUUUUAGUAUAUAUACAGCUUGCUGUUUUCAAGAAAUAGUUAACAACUCACGAUCUUGAAAACAUUCUCAAUCUCUUAUGAGCUUAUAUUGUGUAUUCGAUUCAUAUCUUAUUAGAGAGCAUAGUUUGAGUUGUAAUCUCUCAUUUUUUAUUCAAAGUUUGUAUUUGAUUAGUCACUAAAGCUAGCGGGGUUCUAAGUAUAGAACAAAGGGGGAGUUAGAUAGAAUUAGUCUUCACAAGGUCUGAGGUGCUAAGGUUCGAGGAAUAAGGUGAAUUCAAGGAGGGAAGCUCAAGGAAUUCAGAGGUUCAAGAACAGGUGCACAGGGGGCUAAGUGUCGAGCUGUUUUCUGUCUGCUCAAGGUUUCAGCAAGCUGCUUUAGUUGACUGGGUAAAGGGAGAUAUAUUAUUAUUCUGUAAUUGUUGGAACUUUCAGUAAUAAUAUAUUCUCUUACCAAGUUGGUAAGGGACCAGGACGUAGACCAUUAGACAUAGGGGUCGAACCUGGCUAAAAUUGCUUGUGUCUGAUUUACAUUUCCGCACUUUACUGUUUUGCAUAAUAGCCUGCUAUAAUCACUUUUGAUCUGAAAACAGUAAGCUGAAAUAUUCGGUAAAAGUUUAAAAUUGACAUAGUUAGCCAUAUACACCUAUUCACCCCCCCCCUCUCGGUCUACUUACAGGGUUUGGGCACGGAGGUUAAGAAAUAUUAUAAAGUAGUGGAAAAGAGGAAGAAAAGUGGGUGAAGUGGUGGGCCAUUGAUUUUUAAUAUAUAAAAUAAAGAUAGUGGAGUAAAAGUAGUGUGAAAAAGGAGGAAAAAGUGGGAAAGUGAUGGGACCCAUUAACUAUUUUAGGAAAGUUAUGUAAUGAGAAAUGGAUGGGACAUCCAAAAAGGAAACUGUAAAGAAUCUGGUGAGACAGAGAGAGUAGUAUAUAUACCUUCUUGACGGCGGCUAAUAGCAGAUAUCAACUGCGGCAUUCUGCAUAUAGCCACAUCAGCUGCCAUCAGUUUGGCCCAUCUUUCGUAUGUUUCAUAUGUUCUUGUGAGUAAGUUGAACAUAUUAGUGUAUUCUUUAUCCAUGACUUUGUACAUUAAAGGCUUGAUACUCAUCAAACAAGAAGGCAUUGAUCGAUAGGAGGCUGACCUCAAUCCAAACGUAUUCCACUGGUUUAUAUCCACAUAUAGCGGUGCUAAUAUCAAUUCAACUGUGUCCGAAUAAUUUCUCUCCACGGCCAACUCUAAAAUGAUGCAACUUUUCUCAUCAGUUCUUUCCAAGAACAACUGAAUCAUGUUCCUCAACUGCUCAUCCCGGUAAUUAUUUAUAACAGUUUCCGUGAUUUGCCUAAUAGUAUCUCUUCUAUCUUCUUCUUAUUCUAGGAGGGACAAAAAAAAGUAUUAAUAAAAGCCCUUUUUUGUAGAUUUGAAAUAUCACAUUUUCAAAGUAUAGUAAAAUAAAAUUUAUUAGUGACUAAAUAAAUAAUAAAAUGUAGUGAAGAGGUUAGGGUUUAUAAACUGAAACUAUACCUGGGUCGGCAUUGUUGAUAAGAAGAUGUAAAACAGUGGUACUACCAUCACGAGCAUCCAUCGUAUCAUCAGCUUGCCUAAGGAAAGUUUACUAUUAAAAUUAAAAUUAUACCUGGGUCAGCAUUGUUGAUAAGGAAGGUAUAAUAAAAUAAAAUUUAUUGUUGACUGUUCCGUGUAUGUGAAUCACUUGGAUCGGCCUUUACUAUUAGCUUAACAAGGCCCACAUUACCCAUUGUUAGGUCCUGGAACGAUUGUAGAAGGGGGGGGGGUUGAGUACAAUCGUCACUUAAAAAUAAUCGCGGCGGAAUAAUCUAAUUGAAUAUAAAUUUGUUAAUCAGAUUUUAAUUAAUUAAUAUAACAAUGUUUAAGUCGUUAUAUAAUUAAUAUGGUUCAUUUUAAUGUCCACUAGUUCGUAGAAUAAGUUUGAUAGAAAGUAUUCUAACUCAGUGGAACAAAACAACCGAAUGAUCAAAGCACAGUAAACUGUGGAUUUAACGACUAGCAAGUUUAGCACAACUUUGAACACUUUGCAAAUGAAGUGGAAGAGCCAUAUUUAUAGGCAAAAUCCAAGAACAAGGCAAGACAAUGCAAAGAUGGCAAAGACAAUUUGGCACUUUGUCUUGCUGAAAAACACAAGGCAAGACAAUCUUAAGCAUUGUCUAUAGCCUAGUAAGACAAUCUGGAGUGGUAAGACAAUUAUCUAGGCACGGUAAGACAAUUGGGACAUGGUAAGACAAUCUUCAAAAUUGUCUUACAAGCCAUUCGGCAAGAGAAUCUUAAAGAUUGUUUUGGAAGCCACAGCAGGCAAGACAAUGAGGGACGCGGUAAGACAAUUACUGAGAUUGUCUUACCGUGUGUUGGAUGAGGUAAAUAACACUGUAAGACAAUCUCUUUGAUUGUCUUACCUUGUUGUUUCUUAAGACAAUCACUGAAAUUGUCUUUCCUUUUGAUCCAACAAGACAAACCCUUAUUCCCUUCAAUUAAUUAACCAAUUAAUAUUCACUUAAUUAUAUUAAAUGCAUAAAUUCAUAAAUUAAAUUAAUUCGAGAUAGAAUUAAUUUAAUAAAUAAAUUACACAUCAUAUAUAAUUAUUUUGAGAAGUGAAAUAAAUAAUUAGAUAAUCAAUUAUCCAUUUUCUUCUUCAGUAGAGUCUUCAGUCUUCUGUAAACAAUUAAGAUCUUCGACUUGAUUGAACGGCCACCUUGUUUUGACGUAGAAUAUUUAAUCUGAUAAGCUGAUACACAAAUGUACUGUCUGGUUCAUCUAUAACUAGCUCAAUUAAAUAUUCCUUAUCAUUUAAACAAUUAAGUUGUGGCUUGUUCGUCGAUUCUUCGUCUUCUGAGUUCUUCUUCAUUUGUAGACAUAAUAAUGGAAAUAUGGAAUCUUCUGAAUAAAUAAAGUAUUGAAACUUUAUACCUUCUGAUCUUCUGGAUGUGCUACAAAAGGUUAUUUGUACACUGAGGCUUGAACAUAUUAAUGAACUUCUUCCAGUGGUUUGUAGCAGCAUCUUGAAAUUCUUCUGACAUAAAAUCUUCAAUAAAUCAUUUGACGUUCUUCGUACGGAUUCCGGAUAACAGUACUUGCUAUUUACUUACUUUCUUAUUAGAGUUGAGUUGAUACUCUUAAAUACAAAUAGGCUUAACAUAUGCCUUUCAAUCUGCCCCUAUUUGUUUGUUAACAUAACAUGCAAAUUAUCGAGAGGAUAACUCAACUAACUGAUAAGACAAAGGAUUAAACAUUGAAAGAUAAAUAGCAAAAGUUUCUGGUAUUCAUUAGACAUUCACCAGAUUCAAACAUUAAAGAUAGAUUACAAAAGGGGUGUUCAUUUAGAACAAAUAUUACAAUACCCUAUAUAAUCUAAGUAUCAACUUCUCCUUCUUCAGUAUCAGAACUGUGAAGAAUCAUUAGACAUUCACCAGAUUCAAACAUUAAAGAUAGAUUACAAAAGGGGUGUUCAUUUAGAACAAAUAUUACAAUACCCUAUAUAAUCUAAGUAUCAACUUCUCCUUCUUCAGUAUCAGAACUGUGAAGAAUAGGAGUUGAAGGUUCAUUUCUGGUUGGCUGUUCUGCAGUAGUGGCUUCACCACGUUUCUUCCUUUCAUUAGCCAGAGCCAGUUGGUGCAUUACUUCCAAAUCCACCGGGUCCUCCUGAAAGUCAGCAGGCUGAGUCUUUGUGACUUGCUUCAUCUUCCUUGUAUAUUUAGAAAUACCAUUCCGAAGACAGUAGUCAGCUAUAACACUAUCAGCAUCAGCCUUCUCUUUAGAAGUGAAUCCCUUGGUUCUCAGGAGAGUAGAUGCAAGGAUCAGUUGGUUCACAUGGUACUUUGGGAAGGACUCAUCAUUCAGAUACACAGUAUUUAUGACAUCAUCAUUGAUGAACUUCAGACAAUAGGGUUUCUUGACAAUUUGAGGACUAUUGAAUUCAGCAUGUUCCACCAGCUUGUCUCGAAAGAGUUCAUUCAAAUUAGAUCUUCUCUUGACUUUGUUACGAAGCACCCAGAGCUUAGUUAUCGUGAAUGACUUUAAAUAUUCAACUGAGAUUCUGAAUGUUCCGUUUCUCCUUGUGUAUAUAAUGAGCUCCCAUUCAUCUAGCAGAUUCCUGACUGCAACUAUAGUGUACCACAACUCAAGAGAAAGGGCAUGCAUAGACAAAUCCUCAUCAGGGUUUACCUCCUUCAGAUCAUAAAUCAGAGACAUGAACUUCUUGUCAUCGAAGGGUUCCCUCUGAGGUCCAUUGAAAAUUCUGCGUGCAAUGUCCCAACUUUUACCAACUUUAUGCUUAAUAUCAAGAUUCUUCUGCACACAGGCAACAUCAUAGAUCUUCUGUUUUUCUUUCUUGAUUUCCUCUUCAGUUAUCAGCUUGUCCUCCAGAAGCUUUUGAAAGUCUCUGAGCUUUCUCUUUCUAGCUUCAUUCUCCAGCUUAAACUUUCUCACAAGCUCCUCAUGUUCAAGAUCUACAGCCUCCUCCUCAGUCUGGAACAGAUAGGCUUCAUCAAAUGCACCAUCUUCGUGAUUCUGGCAGUAAGUGGCAUCAAACACAUCAUCAUCAUCCAUUUCCUUAGGAAAGGCAUCAUAAUUGUCUUCCUGUUGAUGCAUGGGUUGCUUGCCUUUAGACUUUUCAGUUUCUCUGCCAGGUGCAGAAUCAGAAGUAUUGGUGUUUGUGUUCCCCUUGUUACUUUGGUUGGAGCUGUUUCCUUUGUCUUCUCCUCCCUUGUCUCUAUUCUCCCCCUUAGUUGAGGGAUCCUCUCUGGAGGUUGGAUCAUCGGACUUGGAGUUCCUGAGAAGUUGAUCCAGUUUGUUGUCGAUUUCAUCACAUUUAGCCAUAUAAAGCUCAUGAUUGGAUCUCAUCUCGACAGUCAAACCAUGCAUAUCAGCUUUGAGCUCAUCCCUGUAAGAACUGGAUGGCUCUUCCUCUACUUUCUUCUCUAAAGUGACCAGUUGUGCACCUUUCAAUCUUUCAUUUCUACGCAAUCAUCCGGGUAAGUUCAGCUUGUAACUUAGCAAUUUGUUCCUUAAAAAGAGCUGGGUUAGUGUGUUCACUCACCUCACGUACACUCAAAGCUGUUUCACUAGCCUCACGUGCAUGUGUAUCGCUCGGUGUUUGCCUUUCAUCACUCGAUCCACUCAUAGCUCCAACUGUACCAAUGUUCCCUGAUAUGGGUUCAAAGGUAGUGGAGGAACAAAUUGUCCUCCGGAAGCCAGUGACGGCAAAUCUACUUGCACAUUGCCAAGCAGUUCCUGAUCAUGAAAGAAAGAGUGAUCAGCAAAGUUUUCAUACAUAGUAACUUUAUUUUGAAAAACUGUGCUCUCAGAAAGUGUAGUAACCUGUGUAUUGGGUUGAUUUUGCACUAGCGUGAGUGCUAGAGCAGUGCUAGACUCUGUACAGGAUACCGUGGCUGGACGGUCAACUUCAAUGGCUUCAUUCUGUUGAGAGAAUGAAUCCAGAAACUGUAUUGCCAUAUCAGAAUCCAAGCCCUUUUGGGAAGGCAAGGAUGUGGCUGCAGUUGUCUCCGAGGCUUCUAUUCUUUGUUUCUUUUGAGAAGACAGAGCUGCGGGUUGACUCAUCAAACUACUCAAACUUCGUUUCCUAGCAACUUUCUUAACAUGUUUUGAAGUAGUGUUGGUUGAAGUGUUUGGAGAAGAGACAGUGUGUUGAAAUGAAUCAUCAGCUUGGUUAUGAACCUAUGUGUUGACAGGUUCAUUGCUGGCAGGCUGGCAAAACAAGUCAAAGUUACAAUCAUAAUCAGAGAUAUCAACAUUAAAGUUAGAUGAGAAGUCAGAAAGUACCUGAGCUACCUGUAGGUCAUCUCUGAAUGCCUAAAGAUCAGGAUUGAUUGCUGAAUCUGCUGGCAGUGGUUGUGAGGUUGAUUGAAUUGGUGGAGAGUAUUGUGGAUGAGUGGUAGGUUGUGUGGGUGCAGAUGAAGAUGGUUGAGCUUCGAAGAAAUCAAAUGGUAGAGGCUCAUCUUCAAAUGGUGGAUAUUGCUGUUGGGGGAUAGGUGAUUGAACAGGUGAUGGUUCAGGUGAUGGUUCAGGGGUGUGAUGUGGUGAUGGUUAUGAUUGAGCUUGAUGUUGAGGUGGUUGUUGAAGUUGUAGUUGUAGAUGCUGGUCUUGUUGCUGUUGUUGCUGAUGUUGUUGUGGUUGAGCCACUUGAACUUGAUAAGGAACACUUUGAGCAUUGAACCUUUCCGACAUAAAUGGAGUGACAAUGAGUGGAACCUCGUUGUACUUGGUGCCUUUGGCAAGCUUGUUGAUCAGCUUGAUGCUUGUCUGUUUGACAUUUACCCUCUCAGCAUUGAAGUAGAAGUUCUUGUCAGUCUCCGUCAUCUUAUCAUUCAAAAGCAACAUAAGGAAUCGUGGAUAAAAACAUUCUGGUUCAUCUGUAACUAGCUCAAUUAAAUAUUCCUUGUCAUUUAAACAAUUAAGCUGUGGCUUGUUCGUCGAUUCUUCAUCUUCUGAGUUCUUCUUCAUUUGUAGACAUAAUAAUGGAAUCUUCUGAAUAAAUAAAGUAUUGAAACUUUAUACCUUCUGAUCUUCUGGACGUGCUACCAGAGAUUAUUUGUACACUGAGGCUUGAUCAUAUUAAUGAACUUCUUCCAGUGGUUUGUAGCAGCAUCCUGAAAUUCUUCUGACAUAAAAUCUUCAAUAAAUCAUUUGACGUUCUUCGUACGGAUUCCGGAUAACAGUACUUGCUAUUUACUUGCUUUCUUAUCACAGUUGAGUUGAUACUCUUAAAUACAAAUAGGCUUAACAUAUGCCUUUCACCCAUCCUAACUGCUAUAUGCAAGACAGUAUCCAUCGAAUCAUCAGCUUGCCUAAGGAAAGUUUGGAAUGAAGUGCCUGGAUUAUCAUCAUCAGUAGGCAGCAAAUGUCUAGCAGCACCAAUGAGAAUUUCAGCCAAUUCUGUGUAUCCUUCAGACAAAGCCAAGUGAAGUGCAGUCUGUUUACGAUUGUUAAGCUUGACCAGAAGCUUUUUCUCCGCAAACUUGUUUAAUAUAAAUCGCACGUGUUCUGUAUUUCCGUUUUCGGACUCUGUGUGAAGGAUAGUUUCUUCCCAGUAUCCGCUCACUUUAUCAGCAUGCAUCCCCAAUGCAGCUGAUAAGGUACCACGCUACAGCGCCCGCUACAGUCACCCACUACAGUGUCCGCCCCCGCUACAGUGCACGGACAUCCCAAAACAAAUCUCAUCAUUACAAAGUACAAGGCAAACAGGAUAAAAAGCAUGCACAAAUCCCUAAAGGACAGAAGAAAGGACAACAAUUGCACCAAAGCAGACAACCAUGCCGGGGAUUAGGUAUGGACCCGCGCCCGCCACUGUAGCUACAGUAGCGGGUGAAGGCCUAUAUAAAGGACUCCCCAGCCAAAAAGGAAAGGUAAGUGAAAAUUCUUUCUCAAUGCCCUCUCUAAAAAAGCAUAUCGCACCAUAUAUUUAAAGUGAAAACUCUCUGAUUUCCCUAACUUGUCAAGCAUAUUCCGAUCACUGAUUAUCACGCCGGAGGCGCUUCACGGGACACACCCCCGUGCUGCGUUGUUUUGCAGGUCAGGUCUUGACCCGAGCUUCCCGGAACAGUGUACUGGACCAACGACGAGAAAUGGAGUUAUCAGCAGCUAUGGCAUCAUCAUAUCCAGCAAUGGCAGCUGAAUACAGGAUAUCUUUGUCCAUAAUUUCAUAGAGGCGUCCACCUGGGCUUUCAGCUAUAUAGAUAAACAUGUGUCAAAUCGUGUGUAUUUACGGAAUCAUCAUGACAUUGAAUAUAGGUCAAAAAAAUUAACAUAAAAGGGUAUGGAUGCAUGUACAUAGGGACGGAUCUAGAAAUCUUGUUAAGUGGGGGCAAAACACACACAAAAGAAAAGCUCUUUUUAGAGAAAAUUUUUCACUAAACCAAGAGUGGUUUGAGUUGAUUGAUUAGAUAAAUACAUAAGUUUAUGAUAAGAAAUACGCAAUAUAUUAAAGUAGAACCACUCGGAUUUGAAUCCAGAAUCAACUGUGUAUGAACGUAAUGCAUUGAUCAUGGGGUCAUUAGAAGUAAAAACAUAAUAUAAAAAUAUAAAAUAUAUUAAAAUUUUGAAAGCAGUGAAAAAAAUAAGGAAAGGGGGAAAGAGACACUGUUUAAAGAGCAUACCUUGGUCCAGAUUUUUAAUACGCACAAGAGUACUACAAUGAGGUCCGAGCAAAGAUGGAGCAGUGCAAGUUGAAGAAAUAAUCUCUGAUAUAUCAUUCAACCCUUUCUCUACUGCUAUGUACAUUGGUGUUUUUCCCUCAUGGUUUUGAAUAUGUGUAUCAGUCGGGUCGGCCUCUACUAGUAGCUUAACAAUAUCCAGGAGUCCUUCCAUGACUGCUGCAUGUAAGGCCGUGUCCAAAUCUUUAUCACCUUGCCUGAGAAAAGCUUGAAAAGAAGUAACUGGAUUAACAUCAUCAUCUAAAAGAGGUGGCAAAUGGCGAGCUGCAUCAAUGAGGACCUCAGCCACUUCAGUCCGUCCUUGAUAAAUUGCCAAGUGAAGUGUUGUAUGCUUAUAUGUACUAAGCUUGGGCAAAAGAUUUUUGUGUGCAAACUUCCUCAAAAUGAAGCGCACAUGUUCUGUAUUUCCUUCUUCGGAUUCAGUGUGAAGGAUAGUUCUGUCAUUUGUGUCCAGCUUAUCAGCAUGCAUCUCCAAUGUAGCUAUGGCAUCAGCAUCUCCGGCAAUGGCAGCUGCAUACAGAGCAUCUCUGCGCAUAAAUUUGUAGAGGGUUCCACCCGGGCUGUUAGCUACAUACAUAAACAUGUGUCUGGAGUCAUCAUCAGUGGCGGAACCAGGAUUAAGUGUUAGGGGGGCUGAACGCAACCAGAAGAUAAACUAAGGAUAAGUAGUGUGUUAUUCUGCGUGUCUUAACCAUCAUGACAGGAAGAUUUUCUAUACUUUGAAGUCCAGUCCAGAUUAAUCUUCAUCCGUUUUCACAUCAUAGAUAAAUUUGUCUAACUGAUUUGAUAACAACUCCAUAUCUAGUAAAGAGAAAUCCUUUGGACAAAAUUGUGUAAAGGCAUACCAGUUUUGAGUUAUUAAAACUUGAAAAUUAAUUCCUAGGAACCAAAGAGCCAAUACAAAAUGGUAGCUCUAUGUUUCCUUCUGUAAAAAGGUUAUCCAUCUCUUGGGAAACGGUUACCAUAGCUCUAUGUCUCCUUAUGUAUGUUUCCUCUGUAAAAUGGUUUCCUUCAAAUAAGUCAAUGUGUGCAUAUGACUUAUGAAAGCAUGUUCAAAAACUUCUUCUUAUGGUCUCUUCAGCCAAAAUUUGAAGAAUAUGGAGAUGAAAUAAACUCCAACAAGCUCCUAGCACCCCUUCAAAAACUUAGGAGCUCUGUUUGCUUCCUCAACAAUGAGGAGCACACUCUCCCUCUUAACUACAUUUUAUUUUAUUUUUCUCAUGUACAAAGUACUCAACAUGCAUGAUACAGUCUAUGGGUAUACAUAUUUUAAUAACAGAUAUAGAUAGGGAGCGUAUGUAGGGAAUAUUGUUUGAGAUAUCGUGUAAUUAAUUUUACUUCUUAAAUAGUGAAGAGUUGAUUGUUUAUAUUAUUUUUAGAGAAAAGUUAAUAUAUAUGUUAAUUAGACUCUCUUUAGACUAAGUGCCUUCUCUUUUCUUUUUCUUUUUUACAAUAAGUCCCUCUCUAUAAUAUUUAUAAUUCAGCAGGGGUUAAAAAAAUUAUAUUAACACCACUAAUUCAUGGAAAAAAAAUAUACACUGUUUUUUCGAGGUUAGGGGGGCUCUAGCAUCCCCUAGCCCCAAUCUGGUUCCGCCACGGGUCAUAAUUACAUCAAACAUAUUUUUUUUAAAAAAAUUAACAUAAAAGGAACAAAAUAUAGUUUAGUUAACAAAAGAGUAUGAAUGCCUGUAUAGUAAAAAAAAAAUUGAAAGGGACAGAGUCUUUAAAAAGCAUACCUUGGACGAAAUUAAAGUCUUGUCAUGCACAACCAUACUACAAUGAUGUCCGAGCAAAGAUGGAGAAAUGCAAGUUGUAGAGAUUACCUCUGCUAUACCAUUCAACCCUUGUUCCACAGCUAUAUACAUCGGUGUUUUGCCUUGAUUAUUUUGGAUAUGUGUAUCACUUGGAUCCGCCUCUACUAAAAGCUUAACAAGGGCCACAUUACCCUUCUCAACUGCUUCAUGUAAGGCAGUCUCCAUAUAGUUAUCAGCUUGCCUAAUGAAAGCUUGGAAUGAAGUAAGUGGAUUAUCAUCAUCAAUAUUAUCAUCAUGUGGACGAGGCAGCAAAUGGGUAGCAGCAUUAAUGAGGACCUCAGCCACUUCUGUGUGUCCUUCAUACGAUGCCAAGUGAAGUGCGGUCUGUUUAAAUUUGUUAAGCUUGACCAGAAGGUUUUUGUCUGCAAACUCCCUCAAUAUAAAUCGCACUUGUUCUGUAUUUCUGGUUUUGGACUCAGUGUGAAGGAUGGUUUCUUCGGAGUAUCUGCUCACUUUAUCAGCAUGCAUCUCCAGUGCAGCUAUGGCAUCAGCAUUUCUACCCAUGGCAGCCGCAUACAGAGCAUCUUUAUCCAUAAUCUUGUAGAGGCUUCCACCAUGGCUCUUAGCUAUAAGUAUAAAAAAGUGAGGAAGAAUUUAACAAAUAAAAAAUUGGAUUUAGCUUAAAUAACAAAAAAGAAGUAAAUAGGGUUAUAGAUAGUAUAUUAUGUUUAAACAAAAGAGUGCUUAAAGAGCAUACCUUGCUCCAUAUCUUCCAUACGCACAAGAGCACUAAAAUGAGGUCCGAGCAAAGACGGAGCAGUGCAAGUUGUAGAGAUUAUCUCGACAAUAUCAUUGUUCCCCUGUUCCACAGCUAUGUACAUUGGUGUUUUACCUAGAUCAUUUUCAAUAUGUGUAUCAGUCGGGUCGGCCUCUACUAAUAGCCUAACAAUAGCUAGGUUUCCUUUCAUGACUGCUGCAUGUAAGGCCGUGUCCGAAUCUUUAUCAGCUUGCCUGAGAAAAGCUUGAAAAGAAGUAACUGAAUUAUCAUCAUCAUCUGAAGGAGGAGGCAAAUGCCAAGUGAAGUGCUGUAUGCUUAGAUGUACUAAGCUUGGGCAAAAGAUUUUUGUGUUGAAAUUCCCUCAAAAUGAAUCUCACACGUUCUGUAUUUCCCUUCUUCGGUUGCUGGUGAAGGAUAGUUUCUUCAUCUUGGAACAGUGUAUCAGCUACCAUCUCCAAUUCAGCAAUGGCAUCAACAUCUCCGGCCAUGGCAGCAUGGAAGAGAGUAUCCAGCAGAUCCAUAACUAUAUUCUACUCUACCACUGCUCCUGCGUAAUGGAAUAUCUCGCAUAAUACCACAAACGUUAUAUAAAUGGAAGCUUGGUGUAUGGUAAGGAGAUGUUGACCAACUACGCUGUGCCUGUGCUGAUGUAAAAUGGUUGUUGGGCUGGGUAAUAAUAAGUUAAAUUGGCUGCCAGCUUUUAAGUCCUGAAUAUAUUAUAGAACGUGUUAAUUAUAGAACUCACUGAAAUCGACAAAUGGUAUCAACUUCACCAUGAUCGGAUAUCAAGUGAGUCACUAAACUCGCUUAAUGGUACACGGAAUGACAGAUUGAAAGUAGGGUUUGACAUGUGGCAGGCCACAUCAUUUAAAGUUUAUAUGGAAAUAAAGUAUGCAAUUUUUUUAUUAAAUUAAUUUUAGAAUAUAAUUAUCUAAAUAAAUGCAUGGAACUAAAUUUUAAGAUAUAAUUAACUAAAAUUUCAAAAAAAAGAAGAUAUAAUUAACUAAACAUCCAAGAUUAACUUUUAUAUUUUUUAUUAGAUUAUAAUUAUUUUUAAAUUAUAUUGAAAUGUUUUCUCUUUUAAUAUAUUUUAUUUAUGUGAAUAUUAUUGUUGGCAAAUAAAUAUUUUUAAUUUUUUUUCUAAUACAAACUUUUUUAAUUUUGCAUCCUCCAUCUGCUAUUGAAUCUUUGAAGAUUUGUACCCUGUUGUUGGCUGCUUAUACAUCUGGAUCUUCCCUCCUCAACUUUUUUGGCCUCCCUCUCAAUUUAUGUGGAAUGUCUUUUUAAAAAGAUUCAAUAGUAAAAAUUUUAAAAAAGUUGGUGAGAUAAAAAAAUUAAAAAUAUUUUUUGCCAACAAUAAUAUUCACAUAAAUAAAAUUUAUUAAUAGAGAAAACAUUUCAACAUUAUUCAAAAAUAAUUCUAAUAAAAUAUAAUAAAAAAUAUAAAAGUUAAUCUUGGAUAUUAAGUUAAUUAUAUCUUAAAAUUUAGUUCCAUGCAUUUAUUUAGAUAAUAAUAUUCUAAAAUUAAUUUAAUAAAAGGAUUGCAUACUUUAUUUCCAAAUAAACUUCAAAUGAUGUGGCCUGUCACAUGUCAAACCCUACUGCCAAUCUGUCAUUCCGUCUAAACCUCUGUUACUUUUUUUUAACGACAGUGAUGAGAUACUUGAGACCCCGUGGAUAUCACUUUUGUCAACUUGAGUGAUGAGUUUGAUAAUUAACCCAUUAUAGAACUAUUUUAGACCAUCUCUGUUUUCGUUGAGGAGAGCAUAACUAUAGGGAUAAUUUUCAGAUGUAGGGAAAAUAUUGAAAAUAUUGAUAUAAUAUUUAAUUUUUUCCUUAAAAACAUUCAUAAAAUAAAAACUAAUUAAAUAAUUUUUAGGAAACUUAACAUAUUGUAAUUAAAAAAAUGUAAAUCUCUCCAUUUCAAUAUAUAUAUAUAUAUAUAUAUAUAUAUAUAUAUAUAUAUGGAAUGAGAUCAAAUAAAAACUUUUUUAAGUUACAAACUUACAAACUCUUUUGGGCCAUCAGAUUAGAUUUGAUCCUAAGGCUGACUUAAACUUUUAUAAUAGAGGGGUAACUUAGUCAAUUUACGUAUAAACAGUUAUAACAUAUAUAAACUAAAAAACUAACAGAAGCGUAUUAUUGUUUGUUGGAAAAUUUUGCCGGCUAGAGAGAGAAGACGCAUCGGAGAGGGACGACGGCGAGUUGAGCUGGAGAGAGAACAACGCGACUUUCGAGUACAGAUUUACGCAUACUUGAAGGUAAAUUAUUGUUUUUUUUUACAUAAAUUUGUUGUUUAGUUGUUUUCUUCAGCUCGAGAUAUACGAUUUGAUGUGUUUUAGUUGUAUUAUUGUUUUUUCUUUGACGAAUGUACUGUAUUCGUCGGGAUUAGGUUGUUUCCAGGUGUUUUGUGGUGUUCGAUUGAAUAUUAAAAUAAAAAAUUUGUUUUUUAAGGUGGAGAUUUGGUUAUUACUCUUUUCGAUUGUUCUUCUUUUAUGCGAUUGUGCUAUGGACUUGAAUUGAGGUAUGCCAUGAUUUUCUUUGAGUUUAGUUUGUUGAUUCUUUUUUUAAUCUAAAUGUUUGUUGUUUCGUUGAAUGUAUGAUUCACUUUUAUUGAACGAGCGGUAUAUGAAUCAAUUAUCAUAUGUAAUUAUAAAGUGUUUGUUGAAUAUUAGUAUGAAUUCUGUUGAACGAGCUGUAUAUGACUUAAAUAUGUUGAAUUCUUGUUGUAUUUAUGUUGAACUUUGUCUAUGUGCAUCUGUUGAAUAUAAUGUACUUAUAAGUGUAAUUAUAAGUAUCAAUUAUAAGUGUAUUUUUGUUGACUGUAAUUAUAAGUGUUUGUUGAAUAUAAGUAUCAAUUUGUAUGAUUACUCUUAGUUGAGUACUUUUUGGGCUGUGAACAAGAUAUAUGUUGAAUCUUUGUUUUCUUUAUGUUGAACUUGUCUAUGUGUAUCUGUUGAAUAUAAUGUUUUGUCAAUUUCAGUUUAGUUGUAUAACUUUUUCAGGUUUUGGUGAUAAAAUUGCUGCUAAUACAUUGCCUACGGAUGUUGUGGCUAUAGAAGAUGAUGAUUUCUCUUUGGGAGAAGUUGAUGAUUUGUCUUCCCGUAAAUAUGUAUCUCCAGGUUCUACAACGUAUUGGUUGCCUUGUAUGAUUGAUAGUAUACCUAAUGUUGGAAAAUCGUUUAGGAGUAUAGAUGAGGCUGCACAUUUUUAUGUUGAUUAUGGUCGUUCUUGUGGAUUUGAUAUUAAGCGUGGUAGUGAGAAGCGAUAUCGAGAUGGACGUAUUCAAUCGAAACGUUUUCACUGUUCACGAGAAGGCUUCUAUUCUAAAAAUGGUGAGAAGAAUGAUGAUGGCUCAUUUUGUUCAAAACAUAAGAGGAAAAGUAUGUUUACUAGAUGUGGAUGUCCUGCUAUGAUUGUGGUGAAACAUACGAAGGGUUCAAUAUAUGAGAUUACUUCGUUUAUUGAACAACAUAAUCAUAGGUUUGCUAGUGUUGAUGGUAAGAAGUUUUUGAAGGCAAACCGGUCAAUGACUGUUGCACAACAAAAUUUUGCAUUUGAUUGUUCAAAAGUCAGAAUAGGUCCUGCUCGUGCGUUUGGUUUAAUGAAAGAGUUUGUUGGAGGGUAUGACCAGAUUGGUGCAACAGUUGUUGAUUUUAAAAAUUGGAAUAGAGACUUGAAGAACAUAAUUGGGAAUGCAGAUGCACAAGUAAUAUUGAAUAAAUUUCAAUCUUUGAAGGAUUCUUCUAAUGGCAGAUUCUACUAUGAACAUGAUGUGGAUGAGUCUGGAAAAUUGACAAAGUUAUUUUGGGCAGAUUGUGUUGGUCGUAGAAACUAUGAUGUGUUUGGUGAUGUUAUUUCAGUAGAUGCCACAUUUAGUACUAACAAGUAAGAAAUUUAUGUUAUUUUCUAACGUAUUUUGUGUAUAUCUUAUUCCAUUUUUUCUUGAAUUCUUAAUAAACAUAUUUUUGUUUUCAGGUAUAACAUGGUUUUUGUUCCAAUCUGUGGUGUUGACACAGAUUGGAACAAAAAUCAUGUUAUACCUGAAGAAGCUCUUGACGUUAGUUCAUGUAAAGUUGUGCUGCUUUACGUGAACUGACGUCAAGAGCUUCUUCAUUUGGAAGUUCUUCUGCUGCUUGUUCUUCUUCAGUUGCUUUGUGUUCAGCAACAGGCAUCUCAGUAUCACUGGUGCGUUCAUCCUGAAGUCCAGAUACAGCCUCAGUUGCUAUUCCAACAACAUUUAUGUCGGUUGCCAUUUCUUGGGCCAUGAUUUUUUCUUGGUAUUCUUUUUCAGCAGCGUCAACCAUUCUGCGGACUUCACUUCCCAUUGACGACUGCACCGGAGAAAUAGUGUUUUCAACAGGUCUUUCUUCCUCAAUUUAUUUUUGCGCUCCAUCAGCUUCUUUUUCUUUUUCAGCAUCUCUUUCUUCCUCAGCUUCUUUUUGCUCAAUUGUUCUUUCUUUUUCUACUCGUCUUUCUUCCUCAACUUGUUUUUCUCUUUCAACUUCUCUUUCUUUAGAAACCGGGUCAUUAAUCUUUGAGGUUUCUGCUUCGUUUGUUGAAUGCUAGUGUCAAAUUGGCUAUUUGUUGUUCCAAUUGUCUCUUCAACUGGAAUUGCCAAUGGUUCAGAAUUAUGUUGAGAAGUUUCCUCAGUUUCUUUUUCUGGCUGCCCUGAUGGAUUUUCAAAUUGCUCAGGCUCAGUACAGACAAAAACUUGAGCAGCUUCAACCCUUGUCUGAAACUCUUCAUUCUUAUUUACAGUGUUGUAAUCAAUACAACUUUUCAAACAUUUGUUGAAUUGUCUGUUUGCUGCAUCAAAUUCGACUUUCAACCAAGAUAAAAGCCAAGUUCUCUAAUUCAACAAUCAUUUGUUCCUGUAAAAAACAAUAUCACAUAUUCAACAACAUUAAUUUAUAUAUUCAACAAAAUAUUGAAACUUUAAGAAAUAACCUAACAUAUUCAACAAAUUUUAAUAUUAGAUUCAACAAAAUAUUUCAACUAAAAGAAACAAUCUAACAUAUUCAACAGAAUUGAUAUACAGAUUCAACAAGAUAUUGCAAUUCAAAGAAAUAAAUUCCUAUAUUCAACACAACUGACUUAUAGAUUCAACAAAAUAUUACAAGUUAAAGAUACAAUAUAACAAUUCAACAAAAUUGAUAUACAGAUUCAACAACAUAUUUCAACUAAAAGAAACAAACUAAUAUAUUCAACAAAAUUGAUAUACAUAUUCAACAAAAUAUUGCAAGUCAAAAAAACAAAGUCAUAUAUUCAACAGAACUGAUUUACAGAUUCAACAAAAUAUUGCAAGUCAAAGCAUUCAAGUCAAAGAGUAAUUAAUAUAUUUACUUACUCUCUUUCUUUCUUCAUUAAUAGUUCUAUCAACUUCUUGUGUCUGUUCAGUGCUUUCAUCUACAAACCUGAUUCUUCAUUUUCCAAAUAGAUUUUCAGAAGUUUCCUUGCUUUCUCUUGCUCUCAAAUCUUUAUCUGACCAAGCUGUGAAUUUUGGUAUGGUGCGGAAAACUUCAUUUUCAAUUUUAAUCCACACCCUAUCCAUAUAGAACAACUACAUAUAACAUAAAAAAUAUGUUAUAAUGACAAUAUAAAUUAACAUAUUCUACAUUAGAAACAACAUUGCAACAAAUUUUAUUAUUAGAUUCAAGAAAAUAUUUCAACUAAAAGAAACAAUCUAACAUAUUCAACAGAAUUGAUAUACAUAUUCAACAGAAUUGAUAUACAUAUUCAACAAGAUAUUGCAAAGCAAAGAAACAAAUUCAUAUAUUCAACACAAUUGAUUUACAGAUUCAAUAAAAUAUUACAAGUUAAAGAUACCAUAUAACAAUUCAACAAAAUUGAUAUAGAUUCAACAACAUAUUUCAACUAAAAGAAACAAACUAAUAUAUUCAACAAAAUUAAACUCUCAAGUUAAUUGAACAAAUAUAGAUUAUAUAUACUUACAAUGAGGAAAACCAGAGGUCCGCAAAAGUACUUUGUUGCUGGAUCCUUUGCCCAUUCCUUUUUACAAGUUUUUAAACUCUGCAAAAUAUAAGAACACCAGUUGUAGACAUUGCAGCGAUUGAUAUCUCCUUUAAAUCGAACGAGUCGCUGAUCAACAAGCCCGUUCGACACUGUUUGAAUGAGAGUGUUCCCCAUUAAAACCAGAAAGUUUGUCUUAAAAUGAUCAUCAGCAGUGCCUUUCUUAAUCUCACUGACAAGAUCACUUGUCCUAACAUGACUUUUUCCAAACUGUGCUCUAAAAGGUUUCUCUUUUUCUGCCUGUGAAUCUUCAUCUGUCUCAAGUUCAAUAGGAAGAGUGCCCUUUGGUAAUCCUAGAACUAGAUGCACAUCUUCUUCAGUAAUUGGAAUUUCACCACAUUCCAAAUUUAGGACACAUUUGUCCUCAUCAAAUGAUUUGAGUAGUUGAAAUCCCAGUCUAUGUGGAAGCUCCUUAAUUGAAAAAUUAAGGAGCUCAUGGAAUCCUCUUAUCCAUCGUAUCUGUUCUGCAGGGAGUUGAUUUAAAACUUCACAGAAUUUUGAAGGUGAAUUUAUCGUUCUUGUUCUAUUGGAAAAGUCUCUUCCAGAACUUGCCUUCGGUAUGUCUUUUUCUUCGUCUUUCUUAGCUUUGCCUUUUGCCUUUCUUUUUCUUGCAGCAGUACUUGACUCUUCUUGUUCCUUUUUCUUUUUAAUUCUAUCUCUUAUUGUAGAAAUGAGCUCAUCUUCAUCUGAUGACUCUACUAGCUCGUCAUCCGUGUGCAACGGCUCUGAUUCUUCUUGAUUAGUAGGUUCAUAUUCAGAAGUAUUGGAUUUUUCCUUAUCAUCAUGAACUAUUGAUUUUUUUCCCUAUAAUUAAAAAAGAACAUAUUGUUUAUAGAAAAUAGAAUGAAAUAUGAACAAUAAAGCUAUUAAAAAUUCAUAACAUUUUAAUAAUACAAUUAUCAAACCUCUUUCCACCUGUAGUGCUAACCAUUCAUCAGAGUCAUUCUGUUACUCAACAGAUAUGUAUGAGUUAUCAAAUUCCUCAUCAUUAGCAAUGGAAGCUUCUGUAUGACAUAUCAAUGUUGGAUAUGUACUGGUGGAUACAGAGAUCAUCACUAUACCAGUUAGUGAUUUUGUAGGACAUAUCGAUGUUCAUAACUGAACAUUUUGUGAUUUCUCACUAGAAAAGAUUUCAGUUAUACAUUGGAUAACAUAUCUUUCUUGUGAUGAUGUUCUUGUAGGAUUUUGCAGAAUUGCUACUAAAGGAUCUUCCUGAAUAGGUGCAUCUGACAAAAUUUAUUAUUCUUUAAUCACUUAUAUUUAAGUAAAUCAUUGUUUUAUUUCUACAAAAUGAAGUAUUUCACUAUAGGUUCAACAGAAUUUAAUAAUAAAUUCAACAUAUUAUCCACUGGGAAGAGCAUUACAACAAGUUUUUUAAACAUGUUCAAUACAAAUCAUAAACAAAUUCAACAUAUUAUCCAGUGGCAACAGCAUUGCAACAAGUUUUUUAAACAUGUUCAACACAAAUCAUAAAUAAAUUCAACAUAUUAUCCACUGGAAACAGCAUUGCAACAAGUUUUUUAAACAUGUUCAACACAAAUCAUAAACAAAUUCAACAUAUUACCAGUGGCAACAGCAUUGCAACAAGUUUUUUAAACAUGUUCAACACAAAUCAUAAACAAAUUCAACAUAUUAUCCAGUGGGAACAACAUUGCAACAAGUUUUCUAAACAUGUUCAACACAAAUUAUAAAUAAAUUCAACAUAUUAUCCACUAGGAACAACAUUGCAACAAGUUUUUUAAACAUGUUCAACACAAAUCAUAAAGAAAUUCAACAUAUUAUCCACUGCGAACAGCAUUGCAACAAGUUUUUUAAACAUGUUCAACACAAAUUAGGAUGUUCAACAUACUUUUAGUACAUAUUCAACAAAUAAUAAUCCAAAAAACAGCAAAUAUAUCAAAUAUUCAACACAAUUUAGGAAUAAAUUCAACAUAUAUUCAAAAAAAUUACAUUACAUUUUCAGAUAUUGAAACAGAGAUUAAUGAAUCUCUGUUUAUUACGAUGCUCAACAUAACUUUAGUAGAUAUUCAACACAUAAUAAUCAAUAACAACUAUAAAUAAAAUAUUGCAACGAUUAAACUAAAAUCAAAUAUUUAACACUUUUAAGCCGAAUAAUACAAACAUUAUAUCAAAUAUUCAACACUUUUAAGCCGAAUAACACAAAAUCACAACUAUUGAACUAAAAUCUCUACAGCAAAAGAAGUGCACAAAUCUCUAAAACAUUUAACCUAAAUUUACUGAAACUAUAAAAUGCAAGCUUUUACGAAAUAAAUGUAGAGAUUCUUUAGAAGAUCAUAAAAACAUUACCACCGGCGCUCUGUAAUUCACCACUUUUCUUUGGAGCCAUUAAAACUGAUCAAUGUGUAGAAACUGGAUCGACGAGUUUGCUUGACAGUGAUGAAUUCGCUUGAGAGUGACGCUUGAGUGUGAGAUUUUUGUUAAGAUUAGAUGAUUGCGUGCGUUUGUGUGUAAUGGCGUUUUCGUGUAAUCGAGUUUGUGUGUAAUGGCGGUUUUUCUCUGUUUUCAAUUUUGGCGAGUAGUGUGUUAUAACGAAUGUGUCAGAAAAGACGCGGCUUGCAGUUAUUUACAAAACUGCCACCGCGUCUUUUCAUGCAGUUUUUAAUCCCAGCCGCUUAUGUUUUUAAGAUCUAACGGUAUAAAAAAGUUUGUAAGUUUUUAACUAGAAAAGUUUUUACCGGAACCCUCCCCUAUAUAUAUAUAUUUUCAACUUAUAAUACUUGCUCUCGUGAAUCCACACUAUUAACACAGAGUCAAAUUACUUUGUAUCAAAAUACUUUUGAUCAUAUUAAGCACAUUUUUCUCGAACAUCAUUUUCUAAGCACUUUCAUUUCUUAAAGUGACAAAAGUUCGAUCACCAAACUGGACUUGUUCUGCUAUAAACAUUUUGAUUCAUUCUAAGAGUAAGAGAUAACACAGAAACUAGCUUAUAGGAAGCUAUUUCAUUUGGCGUAAGCUUGUUUUAACCACAACACAAAUCUUCUUUAUUCAACUCAUAUAUAAUCUUCUUCUUCACACUUCUUGAUCAACUUUAUAAUGCUUUGUUACUUGCUCAUUCAGUAAAAUGCAGUAUAUUUGUCGUCGAAAGUUACUUGCCCAUUCAGUAAAAUGCAGUAUAUUUGUCGUCGAAAGCAAGUCAUUCGGCAAAAGCACUAAACGAUAGUGCAUAACGAUUAAGGAACGCAGUAAAAUAAUUGAGCAUAAUUUGAAAAAUGAUUUAUACGCUUGAGUAAAAUUUUUGAGGUGCCAAAUUAGAAACUGUAACUUUAUUACGUGGGUAAAAAAUACGAGCAAGUAACAUAGCAGUUCAGUGGUCAACAGAAUAAAAUUAUUCAAGGUGCUACCUUAAGAAAAAAAUUAGAUGUUUCUCACGUAUUAGAGGUUUAUUCGUUGUUAACGGGCUGAAAUUGCGGUUCGAACUUAAAAAAAUUAAUUUUGAAAAAGUUAGUUGGAGGAGUUUUUUCAAUUUGGUAGUGAUACAUAAAAAGCAUGCAUAAAAUUGGUUACAGAAUUUUACACAAAAUAAUAUAAUAAUUGUGAUAACAUGUUUUAACGGUGCUAGUAAUGCAUAUACAAAGGUCUCAUUCGAAUGAAAACUUACCACAUAUUAUUUUUGGGAAUAUAGAUUUUUUCACCACCCAACUUACUGUGUAUUUGGAAACUUACCACUAAAUUAUAAAUUUUUAUCUUUUUGUCACUAAUGUUACGUUUGGAUUUUUUUCCACUAACGUUAGGUUUGGAUUUGAUUAUUAACAUUUUGUUAUUUUUUUAGUAUUAUUAAAACGUAGUGGUAGUCUAUAAUAUUAUGACGAUCUAAUAUAUAUUUAUAUCUUUAUAUAUAAUACUCCAUAUGUCCCCUAGGUAGUUUACUUUGGAGGCGAGAGUUUGACACGCAUUUUAAAACUCCUAAAAAAUUCAGUUUUAUAAAUUAUUUUAUUUUAUUCUUGAAUUAAAAUUAUGAUUGUCCAUUCCCUAUAUUAUAUAUUGUUUAAUAAAAAUUAAGGUUAGAUUUCAUCUGCAAUUAUUUAUACUAUUGUACAAAAAAUAAGUACGAAUACUAUAACAAAAAUAGACAAUAGACAAUUAUAGAAUUUCUUAACCUUGAUUUGAGGUUUAUAUGAUAUCUAAAUUGGUGGUUAAACUCCAAAAAAAUAUAGUAUCACUGUACUCAAUUUUACUUGAGAAUUGAUUGUUAUGAUAAAUUGUUUGUAGUCAUUGAUUUCAGAUUGAUAAUUUACUGAAUUUUUAGAAUUCCAAUUAUAAUUCUUCCCGAUUUUUGCCGCAUUUAUGUUAUUAUUACUCCCUCCGUCUAUCUCAUUUAUUUAUAGUCCUUUCCCACGGCUUGACAUGUAUUUUGAGGUUCCCACUUCUUAUAUAUAAAACAUAGUUCCAUAACAUAAUUUUGAGAUUUAUUUCUGUUUGUGUAUAAAAAUUCAAACGUUAAAUUUUUACUCAGAUAAAAAAAAAUUAAUUUAUGAAACUAAAUCUUUUAGGAGCCUUAAAAUGCGUGUCAAACUCUCGUCCUCUAAGAUAAACUAUCUAGGGCACAUAUGGAGUACUACAUAUAAAGAUUUAGACACAUAUCAUAUCACUAUAAUAUUGCAGACUACCAGUAUAUUAUAAUAAUGCUAAAAAGAAUAACAUGGUGUUAAUAAUCAAAUCCGAACCUAACGUUAGUUACAAAAAACAAAUCCAAACCUAACAUUAGUGACAAAAGGAAAAAAAAAGUUAUAGUUUAGUGGUAAGUUUCUAAAUACAUAAUAAGUUGAGUGGAGAAAAAAUCUAUAUUCCAAUUAUUUUUUUGAAAGGUUUUUUAAUCAAUUUUGGACAUGGAGGUUUUUUUUCUAACCCAAUAGUUUCAAACAAAACAGUACUUUCCAGGGAUGUAUUCAAUCAAGAUUUUAAUGGAUUAUUUUAGGUUUUGAAUUUUAAUGGAUUAUAUCUGAUUUUGAUUUUGUGCGGAUUAUUGAUAAAAUGUCGUAGAGUUGAUGAGAGUUUUUAGGAUUUAUGUAUAAUUCUUCAAAAUAUUAUGGAUUUUGGUGGGAUUUCAAAAAAUUUAAAAUAUACUGAACUAUCAAACAAAAUCCAUUAUUUUAUGAAGUCCAAAAGAAUCCAUCAGUAUUUGAAUAUCAUUAGAUUUUAAUGGAUUUUAAAUAAACCCAAUAUUUUAAAGUAUAAUCUAAAAUCCUAAACGAAUUUCAAAUUCAAAAAUAUAAUAUUACAAUCUGUAUCCAAUAUGCCCCUAAAUUGAUAAUCACAAUAGCUAUUUAACACUACACCAUAUGUGGCAUAUUGUAACAGUCAAAAAAUUGUGAAUAAAAGCCAUAAAGUGUUACCAAAAGUGAACAAAACGGCUAUGGUAACACUUUUUCAUCAAACAGGAUCGUAACAAAAAUCGGUGCUAGCACAGGGGUCUAGGGUAACACUUUUUCAACUUUCGGUAACACCUGAUAAAGUUGUAACCAUAGAAGCUCUAUGCCUACACUUUUGUUGUCCCGAGAGAUCGGGUUCGACUCUGACUCAUCCGAAAAGUAUUAGAACAAAUACUAAUUUGUAAGGCAUAUAAGCUUACAUUGUAAAAAAAAAAGGCUAUGACAUUUAAAUAAUCGGUUUUUCUAGUGUAUGUCCAUGAGCACAUGAUAAGCGCGGAAUUUUAUAAGUUUGACUCAUUUUAUUGGCUCUCAUAUCUUACUAAUGGUGGACCCCCUGCCUAUACAACAGGGGUGAGCAAGAAUUCUCUAAACCGACCUAAACCGGCCGAUCCAAACCGUCCAAACCGAUUUUUACGGUUUAUUAACGGUUUGGUUUGGUUACGGUUUGAAAUUUAAAAAACCGAAUUUUUUCGGUUUGGUUUCGGUUUUUACCUCCAAACCGACCGAUAUAACCAAACUGAACCGAAUAUAUAUAUAUUGAAAUAAUAAUAUAAUGUGUGAAUAAUAAAUUGAUAAUAAAAUUAUAUUCUACAAAAUAUGUGAAAAGUAAAACAUAUAAAACUAUUAUCAUAUUUUUUAAAAAAUAUUGAUAUACUAAUUUGUAUGUAUUAUCUUUUUGUUUUUUUAAAUAAAAGUAUAAGAAUUACAUUUUUAUCAUCUUUCUCACUCUCCUUAUAUUUUACAAGAUCUUAUAAUUUAAUAUUUUUUUUAAAUUAUAAUUAAAAUCUAAUAUACAAAUUCAUAAUAUAUUUCAAACUUUCAAUUCUUGUUUUGCAAUUUCAAGUUUAAUUUUGUUGUUGAAUUUGUUAUAUUGAUAAAAAACGGUUUUAACCGAAAUCAAUCCGAACCAAACCGUUUUAAACGGAUCGGUUUGGUUUGGUUUUUUUACUUAACGGUUUGGUUUCGGAUUGAAGUUUCGGAAAACCGAUAAUUAUGGUUUGGUUCGGUUUGGACCCUCAAAACCGUCCAAACCGACCGAUGCUCACCCCUACUAUACAACAACCACACCAGUCAAAAUCUGCGAAAUAUAUAAAAUUUCACGUUUAGCAUAGUUCAUGGCACACACUAUCGACGAACCCUUAAAUAAUACUCCUUCCGUCCCUCUGAUUUCUAUACACUUUCCUUUUCAGGAUGUCCCAUUCAAUUGUAUACAUUUCAAAAACUUUCCCAAAAUAGUAAACUUUUAUAAUAUAAAAAUCUCACACACCCACUACUUCCAUCUACUUUUUCAAAUCUAUCAAUUAAAUAUGCAUGGGUCCCACCACUUUGUCUACUUUUUUUUCUCUUUCCCAUUACUUUACACUACUUUAUACCUUUUUCUUAGUCUCCGUCUUCAUUCCAAACAUAUAUAUCCCAGACGGACGGAGGUAGUAUAUAUUUGAGCGCACGCAGAACAAAUAAAAGCAGUUUCAUGAAGGAGAGGCGACAAAAACAAAGGCCUAACACCAUCUCUAACAAUCCUAUAGCUAGUCUGACCAGUUCAACAAGUUAAAUGGACAUUUUUGUAGUAACAUGUUAUCUUUUCAUUUUGCUUUCUAAAUUUUUUAUGUUACUCUAUAAUUUUAACUAAAAAAAAAAAAAAAAUGGUUAAGGAUCUAAUUGGUCGUCUCCUAAGAAGCAAAAAAGCCACAUAAAAUUAGAAAAGCUGCAAGAAUCAUAGGUUCUUCGUUAGAAGAUCAUACUACUUCUUUAUUCACAUGGAUAACUCAAACUACAGAAACAUUAACAAAAUUUACCACAGAGUAUUUGAUAUAACUGGAUGGAACACAAAGAAUGAACAUUUCCCAGAAUAAAGAAAGGCAGUUGUAUCCAUCACACCUGCAAACAAAAACAAAUGCCACCCUCUAGUUGUCUUAUUGAUUCGUUUGGUCUUUUUUAAAUCCACUUAACUGUUGUAAACUCUUGUAAUCGUAUAGUCAUCAACAUGAAACUUUUUAGGGGACAUAGUGCUCCUGAUAGCAAAGAACCGGCGAGCAGUUUAUGUUAAUUGAGAAAUAUAAUGAGAUGAAAUUUUUAUUAACCUAUAGUGUUAAAUAUAGGAUGGAGUAAGAAUGCUUGCAUACAAGAAAUUUGUUCUCCGGGAAACUGAUGUAUUUAAGAGGAUUCAUGAACAUAUCACCCACUCGUUCUUCAGUCUUGCAACAACCUGACAGAUAUCUUCCUCUCCCUAUUCUUGACCAAGUACCAAAUGAACUAAUGUUUGAUGCAUAUGUGCUUGCCUUUAUCAUAAAAAAAUGAUGUUAAUCAUUUUGGGCAAUCGCAUAUUUUCUUUCUCCAUAAAUUUGUGAAAAUCUUUAGGAAAUUGUUUAAGUUCCUUUGCGCCUAUUCCUUUAGAGUGCUUGACAUAUAUCCUCCUGAAUCUGAGGAUAUAUACUCUGCUUAAACAGUUGAAAGAGCAAAUAUAGCUUGUUUUCUUGAUAUCUUGGUUACAAGUAUGAAAACUCUGAUAUAAUAAGUAAGAAUACAUUCCCAUCACUACCACAAUAUUUCCACACAUAAUUUCAUCAAAAAACGCAAAUAAAUAUUGGCAUCUGCGAUAAAAAGGGAAGCCCUCCUUUCUGCAUAUAAGGAUGCUGUUGACUUUGUAAUCAUGAAAAAUACCAUAUUAAAGUUUUAAAGAAAUAUAUAAUGACAGGCAUGCAUAUUCAAUCCGCAUUCCUCUUCACUUGACGGUCAUAUAUCAUCUUGAUCAAUAGAACAAUGACGAAAAGAAAGAAGAAGGAACCAAUGAGGCAAACGGUAAUGGCGAUGGCCGGUGAGUGAGAUAACACCACAUACGUUCCUGUAAUGAAAGUCAACAUCAUUGCCAUGACGGAAACAAUGUUGAGCCCAGUUGAUGCAGCAUUUAGUUUGGACACUUGACGGGGAUCUUCGUACAUAGAUUCAAGAAAGUAGAGAAACAAAGAACAUGUUGAUAGUAGCAAAGCCAGUGCAUCUGAUACCAUAAAUGCAUUAAAUGCAGUCUUUUUAGAGAGAAUUACCAAUCCUUCAUCAACCUCUCCACUUUGAUGUAGACCACCCGGCAUGGUAAAUCCUACAGUGAAAGUGACUGUAGUUAUUAGUGCACUAACUACUAUCUGGGUGUUGGUCCUCUUUUUGUACCUUUCCAGAUCUUUUUUCAUCUGUGCAUUCUUUUCAUCGAUCAAUAUUUUUGUAUAUUUAUCAAAAAUGAAAUCCUUUUUCUCUCUUUUACUUGGAAGCACUGAACUUUCUAAGAUAUCCGUAUCCUUCUUCAUGCUUUUACGCCAAAAUUUUCUGGACGAAUUAGACUGCACAUCAUCAAGUGCAAUUUUAAUUUUCACCUAUAAAUAAAAGAACAACCAAUAAUUAGUAAUUAUAAGAAGACAUCCUAUACAUAUGACUAAUAACUUUACUCAAUACUCUGCAAAGAUCUGUUACGAAAGGAUCAAAGAACUAGUUUAUGUAAAAACUAAAAAAGAAGAAGAAAAGAAGGUUUUUUAAGUACCUGCUCCGCAAUGAUAUCAUCUUUAGAAUACAGCAUGUCCCUAGGAGUCCAACUUUUCUUAUUUUUUACCAUUGUAUUAAGUCCCUUAUGUUCAAUAAGUUCUGGUACGAAACAACCAUUAGAGAUAAGUAGAUGGAGAGGUGUAUCACCAUUGACAUCUUGUUGUUGUAAAAGCUGGUCCUUGUAUUUUUGGGGACAAUGUUUUAGAAUACCUUGUACCAUAUUUUUAUUAUUUUUAGCUGCUGCCAAAUGUAGUAUAUUCUGACUAUCUUUGUUAACAGCUGUGUAUGCAGACGAUGUAGAUGGCCACAAUUUCACAAGUUGUAUAACUGUAGAAGUAUAUCCAUGCUCAACUGCUACAUGAAACGGUGUUGAUACCAUAUCUCGGUACACAAAUUGAUAUCCAACAUCCUUUUGUGCUUCAAUUAGUGGACCAAGUAUUGAAACAAAUUCAUGAUAAGCAGCAUAGUGAAGUGGAGUCCAACCUUCUGCUUCAGAAAAAGUUACAAGGUGUUUUCUCCCUUUCAAGAGACCUAAUACAGAGUCUGCAGGAAACAAAUUCGAUCAACUAUGUAAAUCACAUGGAACAAGAAGUAAAAAAAUAUGUAAUGAACGUAAAGUUGAUUGGCAUUACAUAAUGUAUAAAAAAAGUUCAAUCUAGAACAUUUAAAAUGUAUAUGCUAUUAUAUCUCAAAUCACAGUGAAAUUGAGAGAGUUUUUAAUGCCGCUAUAAGUUAUAACAAGAACAAGAGUGCAACUGCUUACUGGUAUAGUUUUAAUGUAUCAUUUACUCCUAAAUGAAUGUACUCACAUGACAAAUUCCAAUACAAUAGAUAUAACGUACCUUUAUCGCGUCUUUUAAUUGCAAGAAUCAAAGUGAGCACACCUUUAUGAUCAGGGUUAAUUCCAGCUUCAUAAGUUUCAGACAGCAAUUUGACAAUAUCCGUACUAUACUCAUUGUCGAUGGCCUUGUAGAUUAAACGCAUAAGGCCAUGUUUUUUGCUUCCACGACAAUUUUGAUAGGCAGGAUCCUCUUCUAAUAAUAGUUUAACAACCCCCACAUUGUUUCUCUCCACCGCCAGUUGCAAGACAGUGUUUCCGAACUCAUCAGUGCUAUUAAAUAAUGCAUCCUCCUCACUAUUCCAAUGUUUGAAUGCAUCAAUAAUCAUCCCAACCGCAUCUUUCCAUUCUUCCGUCGCUGCAAGUCAAAUUGAAAUAAUCAUUUAUACAAGUUUCAAAUACGAUUUUCCAGGUAAAAAUUUGUGAUAAAAUUAAAGGUGAUUUUUAAACCUCCUCCUACUUGAAAUAUAUUCAUAUAAAUUUUUGGAAUGAGAUUAUGGAUAUGAGACCUUUUCCAACUUAAGAUAUAAUAUUUAAUAAAGUUGAUUCAUUAAUAUAUUACAUACCUUGCAUAUUCUUAAUGAGAGCAUGCAAAGCACUGGCGCUGCCACCAGGACCCUCCAGAGACUGUGCUGUGCAAGCUGUACAAAUCUCCUUUAUUAUAGCCAGGUACCCUUUUUCCGCAGCUAUGUAGAUUGGAGUUUUGCCUUCAUAAUUUUGGAUAUGUCUAUCACUUGGAUCCGCUUCUACUAAGAGCUUGACAAUCGCCACGUUACCGUUAAGCACUGCUACAUGUAAGGCAGU